This 227310-nucleotide long non-coding RNA is filed under the name Eucalyptus grandis. Its description in RNAcentral is "long non-coding RNA (EGRA_LNC004001)". The record is from RNAcentral. Lineage: Eukaryota; Viridiplantae; Streptophyta; Magnoliopsida; Myrtales; Myrtaceae.
AGACAUGGGUGAAAGAAGUGGAGACCGUCGCUAACAAGGCACACUACGUGCUGGAUUAUGAUGGAAGAGCUAAGAAAACUUGCUUCUACGGGUGGCUUCCCAACCCGAAGGCACGUUAUCGUCUUGGCAACGAGUCGAGCAAGAUGAUCAAGGAGAUCAAAGAUCUCAUUGAGCAGGUUCAAUUUGAGAGGGUUUAUGACGAGAAUUCCCCGCCGGGGCGUGUUGGCGGUGCUCCCAACGAGAAUUCGUCGGCUGGUGACGGGGGCAAGACUAUCUUCAAAUCGCAAGCUUCCACCUUUCAGGACUUAAUGAAAGCCCUGGAUGAUGAGAAGCUAAAAGUGAUUGGCAUCUACGGGCAUGGAGGCGUGGGGAAGACUACGCUGCUGAAGGAAGUUGAGAAGAAACUCAAGAAAGAGGGGAGACCCUUCCACAUGAUUGUCAAAUCAAAUGUAUCGCAGACUCCGGACUUGAAGAAAAUCCAAGAUAAUAUCGCUUACGCCUUCAGUCUAAAACUGAAGGACGAGCCAAGCGAAGUAGGAAGAAGAGAUCUUCUGUGUCGGAGAUUACAGAGGGAUCCGAGAGAGAAGGUUCUCAUAAUGUUGGACGAUCUGUGGGAUGAACUUAAUUUGGAGGCAAUCGGAAUUCCUUCUGGAGAUGAGAGUAGGGGAUGUAAGUUGCUGCUGACAUCGAGAUUUAAAGAUGUGCUAGAGCAAAACAUGCAUGCAGAUAGAACAUUUCGUCUUGAAGGUUUAAACGACGACGAAGCUUUCAGGCUAUUUGAAAAGAUAGUUGGUGACAAGCUCGAAGACGAGGAAUUGAAAUCAAUAGCAGCUCAAGUGGUCGAGAAGCUCGCAGGUUUGCCUCUUUUGAUUAUCUCCAUCGCAAGCACUUUGAAAUAUAGCCGUGUGUCUGCAUGGAAAGACGCAUUGAUAAAAAUAGAGGACUCAAAUAUAGAAACCAUAGUAAAGCUGAGUUAUGACCAUCUGAAGAGUGAGGACGCCAAGUCCUUAUUCUUGCUCUGUGCUCUUCUUGGUGGGACCAUUCAAGUCGAACUUCUGCUGGGACUAGGCAUGGGGUUGGGCUUGUUUGAGGGAUUCAAUAACACGGUAGAAGAUUCAAGAAAUAGAUUGAAUACUAUGCUCAAUAGCCUUCGUUCCGUUUGUUUGUUGCAAGAUGAUGGUGAUGACAUGGAGACUGUGAUCAUACAUGAUCUUUAUAGUGAGGUGGUCGUCUCAGCUCCAUUUAGAAGUCAGAAUUCCUUAAUGAUGAACAACUAUUGUGUUUCGUGGCCAAAAGAAAAGCUUGAGAAAUGUUGGGCAAUAUGCCUUGUUAAUGAUUACGGUGAUAGCCUCGCUGAAAAAAUGCGGUGUCUGUUUCCCGACUUGAAGAUAUUCGUGUUGUCUCAGAUAGGGUUGUUCGAGGCACCUAUACACCGACAUGAUGUGAGAGAUUGCUGUGGACUUGAUUUCACAAGCAUGGAGCAGCUCCAAGUCCUAUAUCUUCGCUUCAUACAUAUCACCAAUUUACGUUCCUCGAUUGGCACCCUUAGGAACCUCCACUCAUUAUACUUAGACUAUUGCAUUGUGGACGAUGUGGCAAUUCUUGGCAAGCUCAAAACAUUGCAAAUUCUCAGCUUGGCAGGAUCUCAAAUUUCUAAGCUGCCUGAAGAAAUCGGGGAACUUAGGAAUCUGAGAUCGUUGAAUCUAUAUGAUUGUGACUCGCUUAUGAUAAUCGAGCCUGGUGCCUUGAAAGGCUUAGUCCACUUGGAAGAGUUAUAUAUGAGGGGAAGCUUUAGUCAAUGGAUAGUCGAUGAUGAAAUACCAACGGAAUCGUAUAAUGGUAGGCUUGUUGAGUUGAAGAGCUUGAGAAAGCUAGCCUCUUUGGAAAUAUCGAUUCAUGAUCCCAUCGUACUCUUAAAGGAUGAUGACCUGCCAUUUGGGACCCUGAUCAGAUUUUGGAUCAACAUAGGAAAUACUUACGGAAGGGGAUUUCGUGGUUUGAGAACCAUGAAACUCCAAUUGGAAGGAUGCGAUGGUAUUCUCUCAAAAGAAUGGGUUCAGAAAACUCUGCAGAAAACUCAACACUUAUAUUUGGAUGGAUUGGGAGAGUUCAAGGAGAAUGCUCAUGAGUUGUGCAUUCAAGGAUUUAAACAACUGAAGCAUCUCGACAUUCAGAACAGCCCCUCAAUCAAGUACAUCAUCAGUUCAUUAAAUGACCUUCCCACUGCAUUUACGGAUUUAGAGUCUUUGUUCCUCGAAAAUCUUAUUAAUCUGAAGAAGAUAUGCAAUGGCCUGGUCACACCAGAUUGCUUCCACAAAUUGAAAGUUGUGUGUAUCGAAAAGUGCCACCAAUUGAAAAAUUUGCGGUUCCUCUCAAAGAUGCAAAGACGUGUACAUUUGGAAGAGAUCAAAAUAUGUGAAUGUGACUCAUUACAAGCCAUUAUCACAGGUGAUGCAGGAAAAGUAGAAGUUGAUGUUAACGACAUGAUUGAGUUACCUAAUGUACGACGUCUAGAUUUGCGUAAGUUACCAAAAAUGACAAGCUUUUGCACUAGAACUGAGGAUGCUCCAAUUCAGGUAACUUUUUCAUUUUCUGGGUAUAAAUUUCUUUAAUUCUUAAUCUUGCAGACAAUACCUAGAUUAUGCUAUUAUAGGGGGAUUUAGGAUAAGAUGAUAUUGGUGUUCACCGAGCCUCAGUGAAUAUUGCAUUAUUUUGAUUAUUUGUACAUCUUGAAACACAUAAAAAAAUCCUUUCAAAGAAAACACAGACCAUACAUUUUUAUUUACAUUCAACUGUAGCUAGGGGAAGCCUUUUCCUAUGAUUUUUUUUUUCAAUUUGUUUCAGUGUUAGAUAAUUGCACUAAUUAUUUGGGCUUUAGCAUGGGUUUAUACUAUGACUAAUUGAUUACUUAUUUAACAUUUUUAAUGAGAAGAAAAAACAUUAUACAUAAUGAAUCUUAAACGAAUGCACGAAAUUCAACAAUUUCAAAAUGAAGAAAGUGAGAGAAUAAAUAAAUAGAAGGCGAACUAGUAGCCACAUAACAAAGAAAGUCCACAUAAUUCAUGUUUCACCUACACGCAAGUUAGCAAUUGAUUCUAACACGUCAUGCCAAUCUCACCAUGUCAACGUCGUUCUGCUUCUCUCAUCCCUUCGUCUCAAUUAAGUUUUUGACAUUCUUAAGAGACAUCAAACUCAUUCAUAUAUUUAAGUUUCUUUUGUUUCGCUGAAAAUUCAUUGUUGCUGAAAAAUGUCUUCCUGGCGAUUCAUUUUUCUUGUUUUCUUGUAUUUGGUUCUGCUGAAAACACAAUUUGAGAGAAACUAACCCAAAUAGAUCAUAUUUACCUGUUCAUAAUGAAAAGCAAUAAGUUAACAAAUGAUUUAUUAAAAAUUUAACUCCGACAUGAAUUUGUCUUUAAUUUUGAAGGUCAAAAUAGAAAAACAAAAGAAAAGAUAACAAUUACGAUGACAGUUGUUUUGAAGAUCAGUAGAUGAUUUCAAAAGAAAAGAGAAAAAAAAAUUAUGGCCAUAACUUUGAAGAUCAGCCAAAUCAAAGAUAACAACUAUGAUGACACGCGGGAGCAACAUGAUAGUGGGGACGAUAUCCUCCUGAAAAUGAUUUUGCUUUUUACGGAAGAGAAAUUCAUUUUCUUGAAUUUUAGCCUGAGAGUUUCAGUCAUUUUCUAGUAUCCAAAUACAAGAAAAUUCUAAAAGCAUUUUUCUAAAAAUAGAUUUACUUGCAACUUACCUUUAAUGAGUUUGAUUGUGGCGCUUUGUUAGGUUUCAUUGCCUCGCUUGGAAUCCCUAGUAAUGGUUGGACUCCUUGGCCUAGAAAAGAUACUCCACAGUGAACCCUCAAUAAAAUUCAGUGGAUUGAAAUCACUAAAGAUAGAAGAAUCUAAAUCCACAUUGAGUAUUCCGAAAGAUUGGAUACUAAAGCUACCAAAUUUGGAGUCAAUGGAAAUUGCGGGCUCUCCAUCAGCAGAAGUAGUUUUCGACCUAGAGGAGCUGAAAGUCAUUGGAGAAGUUGAGAUUCUCUCUCAGCUAAGUACAUUGGUGUUAUCUAAGUUGUCAAACUUGCGGCGCAUGUUGAAACAAGAUGUACAAUUACAAGGAAUAUUGAUAUUUCAAAACUUGAAGGAGCUCUCUAUCCGUGAAACGGGGCUAUCAUUUCUCUUUUUGGUGUCUGUGGCUAAAUGUCUUAGAGAAAUUAGAGACAUUGAAGUGGAGGACUGUCCAAAUAUGAAGACGGUGAUUGUGGAUGAAGAAGGAACAUAUGAUAUUAUAGAGUUACCACUCCUGAAGCGACUAUCUAUAACACGUUGUCCCAUAGAGAAAUUCUUCUCAUAUCCUCAUGGAAAGAAAGAGUCAGUAACCACUACUUCAGAUUCACGAGAUGCUUAUUUCGACUCCUUCUUUGAUCAAAAGGUACAAAUCCCUUCUCUUAAGAUUAUACCCAUAAUAGCCAUAGGCACAUGCUUUGCAAGGCAAGUAAUCAAAUCUGUUUGAAGAUCUUUAUUUGGAUUUAUUAAUUAAAAUGUGUUUAUAAUUUAUUACUAUUUGUUAGAUAGAUGCCACUAAUGGAAAGUUCAUUCUUCCACCACAUCAGAUAGAUUGUUGGGAUUUAGCCAAUUUCAUAAAAUUUUCAUAGCUACAAUCUGAUGAACAACUCUUAUGAGCAGGUUAGUUUGCCGAGCUUAGAGGAGUUAAAGCUUAAGUCAGAAGGAUCCUUCAAAGGAAUAUGGCAUAGUGAACUUAUGGAAAAGUCCUUCUGCAAAUUAGCCACCCUCUCCAUUGGAUGUUGCUCUAAGCUACACAACGUCUUCCCUUCCACAAUCAUAGGGAGAUUGCACAACCUAACAAUUGUUGAGAUUGAAGACUGUCCCUCUUUGGCAUCAUUGUUUGAUUGUGGGUCCAUUGAUGCAAAUACUGCGCAAACAACUAUAUUGCUCCCCAAAUCAGAAGUAAAGACGGUGAGGGACACAGGAAAGUUGAAAUGUACAAUGAAGAGCGACUCCCAAAUGAUUUUGGGUUUUCCUAGUUUAAAAAAAGUCCGUGUUUGUAGUUGCUCCAACCUAAGAUAUCUCUUCCCCAGUUGUAUGGCCACAACUCUAGAGAAACUUGAGAGCCUAUGGAUUAGCAAUUGCGAACAGAUGAAGGAAGUGGUCCCUAAGGAGACAGCCAAAGGGGAUGAUGAAUCAUUACAACCAUUGUUCAAUGAGAUGGUUUGCUCUAUCCCUUACUAUGAUCAUCCAUAUUCUUGCAUUUCAUAUUUUAGAAUGAUCCUCAUUUCUCACAUUAUCCUCAUACAGGCUAGAUUCCCCAAUAUAAGAAAACUACAAAUUGAAGGCGCUAAGUGCAAAGAGUUAUGGAACAAUCGAAUUCCCAAUGAUUCCUUUUGCAAAUUGGAACUUCUUCGAGUAGAGCACUGUGACAAUCUCCUAUUAUUGCCCCAUCUCACAUGUGGAGGAGACUGCAACUCUGUCUCGUCUUCCUAGAAGUGAGAUCAUGCCAUUUGAUCAAGAUCAUAUACGAAAGUGAUGGGACAAAUACAAAGAGUGGUAAAAUGACGAGGCUGGUUUUGCGAGAUCUCGAAAACUUGAGGCACAUUUGGCAAUCCGAUGGUUUCCCAAACGUCCCGUUCCCAAACUUGAGAUACGUAGAGGUUGUGAGGUGCUCCCGUUUGGAAAUGCUUUUCACAACCUUCACAGCAAAAUUUCUCGGGCAAAUCAAAGAGUUGGUAGUAGAGUCAUGUGAAGAUCUAGAACUAAUUGUUGGCCAUGAAGAAUGUGAAGAAGCGGCCGGUACGACAAUCAUCUUCUCCGAGUUAACUGCUCUUAGACUUUUCGAGUUGCCGAAAAUCAGGAGAAUCCUAGCUGAGAAAUACUCUGGGAAAUUCCCAUCCUUGCAAGUCUUUUGUAUGGUAAGCUGUGGAAUGGGGCCAGACCGAGGCCUUGAUGACUGGGAAAGGUACCAAGCCCACAAGUGGUUUGACUUCAUGAAAUAUGGGUUUGAAGAAUAAUCAUUUCGGACUUCUGCAACGGAAAAUGGUGUUUGUCAAUAUAGAAUAACGUGUCCGGUAAUAUGAUAUCAUGUUUCUGCGUUAUCUUGUAUAGUUCCCACAAAGUCUCUUGACUAUUUCCUUCAAUAAUCAUUGCUCUGGUUUGUCUCCUGUCCCUUGGAUCUAAGGCCGUGCUAAGGAAGGUCACUUGUUCAUUCCGACUGAGAAUGUAGAGUUGCUAUCAAUGCACGAUUCUAAUAAAAUGACUGUCUAUUGAGACAUGGUCUCUUAACUGACAAGCAUGUAACAGUUACUAGUGAGUCCCAGUUACUUUCUCUAAAUUUCUAAAGAGUCUUUCAUGGACAGUAACGAGUGCAUUGUUUCCAAUUUGUAACUGACAACGAGUACAUUAUUAAGCAAAUGACAUAUUCAAAUAUUUUUCAUCAAAAAUGACUAUCAUGAACAAAAUAAUUCUUUUUUUUUUAAUUCAAAUUUAUAAACGUGAAUAUUUUCUUAUUUUUGCUAACUAUUUACUACUUGAUGAUUGGAUAUUUUAAAAUGUGGUGUUGAUGAUUAGUAACUUAGAAAGUUACUCUUGGUAUUUUCUCGUUCAUAUAGUCAAUUUUACUUGUCAUUAACAAGAAAUUUCGCCCUAAACUCAUUAAUAGUGAAGACAUUUAGUAAGGAAAAAGCACUUCUGAUAUAAUAUAUUACCAAGAGAUUCUCUGCCUAUAUUUUACUCUUCUCUUGAUAAUGCUCUUCAAAUUUUAUUUGGAAAAGAAAAAAGCCGUUUUAUUAAAUAUGAAUGCAUUUAAUGUGCAAAAAUCAAUUAUACUGUUUUAUAAAUAUCAGAUUUCAGGCUCUUUCAAGAAUUUCACAAAAUAGAUGAACUCCAUACACACGAGUUUACUGACUUAAGCACACUUUUAAUAAUUUUGUCUCAUGAGUAAGAUCAAAACAGGUUUCUUCUCUCUCGAUCGAAUUCACUGGCUAACAAGGCCUCAUCACGUGGCCCUCAACAGAAUUCACUUGCUCUCUUCCUUUCUCUCUCUACAUCUAACGAUCUGAGUCGAUUCCCUUUCGAGAUCAGGCUCGGCGCGCUCUGCGGAGUGGGGCCAGAACAUAAACAGAGCCACCUUCGCACACGCAAAAGGAGCUCCACAAAUUCUCUCUAGCCCUGGUUGAAGGGACUCGUGUGAUUUUUGAGCAUUUAUAAGUCACUCUCUCUCGGAGAUUUCUUUCGAAUCCUUGCCUCUCGCUUCGUUGCUGAUCGUCACCGCUUCCCGAUCGCCACCAGUUCGGUCUGUAAUGCCGAAGUUCUCGAACUUUGGUCACGACUGCCUGCUUCGACGAUUCCAAUUUUGGAUGUUGCCUCUGUUAUCUCCUUACUCGUAUCCGAUGUCAAUUGCUGUAGCUAAUCGUUCUUCAUUCAACUAAAUCACAUUUGCUCUGUUUUCCGUUGCUUCUUAUACGAAGCAGAGGCUGAGUGCUAUUGUUACCGUCUGUGCAAAACGGCUUCGACUGAGGCUGUAUUGAUGAUUGAACUUGCUGACUGCCUUUGUGAUGAUUUGGAUGCGAAUCACCUGUUUGACGGAAUUCUGAACUUAGUCGGUUUGUAUUUUGAUUCAAGUCUUGACCGAGAAUUUCCUUCAUUACUAGAUUAUUGAUCGAUUUCGGUCAUAUAAGCGCAUAUGAGGUCUGUUUUUUCAUUAAAAAUCGUAGGUAUUCAAUUUUGAACUUGCUUUGGAUCUGCUACAACCUGUCGAUACAUGCUGAUUCGUAACUAUUGCAGCCCUGAGCUGAUGUCAUUUGGUCCUUGAUAUUGAUGUUAUUCCACCCAAGUAAGCAUGUUUAGUGAAUUUCAUGUUCCCCUGAAAGGAAUUUAUGUCAUGAAUGAAAUAAAUUCUACCGGGAAUUGAUCCUUUUAUGUUGACCGUCUUAAAAUCCCUGAUUUAGUGUGUGUUUGAUUCCAAUUUGAGGCUAGUUUGGUUAUGGGAUCGUAUAUGCCCAUGCUAGGAAAGCAUUAUGGUGAAUCUCAUGCCGAUUUGCGAGAAUUGGGGUCAUCACCAAACUUGAAUAUGUUAGAAUGAAAGUAUUGCGUGCUGACCAUGCUUGCUUUGCAUAAAUUCAGUAUUAAUUUGCCCCUUGAUUGAUGCCAUUUUGAUCAAGUAGACUUAUAUGCGCUGUAGGAAGAUAUGGCUUCAUUUUCAUGUUGAUUACUCAUCAAAAGAUCACAAUUUGCUGUCUCAUAUGCUCUGUUACAAUUAUGAAUGUCUGCUGGAAGUUGUGGAAUAAGCAUAAUUAGAUGGAUAAGAGAUAUGGUGUGUGCAAGUUCCUUGUCAAUUUCACAUGUUCAGAUGGCAAUUGCAUGAUUAAAUUGAUGUAUGUAUGCUUGCUAUUGCCAUGAGAGUCUUGGCCUGAUUAUUGAAUUAGAGAACUCCAAUGUUAACUGAACUUUAAUUCCAUGAUUCUUGCGAUUUCAAAGCUCGGGACAUCUAUUAAAUAAUUUGAAGAAUACUGACUUCGUUUAAAGGUGAUAUGGUAGACUAGCCAGAUUUGAGGAAAUCUCUCAACAAAACUGGUCACUGAGGCCCCAUCAAAAUAUUGCAUGGACGACACUUGCCAACAGAAUCCAAAUAUUCUCUCCCUCUCCUUUGACGCUCACCAUUUAAGGCUUAUUUAUAAGAGCUAUUUCUUAAACCUGACUGAUCCUUCAAUUUCAUGCACUUGUGCCAAUAUACUGUGCACAACACCAAUUGCAACCUAUUGACGCUACUGGAAAUAUCUUCGGGGAAGCUAGAACUCACAUUUGGUUGUGAAUUCCAAUGCGGCUAAUGAAGGGAUAUAUCUCUCUGUCCUUUCCUUCCUCAGAGUUCGCUGGCCAGUGCUGUUCAGAAUGAUGUUUCAAAUAUAUGUUUCUCAUUUCGUUGGAAUGCUCAUGAUAGACUGAUAGUCAUCUGCGUCAACAGCACUAAAGGAGCACGACAGAAGAUUAUCGCCAGUAGGGUGAGGGAAGCUUGGUCACCAGCGAUAAUUUAAUCACCUAUCCAAUUGUCAACAGUCCCAAGGACUAAAAUGCCACGGUACUCAAACUUUGGUCAUAAUUGCCUGCUUCGACGAUUCCAUUCCUUGACAUUGCUUUUGUUAUCUCAUUACUCUUAUCCGAGGUCGAUCGCUAUAGCUAAUCAUUCUUCAUUCAACCAAACUGCAUAUGCUCUGUUUUCCAUUGCUUUAUGUAUGAAGCAGAGGCUGGGAGCUGUUGCUCCCAUCUAUGUGAAAAUGGACUGUGAUUGAGGCUUUAUUAAUGAUUUGAACUUGCUGCAUUUCCUUUGCAAUGAUUUGGAUGUGAACCGUUGCUUUACUUUUGCAUCUAAGCUCCCUAGCUGAAAUGUAUACCACAUGUUUGAUGAAGUUCCUGAACUAAAUAAAUGUGUAAUUCCAGGUCUUGACUGAGAAUUUCAUUCAUUACUAGGAUUUCAUCAAUUUUGGUCAUAUCAGCCUAGUUGUGUUCUGUUUCUUCAUCGAAAAUCAUAGGCAUUCCAUUUUGAACUUGCUUUGGAUUUGCUGGAACCUUGUCAAUACAUGCAGAUUUGCAGCUGUUGCGGCCUUGGGCUAAAGUCCAUUGAUCCUUCAUUGGAUGCUAUUCCACUCAAGUAAGCAUGUGCAGUGACAUAAGAUUGUGUUACGGUAAAUUUCAUGUUUGCUUGGAAAAGAUAUUAUGUCAUGGAUGAAUUAAAUUAUACUUGAAAUCAAUCCUUGGAUGCUGACCAUGUCUUGGUAUCCCAUGAUUGGGUGUGAGUUUGAUUCCAACUUGAGGCUAGUUUGGUUAGGGGAUCUUAUAUGUUCAUGCUAGGAAAGUAAUAUGGUGAAUCUCAUGCCAACUUGAGGCUAGUUUGGUAAUCGCUUCAAUUUCAAGUCAAUUUGUCAUCAAACAAUCACGAUUUGCAGUCUUGUAUGCUCUGUUACAAUUCUGAUUGCUGCUGGAAGUCGUGGAUUAAGCACAGAUUAGAUGGAUUUUGUCUCAACUUGCUUAUUUUUUUUAUUGCCCGUGGGCAAGUGAUAUCACGUGUUCAGAUGGUGCUAGUUGGCUGUUAGUCCCACAAGAAUGAAAUCAAGGACUGCAUAUCAAAACAGAUAUGUAUUAACAAAGGGUCUCAAUUCCCCAAAAAAGCACAAACUUUAGGUUGACUCUCUGUUCUGAGUUAAACUUUUUUUUGUCUAGAAAGAAUCAACUUCCACUUAAGUCCCAAAUUUGAUCCCUGUUCAAUUGCUGUCCAAAAUCACUGUUGAAGGUCUAACAUGGCAGUCAGUUGUAAAUCCAUGUCAGCUAACUACUCACCAAAAAGAUGCUUUGUUGUUCUUAAAAUUUUGGAAAAAUCGAAACAAUUAUAGGUGGAUUCUUCAAUUCUGCAGACAAAAGUCUUCAAAUUUUGUGUUUGUGAAUCUUCAAUUCAUCGAAUAGACUCACGCUUGAGAUAGUUGGUUUGUUGAGCUUUUAACAAACCAAUUCUGAACUCUGCUGGUCUCGUGAUCCAAAGACAGGUGCUCGACCGAAGACAGCAUCUUCUGCAGGAUCAUUCUCAGUGAAUCGCCUGCAUUCAAGGUAUUUGAUUGAUUUUGAUUCUGGUUCUUCUGAAUCGAGGAUGGAUAGCUAUCUUCUUCAAUGUAAAAGCUCAUUUCAAUUCAUGGUUUUGCAUCUCAUGCGUUAUUCUUACUGAAAGAUGCGAGCUUGAUGUCCUGCUAGGUUGGCAAUCAUGUGCGGAAGAAUUACAUCCACAUAUUGUUCUCAUAUUUUGCCUAUCCGAAAACUCAAUGGAAUGGUGACUCUUCCACAUUGCACUGUUUGUCGUGCAUCAUUAAGCAUUGCUGAUGCGGCUAUGUGUUUGACAAACAUUUUCGGAAUGUAUGACAGAUGACGGCUAGAAUGAUCAGAUCCUUCUUCAUUCAUUUGAUCUUUUUGUACUUUCAGCUCUGUGAGGAUGGAAAGUGUCUAUGCAUAUUGAUUCGAGUCUUCUAAGCCAUGGGUAGGGUGUUACUCAUCCACCAUUCUGCAGUAGAUGACCCCUUGAAAUUAUUGUCCUUAAACAAGGAUAAACUGAUUAGGCAAAAAUGUCAUUUUUGCUCUGGUGAUUAACUUCUCCAUUGUUUAGCGAGGACUUCUUAUAUAGUCUCAUCUAAUCACUCACUCCAGAUUGUGUAACCUUGCUUCAUAAACAACAAAUUGAGAUGAAUUAAUGUGUCUAUACGUGAAGUUUAGAUUUGCACAUGAAACUAUGUUGCAGUAAGAAGCAGAUGCUGCCAUGUUGUUAGCUUGGAUCCUAGCAGUUGUUCUCAUGGCCUAAAGAACCCACAUCGUUAAAAAAAUUCUACCUGCAGAUCAGCUUAGAUCCUGACAAUUGAAUGUAAAUACUAAAAGAGAACAUUGAAGAGAAGAGGGUUUUGAUUGUUAUUAAUGCAAACUGUCCUCUCGAGGAAUUUCGCACUUUUGUUUUUUCAUAAACCAACUUCUGUUCUUGAAAAAUCUUUUUGCGAUGUAAGACUGUGCGAACUCACUCAUCUCAAUUGUAACCUGGGACGCAGUGCUUCGUCCACGAUCUCCUGCGAAUCUGUGGCUUUCUCCUGCGAAUCUGUGGCUUCGUCCACGAUCUCCUUCGGCGGCCGGCAGCCGGCGGUCGUCGGCAGCCGAUGGGCUUCCGGCGGCGGCCGGCGGUGACGGUUACAUUGUGCCUCUCAAUAGACUUUGUGAAGGUAUUGAAGUGCAAUAGACAAUCAAGGACAGUUGCGUCGUAGAAGGAAGGAAAAAUAAUACAAAUAAUUCAUGAACUUUGGUCCAAUAUACAAUGUCGUCUUUGAGCUUUUAAUUUGUUUAACUUGGUUCAUGAACUAUUGGUAAAUGUCAAUGUUAUCCUUGAACUUCUAAUUUAUUCAAUGUGACCCUUAAACUAUUGGUAAAUAUUUAAUAUAGUCAUUCUGUUUGUUAAAACAACAAUACGAUGACAUGGAUUAUUAUAUUAUAUGCUGAGUUGGAUUUUUAAAAUUAAUGAGUCAAUAUAUCCGUCUUUUAUCGUCUACUUUAAAAAAAGGAAAAAAAACAAAUUAGGGACUUCAAAUAUCCCACGUGCAAAUUUCUUUUCCUAAUUUGAGACAAAUAUUUUAUGUGGAUAAUCCAUAUAUAUAUAUAUAUAUUGUCUACCAUUCAUAUUUAAUGGAAUGGAAGUCACGUAUUCCAUUAACUUGAAUUAACGAAAAGAUGACAUUAAAUAAUUUGAUAUAGUUAGGGAAUUAGAUUGAACAUUUAUUAGUAACUCAGAGUUCAGGAGUACAUUGAACAUUUACAAAAGUUUAGAUACCAUAUUUAAUAAAUUAAAAGUUCAUAAGUAACAUUGCAUAUUGAAUCAAAUUUUAAGGACUAUUUUUGCUUUAUUUUUCCUUAUAAGGAAAGUGAAAGUAGGAACGUCCUCUUUGGUUUCUUUGCAUCUAGCAAGGUGCUUCUCCUCCGUGAACCACCACUUGCAUGCACGACUGACGUACCACACGUUUUCCAGUUGUCUUGUAGAUGUUUCAAGGAUAUUUACCUUAUUAUUUGAAGAAGAAUAUCAUGUCAUCAUGAACAUAGUACAAGACAAUAUAUAUAUAUAUAUAUAUAUAUAUAUAUAUAUAUUUGCAUUAAAUCUUUACUUAUCAAAGGCCAGCGAGUUAUUUCUCGAUUGAUGAAAGAAAUGGGCAAAAAAAUUGGGAAACUCCAGUUGAAUAGAACCCGGUAUGUGUUGAUCAAAUAUUGAUCCUUUUGAAAUGAUAUGGGGUCGAAGUCCCAUAGAAUGUGGUGGAAGACUAAACAAGGAGCCGUAAAGGGAAGGUGGUGGGGGGAAAGAGAGAGAGAGAGAGAUUGAGAGAUUUCUUUAGUGCAAGAUGAUUGUUUCAUAAUUUUUCUUUAGUGCAAGACGAUUCUUUCAUAUUUUUAUUUUCCUUUAUUUAAAGGUUCCAAAGUGAAGAAAGGAUACGAUGGUUGAAGGAUUUUUUUUUUCUCGUCUUUCAGUUUAGAUACUUGGCUUCCAUGAUAGAGGAUUCUUUUUCCCUUCGUUUAAAGGUUCCAAAGCGAAGAAAUGAUGAGACGGUUGAGGAAUUUUUUUCUCAUCUUUUAGUUCAAAUACUUGGCUUCCACGAUAGAGGAUUCUUUUCUUCCAGCCUAGGGAUUCUUCCUCAAAUUAUUCUAAUUAUUAUUUUCUUCUUCAAAUUCAUCAUCUCCUUCCAACGCUAAAUCCAAACCCCAUGUCUCCCACCACGCUGACAUCUUAAUGAGCCACAGAUUAAACUAAUUCCUGCCGGUGAAGAUCUCUAACUCAAAUUUUCUAGAAGCCAUAGCGAUAAUUGCAUACAGACAAAAUAACCCUAGGCUUUGAUACUAGUUUUAUAACUAAUGCGCAAACAAGAACAAAUGAAAAUGACUUAAGUAAAAAAUAAAUUGCAUAAAUAAAACCUGAACGCAGCGGAUUUACUUUGUCCAAUGGUAAAACCUACUUUAUGGGGAAAGUUAACAAGAUGGUUUCAUGAUAAUCGGCGAAAAAUGGAUUACGACCGCUCAAUUACACUCACUCAUAAGUGUUUCUCAAUCAUAGAGUUUCACAAGAAUCAGUCACAAGAAAUGAGUUUUCUCACACUCUCAGCUCUCUCGGAUGAUGAUUCUCAAUAGUCUCUAUGUCUCUCACAAGCUUUUAUACGUAUUAAGCACACUCAACAUGCUCAAAAGACCAAACUCACCAAUAAAAUAGUUAUAUGCAAAGAAAUUAUCAGCCCGUAUUUGAUGACAACAUUGAUUUCAUCAUCAAUAAUGAAAAGAGUUCUUGUGAGAAAUUAAUGUCCCUUGUUGCAUCACCCACACUCCGAUUGGCAAGAGUCCAAUUUGGAUUUCCUAAUAUGGCCUGAAUUGCUUUGCAAUUAAAUUAUGGGUUGAAUUUCAAUCAAUCAGGAUUAACUUUGAUUCAUAAUCAACACAUCACAACGUCAUGGCCGAGUGCACUUGAGGAGGCAUUUGAUCUCAAGCAUACUCGGCUUGAGGUUUACCAACCCAAUCUACAGGAAUAUUCAUACAUAUUUUAAUGCUUAUUCAUGAAUCAUAUGUAUUCUUAGGGGUAGUUCCUCUCUGAGGCAGGUAUUUCUUUCAGUUAAUGAGUUUGACUAAGAUAUAAGUAGGUGCGAAUAUUUUCAUUAGUGGCCUUGUUAGUAAUUCCGGUUUUUUUGGUCCCUGGCCAACUAUUUUGUCAUCCGGUGACAACAUGAGUCAAUCUUGAGUUAUGUUGUCUACCGUCGCGGUUCCACCUCUUGUAGAAAUCUACUUGCAAGGUGCUUUCAGUGGUCCCUUCUCUGAGAACCAUCACUUGUGUGCUCGGCCAGGGUACUGUAUGUUUUCCGUUAGUUCUUGUAGAUGUUUUAAAUACAUUUAUCCUAAUUUUAGAAGAAGAAUAUCGUGUCGUCGGGAACAAAGUAUAAGACACUGUAUGGUUCGUCACGUCAAAUUUUUACUUACCAAAGGCCAGAGUUAUUUCUCGAAGGGAGAAAUGGCAAAAAAAAAACAAAAAACAAAAGCGACAAUCCAGUAGGAUAGAACCUGCUUCAUAUUGACCCGAAAUCCGAUCUCGCCCAUUUGGCGCGUCGGAGUCGUAGAAAUCACGAUGGAAGAUUAAAAGAGCAGUACAAGUGAAGAGAGAGAUUGAGAGAAAAAGAGAGGCGGCCGAGAUUUCUUUCGUGAAAGAUGAUUAUUUCAUAUUUAUCUUUUCCUGUUUCGAGGAUACUUUUUCGCUUUAUUUAAAGGUUCCAGGGAGAAGAAAUCAUGAGACGGGAGGAUUCUUUCAUUUAUUCCCUUCAUGUUGAGGAUUCUUCCUCACCUUUCAGUUCAGAUACUUGUCUUCUAUGACAGAGGAUUCUUUUCCUCCAGCAUGGGGGAUCCUUCUUCAGAUUAUUCUUUUCUUGGCCGAGGAAAAAUGAGAUGGUCUUCACGACCUUUCUUGGCCAACACCUUCGUAUAUAUUUUGGGAGUUUCACCCCAUCUCAUUCAGACAUUUGUCGCAUUUCCUAUCUCGAAUUUUCACCGUCCUUCACUGUCUUCUUCCAGCCACUAGCUCUCUCUCUCUCUCUCUCUCUCUCUCUCUCUCUCUCUCUCUCUCUCUCUCUCGUGUUCAUUGUAUUCAUCCUAUUGAACUUUUCCUCUUCUUCAGUCGUUUCGUUUUCGGGUUCCAUCACUUCAGCCUUCCUAAGCAUAUAUAAAUUCUUAACUUUCAUUUCUCUCCAAAGAGGAAGGCAAAAAAAUCAGAAAGAUAGAAAUAAAAAAGCGGGAAAAUGGCGGAUAUUGUUCUGUCUAUAGCUUCCAAAGUGGCGGGAUACCUGGCCGCUCCAAUUGGUCGUCGAUGCGGCUACCUGAUGUUCUCCAACAGCUACGUUGGCCAACUGAAGGAAGAACUUGAGAAGCUGGAUGACGCGAGGGUUGGGCUGCAGCGCUCGGUCGUUGAUGCUGAAAACAACAUGAGGGAGAUAAAACGCGAAGUUAACAGAUGGAAGAAUGAUGCAGAGACUGUUGCCAACAAGGCGCGCGGCAUGCUGGAUAACGAUGGAAGAGCCAAGAAAACUUGCUUCUGCGGGUGGCUUCCCAACCCAAAGGAGCGUUAUUGUCUCGGCAGGGACGCGAGGAAGACAGCCCAGGCCAUCCAGGCACUCAUCCCACAAGGUAAAUUCGAGAGGGUCUACUAUGAGAGUGAUCCACCGGGGCGUGUCGCUGGCACUCCUGAUGUGAAUUCGUCAGCUGGUGAUGGGGGCGACACUAUUGUGGACUCGCGAGCUUCCGUCUUUCAGGGCAUAAUGAAAGCUCUGGAUGAUGAGAAGCUAAGAGUGAUUGGGGUCUACGGGCCUGGCGGCGUGGGGAAGACUACGCUAUUGGAGGAAGUCGAGAAGAAACUCAGUAAAGAGAAGGGACCGUUCCACAUGAUCGUCAAAGCAAAAGUGUCGCAGAUUCCUGUCUCGAAGAAUAUCCAAGAUGAGAUCGCUGACGCCUUGAAACUGGAUCUGAAGGACGUGCGAAGCAAACGCGGUCGGGCAAAUCGUCUGUUGGAGAGAUUACAGCGGGAUCCAAGUGAGAAGGUUCUCAUAAUAUUGGAUGACCUAUGGGGGGAACUUGAUUUGAAAGCGGUUGGAAUUCCUUCAAGAGACAUUAGCGGGAAAUGCAAAUUGUUGCUCGCAUCAAGAUUUGAAGAUGUGCUGAAGCAAAAGAUGUGUGCCGAUGAAACAUUUUUUCUUGGAGGCCUAAACAACGACGAAGCUUUCGGGCUAUUUGCAAAGACGGUCGGCAACAGGCUCGAAGACGAUGAGGAUUUGAAAGCAAUAGCGGCUCGAGUGGUCAAGAAGCUUGCAGGUUUGCCUCUUUUGAUUAUCUCCGUUGCAAAAACCUUGAAAGAAAGCCCUGUGUCCGCAUGGAGAAUCGCACAGAUAGAAAUAGAUGAGUCAACUAAAGAAAUACAAGAAACGAUAGUGAAGUUGAGUUAUGGCCAUUUGAAGAGUGAGGACGCGAAGUGCUUAUUCUUGCUCUGCGGUCUUAUUGGCGGGACCAUUCAGGUCGAACUUCUAUGGGUAUUAGGCAUGGGGUUGGGCUUGCUUGAAAAAAUUAAUGAGACAAUACAAAAUUCAAGGGAUAGAUUGAAUAAUAUUCUGGAUAGCCUCCAUUCCAUUUGUUUGUUGCAGGAUGGAGGCGAUGAUAAGAAACAUGUGACCAUACACGAUCUUUACAGCGAGGUGGUCAUCUCAGGUGCAUAUAGUGGUCAGGAUUCCUUAAUGAUUAACAACAAUUAUGGCUCAUGGCCAAAGGAAAAGCUUGAGAAAUGUUGGGCAUGCCUGGUUAAUGUUGGCAGUGAUAAACUUGUUGAACUAAUGCUGCGUCAGUUUCCCCACGUGAAGAUACUUAUGUUGUCAGAACAAAACAAUAUGGGAGAUUGUAGUAGAAUUGAUUUCACAUACAUGGAGGAGCUUCGAGUCCUCUAUCUUCGCUCUAUGCAUAUCACCAGUUUACCUUCCUCGAUGGAAAUCCUCGGGAACCUCCGGUCAUUAAGCAUAAAUUGCUAUGUGAGGGAUGUGGCAAAUCUUGGCAAGCUCAAAGCACUGCAAAUUCUUAGCUUCGAUGGGUCUAUAAUUUCUAGACUGCCUAAAGAAAUCGGGAAACUAACCAAUCUAAAAUCGUUGAAUCUGAACCACUGCUACUGGCUUANNNNNNNNNNNNNNNNNNNNNNNNNNNNNNNNNNNNNNNNNNNNNNNNNNNNNNNNNNNNNNNNNNNNNNNNNNNNNNNNNNNNNNNNNNNNNNNNNNNNNNNNNNNNNNNNNNNNNNNNNNNNNNNNNNNNNNNNNNNNNNNNNNNNNNNNNNNNNNNNNNNNNNNNNNNNNNNNNNNNNNNNNNNNNNNNNNNNNNNNNNNNNNNNNNNNNNNNNNNNNNNNNNNNNNNNNNNNNNNNNNNNNNNNNNNNNNNNNNNNNNNNNNNNNNNNNNNNNNNNNNNNNNNNNNNNNNNNNNNNNNNNNNNNNNNNNNNNNNNNNNNNNNNNNNNNNNNNNNNNNNNNNNNNNNNNNNNNNNNNNNNNNNNNNNNNNNNNNNNNNNNNNNNNNNNNNNNNNNNNNNNNNNNNNNNNNNNNNNNNNNNNNNNNNNNNNNNNNNNNNNNNNNNNNNNNNNNNNNNNNNNNNNNNNNNNNNNNNNNNNNNNNNNNNNNNNNNNNNNNNNNNNNNNNNNNNNNNNNNNNNNNNNNNNNNNNNNNNNNNNNNNNNNNNNNNNNNNNNNNNNNNNNNNNNNNNNNNNNNNNNNNNNNNNNNNNNNNNNNNNNNNNNNNNNNNNNNNNNNNNNNNNNNNNNNNNNNNNNNNNNNNNNNNNNNNNNNNNNNNNNNNNNNNNNNNNNNNNNNNNNNNNNNNNNNNNNNNNNNNNNNNNNNNNNNNNNNNNNNNNNNNNNNNNNNNNNNNNNNNNNNNNNNNNNNNNNNNNNNNNNNNNNNNNNNNNNNNNNNNNNNNNNNNNNNNNNNNNNNNNNNNNNNNNNNNNNNNNNNNNNNNNNNNNNNNNNNNNNNNNNNNNNNNNNNNNNNNNNNNNNNNNNNNNNNNNNNNNNNNNNNNNNNNNNNNNNNNNNNNNNNNNNNNNNNNNNNNNNNNNNNNNNNNNNNNNNNNNNNNNNNNNNNNNNNNNNNNNNNNNNNNNNNNNNNNNNNNNNNNNNNNNNNNNNNNNNNNNNNNNNNNNNNNNNNNNNNNNNNNNNNNNNNNNNNNNNNNNNNNNNNNNNNNNNNNNNNNNNNNNNNNNNNNNNNNNNNNNNNNNNNNNNNNNNNNNNNNNNNNNNNNNNNNNNNNNNNNNNNNNNNNNNNNNNNNNNNNNNNNNNNNNNNNNNNNNNNNNNNNNNNNNNNNNNNNNNNNNNNNNNNNNNNNNNNNNNNNNNNNNNNNNNNNNNNNNNNNNNNNNNNNNNNNNNNNNNNNNNNNNNNNNNNNNNNNNNNNNNNNNNNNNNNNNNNNNNNNNNNNNNNNNNNNNNNNNNNNNNNNNNNNNNNNNNNNNNNNNNNNNNNNNNNNNNNNNNNNNNNNNNNNNNNNNNNNNNNNNNNNNNNNNNNNNNNNNNNNNNNNNNNNNNNNNNNNNNNNNNNNNNNNNNNNNNNNNNNNNNNNNNNNNNNNNNNNNNNNNNNNNNNNNNNNNNNNNNNNNNNNNNNNNNNNNNNNNNNNNNNNNNNNNNNNNNNNNNNNNNNNNNNNNNNNNNNNNNNNNNNNNNNNNNNNNNNNNNNNNNNNNNNNNNNNNNNNNNNNNNNNNNNNNNNNNNNNNNNNNNNNNNNNNNNNNNNNNNNNNNNNNNNNNNNNNNNNNNNNNNNNNNNNNNNNNNNNNNNNNNNNNNNNNNNNNNNNNNNNNNNNNNNNNNNNNNNNNNNNNNNNNNNNNNNNNNNNNNNNNNNNNNNNNNNNNNNNNNNNNNNNNNNNNNNNNNNNNNNNNNNNNNNNNNNNNNNNNNNNNNNNNNNNNNNNNNNNNNNNNNNNNNNNNNNNNNNNNNNNNNNNNNNNNNNNNNNNNNNNNNNNNNNNNNNNNNNNNNNNNNNNNNNNNNNNNNNNNNNNNNNNNNNNNNNNNNNNNNNNNNNNNNNNNNNNNNNNNNNNNNNNNNNNNNNNNNNNNNNNNNNNNNNNNNNNNNNNNNNNNNNNNNNNNNNNNNNNNNNNNNNNNNNNNNNNNNNNNNNNNNNNNNNNNNNNNNNNNNNNNNNNNNNNNNNNNNNNNNNNNNNNNNNNNNNNNNNNNNNNNNNNNNNNNNNNNNNNNNNNNNNNNNNNNNNNNNNNNNNNNNNNNNNNNNNNNNNNNNNNNNNNNNNNNNNNNNNNNNNNNNNNNNNNNNNNNNNNNNNNNNNNNNNNNNNNNNNNNNNNNNNNNNNNNNNNNNNNNNNNNNNNNNNNNNNNNNNNNNNNNNNNNNNNNNNNNNNNNNNNNNNNNNNNNNNNNNNNNNNNNNNNNNNNNNNNNNNNNNNNNNNNNNNNNNNNNNNNNNNNNNNNNNNNNNNNNNNNNNNNNNNNNNNNNNNNNNNNNNNNNNNNNNNNNNNNNNNNNNNNNNNNNNNNNNNNNNNNNNNNNNNNNNNNNNNNNNNNNNNNNNNNNNNNNNNNNNNNNNNNNNNNNNNNNNNNNNNNNNNNNNNNNNNNNNNNNNNNNNNNNNNNNNNNNNNNNNNNNNNNNNNNNNNNNNNNNNNNNNNNNNNNNNNNNNNNNNNNNNNNNNNNNNNNNNNNNNNNNNNNNNNNNNNNNNNNNNNNNNNNNNNNNNNNNNNNNNNNNNNNNNNNNNNNNNNNNNNNNNNNNNNNNNNNNNNNNNNNNNNNNNNNNNNNNNNNNNNNNNNNNNNNNNNNNNNNNNNNNNNNNNNNNNNNNNNNNNNNNNNNNNNNNNNNNNNNNNNNNNNNNNNNNNNNNNNNNNNNNNNNNNNNNNNNNNNNNNNNNNNNNNNNNNNNNNNNNNNNNNNNNNNNNNNNNNNNNNNNNNNNNNNNNNNNNNNNNNNNNNNNNNNNNNNNNNNNNNNNNNNNNNNNNNNNNNNNNNNNNNNNNNNNNNNNNNNNNNNNNNNNNNNNNNNNNNNNNNNNNNNNNNNNNNNNNNNNNNNNNNNNNNNNNNNNNNNNNNNNNNNNNNNNNNNNNNNNNNNNNNNNNNNNNNNNNNNNNNNNNNNNNNNNNNNNNNNNNNNNNNNNNNNNNNNNNNNNNNNNNNNNNNNNNNNNNNNNNNNNNNNNNNNNNNNNNNNNNNNNNNNNNNNNNNNNNNNNNNNNNNNNNNNNNNNNNNNNNNNNNNNNNNNNNNNNNNNNNNNNNNNNNNNNNNNNNNNNNNNNNNNNNNNNNNNNNNNNNNNNNNNNNNNNNNNNNNNNNNNNNNNNNNNNNNNNNNNNNNNNNNNNNNNNNNNNNNNNNNNNNNNNNNNNNNNNNNNNNNNNNNNNNNNNNNNNNNNNNNNNNNNNNNNNNNNNNNNNNNNNNNNNNNNNNNNNNNNNNNNNNNNNNNNNNNNNNNNNNNNNNNNNNNNNNNNNNNNNNNNNNNNNNNNNNNNNNNNNNNNNNNNNNNNNNNNNNNNNNNNNNNNNNNNNNNNNNNNNNNNNNNNNNNNNNNNNNNNNNNNNNNNNNNNNNNNNNNNNNNNNNNNNNNNNNNNNNNNNNNNNNNNNNNNNNNNNNNNNNNNNNNNNNNNNNNNNNNNNNNNNNNNNNNNNNNNNNNNNNNNNNNNNNNNNNNUCGAUACUUCAGAACUUGAAAAAGCUCUUAUCAACAAUACAGGACUCUCAUCUCUUUCCACUGUCUGUGGCUAAAAUGUCUUAGAGAAAUUAGAGACAUAAAGUGGAGGAUUGUCCGAAUAUGAAGGCGGUGAUUGUUGAUGAAGAAAGGAAGAGAUGAUGGGAUAGAUGAUAUUAUAGAGUUCCCAUUAUUGGAGCGACUAUCUAUAAGCCACUGUCCCACGGAGAAAUUCUUCUCAUAUCCUCAUGCACAAAAAGAGUCAAUAACCACUACUUCAAAUUCACAAGAUACUUAUUCGGAUUCUUUCUUUGAUCAAAAGGUACGAAUCCUUUCUUUAGAGCUUACGCCCAUAACAGUCAUAAGCACGCAAUUGGUGGGGCAAGUAUUAAUAUUUUUUUGAAGAUUUUUUUAUUUGUUAUAUUAGUUAAAAUGUUUUUAUAAUUUAUAGCUACACUUGUUAGAGUAAGGCCAUUGGUGAAAAUUCUAUCCUCCACCGCAUUAGACAGAUUGGUAUAAGAUUAGACCAAAUUGUAAAAAAUUUCAUAGCUAUGAUCUGAUGUACAACUCUUAUGAGCAGAUAAGUUUACCAAACUUGGAGAAGUUAAUACUCGACUCGCUAGGAUCCUCUCGCUGUGGCUGUGGGCUCGGCCUCGCCAUUGUUGGGCGAGGCAUAUGGCAUAGUGAGCUUCCCAAAAGUUCUUCCGACAAAUUAGCCAACCUCACCCCGAAACAAGAUUUGCAAUCACAAGGAACAUCAAUAUUUCGGAAUCUGAAGGUGCUCUCUAUCAAAAAUACAGGGCUAUCAUUUCUCUUUUCGGUGUCUGUGGCUAAAUGUCUUAGGGAAAUUAGAGAGAUUGAAGUGGAGGAUUGUCUGAAUAUGAAUGCGGUGAUUGUUGAUGAAGAAGGAAGAGAUGAUGGGAUAGAUGAUAUUAUAGAGUUCCCAUUAUUGGAGCGACUAUCUAUAAGCCGCUGUCCCACGGAGAAAUUCUUCUCAUACCCUCAUGGAAAAAAAGAGUCAAUAACCACUACUUCAGAUUCACAAGAUACUUAUUCGGAUUCUUUCUUAGAUCAAAAGGUACGAAUCCUUUCUUUAGAGCUUACGCCCAUAACAGUCAUAGGCACGCGAUUGGUGGGGCAAGUAUUAAUAUUUUUUCGAACAUUUUGUUAUUUGUUUUAUUAGCGAAAAUGUUUCUAUAAUUUAUAGCUACACUUGUUAGAGUAAGGCCAUUGGUGAAAAUUCUAUCCUCCACCGCAUUAGACAGAUUGGUAUAAGAUUAGACCAAAUUGUAAAAAAUUUCAUAGCNNNNNNNNNNNNNNNNNNNNNNNNNNNNNNNNNNNNNNNNNNNNNNNNNNNNNNNNNNNNNNNNNNNNNNNNNNNNNNNNNNNNNNNNNNNNNNNNNNNNAGCUGAGAGUUAAUACUCCACUCGCUAGGAUCCUCUCGCGUGCUGUGGGCUCGGCCUCGCCAUUGUUGGGCGAGGCAUAUGGCAUAGUGAGCUUCCCAAAAGUUCUUCCGACAAAUUAGCCAACCUCACCCCGAAACAAGAUUUGCAAUCACAAGGAACAUCAAUAUUUCGGAAUCUGAAGGUGCUCUCUAUCAAAAAUACAGGGCUAUCAUUUCUCUUUUCGGUGUCUGUGGCUAAAUGUCUUAGGGAAAUUAGAGAGAUUGAAGUGGAGGAUUGUCUGAAUAUGAAUGCGGUGAUUGUUGAUGAAGAAGGAAGAGAUGAUGGGAUAGAUGAUAUUUUAGAGUUCCCAUUAUUGGAGCGACUAUCUAUAAGCUGCUGUCCCACGGAGAAAUUCUUCUCAUAUCCUCAUGGAAAAAAAGAGUCAAUAACCACUACUUCAGAUUCACAAGAUACUUAUUCGGAUUCUUUCUUAGAUCAAAAGGUACGAAUCCUUUCUUUAGAGCUUACGCCCAUAACAGUCAUAGGCACGCGAUUGGUGGGGCAAGUAUUAAUACUUUUUUGAAGAUUUUUUUAUUUGUUUUAUUAGUUAAAAUGUUUUUAUAAUUUAUAGCUACACUUGUUAGAGUAAGGCCGUUGGUGAAAAUUCUAUCCUCCACCGCAUUAGAUAGAUCGGUAUAAGAUUACGCCAAAUUGUAAAAAAUUUCAUAGCUAUGAUCUGAUGUACAACUCUUAUGAGCAGAUAAGUUUACCAAGCUUGGAGAAGUUAAUACUCCACUCGCUAGGAUCCUNNNNNNNNNNNNNNNNNNNNNNNNNNNNNNNNNNNNNNNNNNNNNNNNNNNNNNNNNNNNNNNNNNNNNNNNNNNNNNNNNNNNNNNNNNNNNNNNNNNNNNNNNNNNNNNNNNNNNNNNNNNNNNNNNNNNNNNNNNNNNNNNNNNNNNNNNNNNNNNNNNNNNNNNNNNNNNNNNNNNNNNNNNNNNNNNNNNNNNNNNNNNNNNNNNNNNNNNNNNNNNNNNNNNNNNNNNNNNNNNNNNNNNNNNNNNNNNNNNNNNNNNNNNNNNNNNNNNNNNNNNNNNNNNNNNNNNNNNNNNNNNNNNNNNNNNNNNCAUUAUUGGAGCAACUAUCUAUAAGCCACUGUCCCACGGAGAAAUUCUUCUCAUAUCCUCAUGCACAAAAAGAGUCAAUAACCACUACUUCAAAUUCACAAGAUACUUAUUCGGAUUCUUUCUUUGAUCAAAAGGUACGAAUCCUUUCUUUAGAGCUUACGCCCAUAACAGUCAUAAGCACGCGAUUGGUGGGGCAAGUAUUAAUAUUUUUUUGAAGAUUUUUUUAUUUGUUAUAUUAGUUAAAAUGUUUUUAUAAUUUAUAGCUACACUUGUUAGAGUAAGGCCAUUGGUGAAAAUUCUAUCCUCCACCGCAUUAGACAGAUUGGUAUAAGAUUAGACCAAAUUGUAAAAAAUUUCAUAGCUAUGAUCUGAUGUACAACUCUUAUGAGCAGAUAAGUUUACCAAACUUGGAGAAGUUAAUACUCGACUCGCUAGGAUCCUCUCGCCGUGGCUGUGGGCUCGGCCUCGCCAUUGUUGGGCGAGGCAUAUGGCAUAGUGAGCUUCCCAAAAGUUCUUCCGACAAAUUAGCCAACCUCACCCCGAAACAAGAUUUGCAAUCACAAGGAACAUCAAUAUUUCGGAAUCUGAAGGUGCUCUCUAUCAAAAAUACAGGGCUAUCAUUUCUCUUUUCGGUGUCUGUGGCUAAAUGUCUUAGGGAAAUUAGAGAGAUUGAAGUGGAGGAUUGUCUGAAUAUGAAUGCGGUGAUUGUUGAUGAAGAAGGAAGAGAUGAUGGGAUAGAUGAUAUUAUAGAGUUCCCAUUAUUGGAGCGACUAUCUAUAAGCCGCUGUCCCACGGAGAAAUUCUUCUCAUACCCUCAUGGAAAAAAAGAGUCAAUAACCACUACUUCAGAUUCACAAGAUACUUAUUCGGAUUCUUUCUUAGAUCAAAAGGUACGAAUCCUUUCUUUAGAGCUUACGCCCAUAACAGUCAUAGGCACGCGAUUGGUGGGGCAAGUAUUAAUAUUUUUUUGAAUAUUUUUUUAUUUGUUUUAUUAGUUAAAAUGUUUUUAUAAUUUAUAGCUACACUUGUUAGAGUAAGGCCAUUGGUGAAAAUUCUAUCCUCCACCGCAUUAGACAGAUUGGUAUAAGAUUAGACCAAAUUGUAAAAAUUUUCAUAGCUAUGAUCUGAUGUACAACUCUUAUGAGCAGAUAAGUUUACCAAACUUGGAGAAGUUAAUACUCAACUCGCUAGGAUCCUCUCGCCGUGGCUGUGGGCUCGGCCUCGCCAUUGUUGGGCGAGGCAUAUGGCAUCUAGGAUGUGAGCAAAAGUUCUUCCAACAAAUUAGCCAACCCCACCUCGAAACAAGAUUUGCAAUCACAGGGAACAUCAAUAUUUCGGAAUUUGAAGGUGCUCUCUAUCAACAAUACAAGGCUGUUAUUUCUCUUUUCAGUGUCUGUGGCUAAAUGUCUUAGGGAAAUUAUAGAGAUUGAAGUGAAGGAUUGUCCGAAUAUGAAUGCGGUGAUUGUUGAUGAAGAAGGAAGAGAUGAUGGGAUAGAUGAUAUUAUAGAGUUCCCAUUNNNNNNNNNNNNNNNNNNNNNNNNNNNNNNNNNNNNNNNNNNNNNNNNNNNNNNNNNNNNNNNNNNNNNNNNNNNNNNNNNNNNNNNNNNNNNNNNNNNNNNNNNNNNNNNNNNNNNNNNNNNNNNNNNNNNNNNNNNNNNNNNNNNNNNNNNNNNNNNNNNNNNNNNNNNNNNNNNNNNNNNNNNNNNNNNNNNNNNNNNNNNNNNNNNNNGAUUUUUUUAUUUGUUUUAUUAGUUAAAAUGUUUUUAUAAUUUAUAGCUACACUUGUUAGAGUAAGGCCCGUUGGUGAAAAUUCUAUCCUCCACCGCAUUAGAUAGAUCGGUAUAAGAUUAGGCCCAAAUUGUAAAAAUUUUCAUAGCUAUGAUCUGAUGUACAACUCUUAUGAGCAGAUAAGUUUACCAAGCUUGGAGAAGUUAAUACUCCACUCGCUAGGAUCCUCUCGCCGUGGCUGUGGGCUCGGCCUCGCCAUUGUUGGGCGAGGCAUAUGGCAUAGUGAGCUUCCCAAAAGUUCUUCCGACAAAUUAGCCAACCUCACCCCAAAACAAGACUUGCAAUCACAAGGAACAUCAAUAUUUCGGAAUCUGAAGGUGCUCUCUAUAAAAAAUACAGGGCUAUCAUUUCUCUUUUCGGUGUCUGUGGCUAAAUGUCUUAGGGAAAUUAGAGAGAUUGAAGUGGAGGAUUGUCUGAAUAUGAAUGCGGUGAUUGUUGAUGAAGAAGGAAGAGAUGAUGGGAUAGAUGAUAUUUUAGAGUUCCCAUUAUUGGAGCGACUAUCUAUAAGCCGCUGUCCCACGGAGAAAUUCUUCUCAUAUCCUCAUGGAAAAAAAGAGUCAAUAACCACUACUUCAGAUUCACAAGAUACUUAUUCGGAUUCUUUCUUAGAUCAAAAGGUACGAAUCCUUUCUUUAGAGCUUACGCCCAUAACAGUCAUAGGCACGCGAUUGGUGGGGCAAGUAUUAAUACUUUUUUGAAGAUUUUUUUUAUUUGUUUUAUUAGUUAAAAUGUUUUUAUACUUGCCCCCCCCACUGCUUAGAGUAAACCCGUAUGUGAAAAUUCUAUCCUCCACCGCAUUAGACCUAUCGGUAUAAGAAAGCAUCCAAAUGUGUAUAAUGUGAAAGCUAUGAUGUGAUGUACAACUCUUAUGAGCAGAUAAGUUUACCAAGCUUGGAGAAGUUAAUACUCCACUCGCUAGGAUCCUCUCGCCGUGGCUGUGGGCUCGGCCUCGCCAUUGUUGGGCGAGGCAUAUGGCAUAGUGAGCUUCCCAAAAGUUCUUCCGACAAAUUAGCCAACCUCACCCCAAAACAAGACUUGCAAUCACAAGGAACAUCAAUAUUUCGGAAUCUGAAGGUGCUCUCUAUAAAAAAUACAGGGCUAUCAUUUCUCUUUUCGGUGUCUGUGGCUAAAUGUCUUAGGGAAAUUAGAGAGAUUGAAGUGGAGGAUUGUCUGAAUAUGAAUGCGGUGAUUGUUGAUGAAGAAGGAAGAGAUGAUGGGAUAGAUGAUAUUUUAGAGUUCCCAUUAUUGGAGCGACUAUCUAUAAGCCGCUGUCCCACGGAGAAAUUCUUCUCAUAUCCUCAUGGAAAAAAAGAGUCAAUAACCACUACUUCAGAUUCACGAGAUACUUAUUCGGAUUCUUCUUAGAUCAAAAGGUACGAAUCCUUCUUUAGAGCUUACGCCCCAUAACAGUCAUAGGCACGCGAUUGGUGGGGCAAGUAUUAAUACUUUUUUGAAGAUUUUUUUAUUUGUUUUAUUAGUUAAAAUGUUUUUAUAAUUAUAGCUACACUUGUUAGAGUAAGGCCGUUGGUGAAAAUUCUAUCCUCCACCGCAUUAGAUAGAUCGGUAUAAGAUUACGCCAAAUUGUAAAAAAUUUCAUAGCUAUGAUCUGAUGUACAACUCUUAUGAGCAGAUAAGUUUACCAAGCUUGGAGAAGUUAAUACUCCACUCGCUAGGAUCCUCUCGCCGUGGCUGUGGGCUCGGCCUCGCCAUUGUUGGGCGAGGCAUAUGGCAUAGUGAGCUUCCCAAAAGUUCUUCUGACAAAUUAGCCAACCUCACCUCGAAACAAGAUUUGCAAUCACAGGGAACAUCAAUAUUUCGGAAUCUGAAGGUGGUCUCUAUAAAAAAUACAGGGCUGUUAUUUCUCUUUUCGGUGUCUGUGGCUAAAUGUCUUAGGGAAAUUAGAGAGAUUGAAGUGAAGGAUUGUCCGAAUAUGAAUGCGGUGAUUGUUGAUGAAGAAGGAAGAGAUGAUGGGAUAGAUGAUAUUAUAGAGUUCCCAUUAUUGGAGCAACUAUCUAUAAGCCGUUGUCCCACGGAGAAAUUCUUCUUAUAUCCUCAUGGAAAAAAAGAGUCAAUAACCACUACUUCAGAUUCACAAGAUACUUAUUCGGAUUCCUUCUUUGAUCAAAAGGUAUGAAUCCUUUCUUUAGAGCUUAUGCCCAUAAUAGUCAUAGGCACGCGAUUGGUGGGGCAAGUAUUAAUAUUUUUUUGAAGAUUUUUUUAUUUGGUUUAUUAGUUAAAAUGUUUUUAUAAUUUAUAUCUAUACUUGUUAGAGUAAGGCCAUUGGUGAAAAUUCUAUCCUCCAUCACAUUAGAUAGAUCGGUAUAAGAUUAGGCCAAAUUGUAAAAAUUUUCAUAGCUAUGAUAUGAUGUACAACUCUUAUGAGCAGAUAAGUUUACCAAGCUUGGAGAAGUUAGUACUCCACUCGCUAGGAUCCUCUCGCCAUGGCUGUGGGCUCGGCCUCGCCAUUGUUGGGCGAGGCAUAUGGCACAGUGAGCUUCCCAAAAGUUCCUCCGACAAAUUAGCCAACCUCACCCCGAAACAAGAUUUGCAUCACAAGGAAUAUCAAUAAUUCGNNNNNNNNNNNNNNNNNNNNNNNNNNNNNNNNNNNNNNNNNNNNNNNNNNNNNNNNNNNNNNNNNNNNNNNNNNNNNNNNNNNNNNNNNNNNNNNNNNNNNNNNNNNNNNNNNNNNNNNNNNNNNNNNNNNNNNNNNNNNNNNNNNNNNNNNNNNNNNNNNNNNNNNNNNNNNNNNNNNNNNNNNNNNNNNNNNNNNNNNNNNNNNNNNNNNNNNNNNNNNNNNNNNNNNNNNNNNNNNNNNNNNNNNNNNNNNNNNNNNNNNNNNNNNNNNNNNNNNNNNNNNNNNNNNNNNNNNNNNNNNNNNNNNNNNNNNNNNNNNNNNNNNNNNNNNNNNNNNNNNNNNNNNNNNNNNNNNNNNNNNNNNNNNNNNNNNNNNNNNNNNNNNNNNNNNNNNNNNNNNNNNNNNNNNNNNNNNNNNNNNNNNNNNNNNNNNNNNNNNNNNNNNNNNNNNNNNNNNNNNNNNNNNNNNNNNNNNNNNNNNNNNNNNNNNNNNNNNNNNNNNNNNNNNNNNNNNNNNNNNNNNNNNNNNNNNNNNNNNNNNNNNNNNNNNNNNNNNNNNNNNNNNNNNNNNNNNNNNNNNNNNNNNNNNNNNNNNNNNNNNNNNNNNNNNNNNNNNNNNNNNNNNNNNNNNNNNNNNNNNNNNNNNNNNNNNNNNNNNNNNNNNNNNNNNNNNNNNNNNNNNNNNNNNNNNNNNNNNNNNNNNNNNNNNNNNNNNNNNNNNNNNNNNNNNNNNNNNNNNNNNNNNNNNNNNNNNNNNNNNNNNNNNNNNNNNNNNNNNNNNNNNNNNNNNNNNNNNNNNNNNNNNNNNNNNNNNNNNNNNNNNNNNNNNNNNNNNNNNNNNNNNNNNNNNNNNNNNNNNNNNNNNNNNNNNNNNNNNNNNNNNNNNNNNNNNNNNNNNNNNNNNNNNNNNNNNNNNNNNNNNNNNNNNNNNNNNNNNNNNNNNNNNNNNNNNNNNNNNNNNNNNNNNNNNNNNNNNNNNNNNNNNNNNNNNNNNNNNNNNNNNNNNNNNNNNNNNNNNNNNNNNNNNNNNNNNNNNNNNNNNNNNNNNNNNNNNNNNNNNNNNNNNNNNNNNNNNNNNNNNNNNNNNNNNNNNNNNNNNNNNNNNNNNNNNNNNNNNNNNNNNNNNNNNNNNNNNNNNNNNNNNNNNNNNNNNNNNNNNNNNNNNNNNNNNNNNNNNNNNNNNNNNNNNNNNNNNNNNNNNNNNNNNNNNNNNNNNNNNNNNNNNNNNNNNNNNNNNNNNNNNNNNNNNNNNNNNNNNNNNNNNNNNNNNNNNNNNNNNNNNNNNNNNNNNNNNNNNNNNNNNNNNNNNNNNNNNNNNNNNNNNNNNNNNNNNNNNNNNNNNNNNNNNNNNNNNNNNNNNNNNNNNNNNNNNNNNNNNNNNNNNNNNNNNNNNNNNNNNNNNNNNNNNNNNNNNNNNNNNNNNNNNNNNNNNNNNNNNNNNNNNNNNNNNNNNNNNNNNNNNNNNNNNNNNNNNNNNNNNNNNNNNNNNNNNNNNNNNNNNNNNNNNNNNNNNNNNNNNNNNNNNNNNNNNNNNNNNNNNNNNNNNNNNNNNNNNNNNNNNNNNNNNNNNNNNNNNNNNNNNNNNNNNNNNNNNNNNNNNNNNNNNNNNNNNNNNNNNNNNNNNNNNNNNNNNNNNNNNNNNNNNNNNNNNNNNNNNNNNNNNNNNNNNNNNNNNNNNNNNNNNNNNNNNNNNNNNNNNNNNNNNNNNNNNNNNNNNNNNNNNNNNNNNNNNNNNNNNNNNNNNNNNNNNNNNNNNNNNNNNNNNNNNNNNNNNNNNNNNNNNNNNNNNNNNNNNNNNNNNNNNNNNNNNNNNNNNNNNNNNNNNNNNNNNNNNNNNNNNNNNNNNNNNNNNNNNNNNNNNNNNNNNNNNNNNNNNNNNNNNNNNNNNNNNNNNNNNNNNNNNNNNNNNNNNNNNNNNNNNNNNNNNNNNNNNNNNNNNNNNNNNNNNNNNNNNNNNNNNNNNNNNNNNNNNNNNNNNNNNNNNNNNNNNNNNNNNNNNNNNNNNNNNNNNNNNNNNNNNNNNNNNNNNNNNNNNNNNNNNNNNNNNNNNNNNNNNNNNNNNNNNNNNNNNNNNNNNNNNNNNNNNNNNNNNNNNNNNNNNNNNNNNNNNNNNNNNNNNNNNNNNNNNNNNNNNNNNNNNNNNNNNNNNNNNNNNNNNNNNNNNNNNNNNNNNNNNNNNNNNNNNNNNNNNNNNNNNNNNNNNNNNNNNNNNNNNNNNNNNNNNNNNNNNNNNNNNNNNNNNNNNNNNNNNNNNNNNNNNNNNNNNNNNNNNNNNNNNNNNNNNNNNNNNNNNNNNNNNNNNNNNNNNNNNNNNNNNNNNNNNNNNNNNNNNNNNNNNNNNNNNNNNNNNNNNNNNNNNNNNNNNNNNNNNNNNNNNNNNNNNNNNNNNNNNNNNNNNNNNNNNNNNNNNNNNNNNNNNNNNNNNNNNNNNNNNNNNNNNNNNNNNNNNNNNNNNNNNNNNNNNNNNNNNNNNNNNNNNNNNNNNNNNNNNNNNNNNNNNNNNNNNNNNNNNNNNNNNNNNNNNNNNNNNNNNNNNNNNNNNNNNNNNNNNNNNNNNNNNNNNNNNNNNNNNNNNNNNNNNNNNNNNNNNNNNNNNNNNNNNNNNNNNNNNNNNNNNNNNNNNNNNNNNNNNNNNNNNNNNNNNNNNNNNNNNNNNNNNNNNNNNNNNNNNNNNNNNNNNNNNNNNNNNNNNNNNNNNNNNNNNNNNNNNNNNNNNNNNNNNNNNNNNNNNNNNNNNNNNNNNNNNNNNNNNNNNNNNNNNNNNNNNNNNNNNNNNNNNNNNNNNNNNNNNNNNNNNNNNNNNNNNNNNNNNNNNNNNNNNNNNNNNNNNNNNNNNNNNNNNNNNNNNNNNNNNNNNNNNNNNNNNNNNNNNNNNNNNNNNNNNNNNNNNNNNNNNNNNNNNNNNNNNNNNNNNNNNNNNNNNNNNNNNNNNNNNNNNNNNNNNNNNNNNNNNNNNNNNNNNNNNNNNNNNNNNNNNNNNNNNNNNNNNNNNNNNNNNNNNNNNNNNNNNNNNNNNNNNNNNNNNNNNNNNNNNNNNNNNNNNNNNNNNNNNNNNNNNNNNNNNNNNNNNNNNNNNNNNNNNNNNNNNNNNNNNNNNNNNNNNNNNNNNNNNNNNNNNNNNNNNNNNNNNNNNNNNNNNNNNNNNNNNNNNNNNNNNNNNNNNNNNNNNNNNNNNNNNNNNNNNNNNNNNNNNNNNNNNNNNNNNNNNNNNNNNNNNNNNNNNNNNNNNNNNNNNNNNNNNNNNNNNNNNNNNNNNNNNNNNNNNNNNNNNNNNNNNNNNNNNNNNNNNNNNNNNNNNNNNNNNNNNNNNNNNNNNNNNNNNNNNNNNNNNNNNNNNNNNNNNNNNNNNNNNNNNNNNNNNNNNNNNNNNNNNNNNNNNNNNNNNNNNNNNNNNNNNNNNNNNNNNNNNNNNNNNNNNNNNNNNNNNNNNNNNNNNNNNNNNNNNNNNNNNNNNNNNNNNNNNNNNNNNNNNNNNNNNNNNNNNNNNNNNNNNNNNNNNNNNNNNNNNNNNNNNNNNNNNNNNNNNNNNNNNNNNNNNNNNNNNNNNNNNNNNNNNNNNNNNNNNNNNNNNNNNNNNNNNNNNNNNNNNNNNNNNNNNNNNNNNNNNNNNNNNNNNNNNNNNNNNNNNNNNNNNNNNNNNNNNNNNNNNNNNNNNNNNNNNNNNNNNNNNNNNNNNNNNNNNNNNNNNNNNNNNNNNNNNNNNNNNNNNNNNNNNNNNNNNNNNNNNNNNNNNNNNNNNNNNNNNNNNNNNNNNNNNNNNNNNNNNNNNNNNNNNNNNNNNNNNNNNNNNNNNNNNNNNNNNNNNNNNNNNNNNNNNNNNNNNNNNNNNNNNNNNNNNNNNNNNNNNNNNCUUGUCAUUUUUUUAGUCACUAGAGUCUCUAUCUAAAUCAUGAUCAUGCAUGUCAUUCUACUACUCGUAUUUCUCAAUUUUCAGUAGUUCAAAUUACCUCAAUACCAUGAGCCACAUUGCUUUAGAAUCGAAUGUGACUAAUUUACAUAUCCGAUCAUGUUGUAAUCGUAUGAGGAAGAGUGGUGGGCAAUCUGAGGAUUUUGCCGCCCACCUGAGGAAAUGUUUCGAAACUGGCCAAAGGACUGACUUUACCUUCUUUGCUCAGAUGGAUCGGACAUUGCAUCAGGUGGCCUCUCAGUUCCUUGGGACUAUGUUGGCCCUCAUCCGCAUAAGCCCUCCAGUUCCGUUUGGCUAUUUUGUUCGCUCUCUUCAUGCGUUCAGUGGUUUGUGGCUCCUAGGAGCUGUCCUCUAAAUCUCCCAAGUACUCCACCCAAAGCGACAUCCUAUUACCAUAAGCCUGCACAGCAUCAUUAAAACAUUAUUAGUCACAAGCUUAAGUUUUUGAUAAAUGUCGAUGCACUCACUGGGUGUUCAGCUAGUACCUGCUAUUAAAUAGCUGUAACCACAUGGAAAUAUGACGUACUUGAACUUCAUACACAACUCCAUAGUUGUGCCCUUUGAAUCCAAAAUCAGUGGUAUUAGCUAAUGCGCAAUUCUCAGUGGGACCCACAUGCACUCUACAUCACGCGGCCCUUUGCAGAAUUCUCUGCCUCUCUUCCUGUCUCUCUACAUCUAAUGAACUGAGUCGCUUCCCUUUCAGCUCAGGCUUGGCGCGCUCUGCAGCAGGGAGGGCAAAACAGAAACAGAGUACCUUCCAACACGGAAAAGGAGCUCAGCAAAUACUCUCUAGCCCUCGGUUAUUCCUUUGAUCUUCAUUCCCUCUUCAUUGUCCUCUCUGUCACCCUCCAUCCACCAACAGCCGCUGCCACACCUCCAUUGCUGGCCACCACAGGACAUGUCACGCUGAGAAGGGGCAAGAACAAACAGCGAUGAUUAGAGGAACUGGGUGAUUUUUUAGCAUUUAUAAGGCUGACAAGAACAGAGGGCGAGUUUAAAUUGACACCGUAGACUGAUGCUUCAACGAGGAUUAUCACCGUAGACAAAUGAUGUGGACAAACAUGAAGAGAUUGUUCAGAUGGAGCAUGUUCUUUUUACUGAAGGCAACGGGAAAGAUAAAGUUGGAUUUUUGAUUUGGAUCCCUCUUCCUUGGUGGCUCUUAUACCAUGGAAAUAUUUCUAUGAUUUGCAAGCGAGAGGGAGAGAGAGAAUCAACAAAUACUACACCUUUACUCAAUAGCCAAAUAAAAGAGUAUAUAGUAGCUCCACUUAUAAAGAUUGAGAGACAUUAACAAAGCUCCGAUUACCUUAUUUGUGACCACCUGCUAAUUGCCGACUAAUAUUCAUAAUUGUACUUCAACACAAAUCACAAUUGGAGCAAAUACUUGACAGUGUUUUUGCAUGUUUUUCCAAGAUGUUACUGCGUCACUUUCAAAGAAGUAUACAAAACUGCACAAAGAGGGAAUACGGAAUUCAUACUUCAAGUGGAGAGUUGUGGCAGCCUAGGCUUUUUUUGCAGUCUACCGGUCUCUUGUCUUUUAUCACUUUGUCACAGCUUCUAGUUCUACUGGUCUAAAUUCAUGGGGAAAAACGUUCGGCCUCUGGGAUGUCAGCACGAUGGUAUUUGCCUGUGUUGUCACUAUCAACUUACGCCUUCUUUUGAUGUGUAAUACAAUUAAAUUAUGGCAUCAUAUUGCUGUCAGUAGGUUGUCAAUGGGUCCUGAACGGAAGGAAAUUUUGUUAAUACAAUUACAGAUAUGUUUCUUAAUACUGUAAAAUGAAGUUUUUAGACUGUUCGAGUUUCUCCAUUAUUGUGAGAAUCACAAGCAUACGAUCUUUAGGAUUCUCCCUUCCAAAAGUCGUACCCAUCCCUAAACGGAAGGAAAGGGAGGGAUAUGAUGAUAACAGACUUCUGGACUCCUUCCAGACGCCAAGAGUAUCGCACGUUCCAGAGCAGUAGGAAAGCAGCUUACAUUAAUUCUGUUCGUGCAUUUAUGGGCUAGUUCUAGCCCAACCGCGAAGUCCUAAAUGCUUUUCUGGAAACGUUUUCUUAUAUCUUCCUGUUCAUUGUUUCUUGUCAAAGCUUGCUUCACAAAGGAGGCUCGCCUUUUAUUCCCAGACACGCUGCUCAUUUCUUGCAUUGUGACUGCUUAUAUGGCAGCAAUAAGGAGUUCCUUUGCCUGUUCAUUAAUUCUCUGGUCGCAUUUUCUCUGGUUGAGUGGGAGAUGUGUUAACAGUUACGUUAUUUUAGGUGCUACUCUGGGAGCCAUCGCUGGCUGAAUCCCGAAGUUGUUUGAGGAUGACAAACUGACCAUGCCUCUGUCGAAAAAGUCGGGUGGUUUAUUAGGAAUUGCUAAAAGUGUGAUCGUUGAAAGCACCUCAUUAGUUGAAGAAGGAACAUUUUCUCAGAGUUUUAUAACUGAUUCUAACCGUGUCUUAUGAUCCCCUUCCAACACAGAAGUAAUUAUGGACUUGGCUCGGUCCUUGCAUAAGUACCAGCGGCUCUGUACUCGAUCAUUCAGUCUUAUGCAGGGGAAAGGCAGAGGAUAUCUGUUGGAGCAGUAUCCUAUUCUAUUCUGGAAGCAAAAGCCGUUGCAAGAAUCGCAUAUAAUCACCUUAACGAUGGACGAAAUAUCUCACGAGGAGCUGAUGAACUUGGCCAAGUUUCUGAGACACUUGACUGCUGGGAUUCGUCCAACCGCUCUUCAUUACCAUCGCCGUCAUCAUCAUUCUCAAAAACCAGCUAUAUCCCGUGCUUUUUCAGCGAGAGCCCAGGAAGGUAUGGUGGGUCUCGCAGGACUAUAUCUAUUCUUGUCUCCUUUGAACAGCAGCUCUGUACUUGCUUUUUCAGCAAGGCUUCUCAGGCUUGAAUUCUGGAUAUCUAAUCUGGUAAAGCUGGUCUUCGCUUGUGUCAUUUAAUGUCUGACGUGCAUCGGAUCUUCAAGCCUGAGAAGCCAUCCUUUAAUGUCCUCGAUUGCUGGUAGCGGAAUGUUUGCCCGGUUUGCACUGUCCAUAGAGACAACAGCGAAAAUCAUUCCCUCUAACCUCGCAGUUCUUUGGAGCAGCAAAAUGAGGGACUUCCAGACAAAACCAUCCAGGAAUCUCACUCCCAGGGACACUCGAGUUGUGCAAAUGCUUUAGAGCAACCUGAAAUUUCUUCUGCUAAAACACAUUUAAGGUCAAACUUUUUGCAUUCACGAUUGAAGAUACUGAACAAAGGUGGAGAAACGGAACUGAUGAGUAGUUUUCCCAAAAUGGGAGUUAUGAGUGAUCUUUUUCACUUUUUCAAUUCUUCUCUCCCAAGAGUAAAAGCCUCAGAGAUUUCAAUACCCGGAGACCAGUGAUGUCAACUAGAUUGCUGCAAUCAGUAAAGUUUAGCUCCUCCAAAUCAGUAGAAUUCAGAUGAAAGGCGCAAAUUUGAAAUUGAUUAACCUCCACGCGGGAUAGUUCUGGGGGAUGAUGGCGCCACGACGGCACCGAGUAGUCGAUCACCUCCGGAAGGCCCGGCGCUAUCUCCUCCCCUCACUCGAGGCCUUCUUCAUCGAGCCAGAGCCACGGCACGCUGCUGAGCACGUGCUCGUGGUAGAGGUGAUCCAUGAUGCCGUGGCGGGGGGGUGUCGGCACCGUGGGAGCUGAGGAAGACGUCGCAGAGGAAGCGAGAUAAGAACAUAGCAUCUUCCUCUUCGGGAUCUUUUGUCAGCAUCGUCGUCUUCGGCUUCUUGAUCGGCCUUAUGAAGGAGUCGCCAGUCUUUUGAAGGUGGUCAAUGCAGAGAUUGGGGCGCCACUUAACAAUGAGCAAAGAGCAACGAGCACCUUGCCGACGGAUUCGUGUUCCCUUUGAAAAGAGCGAUUUCCACAGCAUGGGAAAUGUGCUGUCUUAAUUUUUAAUUGACGAAUCAUGGCAUUCUCAUUAGUUAGGAUAAAUUAUCCAAAAAAUUUAAAAUUUAUUGUACGGGAAUCAAUCUAAUUUUAAGUUUAUGUAUUAAUUUAGUAUUAAGCAGUCAUAAAUAUUUCAAAUGUGUCAAUUUAAUCCUAAAUUUUUUUAAAAAUUAUAAAUGUAGUCCUUUCAGGUAAUUUUAGUUGGAAAUCUCUGACGUAGCAUUCUAGUCAAUACUAGACAUUCUAUGUGAAAGGCUCAUAUGAAUGUGGAAAAUUGUGUUUAAUUUUAAAAGAAAAAACAAUUUUUAUUUUUUUUUAUUUUUCUUAUCUUAUCUUUCUUUUUAUUUUAUUGUUUUCUUCACAAGGCCGGCAAGUCCACCGGUCACUGGCCGAGGGCCAGCAGCCCUACCACCCCUGUAAAGAAAAAAAAAGAUGGUAAAGAAAAUUAAAAAUUUUAAGAAAUUAAAAAAAUUCUUAGUAGUCAUGAUGGAUAGUUUAUGCCAUGACAUAGCAACAUGUGUCCUCGAUACGUAACCAAAAUUAUCACCACCACAAGGAUGUUCAUAUCUACUGCAGUUAAAUGUAGGAUAACAAGUGUUGUCAAUUUAGCUUUGAGUUGGUUUCGAUUUCAAUCCUUUAGACUAAAAUUAAUUAGACCUUGAGGCCGCACGCCUUGCACGUGCUGGUGUCGGAGAACGUCAGCACCUCCCUGCACCGACGUCUUCUUCUCCCUUGGGUCGCAGCCCCCGAACCUCUCUUGCCUCUGCAAGAUGACCUCUCUGGUCUUGAUCUGCACAUGAUUUGCUCGUUUGCGUGUAAAAAAUGUGUGAUUCAGGAUCGAAAAAUUAUUGAAGAAAUCUUUCUUUCCGUAUAAAUUUAUAGUGGAUUGGCCACCAAAAUCACAAACUCGAUUGCUUCAUGAUCCGACGGAAGCAAUCGAAGUGAUGAAUUACCUCACGACAACCGUCGCGGGUGGAAGAAGGAGAUCGAGGAGAUUGCCAAACUGGGAAAGCCCAUGUUCCUCCUCUUAUCUCUCUCUCUCUCUUGCAAUUGAUUGAGGCUGAAACCGUUUGAGUUUGAGGGAUAGUAUCAUGAUUUCGAGUUUGACGAAGGUUGAAUGUGAGUUGGAAUCGGACAUAACGAGGAUUUCUUAUCAAGGUAAACUUCGCAUGCUCUAUCUCUGCUGGAGGUGGGGACCGAGUGCUUGAUUCUGCAAGCGUGAAAUCUGGUUGAGCCCGAGAUUGUGCUAAUGAACUCAUACACGUUUCAAUGAUUCGGUGAUUGUUUGGAUGCGCACCUUUUCCUUAUCAUUGCAUUUAGGUGCCCCUACCGAAACGCUUACCCCAUGUUUGAUUGAAUUCCUAAACGGUAUUAGCAUGUGUAUUUCGCAAGCAUUCUUGCAUCGUGAUGGUUAUCUAGCAAUGGCGUGCUUAAACUGAGAGUUCUCCAGUUUAUGUGGCAUUAUUUUCCUUGAUGUUGGUUGAACUUCUAAAGUUGUGCUCAAUGCUCCCACAACUGAGAAUUUGAACAUGCCAUGUCGGCUUAAUUUACUAGCAAUUAUGUUAUCUAUAUCGAUCUAUGAUGUUUGUACGUGGCUAUUCUAACAUUCAAGACAAUUACCAUCCUUGUACUGGAAAUGGUGAAAUCCUUCUUCGAAAUGUGCAUCAUGUGUUGUGUACUUCAGUAAAUUCCUGUCCGGACUUCAUCCUUUGUUUGAUCUCGAAAGUAAUUGAUUUUGUAUGCUUGGAUGAUUAUGCCUUGCAUUCUGGAUCCGUUCAUUGAUACCUCAAUACCUUCUAUAUGUUAAUAAUAUUUGAUUCAUUUUUUUUAGGCGAAUGCAUGGCCUCUACCUGUUUGAUUUUCUUCGUUGACUGAAGAUUCUGAAGUUCAUUCCUUGAUGUCAAAACUGACAUUCGAUGGCCGAGUGCAUAGUGAGCUUUCUAUGCCAUGAUCGAAUGCUUUGCUUGAUUCUUUGUCCAUUUUGCAUUUGUAUACAAGUGCAGUUGUUGCUGAAUGAGUCUCAACUAUGAGAAUUGACUGUAGAACGCGGCUCAAUGCUAUUUUCCUGUGUUUAUGGGUAGACAGGCAUGCGGCAUGCUGAAAAACGACAAACAGAGCUUAAGAAAACUUGCUUCCGCGGGUGGCUUCCCAACUUGAAGGCACAUUAUCGUCUCGGCAGGGAGGAAAGGAGGACAGCCAAGGUCAUCUGCGCACUCUACUCGUGGAUUAAAAUAAUAAUCUAUUUCUUCUAAAGAUAAUUUUCUAGUUCACCACAUGCAAGACGACAUUUUAAAGCUUUGCCUUCCAAGGGCGUCCGAUUUGUUAGACCUCAACGAUUUUCUCUGGCAAAUCUAUUGCUGUUGGUAGUUUUUUUCAUAUAGUUAGUGAAAUCUUAAAUAGAGCAGUAACUUGAGAUAAAUGAAAUAACUUGUACUCGGCAUCCGCAAAUUUUAUUGUUCACCUUUAGUUUUCUCUAAAUACGUUGUUGAUUUCAGUACAAAUCUGGAUUCCCUAUUCAAUUUUUCACCUAUACUUUCAAUUUGCUUGGAAUUUUAGUUUCCUACAUUUCGACUCGAGUUGUUUAUUGUUUUGGAAAAAAAAAUUCAUGUAAUUUCCCGAAAACAAAUACCAAGUGUAGAAAACAGAGGUAAGAGAUGCAAAGGAAAUCUCAGUGAUUGAGGCUGGCUUUCUCUCAAUAACGAAUAAGACUCAAAUGGCUGACUUCAAAAUUUUCAAGUCCGAUUCCAAGGGAAGAAGGGAACUUUGGAGUCAAUUUCACUUGCAUAGCUCUUUUGCAUCAAAGGGAUUGAGUCAACUAAAACGUUCUAUUGACAUCCAAAUUUUUAUCAACGUUCUAAAUAUCCAUUUAUUUCGAAAAAAUAUAAAAAAUUAUAAAAAGAUAAAAAUAAAGGAAAAUAAAGGAAAAUAAAAAAAAGAAUAAUGAAUAAAAAUGGAUCAAAUAAAAUGAAUGAAUGAUGAAAAAUGAAGUCGUGUGGGCCGGCGUGUCUAGCCCACUUGGUUAUUUUCAGCUCACCCCUUAAAAGCGGGCUUCCCAUUCAGAAGGGAAGAACUUAUGUGAGUAUCUCAAUUUCAAUUCAAACAUGGGUUUGGUCCAUUUUCCUUCUUUUCUUUGGCCCACCAGAGCCUAAAAAAGAAGCCCAGCCCAUCACUCUUUCUUCUUGCGCGCGCGCGCGCUCGUGAGAAGAGCGUCUGUGACGCCAGGAGGAGAGAAGGUAAAGUGACGGUCACCGAAGAAAUGCCCGUGAGCGAGUGAUGAGAAAGAACCUAUGAAUCUUAAUCGACAUACUCGCUGCUCAACCCUGCGAAAGCGAGAUAUGUUCGUGCGAGAUAAUGGAACCUGUCGCGUCGUGUUUUGGUUGGAAAAUAGUGUCAAAGCUGAAUCAAAAACUUGCUCUCGUAGCUGCACAACAUGUGUUCGACAAAAUGCUCGAAUGAUGCACCGAAAUCCAUGUUAUCCGAUCGACGUUAAAAGUUUAGUUCGAGGCUUGAUCACGCAUAUGUUGUUGACGCACGUCUGCUUUCUUCGUUCUUUGCUAUGUUUUUGCUUGAUUUCACGGCCCACCUUUUGAUAUUCGUUAAUGGCCAUGCAAAACCGAACUUGGUUUGGCCGUGGCCGGCGAUAGGCAGACGGCGACGGCCGGAGAUGUAAUCUGGUGAUUUUGUGUAGUGGUGUGAGCUCCGGUGUCCGUAGAUGGCAUCUAGUUUAACGGGUUCAAAAAAUGGAGAAGAAGAUGAAGGUUGGGAGUGAAAAAUUGGCUUCGGGGAAGAAGAGGGGAAGAAAAAGAAGUGGUGCAGUAGAAAUGGACUUAAUGAGGAAAAAGACAAAAGAGAAAAAUAUUCAAAAUAUUUUUAAAAAAUUCGUUUUAUAUAUCCGCCGGGUCGGAUCCAGUAGAAGGGUCAGGUCACGGGUCGGAUCGGGUUGACUGUCCAAACCCGUUUCCCGAAUAUAAUAAUAAUAAUAAAUCGAAAAAACUAAAAAUUAAAAAUAUAAAAAAGUAAUUUUUAGAAAAUUCGAAAAUCAAUAAAAAAAAAUUAUAAUUUUAGAAAAUCAUUAAAAAUUUUGAAAAAAUUUGAAAAAUUCAGAAAAAUCACAAAAAUACAGAAAAUACUAGAAAAUCCAAAAAUCAAAGAUCAAAAAUUAGAAAAUUUCUAAAAUAAAGUAAAACCAAAAGUUGACAAGCCUUUAGGGCUUUAAAAUAAGGUUAUUAGUUUUGUGCUGUCUUUUUUAUUUUUUAGGGACGAUAUUAGGAUGCUUGUAUGCCUUCCUUUAUGAUUAUAAUUACACAUUUCAAUAUUUUAGGUGUUACUUUCCUAUUCUAGAAUGGUUAUGACAAAUAUUUGAUUUCUUUUGGAAAGGCUGCUAUGGCGUUUGUUAGCACAUAGUCAAUUUUCCAAAUCUAGAAUCUCUUAUUGCAAAAAGUAAGAUAUUCUCUAGUAUCUUACAUAAUUUCUUGCUGACCAAAAAGGUUAGUGGUGACUUAUUUGUCAAAAUUUAUGUAGGCUUAAUUGAUUUCAAAUAUGAACAUCCACUGUUGCGUGAGGUACGAGCUUAGGAGAGCCCGAGUUAAUGGAAGCUCGUCAACCUGAAGUUGACAAUAUCCCUAGACAUAACUCUCUCCCCUCAAAGGGUUAGGUCGCAACACCUACCAGUAAGUACAAAAUGGCACAAUUUAGAACGAUAAUCAUUGAUGCAUUGCGUCAUUUGAAAGCAGUUUCGCCUAGAUAGCAAACCGAUUGAAUAAGAAGGAAGCAAUAGGAAUGACAUCGGCUGGAGCUUGAAUUCGUGGAAACGAGCAGUGAUGGCAAUGGUCUGCAUUCGGUGUGCCUAAAGGUCUUUCUGGCAUAAACAUUGCUAGCCGAAGACAACGAACUUGACUACGAAUCUCUGUCUACUCCAAGCUCAGAGUCAAGGCAGAGUGAGCAUUCCUUUCUUUGGUCAAAUCAACAACGACGUCCUCGCAAGGUGGAGGAGGAGGAGGAGGAGGAGGGUAAAGAAGGCCAAGUUAGGGGAAAAAGCUGAAAUGUUGCAGUGAUGGGACUGAUGGGUCUGGGCCGCAGAUUAAAUCAGUGGGUUUGCUCUUGUGGGCAGCACCAAUUGGACCAACUUGGCCUUUUUUAUUUUUUUAUUUAUUUUUAUCUUUUAAUUAUACUCUUCUUCUUUUUUUUUUUGGUUCUUUUUACUACCAUUCAUUGUUUUUAUGCUUUUUUUUUUAGAAAAGUGUAUGCUCAAUUUGUCUACAAAAAUUUAGGGGUUGACAGCUUUAAAAAUAUUUACCUAAUAUUCGAAGAAGAAUAUCAUGCUGUCACAAACAAACAACAAGACAUUUUAUGUGUCGUUGCGUCCAAUCUUAACUUACCAAAGGUAGAGUAGUUUCUUGAUCGAUGGAAGAAAGGGGCCAAAAAUAUGGGACAAUCCAAUCAAAUGGAAUCAGGUAUGUGUUGAUGAAAUAUUGACUCAAUGACUUCAUUUAUGACUCGGAUUCAUAUGGACCCAAUUUGAUCUCGCCCAUUUGGUGGGUUGAAGUCCAAAAAAUCAGUGGAAGAUUAAAUAAAGAUUGGUACAAUGCAAGAGAAAGAGAUGGCUUUUUAUAGUGAAAGAUGAUUCUUUUGUGUUUUAUUUUUCCUAUUCAAGGAUUCUUUUCCAAUUUAUUUAAAGGUUCUCAAAGUGAAGAAAUGAUUAAACAUGGCAAAGAGUCGAUAAAGAAGCAAAAGAAAAGAAUAAAUAUGUUGAGAAUAACAUAGGUUUAAAUAAAACUAACGUUUAUAAAGUUUCACCUAAAAAAACCGACCAAGUGAUUGGUCAAGUGGUCCAAGACUUGAUUUGCAAGUCAAAGGUAGCGAGUUUAAUUUCCCAAUCUAUUAUCCAUUUUGGGAUAAUUAUGCGAAUAACUUGACGGAAUUAAUUUGAACAAUAUCUUGUGGCCAACACAUUCACCCGUUUGGGGUCAAAGAUUGUUGUGGGUUGGAGAAACUCCAAAUAGAAUUUCUAGCAAAAACAUUUGAGUCGCCGUUGAUGCCCCCUUGAUGAAGGGCUAUGACUCCACUUUGACGAAUUCCCACUUCCACCAUGAAGUCAAGACAAUUUCCUUCAUGCGCAAUGGCAUAAUCAACAACAAUCUUUUUCGACAAUAACAAUAAUAAUAAUAGACAAUUUUGUCUCCAUACUGGAAAAAACGCAAAUAUAUGGUGGAGUAGUUGUCACUGAGCAUUUGACCCUUGAGAUUUCAUUUGCUUCCAAUUAUAUAAACACAAAAUCUUUUUCUUCUCUCGAAUAAGUAUAAACUUUAUUUGGUAUUUCAGCACAUGAAGUUACAAUCGAUGUGAAAUUGCAACAAUCAAGUCAUAAAUAUAAAUAAAAUGUUGAUGAUAAGCUUUUAUAGAGGAUGAUAGUGUGAGACAGUUGAAUAAAACAUGUAUUUUGUAGGUAUUGUGGCUCGAAGGCAAUUUUAGUACAAAGAAAUGGUGUAGUGCCUUCCUUGUUUUUAAUUAGCGGAGCAUAGGAUUUGGGAGGCUUUUUUUUUUUUUUCAAAAAAUAAUUUUAGAUUCUUUGAGGUCAAGCAUAAUGAAGGACUCUUUUUUUUUUAGUGAUCAUGUAGAUGUUGAAAAUGAUCGGAUGACACACUGUACAACCUAUGCGCAUUGAAGACGGGCCAAGAGAUGCAAACGAUCUACAUUAUAGUAACUCAACCUUUUGCCUAUUAUCUCCAAUAAUCCAUCUGUUGGUAGUGAAGGUGGAUUUCAAUGGUACAAUUCACAUUUGAUAGAGUGAGCUUGUCAUGUUCCUCUAUAGAAAGAAUAGGAAAACAUGAUACUUUGGCCUUCCAUCACCGUAGAACAUCGACAUUGUCUUCCUCAAAUUUUUUAAAUGUAGUUCCCAUCAUCCUUGCCGAGAUAUUCAUUCACCUCACCAGCAAUCGGCAUCCAAGUGCUCGAGGCCUGCUCUUCUUUUUUGGGGCACAUGUGGCCCAAGAGCACGGGUCUGAAGUGGCACGAGCCAUUGGCCAUCCUAGCUAAAAAUCUAUCUGGGCUCAUGCACAGAUAUUAGAACAUUUUCUGAUAGUCGAGGAUCCUUCACUCAAAAAAGCGUUGCCAACACCUUCAUAGGUAUUUUUGGAGCUCCAAUCCAUCUCAUUCGAACAUCAAAUCACAUUUCCCAUCUUGCAUUCACUUUAUGUCCCUCCUUCACUGUCUCCUGUCUUUCACCGAAAGUAGUACCGGCAGCCUCGCAAAUAAUUUCGGAACCUCAGCCCCAUCAGACAUCUGUAAAAUUUCCCGUCUCGCAGUCACUCUGUGUCCUUUCUAUCGUUCACCGAAAAUUGAUGGUGACAGCUUCGUUGACGUUGUAGGAGCCUCGACCAAUCUUAUUGAGACAUCUAUCCACAAUUCGCAUCUGCCCAUUCAAUCCGUGUCCUCCGUCUUUUAUCCUUCACGGUAAUUUACACAUCUGUCACGUGUCCCAUCGCGAAACGAACGCGAGCCCAGAAGAUGCAAUAUGUUAUGGGCUUACUGAACUCGUCUUUUAAGGAAAGAACUCAUUUUGCAUUUCCCCUCGCUUUUCUCCCGACUUUCUGGAGGAAAAUAUCUUAUGGCCCCCCACAGGAAAAUCUUUCUCAACAGUUCUCUCCAUAUUCUUUUUUUUUUUUUUUGUCAGUCCUACUCUAUUCCUAUUCUACACUCACUCUCAGACUUUUGCCCUGCCUCUUGCAGGGCGUGGGAGUCGAAACCCACUCCUGAAACUUACACGUCCCCACCCCAUCCCUCCUGAGAAAGUGGAGAUUUGAACCCAUCACAUCCCCCUUCCAACAUGGAAGGGUGGCCACUGGGGCUCGUAUUCCUUGAAUCUUUAUUUUCCUCGCUUCUUUUCCCCUAAUUCCUGAAACCCGCUUCAUUCUACGGAAUGGCUCCAUCCGGAUUUAAUAAAACAGGUCUUGCUCUCAAAAGAAAAAUCAUGAUAGCAAACAUUUGGAGUGGCUCCUUGUCCAUAAACAUCAUCUUUCGUUUGAUGAGAAACUUGAAAUGUAAGAAUUCUCCUACAAGUGUUGAUGUCCUCGUUAAUAAUAAUGUGUCGACUUGACUACUAUAGUUGCAUGAAUAGACAUUCCUCAAAUAAAUGUCAAUAACAUUGGUAAGCUUCUAAAUUCAUCCACAAGUUUUUUCAACUUGGCAUUAUAGCAAAUCGUUUUUCUCUGGUCCAUCAAGCUAUGCUAAGAAUGAAGUAGAGAUGAGACGUGGAUGGUUUGCGCAAAGAAAAAAGUGGAUGAACAAGACAACAUCUUCGUCCUCAGCAAUGGUGCAUAGAGAUAUUUUGCAGAGGAGCGAGAGGUUCUUUUAAGUUCUUCUGUUGAUCGAUAUCUUGCAAUUAAUUAUCUUAUGUUAUCUGUUUUUAAAUAUUGAAAUUGAAUGUCAUGGCUACAUAUGGAUUAUGUACCUUUUUAACUAGAGAUUUUUGUUAGGUCCAUAGUUGAUAGAAUAACAACUCCAAUUGUGACACUAAAACAAUUAUACGUGCAUCAUGAUUAUUUGAUUAUGUCGAGUUAUUUAAAUUUUUUGGUCAUAUUUUUAAGUAUGUUUUCCCAUCGUUUAAAGCAGUUUUUGUUUUGGGUGAUCAAUUGAAUAUGUUUUUUUUUUUCCAGAAUUAAGAAGUUGCCUUUUUCAGAAUAUUUAUUGUUGUUAUCCGUAAAACAAUUUGUACAAAGUUGGGACCAAAUAUAUAAUCAUAUAUGGCUACGCACAUAUUAAGUCGAAGCUAGAUGGGACAACAUUGAGAGAGAGAGAGAGAGAGAGAGAGAGAGAGAGGAGAGUACAGUGGAGUUGGGUCCCCCGUGAGGUUGAAAAAUGAAAGAAUGCGUAGAGAAGCAAGAAGUGUAGAAGUUUGGGGAGAAAUCUUGUGUUUCUUCAGUUGUAUUCAAUGUACAAAUCUUAGUAAUUAUAAUACAAGAUGUACAUGAAGAAAAGGUAAUGAAAUAUUCUACAAAUCAAUCUAAUAUCUCAAUCUAAUCCCAAUUGAUAUAAUGUAUGAUUAUAAUCAAAUCGGAUUCCUGGCAUAUCUUCCAAAUCUUCAAGCAUAUCUUCCCACAGAAAAGCAAGAAACUUUAAUAACUACAACACGAUCCACAAUGUAUAAAGUCGCACUGUCUAUAUGCAUCACGAGGCUGACAUAACACUAACCUUCAAUAAUUGCAACGUGAUCCACGGCAAAAAAGCAACUUAACUUUAAGCCGUUUAAACUCUUAACCUCGCUUUGUUCUGUCUUUCUCCCUCCUCCUCCUCCUCCUCUGCAUUUUAGAGAGAGAUAUCAGUAGUAGCAUCGGAGGAACGAUUGUGGACAUGUGUGGUCGGUACUUGUUAGGGAAGGAGAGAGACACAAGGAUUUGGAGUUUGUAGAGAAUCAGAAAGAGGGUCAUUGAAUUGUUAACGAGUUGUAGUCAAUCAAUGCAAUCAUCGGGUUUUCUCUAAAAAUAUUAAAGUGAGGUUUUGAGAAAUAAACUAAGAAGCACUGACACUCUCCGGAAGCUUUCGUAUCAUGUCCGACACUCCGACACGUGUCCGACAUGCCCCGACACACUACGACUCACGAUCAACGAGUGUCGGGAAAUUUGACACGUGGUCAACUCUUCCUGACACUCUUCGACACGGGAGUCCAAAAUUCCGACACGCAACUCCGACACGAACAGGGUCAAUUUUAAAAAUUUUCAAUACUUGAGGGGUCAAAAUAUAAAUAUAUGAAAAAAAUAAUGAAAAUAAUAAAAAUAAAGGGGAAAGAAUAAAAUUUUCACUCUUAAGUUUCUCACUUAUAAGUUUUGACAUUCCCGUGAGUGACGAAGGAAGGCCCCUCUUCUCGCCGGUGUUGCUCCAUUGCCCCCAAAGACUUGAAGUUGUGAUUUUUUUUUUUAUUUUUUUUGCUUCUUUCUGCCUCUCAUAGGCGUCACGUGCGAGUUAUCGCUUUUGGUCACAUUUUCCAUGGCAAAUUUACUUGUUUCAUUUUCUUUUGGUUGUACUUUGAGAGUUGUCCUGAAUUUUCAUUUUUUUCAAAUCUUGUUUUGCAGAGGAGCUCCAAGCCAAUCUAUAUCAUGAACUCCGAACUCGGUCUGGAAUUAUAAGAAAUCUCAUUAAUUUCCGACAAGUGUAAGAAAAAGGAUAUGUUCCUUCAAAUUUACUCUUUUGUGUUUGCAAUUUUUGAAUUUCUCAUUCAAUCUCUGUCAAAUUAAAACAAUAAAUGAUAUUAACAAAUGUUGGAUUAAUAUGUUUAGUAUAAAUUAAUUCUAUGCACUUUUUAUUAUUAGUUAUUUAUUUUUGCAUUUAUAUAUAAAAAUAUAUAUUUAAUAUAUAACGUGUCGGAAUAUGUCGGAAUUAUCCAUUUUUUGAGAAAUAACGUGUCGACGUGUUGUGUCGUGUCGCAUGUCACGUGUCUAUGUCGGUAUAAGUGAUGAGUAUAAUUAGUAAUUUCUAUUAAAAGAAUGAAAAGGCGUUUGUCAUGGACCUUCAAUUUCUCUCAAUGGAGUUGUGUAUGUAGCUCAAAGCCUAUGCAUGUUCACAAGAUUGACAAAUUGUUGUCUUUUAAAUAUUAAUGGAGUGCCUAGAAGCAUCCAACAAAUCUCCAUCAAAUGUGGCGCUUCCUCCAUUUCAUACGGAUCGGAUAAUUAUCGAAGAUAAAUAAUUUUUAUUGAUACACCUGUAAUAAAUUUAUUUUUUUAUAUUAUUAUCUUUUGAAAAUGGGCAAGUUGCCACACUUGAUUUUUUCAUCUUGAUUUCUAUUCGAAGUUGAUUUUGGCAGCUUAACAAUCUACACUUGGGAGCCGAGCCCCCGUUCCCUUCUUUUUCUUUAAUUCUUGGGAAGGUUUGGUGAGUAUUUCUUCUAUAUUAUAAACUAUUAAUUAUUUAAAUUUUAACCUUAAUCUCAAAUUAUUCAUGUUUUUUUCGUGUGAAAAUAAAAUUAAAAUGUUGGGAAUGAGAAACUACUUCCAUUAAAGUUCACAUAUUUAAAUGAUGAGGCAUGACCAAUUAAAAUUUAAUGAUAAAAAUUUUGGGUCACUAGCUUGGAAGAAUUUAUGAUUUGAUGGUCGUAGCAUAAUCAGCUUAGAUAUUAAGAUUGAUGGAGAAACCGAGUGCAACUCUCAUGGAUCUUAUCUUCAUUAUGUUUUGUCAAAUAAAUUGGGGGUGCUAUUAGAGACGCAAUGCCUAUCUUCUGGAGGACUGAUGUAGGGGGCUGAACAUUUUCUUGUACUUUUCACAUGUCAAUUGUCGUACCGAGCAUCUAAGUAAAAGAAAGAUGGGACAAUUUGGUGGACAAUUCGGUGGAGUUGGGUCUGUACUUUUCACAUGUACGGAGCAUCUAAGUAAAAGAAAAAGAUGGGACAAUUUGGUGGACAUUUCGGUGGAGUUGGGUCUGUACUUUUCACAUGUACGGAGCAUCUAAGUAAAAGAAAGAUGGACAAUUCGGUGGAGCUGGGUCCCUCGGUGAUUGGCUGAGUAGCCUUUAUGUGCAUGAAGCCGUACUGCCCAUGGGCACCACUAGGUUGACAUAACACGAAACUUUAAUAAUUGCCAAGCGACCGCUGAUGGCCAAGCAGCAACUUCAUCUCCAUCCUGGUUAACUCUUAACAUCACUUUGUUCAAUCUUCCUCCUCCGAUGCGUUUUAGAGAGAGAGAGAGGGAGCACCGUCCGAACUGGCACGGCGCAUUGGCUAUCCUAAUUAAAAUCCAUUCGGGUUCAUGUACCAUUUUCUGAGAGUGGAGGAUCCUCCAUUAAAAAAAAUGUUGCCAGCAGCUUCAUAGACAUUUUUGGAGCUUCAGCCAUCCCAUUCGAACAAUCAUCACAUUUCUCAUCUCGUGUUCACUUUAUGUCCGUCCUUCACAGUCUUCUAUCUUUCACCGAAAGUGUUGCCGACAGCUUCGCAGAUAAUUUCGGACCCUCAACCCAUCAAUUCGGACAUAUUUUCCCAUCUGGCAGUCACUACCAAAAAUUGUGAGUGACAGCUUCGUUAAUGUUUUAUGAGCCUCGACCAAUCUUAUUCAGACAUCUAUCCACAUUUCCCGUCUCCCGAUUCAAUCCGUCUCCUCACUGUCUCCUGUCCUUCACCAUAAUUCAGACAUGCGCCCCCGUCGCAUCUCCAAAUGACCAAGAGUCCAGAAAAUGCAACAUGUUAUGGGCCCACUGAGCUCGUCAUUUGAGGAAAAGAAAGAGCUCCAUUUUGCGUUUCCCGCUAUUUUCUCCCCCCUUUCCGAAGGAAAAUAUCUUGCGGGCCCCCACAGGAAAAUCUUUCUCUAUAUUUCUCUUCAUAUUCUUUGAAUCUUUUAUUUUCCUCACUCUUUUUCACCCAAUUCCUGAAACCCACUUCAUUCUACGGAAUGGCUUCAUUCGAUUCUAUACAUACGGGUCUUGCUCUCAAAAGAAAAAUCAAGGUAGCAAACUUUUGAAGUGGCUCCUCAUCCGUAAAAAACAUCUUUUGUUUGAUGGGAAACUCAAAAUGUAAGACUUCUCCCAUAAGUGAAGAUAACAUCGUUAAUAAUAAUAAUAUGUAUAGACUCGGCUAUAGUUGCAUUAGUAGAUGUUACUCAACAAAAUGUCAAUAAUAUCAGCAAACUUCAACUCAGAUUAUGUCUUGCACUCUGCAUUAAAAAAUGAAGUAUAGACGAGAUGUAGAUGGCUUACAUAGAAAAAAAGUGGAUGAACAAGGCAACGUAUUUAUCCUCAGCAAUGGUGCAUGCAAAUGUUUUACAUAGGAGACAGAGGUUCUUUUCAUUUCUUUCAUUGAUCAAUAUCUUGUAAUUUUUUAUCUUAUAUUAUCUGUUUUUCUAUAUAGAAAUUGAAUAUCAUGGCUACACAUGGAAUAUAUACAUUUUUAACUAGAAAUUUACUUAGGUCCAUAGAAUAACAAAUCCUACUACGAGACUAAAAUAACUUUACAUGCAUGAUGAUUAUUUAAUUAUAUCGGGUUAUUUAAAUUUUUUUGUCAUAUUUAUAAAUAUGUUUUCCCAUUGUUUAAAGCAAUUUUUGUUGUAUAAAGCAGUUUUUGUUUUGGGUGAUCGAUCGAGUGUGUUUUUUUUUUUUUUUUUGGUGAGGAUGAUUGACCCAAUUAAGAGGUUGGUUUCUUUAGAAUAUUUGUCGGUCUUGUCCAUAAAACGAUUUGUACGAAUUUGGGACCAAACGUUUAAUCAUAUAUGGCUUUGCACAAAUUAAGUUGAAGCUAGUGGGACAACGUUUAAAUUGAUAGAGAGAGAGAGAGGAUAGUACGGUGGAGUGGGGUCCCUCGGCGUGGGGUUCAAAAAGCAUGAACUUUAAUAAUUGCAACACGAUCCACAAUGUAUCAAGUCAUACUAUCCAUCUGCAUCACGAGGUUGACAUGACACCCCAGUUAAAUUCUUAACAUCACUUUGCUUUGUCCUCCUCCGUUUUAUAGAGAGAGAGAGAGAGAGAGAGAGAGAGAGAGAGAGAGAGAGAGCAGGGAGCAAUGAUCGUGGAGGUGUGUGCCGUGUGGUCAGUACAUAUUAGGGAAGGAGAGAGACUCCCAAGGAUUUGGAUUUUACAGAGAACCGGAAAGAGGGUCAUUAAAUUGCUAACGAGGUAUGAUAAAUCAAUAGAAUCAGGUCUUCUUUAGAACUAUUAAAGUGAGGUUUUGAGAAAUAAAUGAUGAGCAUAAUUAGCAAUUUCUAUACAAAAGAAAAAUGAAAAGGCGACUUUCAUGGACCUUCAAUUUCUCUCAAUGGAGUUGUGUAUGUAGCUCAAAGCCUAUGCAAGUUCACAAGAUUAAUAGAUUGGUGUUCCUUAGAUAUUAACGGAGUGCCUAGGUCUCUUUGAGCAUCUUGUGAAUCUUCAUCAAAUGUAGCAAUCCCUCGAUUUUAUACACAUGAGAUAAUUACCGAAGACAAACAGUUUUUAUUAAUAUAUUGCUGAUAAUUUAUUUUUUAUAUUACAUUCUUUUGAAAAGGGCCAGUUGUCACAUUUGAUUUUACUAUCUCAGUUUCUAUUUGAUAGUUGGUUUUGGCAACUUAACGGUCUAAAUUUAGGAGUUGAGCCCCGUUCCUUUUAUACGACGGUUACUUGAGUAUCAUAAUUUUUUGUCAAUUAAGUGGGUGUCAUGACUUAAAAAAAUUUUCAUUUAAGUGUCGUGGCCUUCAAUUGCUCAUUUAAAGACUACAACUCCCAUCACAAGUGUCAUGAUGCUAGCACUAUUGGGCAACAUCUUUGAAAAGGUUAUAAUGCUUAAGUGAAUAUUUUUUAGAGGUUUCAAAAUAUUUAAAUGAUCGGAAAAAAUAAAUUUAUGAUACUUAAAUAAGCGUCAUAUGCAGUGACCUUUUUUCAAAAUUAACCUUGUAUAGCUAGGGUAUUACAGACUUCUACCUGCUAUGACAAUACAAUCACGAUAGCACUGCAAGAUGCUUUUGCAUGAAAAUGAUACAAACUUUUAUGAAGAAGAAGGGACGGGAAAAGCGUUUUGGUCAAAAUUGGUGGUCUCCACGUGAUACGACAGUAGAAAGCAUUAUUGCACUCAGCGGACUCUAUCGUUGUGCAACUUUAUCAAAGCUGAUACUUAAAACUGCUCAUGAAACGACUGAAAUUGGAGUGCAGCAUCUGAAUCGGAUUUGGACUCAUAGAGAUUGGGGCCUCGCCGCUGUUGAUAGCUGGAGCUGAGCACGUAUGAAAUGAUUGAGGCCUCGCCGCUGUUGAUAGCUGGAGCUGAGCACGUAUGAAAUGAUUGAUAGACAAUGAUAGUCAUAGACAGCUGGAUAAUUCUCGCAUUCUACCCGCGGUGGGGUCCGAAGGCAAUUUUAGUCCAAAAAGAAAGGGUGCAUCAUCUGAAUCGGAAUCUGGACCAUAGCUCGGUCCCAAGUGGAGAUUGGUGCAUCGCUGCUGCAGUGCUGCUGAUUUCCGGAGCUGAGGUCAGAUGUGUUAAACGAUUAAGCAUUAAUCAAAUGGGAGAAAAUAUUUGAGGUUCCCGACUGCCAAGCCAGCGUAUACCCCGACCAAUGAGGCAGUGACGCGUGGCUCGACGAUGCACUAGCGGCUCACUGGUUUUUCUGCACAAAGUAUAUUAUUUUCCCUUUUCCGCUUAAAAAAUUACAGUCAUUAAUAGAUCUGCUGCCGCUUUUUUCUCUCUCCUCUCUAAUGGAGUUGGCCUGCAUGCAUUAAAGGAGCUUUGUCUCUCGUCAUUUCUUUCCUUCUCACUUCAAAAUUUUGGGUGAGAACUCGCUCUCUGGUCAAAGGACGUUGCUCCUCCGCCUUGCUCUGGCGCCGGGUCAUCUUCGGUCUCUGCCCCAAAGCUCGUUGCUUCUUUGGCCUGCGUCGUUGUGUUCCUUCUCCGCCCUGCUCCGGUGUGGUUUCCCUGCGCAAGACGGCCAGGAAUGUUCUUGCUGUAAGUCGCAGACUUCAAGCGACAAGAAGUUCCAGCUCUCUUCGAUUCGGCUUCGGUUCUGCUACGUUCGCGGCUCGUACCAGUGAGUUGAUUCUUUCCCUGAUUUUUGUACUCUUCUCUUCUUUUCUUUUUCUUUGCUGUUUGUGCCUCUCUUUUUUUUUUUUUAGUUUUAGUUUCUUUUGUUGGUGGGUGAGUGUCCGAUGUUGUGAUUUUUGGGAGGUUGGUUUGUCUAGGCUAGCACUGAGUUUCAGUCCGAGGCGAAACGAAUGUUGGAAGUUUCCGGGAAACCGGGGAGAUUAGCGGAAAACAAAUGCUUAGUAAUAUUGGAGAUGAUGUCGAAGUAUUUCGUUGAAACGAACAGUCGGCACUUGUCUGAUUUUUCAGUUGUUGGCUUUUGUCUUCAAGUAUUUCGGUGUAAGUAAUUCGAUUGGGGAAAAUGGCGGAUAUUGUUCCGCCUCCCUCUUCAUAUAUACAUUCUUUAACUCUCGUUUCUCCGCAGAGAAGAGAAGAAAACCAGAAAGAAUUCAAAAAGGGGGAAAAUGGCGGAAGUCGUUCUUUCCAUAGUGUCAGGGUGCCUGGUGGCUCCGGUCAAUCGUCUUUGCGACUAUCUGAUAUCCUACGAAGGUGACGUUAGCGAACUUGAGGCCAAAGUUGCGGAGUUGGGCAUUGCGAGGCAAAGGGUGAAGGAUUCCAUCAAUUAUGCUCUAAACAACGCGAAGCCUAUCAGAGCCUAUGUCAAUGAAUGGGUGGAAGAUGUAGAGAAGGACACUGAUGAGGCGCGCCGUGUUCUGGAUGACGACGAAAGAGCUGAGAAAACUUGCUUCUAUGGGCGGCUUCCCAACCUGAAGGUGCGAUAUCGUCUCAGCAGGGAGGUGAGGAGGAAAGCCAAAGACAUCCAGAGACUCAUUGAUCAGAAUCCAUCCGGGCAGGUCUACGACGAUCCUCCUCUAGGGCUCGUUGAUGGUGCUUCCAACAUGAUUUCCUUGGCCGGUGAUCGAGGUGACACUAUCUUCGAGUCUCGAGCUUCCAUCUUAAAGGACAUAAUGAAUGCUCUGGAUGACGAGAAGCACAAAGUGAUUGGGAUCUAUGGGCCAGGUGGCGUGGGGAAGACUACACUGUUGGAGGAAGUCGAGGAGAAACUCAGGAAAGAGGGGAAACCGUUCCAGAUGAUCGUCAAAGCAGAAGUUUCGCAGACUCCGGAUGUGAAUAAUAUCCAAGGCCAGAUUGCUGACGUCUUGAAACUGGAUCUGAAGGACAAGGAAAGCCAACAGGGAAGAAGAGAUCUUCUGUGUCAGAGAUUACAGAAGGAUCCGAGUGAAAAGAUUCUCAUAAUAUUGGACGAUCUGUGGAAAGAAGUUAAUCUGAGGGCUGUCGGAAUUCCUUUGGGAGGCGAGAGCAGGGGAAACCAUGUGUUGCUCACAUCGAGAUAUAAAAAUGUGCUGAAGCAAAUGAAGUGUGGCCCUCAAAUAUUUCAUCUGGAAGGUUUAAAGAACGAUGAAGCUAUCAGGCUAUUUGAAAAGACGGUCGGUUACGGGCUCAAAGACAAGCAAUUGAAAACAAUAGCUGAUCAAUUAGUCAAGAAGCUUGCAGGUUUGCCUCUUUUAAUUAAUUCCGUUGCGAUUAGCCUGAAAGAUAUGCCUGUGGCCGCAUGGAGCAGUGCUCUGAAAACAAUAGACCCGUCACAUAUAGAAACUGUAGUGAAGUGGAGUUACAACCAUUUGAAGAGUGAGGACACCAAGACCUUAUUCUUGCUCUGCGGUCUUAUCGGUGGGACCAUUCAAGUUGAAAUCCUGCUGGUUUUAGGCAUGGGUUUGGGCUUGUUUGAGGAAUCAAGACUGACGAUGCAAGAAUCGAGGGAUAGAUUAUAUACUAUGCUUGCUGAUCUCCGUUUCGCUUGUUUGUUGCUGGAUGGUGACGAUGACAAAAAAAAUUUGACCAUUCAUGAUCUUUACAGCGAGGCAGUCGUCUCAACUCCAUUUAGAGGUCAGAAUUCCUUAAUGAUGAAUAGCAAAUAUGGCUUGUGGCGAAAGGAAAAGCUUGAGAAAUGUUGGGCAAUAUGCCUACCUGAUGUUGGUAUAGAUAGAGUUGCUGAACUAAUGAGGUAUCAGUUUCCCGACUUGGAAAUACUCAUGUUGUCUCAACCCAACUAUUCGCGUCGGAUGCUUCAAGAUACGGCAGAUUGCUCGGUACUACUAGAUUUCAAGUCCAUGGAGAAGCUCCAAGCCCUAUAUGUUCGCUCCAUCCAUAUCGCCAGAUUACCUUCGAUUGGAAUUCUCGGGAACCUUUACUCAUUAUACUUAGACCAUUGCAACGUGGAUGAUGCGGCAAUUCUUGGCAAACUCAAAGCUUUGCAGAUUCUCAGCCUUGAAGGGUCUGCGCUUUCUAGGCUGCCUAAAGAAAUCGGGGACCUGACAAAUCUAAGAUCGUUGAAUCUAAGCUAUUGCGACAAGCUUCGGACAAUUGAGCCUGGUGUGCUGGAGCGCUUAAUCAACUUGGAAGAGUUAUAUUUGCGAGGAAGCUUUGAUCAAUGGAUGGGCAAGGAUGGAAUACCGUCGGAAUCGUGUAACGCCAGGCUUGCUGAAUUAAAGAGCUUGACAAAGAUAGCCUCUUUGGAAAUAUCGAUCCCUGAUCCCUCUGUACUUUCGGAGGAAGAUGACUUUCCAUUUGGGAAUCUGAUCAAAUUUUCAAUCAACAUAGGAAAAGCAACAGGGGGUAUAAUUGAAGGUUUGAGAACCAUGGAGCUCAAAUUGGAAGCAUGGGAUAUUAUUCUUUCAAAGGAAUGGGUUAAAAAAAUUCUGCAAAAAACUCAGUACUUAUAUUUGGACGGGUUGAAUACUCCCGAGUCAAUUGCCAACAGCCCCUCAAUUGAGUCAAUUGCCAAUUCAUCUAAUGGUCUCCCUCUCACCGGUUUUACAAUUUUAGAGUCUUUGUUCCUCAAUAAUCUAAUUAAUCUAGAGAGAAUAUGUAAUGGCCUUGUCGCACCAAAGUGCUUCAGCAUAUUGAAAGCCGUGACUAUUGAACAGUGCCACCAAUUGAAAAAGCUGUUUCCUAUGGUGCAGGAGAAGUAGAAGUUCUUGUUGAUGACACAGGAGGAGAAGAAGUUCAUAUUGACAACAACCCCUCAAUUGAGUCAAUUGCCAAUUCAUCUAAUGGUCUCCCUCUCACCGCUUUUACAAUUUUAGAGUCUUUGUUUCUCAAUAAUCUAAUUAAUCUAGAGAAGAUAUGUAAUGGCCUUGUCGCACUAAAGUGCUUCAGCAUAUUGAAAGCCGUGACUAUUGAACAGUGCCGAUUGAAAAACCUGUUUCCUAUGGUGCAGGAGAAGUAGAAGUUCUUGCUGAUGACACAGGAGAAGAAGUUCUUGAUAUUGACAACUGCCCCUCAAUUGAGUCAAUUGCCAAUUCAUCUAAUGGUCUCCCUCUCACCGCUUUUACAAUUUUAGAGUAUUUGUUCCUUAAUAAUCUAAUUUAUCCAGAGAAGAUAUGUAAUGGCCUUGUUGCACCAAAGUGCUUCAGCAUACUGAAAGCCGUGACUAUUGAACAGUGCCACUGAUUGAAAAACCUGUUUCCUAUGGUGCAGGAGAAGUAGAAGUUCCUGCUGAUGACACAGUUGAGUUGCCUAAUCUAGGUCGUUUGAAUUUGCGAGCGUUACCAAAAUUUACGAUCAUUCAUACUGGCGCUGAGGUUGCUCCAAUUCAGGUAACUUCUUUGUUUUCUCCCUAUGUCAGUCUAUGUUAUUGAAAGGAUAUAAAUUUCCUUAAUUCUUAAUCUCACAAAUUAUACCUAGAUUAUACUAGCACAGGGGAUGAUAAGAUGAUAUUGGUGUUUGCCGAACAUUAAUGCAUGUUGCGUUAAAUUUGAUGCACAUUUUGAUUCACAAAUAAACAAUCCAUUUAAAGAAAACACAGACCAUACAUUUUUAUUCACAUUCUACUAUAGCCAGAGGGAAGCCUUUUUCUACGACUGUUUUUUUCCUUUAAUUUUAUUUUCAAUGUUUGACAAUUGCACUGACUACCUGGGCUUUAACUUGGGUUUUUACUAUGACUAAUUUGUUACUCAUUUAAUAUUUUUAAUGAAAAGGAAAAACACUGUAGCGAACGGGAAUGGAUCUUGAACUAAUGAACGAAAUUCAGCAAUUUCAAAAUGAAGAAACUGAGAGAUCAAAUGAAUGGAAGGCGAACGUUGAACCACGUAACAUCACAUAAUCCAUGUUUCACCUACAUGCGAGUUGCAAUUGAUUCCCCAACGUUACCGUGCUGUCGUCGUUUUACUUCUGAGAUUUCUUUCGUCAGCUACUUUCAGGGAUAUUUCCUUCUCCAUUCUUUCAGGCACGACGAAAGAUCUACACAUUUCGCGAUCAAUUGAGUUUUAAAUAUUUAGUUUUGAUCAAUUGAGUUUUUGACAUUCUUAAGUCAAGCCCAUUCAUGUAUUUAGGAUUCAUUCGUUUCAUUGAAUAUUCAUUGUUGCUGAAAAAUAUUUUCUUAGUAUAUCGUGUUGCUAUAAAUGAAUUGUUUUCUUGUAUUUGGUUAUGCUGAAAAUGCAAAUCGAGAAAGUGUUUUGUGAUGUUAAAAGGAAGCCUCUUUCCACGACUGAUUUUUUUAAUUUUUUUAAUUUUUUUAAUUUCAACAUUAGAUACUUGCAUUGCUAACUUGGGUUUCUAUUGUGACUAAUUUAUUACUUAUUUAACAUUCUUAAUGAUAUGAAAAAAUAGUGUGCUGAACGAAUGAAAGCGAGAAUGAAUCUUGAAUGAAUAAAUAAAAUUCAAUAAUUUGAAAAUGAAGAAGGGGACAUACGGAGAUUCAAUAAGUGGAUGGCGAGCAAAAAGUCAUGUAACAAAGAAAGUCCCAAUAAUUCACCUCCCGCCUAACUUGCAAUUUGCAACUAAUUCCGACACGCCAUGCCAAGUUGCCAACGUCACCGUGUCAACAUCACUGUGCAGUUGAGCAUUGACAGCAUGAUAGCAGUGAGGAUUUCCUCGCUUUUCACAGAAGAGAAAUUCAUCCUUUUUUUUUUUUUUAAAUUUCAGCCCGAGAGUUCCACUUAUUUUCUCAUGAAUGUAGCUUUACUUGUAACAGACUCACCUUUAAUGAGCUUCAUUGUGGUGCCACAUUAGGUUUCAUUGCCCCACUUGGAAAUCCUGACGAUGGUUGGACUCCUUGGCCCAGAAGAGACACUCUACAGUGAACGUUCAUUAAAAUACAGCAAUCUAAGAGUGCUGACUAUAAGGGAGUCUAAAUCCUGGUCAAAGAGUAUUUUGAAAUUAGAUUGGAUAUUGAAGCUGCCGAAUUUGGAAUCGAUAAAUAUUGAAGUCUCUCUAGCAGUAGAAGUAGUUUUCGACCUAGAGGAGCUCGAAGUCAUCGAAGAUGUCGAGAUUCUCUCUCGGCUAACUAAUUUGACAUUAGAAAGGUUACCAAACCUACAGUGCGUGUGUAAACAGGAUGUAAAAUUACAAGGAAUAUCGAUACUUCGAAACCUGAGGGACCUCUAUAUCUAUGAAACAGGCCUAUCAUUUCUCUUUUCGGUGUCUGUGGCUAAAUGUUUAAGAGAAAUUAGAACCAUUACAGUGUCAGGCUGUCCAAAUAUGAAGGCGGUGAUCAUGGAUGAAGGAAGAAAUGAAGGGACAUAUGAUAUUAUAGAGUUCCCACUAUUGGACUAUCUAUCUAUAGAUAAAUGUUGGAUGGGGAAAUUCUUCAGAUAUCCUUGUGAAAAGAAAGAGCUAGUAACUACUACUUCAUAUCCACAAGAUGCAUACUCCGAUUCCUUCUUUGAUCAAAAGGUACAAAUCCCUUCUCUUGAGAUUAUACCCCUACUAGCCAUAGGCACAUGCUUUGUUGGGGAGUGUAAUAAAAUAUCUUUGGAGACUUUUAUUUGGUCUUAUUCGUUAGAAUGUGUUCAUUAUUUAAAAUUACAUUUGUUAUAGUAAGGCCAUUAGUGAAAAAUUCAUUCUUCCAUCGCAUCAAAUGUAUUGUUAAGAUUAGGCCAAUUUGUCAGAUGUUUCAUACCUAUGAUCUAAUGUAUAACUAGGUUAAUUUACCAAGCUUGGAAUUUUUAUGGCUUCAUUCAGUAGGAUCCUUCAAAAGGAUAUGGCAAGAUGAACUUCCCAGAAGUUCUUUUUGUGAAUUAGCCACCCUCAUCCUUGAAAAUUGCUUUGAGCUACUCAAUGUCUUCCCUUUGACAAUCAUAGGGAGAUUGCAUAAUCUAAAAGAAGUCAGAAUUUCAAACUCUCUCCCCUUGGAAUCGUUGUUUGACUAUAGGUCCUUUCAUAUUAUCAUGUACUAGAACGAACAAGGUAAUAAAUUGGUCCUACUUUUCCUCCUUUCUCACAUUAUCCUUGUGCAGGUUACAUUUCCUAAUAUAACAAAACUGAAAAUUGAUGGCAUUGAGUGCAAAGAGCUAUGGAACAAUCAAAUUCCCACCAAUUCCUUUCAGAAGUUGGAAUCUCUUGAAUUGAGAAACUGUGACAGUCUCCAACGUAUUGCCACUUCUGAUAUGUGGAAGAAGCUGCAGCGCUGUCUCAAGAAACUCGAAGUGAUUUCAUGCCGUUCGAUUCAGAUCAUAUACGAAGGUAAUGGGAUGGAUAUAGAGACUAGUGAAUUGAGGAGGCUGGUUUUGAGGAAUCUCCGAAACUUGUGGUGCAUUUGGCCGUAUGACAGUCUCCCAAACAUCCCGUUCCCAAAUUUGAGAGAAGUAGAGGCCGAGAGGUGCCCUUGUUUGGAAGUGCUUUUACCUACCUUCACUGCGAAAUUUCUCGGGCAAAUCAAAGACCUGGUGGUGGAGUCAUGUGAAAAUAUGAAACUAAUUGCUAGUCAUGAAAAAUGGGAAGAAGCGAACGGCACCACAAUCACCUUCUCCGAGUUAACUGUUCUUAGACUUUUCGAGUUGCCGAAAUUCAAAAGCUUCUUACCUGAGAAAUACUCUCUGAAAUUCCCGUGCUCCAAGGACUUCCCAUCCUUACGAGUCUUGAGUAUAGAAAGCUGUGGAUCAAAGCCGGACCAAGUCCUUGGUGUCUGGCCUCGCCCUUACUUCCUUCCCCACGAAUGCCAUGGGAACGAAGAUUCCGCAUGCCAUAUCAUAUGACUUGAGGUAUUCCUUCAAUAUUUCAUCGCUUUGGUUUGGCUUUCUAUUCCUUGGAAUCGAAAAUCAGUUUGUAUUAGCUAAGACACAAUUCUCGGUGGGACCCACACGCACCCUCUCUCUUCCUUUCUCUCUCUCUCUAGCUUUCUUUCUUACUCUCUUCAACUAACGAUCUAUCGAUUCCCUUUUAUCCCAUCCACCAGCAGCCGCCGCCGAGAGUCCAUCGCUGGCCACCACACGACGUGGCACGCUGAUAAGGGACAAAGAAUAGAGAGCAUUGAUCGAAGGCUCUCAGUGAUUUCAAUUGAAUCCUUUCCUCUCACUUCGCUGCUGGUCGUCACCGCUUCCCGAUCACCACCCGUUCCGCUGCCGCGAAGAAGUUCUGUAAUGCCGGAGUGCUCGAACUUCAAUCAUGGCUGACUGCUUCGACGAUUCCAUUCCUUGAUGUUGCUUCUGUUAUCUCCUUACUUAUGUCCGAAGUCAAUUGCUAUAGGUAAUCGUUCUUCAUUCAACUAAACCACAUGUGCUCUGUUAGUUACUGUCUGUGUGCAAAUCGUAAGUGAUUGAGGCUGUAUUAAUAAUUUGAACCGGUGCUUCUCAGCCGAAAUGUGUACCACCUGUUUGAUGAAAUCCCUGAACUAAGUCGGUGUGUAUUUUUUAUUCAGUUCUUGACCGAGAAUUCCUUUGAUUACUAGAUUGUUGAUCUAUUCUGAUCUAUUCUGGUCAUAUAAGCGUAUUUGAGUUCUAUUUCUUCAUAAAAAAUCACAUGUAUUUAAUUUCGAACUUGUUUUGAAUAUGCUGAAACAUUGUCAAUAUAUGCUGAUUCAUGACUGUUGCGGGCCUGAACUGAUGUCAAUUGGUGCUUGAUUUUAUGCUAUUCCACUCAAGUGAGCAUUGUGUAGUGAUAGAAGAUUGUAUAAUGGUGAAUUUCAUGUUUGCUUGGAAAAGAAAUUAUGUCAUGAAUGAAAGAAAUUCUACUGGAAAUCAAUUCGUGGAUGUUGAUCAUGUCUUGAUAUCCCUGAUUUGGUGUGCAUUUCAUUCCAACUCAAGGCUAGUUUGUUUAUGGGGAUCAUAUAUGUUCAUGCUAGGAAAGUGAUAUGGAGAAUCUCAUGCCAAUUUUGUGAGAAUUGUAGUCAUAACCGAACUAUAAUAUGCUAGAAUCGAAGCAUUGCAUGCUGGUGAUGAUUGCUUUGUUUGAAUUUGGCAUUACUUUGGUCUUGGAUUGAUGCCAUUUUGAUCAAGUAGACUCAUAUGCACUUGGAGGAAGAUAUAGCUUCAAUUUCAUAUCAAUUAGUCAUCAAAACAAUCGUGAUUUGCGGACUUGUAUGCCCUGUCACAAUUCUGAACUUGUGCUGGAAGUUGUGGCUUAAGCAUGAAUUAGAUGGAUUUUGUCUUAGCUUGGUUGCCUUUUUUAUUGCCCGUGGAUAAGUGAUAUGUGUGUGCAUGAUUAAAUUGAUGAGAUGUGUGCUUGAUAUUGCCAUGAGAGUCUUGGCCUAGUUAUUAACUUAGAGAAGUCUGAUGUUAAUUGAAGUUUAAUUCCAUGAUUCUCGUGAUUUCAAAGCUUGGAGCAUCUAUUUUUUGUAAUAUUGAAUAUUUUGAAGCUGACUUCAUCUAAAGGUAAUCUGAUAGACGAACUAGAUUCUAGGAAAUCUCUCGACAAAGUCAGUCAUUGAGGCCCCUUGAAAUAUCACAUGGACGACACUUGCCAAUAAAAUACCAAUAUUCUCUCCCUCUCCUUCUAGGAUCACCAUUCAAGGCUUAUUUAGAAGAGCUUUUGCUUAGAUCUAAUUGAUCUUUCAAGUGCGUGCAUUUGUGGCGACAUACUGUGCACAACAUCAAUUGCGACCUACUCAUUCAUGAUGUCCUUUCCUUCCUUGGAGUGUUCACUGGCCACUGCUGUUCAGAAUGGUAUUUCAAAGAUACGGAUUUUGUUUCCUCCCUCCCCCAUUGCGAAUUCUACAGGGCAGGGAAGACUAGUCACCAGCGCUACCAGUACCCUGCCCUUGAAAUCCAUCAGGACCCUGCCCAUAUGUUCCACUAGGAGUAGGUGCAUAGUUCCAAUUGUCUUUUCUAUGAACCAUUCUGCACUAAAGGUGCAAAGCUCCAUCUAUCUCCUUGCAGCGGGUCCCUUUGUUUGCUGAUAGUAAUUGUUGUUAUGACCCUGUCGACUGUAGUUUCCCUGAUAUGAAGGCAUCGGAUCUCCCCUCUGUCCUUGAUAUGGAGCCCUGCUGCUAGCAGCAUAAUCCAUAUUGCUCAUUGGCAGGGGAUUUCUUCUUUCAUCUUGUCCUGGGGGACCAUAACUUUGCUGAUGAGAAGAUAAUUUUAUUGAGGGCUCCCUUGUCUAUUUGCCAUUUGACCUCCUUGCCCGUCAUAUCUAGGUUGGUCAUAGUUUCUAUUGCGAUCUCACAUUCUCCUGCCCAGCCUCCCAUACUGGACAAGUGGUGGUCUCUGAGUAAUUACUCCAUUUUCAUACUUGUCGCCUAAUGAUUCAGUAAGUUAAACAAAGCCAGCGGUGCUGCAGGGCCACAAAUCAUAGACAUAUUGGAAAGUUGAACUGAUGGAAUUAGAGGAUGAAUGGACUAAAUGACUGAAAAAUUUUGGCAAAGAUGUAUGGUAGAUGAUCUUAUGUGGAGCCAAGUCAUACCUCUGUAUCCCUUGCUUUGGGAUCAAUGUAAGAAGCAGAUAAUAUAAAGAUGACUUCAGGUAGAUCUGUUUAUAGCUCAAUAAGUCAGUGCACAACAAUGAUGCGAUUAUUAAUCAUUAAUUGAUUGCAAUGGGAGACUUAUCAAAGAUACUUGCCUUUGAAUUGCUUUGAUUUUGCUUCAGUCAUCACAGCCUGAAACCCCAGAUUGGUGGUCGUGCUACUAGCACAAAUUCUCUUUUUUGCUUCCUCCAAACUGAAGCACGAGUGUCAAAUGUCAUCUCAAAUUUGCAAUGUAGAUCAUGCCACGGUUGCCUUAGGACAUAGAUCUCAUGAUCAGGAAAUAACAUAUCCAUGUUAUUACAGUGCUAGAUGUAAACAUUAGCUUAAUUACCGCAAAUGUGGGGUUGUGCAUGUCAAUUUUUAAAGAUGGUGUCAAGAUCGCUAUAGAGCCGGUGCUCAAGAGAGUCGUAUUGACCAUCGCAUUGGUCCAACCCACCAAUGAAAGCCGUUAUUUUGUGGUUGUUUCCCAAGACAAUCUAUGUGUAUCGAGAACAAGUACACAAUAAGAAAAUUUUUUUUGAUGCAAAAAAGUUGAAUCUUUUCCCUCUAAGAAGUUUAUGCCAUAAAUCUCGAAUGGAAAACAAUUAGCCAAUAAGAACUUGAUGAACCAUAUAUAUUUAUCUUAACGUUCACACCAUAACAUCAACUCAUCCGAAGCAUUUUAUACAACAAUGACGUCGCAUGUCAUGCCCACAACUUUAAUUAGUAGGGAGUAUCUAUCUAAAUCACAACUUGCUUUGUCAUGCCCAUGAAUGAUCAUUCUACUCAUAUUUCUCAAUUUUGAUUGUUUAAAGUACUUCGAUUUAACCCAAAAUUACUCGAAAAUUUUGGUAUAUAUCGUUGCAUUUGCACACUCUCAAAAUCGAAUGCGACUAAUUUACAUAUUCGAUCAAGUUGUGAGAGCAUUGGGAAGAAUGGUAGGGGACCCAAGGAUUUUGCCACCCACAACAGGAAACGUUUCGAAACCGGCUCGUUUGCACUGAUCUUGCUUGUGAUGUUCAAUGCCAGCUCCAUCGGCACUGAAUUGUUUGCACGUGCUUGUCAGAGCCAAAUCAGGCAUUGGUUGCCAUCAAAACUUGAACUCAAGAAAUUAAAUAGGCCGAAAUGAAACUAGAAAAUGGAGGAAAAAAUCAAAAUUUAGAAAGUCCAGAGAGUCAAAGUCUCGAAAAUAUAAUAUGCAGGAACUUUGUAAGGUGCUCAUCAUUCCAUAAUAGUACCAUUUGAAUCAGAAUUCAGUUUUAACGUCCAAUAUGGUGAGUUCUAGCUAUUAUUAGGUGAUACACAAUUCCCAGAGGGAGCAAAGUCUGAAUACUCCUUACCAGAGGGGUUGUUGCUCUUUCAACUCAGUCAAUCAAAAUGCAUAGAAAUGGUGCAUCUCAUACCUGCAUUUUUGUAUGAUGGCCAAUGAUAGGAAGAGCCAAGAAAAUACUGGUUUUCAACGUAAAUGAAACGUUGUGCCGAUCUAAUCACUUUCACUGACGCCAUGGGAAUGCUCUUGUCUACUUUCAAGUUUUUUCAGCAUAUAAGAUUCUGCAACCAUGAAGUAAUUGAAAGAAGCAACAUUAUCAAUCUGGGCUUCAAUAUCUAUUCAAAAACACUAGAGAUUGUGCAUAAGAAAGAAGAGUAACUUUCUAAUGUAAGGAGAACUUUUCAAGUGAUACAUGUAUAACAGCCAGUUGUAAAUCUACUAGCAUGGCAUUAGCAGCUUAAACUUAAUUACUUUUUAGCUUCUUCAAUGCUAUUUGGCAAUCCCUUUACAAAUCCCGAAUCAAUUGAUCUAAAGACCUGCGCCAACAUAAAAUAGAAAUUAAAGAUGAUUGUUACCCUUCAUUUUGUUUCCAAUUGAAGUCCCUCAAAAAAGCCAAUUAAUUUUACAUAAAUUCUCCGAACCUGUGCAUGCCAAUUUUCCAAGUUGUCUUCGUCCCUGACUUUUACUUUUUUGUUGCCAUCGGGGCUUGUCGAGGGACAAAGUAUCCACAAAAUCCUGUCGAGCCUUAACAGAGCAUUCUCAUGCCAACACUUGACAUAACUUGUGCCACUUCGCCGCCUCUUUCCAUCUCUAUUCGAAAUCCUUCAAUAUGUCAUACGCAGCUUGUCCCUCAACUUUGCAAUGUAGAUCAUGCCACGGUUGCCUUGGGACAUUGACAGUGGACUACUGUAAUCACAAAAAAGAAGAAGAAGCAAUAAACACAACAUUAGAAAAUAACACUUAGAAAAUAACACAAACAUGUGUUUACGGUGCUAAAGGGAAACAUUAGCUUUAUUACCGUGAAUGUGGGGUUGUGAAUGUCAUUCUUAAAGACGGUGUUAAGAUCGCUACAAAGUCUAUGCUCAGGAGUGUCAUAUCGGCCAUCACUUAUGUCCAACCCACCAAUGAAAGUCAUUAUUUUGCGGUUGUCUCCCGAGGCUUGAGUGUCAAGAACCAUGCACUUUUGGUGGUGCGUGUAUAAGGUCCCCACCACCUGGACUACAAAAGACCCAUACACCAACAAAUUAAACCAAACAUUUUCGUAGAUUUAUGCCUGAAUUCAAACGAAUGGGCAGCCUCUCCAAUAUUAUAAAAUUCCCUACUAGAACUAUCGUAAAUGCAUGAUGAUCUAGGAUAGAAUGAGACAAAUCAAUAAACUUCUGUAGAUUGUCUGCUAAAAGGAAAAAAUUUCCUAUGAAAUUAUACCUGAUUGAAAUAAUCAGGUAAUAUAUAGCAAAAGCAAUGCUUUUGAUGCAAUCAAACGAAGAGAUUUUGAUUAAGAAUCAACCUAAACGUCUAAAGAUACAUACCCGUUGCUUGAAUAUGCUAAGAUUGGUGCUUGCAUAACAAGGACCAAGCACACAGCGGAUGCCAGAGUGUUGAAGAAACUUCUUUGUCUCUACAUCGUGAUCUAGGCCACCGGUAUCUCCACAACCCGAAUGAGCUUGGUCCCAAACACAUCGUUGUCCUCCACAUGGAACUCCACCUUCAAGAUUGGUGCACCACGGAAUGUAGAACCGCUAGUCCCACUUCAAGAUUGGCGCACCACAGGAAUGUAGAACCGCUAGUCCCAUAGGGUUCUCACAGUUUGGGGUUGUUAACACUUGAAUUUUGCUGAGAAAGUAUGAAUAAUAAUAAGGGUAAUUUUGUCAUACGCCUAUUGAUACUUGAAUUUUCCUAACCAUUCAAGUGUCCUUUUUUUUCAAAAUAGAUAUAAAGAAGAAGAAAGGAGAGAGAGAUUAAAAAAAUGGAAAAAAGAAUAUUUUUUUUUUAAAAAGAAGAGAAAAAAAAAGAAGGAUAUAAAAAUAAAAUCGAGUGGGCUGGUGUUGUCCAGCCCACUUGGCAAUUUUCGGCCUUUUCAUUCCCAACCCCUCUCUUUCAGCCCAUUUCUUUUAGUUCGGUUAUUUUCUUUUGGCCCAUGAGUCCAAUUCACUCUCCUUGGCCCAUCUCUUUUAUCUUUUCCUUGGCGAAGCCAUCCUUGCCGACCAAAUUCGCGUGGCCUGAAAUUCGGGACACCAGGUCAAGAUAUCUUAAUUUUGACUUCUUGUAGAGGUUAAUUUGUCUAGUUAAAUGAUAGAUCACCUCUCGAGAGAAGCAACGGAGAGCGAGAUCGGAAAAGGAGGAACUGGUUGAGUUGGCCGCUCAAGCUGAAGGGCUGGUUGCGAGGGAUGGUGGCCGCGCGGGACACGGCAAAAUUUGCGCCAUUGCUGAUAUUUGGGCCCAAUGAUUCCAAGUAUAGACUCAAGAAUCUUGUGUUCAGGCUCUCACCUAUUUUGGAUUUUAUGCAAAUCUCAACAAAAUCUCAUAGUGUGUACUUAAGGCAAUCCUAUUUUAAUAGAUACACCAAAAAAAUUUCGGCAUUUACAUGAUUUGGUCCUCUAACUUUUAUUCAAUGAAGUCGCCUAAUUUUGUGGAUUUAUGCAAUUUGAUUCUUAAAGUUUUAUCUUGCCUAAUCGAGUAAUGAUUCCUAUUUCUAGCUCAAAUAAUUUUUGUAGACCUAAAAUUAACAUUACAAAAAAAGGUAUAUAUAUAUAUAUAUAUAUAUAUUUUUUUUUUUUUCAUGUGUUUUCUUCAAAGAACAUCAAAAGAAAGGGUUUGAACUAGUGCUCAUCAUGCAUUGAAGCCCCUCCUCCCUUGGGAGGACGCCUCGGGAAAUCACAGGAUAAAGAGAGUGAGAACUCACAUAGAAAAUCAAUGGUCAACCGCCCGUCACACAGCCGGCCGGUGGCCUCAUGAAAGAAGGCGCGCCUGUUGGGCAACGUGACGUCGAUCCCGAGCCCUGCCGACCAGCCGCCGGUGUCCGAGUUGGAGUCGCCGAAGUUGAAGAUGACGGGCUUCCUCUUGCACGGAGAAGCAGCCGAGCUUGGAAGGCCAAGACAGAGUCCAAACAUCACAGCGUAGCACCUCAAAGCACGGAGGCUGGGAACGCAAGAGGCCCCUCCUCUCUUCUUCGCCAUUUUCUUUCUGUCCUCCGCUUUCUUUCUUGUCGCUAGAUUGACUGUAAAAGUGCAAGAGAGAAGUUGUUCAUGUAAAAAUUCAGAGGGGUCUAAGUUGUGGAUCUCGAGACCGGGCAUAACGGGCUCUUGCAAUUUGGUCCCAUCCCUUCGUGGAAAUCCCACCGGAGACCAUCUAGAAAAGAACAUAUCUUGGGAGUUCGUUUUCUUUUCUGACUGAAAUGGAGGAGCAAAAAAUAUCGACUAGUCAAAAUCUAAACGAGUUGGUCCAUGUUGACACCUAAUUUUUGCCCAAAAAUAUUUCAUUCCAGCAUAUAGAUUAUCUAGGUGUUUAAUAUCGUGUUUUAAAUGAAAGAUGUUUUUCCUAUAAAAAAAUAAUAAUAAUUUAAAAAAAAGAAAAAAAAAAGAAAUCGAAAAAAAAAAAGAAGAAAAAAAAAAGAGAGAGGAGACGAGAAGAAGAGGGGAGGGCUCGGAAUCGUUCCCCAAGGAGGCCCUCAGAAGCAACUCCAGAAAAGCAAACCCAGAAAAAUUCCAGAUGAACCUCCAGAGAGAAAAGAGAAAUUUUCGCAAACUUGCAGCCAAAAUUAGCCAAAACCUUAAACUAGAGAGUGAAACUUCACUCAAAGAUCUUUCCAUCCAUAGGUCGCACGUCCAAAAUGGAGAUCGGGAAGGCCUCCUAAAGCCCCCCGAAACAGUGCCCUCCUGGCGGGCCAAAGAAAGUCCGAAAAUUUUUCUAAGUGUUGAGCCCGGUUGGUCACGAGUGAGGAAAGCCAGUGUUUUUGAGAAAGUUGAGAGACAAAUGAGGAAAAUCUUGACUUUCAAACCAAACUAGAAUACAUAUAGUUUGGUGUGGUGUCAAUUUUUCCAACAAAAUACGUCUUGAAGUCUAAUGUUAGAGGUCAACGAAAACCUUCAUUGUCAGUUUAUUUUUUUUGCAGAUCUCAUUUCCAGUUGAAGAAGCCAACUUCCACAGGCCCCCGAGGAUAAUUUGUCGGUUUCAUCGGCCAAGAACCACUUGAAAAGGAAACUAGGAAGUAAGGUAAGCAUCCUAGAUAUACUUAUUUUCGAGUUUGAGCAUGUUUUGAUCAUGAAAAUCAAGAGGAAAAGCAGCCCGGAAAACUGAUUUCUGAGGUUGAAAUUUCUUCCAAGUGUUUGAAAUCUCUUCAAGAGUGUUGCAUGUGGGCUUCUUGGAGAGGUCGUUUUGAUGUUGUUCGGUGGGUCAUUCUCUGUGAUGUUUAUUGCAUUUGAAAGCUCAUGUUACCUACUUUCACUCGGAUCAAGUAAGGUUUCCUUUAGAUCUCAUAUGCAAUGAGUGUCGGGGCUUGAAUAUGGGCAUGUAACCUGUUUGUUUGACUUGGGUUCAAACCCAAAUUUGCAAAAUCAGUUCAAACCUGUGUAUUUGAGGAUGAUUUUAGCUUGGUUCUAGUGUGUUUUUAGCUAUGAUUUCUAUCUAAUCUUGUUCUUUGCAUGUGGUAGUAUGAUCUUAAUACUUUAGUUCCACAUGAGAUUGCUUAUGAGUGGAGAUUGAAGGCUGCAAACAUGGCUCAAGGAGGCUAUUGGGGCUAGUUUAAUGCACACCAAGUGUUCGACAAAAUGCCCAAACUAAGCUUCGAUCUUGAAAAGGUUGAUUUGAGCUUGAUUAUUGUGAUAUUCAUGUGCUGUGUUACUCCAUGUUAGCAUAGAUCGGUUUAAGGAAUUAUUAUUAUUUUAAAAAAAAAAUAAUUAAAAAAAAUAGAAAAAUAUGAAAAUUUCAAAAAAAAUAUCAAAAAAUGUUAGAUAGCAUCAAAUUAGGAUAUAAAUGACAUAUAUGAAAUUUUCCUAAUUUUAAAAGGUCAUUUUCCUAAUUUAAUGCUAUUUUGGUAUUUUAUAGCCAUUUUUGUAAAUAAUCCAUUUUGCGUAGAUUAAAACUAUUUAAAGUAAUUUCAUGCAUAUAGAGUAAUUUCAUGCAUAUUUGAAUUCUCAUUUUGCUCAUGGGGGUCCUGUCCCGGGGCGUGAUAACAAGGCCAUGUAAUAUUAUUUGCCCGACUUGUAUCGGGUUUACUUUUUCCGCGUUUAUUUUCAAGCUAUUUCAAUUUCUUGGAUAUUUACUUACGCGCCGCUUUUCAUUAUUUUGAGUGUAAAUUUCUCUUCUAAAUUAUGUUAGGAGUAGUCUAGACAUUAAAAAAAAAACUACAAAAACAUUUGCAUGGACACUUAGUGGUUUCAUAAAGAUUAUAAUUCGUAAUCAAGAUUGUAUGGCCAUUUAGAUAAACAACCUUCCAAUUUAGUGGUACCGCAAGGGCGCUAAUAGAAACAUUGGCGUAAACAAGUCCCCGUUCCUAGAAAUCUCUGGUUGCGUAUGAAUCGAGACAACACUCCCGUGUCUUGAUUGGUUUCUAGCCGACCCCAAUAGGCUAGUGGCGACUCCUAGAAUUACAUAGGUUGUUAAGAACUAAAAAAACGAAUCCAACGUCGCGCGGGGUAUGGGCUUGGGAGAGCCCGCGCCUAAUCUAGGGCCAUUGGUCCACCUCUUUAGGCAAAUACCCCUAAACCUUCUUCUUUUUCCCCGGACGGAAAAAAUGAGGUCGUGACAGCUUGGCGACUCCGCUGGGGACUUGGUUGCAAACCUUAGAGGACUUAGGCCGUAAUAACUUGGUUGGUCGUUCACUAACAUGGUCUUCAUUUGAUAGCGCAUGUCAAAGUCGCGUGGAAAACAAGGUUAGCCCGCUAACAAUGUGUUAAAUGUUUUUGUAGGUUUGGAGUAAUAAGGGGUGGAGUGUUUGUUAACCCAUCUCUUUUGUAGGGAGGCGUAGGAAUGUAUGCCUAUAUGGAUGAAAUUGAAGUGUUGUUUGGAUAUCAAUUGAUGUGUGUGCAUUUAUACUUAUCUUAGCACUACACAUUUACACACACCACCCGCGAUCUAAAACCCCGAUCGCAUUAGGAAGCCCAUAAAAGGUGCCAAAAGAUGGAACCCGUGCGGGGAAUGACCCAUGGUUAUCCACUUUUGGUCCCACUCAUUUUGAUUAAUGAUAAAGAGAACUGUCCGACGUAAGUGCGGAGUGGGGAAAACUCUUUUGAUCUAAUCAAAAUGGGGACCUUAAGCCUUUAGAAUUCCGCCUUUAUGCGUCAAACCUCACAAGUUUACAUCCGCAUGUCUAUGUGAUUUUAAAAAAAAAAAGUCUCUUCACCCAUUGUAAGUAUGAUUUCUCUAUCUACUUGCUCACCUCGGAUUGAAAUUUUCAUUUUUUGGAGAUUCGCGGAAAUCAAUGGAAUGCCCUUGAAAAUAUAGACUUGGCAAUCACUUUUGAUAAAUAAGCAUUUCAAAUACCUAUGAUCUACUAAACAUAUGUUUUUGUUUAAAUUUUCAAUUAUGAACUUAAAGUCACAUUUUGUAUAGAAAUUCUUCCAAAUCAAGAUUACAUUUUGGGGCAUAGAAUUAAAAUCAAAUUUUCAAUAAAACUCUUUAUUGGUCACAUUUCAAAAUUAAAAUUCAAAUCCCAUUUUAUAUAUUGAUUUUUCAAAAUAAAAAUCACCUCACCUUUGCAUGAGUGAAACCACAAAUUAAUUUUUUAAAAUCAAUGCCCCAUUUGUGUAUGAAACUUUUGGAACAAAGUGGGCUUUCAAUUGAUAGUCGCGGAUCGAUCUUUUAAUGAAAUCUCCUCUUACUAAUAAAAUCUUGACGAAAUACCAAAUUCUCGUAAGUGGAUACUACGGAGAAGGUAUCGUCGCCUUGAUUUCAUUGUAAGAGGCGGCUUUAUUGAAAGAUCAAUUUUUCAUUCAUAUACUGACAUAAUCUUCCUUUCGCAGGUCAUGCGUGACAACCAUUCCUUGAACUCCUCUUGCUUGACCAUGCCAAAUGUGGACUUUAAAGCUAGGAUGAGAAUUGUGCUUAUUAUGCUCCUCUACAAAAGAGCUUCUUGUACUUUAUCCUUGUCAUUAUUCCUAUUAGGAACCGUGUUUUGUGUUUUGGGUUUUGAUUGUGGACCCAAUCAAAUGCUUUUGUAAAUCAUACAACUCACAUUUUUUAAUAAUGAAGUUAGAGUUCAUAAAAGUUAUAUUCUUUAAAACACUUGAAGUGUUUCAAACGGACCUUCUGGGCUGAGUUUUAUGCCUUAGCUUCAAAUGUUUGAAAAUGAGUUUCAAGAACUUGCAAAAUAUUUUAUCUCUUCACUUAAUCGCUUUCACAGGUUGAUUUGCAGAAUGAUGCUUUGAGGGGGUAAGGUUGUAAUCGUUCCAAUAGGAAUUUCUUAUUCAACAACUAACUCAACCAUCCAUUUUUGCCAAAUAGGUAAAAUGACGGUUUUGUUCAAGGCUGACAAAAGCGCGGGCCUUUCCCUAACCAAGCAAUUCAUGAGAUGCACCCAUUCAUGCUCAUUUAUGGGCAUAAGUGGUUGAGCCAUGAACUAUAGAAAUAUUUUCGCAGCAUAUGAAUUCAAACAUUGUGAUUAAAUGUGAAAAGAACCGUCAAAGCCUCAAAGAUCACAAAUCUACUGGCCUAACGAAGUUCCACAUCCUGGAUGACCUCAUACUAAUUUGACAUUCCUUGUGGAAGAAGAAAUAUGUAGACAUUCUUUGGCAUCAAACUACUCCAUUGGUUGCAAACAUGAAAAGCAACUGCAAUCCCUACACUUCCAAUGGUGUCUUGGCAUCCAAUCCUAUAUGAAGAUAAUUAUUGGUGGUCUGCAAGACAACACUUCAAGAUGUAGAUGUACACAAGCAAGAAUCCGUCAUCAAAUGUUGCCUUCAAAUAAAAGAUUUUAGUGAGGCAAAUUACUGGCAAGCAACAAGAUUACACAGGGAGGACAACCUGGUCCAGAAUCACACGAUCUCUGAAAGAAAAGGAUUGUGAAGUGGGAAAUGCAUUGACGCAGCAAAAAUGGCGAAAAAUCACCUAGCCUAAAAGGGGGGUAUGCGGGAAAUUGAGUAAAGCAUGAAGGGCUCAAAUGAAACAGAGAUUCAUCAAUCCAACAUGAUGGAGCUGCAUAUGGACAAGUUAUCUAACCCAGUGUGGCAUGCAUUUGACCAUAAGGACAAUGUCUUGCCUUCUUCAACAAAGCUACAAUGAGAUGCUGAAUUGCCCGACUUUGAAAAAGGGUGUACUUCGUUCCUAAACCUAAUGUACCUAAGAAUAGAAAUAAUACAUUGUCUCCAUAUGUGUAGGAAAUUUUAAUUGGGGCAGAUGGCCACAAAAUGGAUCGGGGGCACGCAAUGCCUGAGUCACUCGACUUCUAAAAGGGGAAAAUUUCAAAUGGAAUAGACAUUUGCCAAGUGAAUUACUGCCAAUCAUGAAAGCAAAUCCCUCUCCAUAGCCAAGGAAACGAGAUGGAAUGCAGUCAUCAUAUAUGCCGUAAAAGGGAGUAUAUCGUUCCUAAAAUGAAUCACGUCGAGUAUGAAAAUAACAUAUUCGUCUCUUUUUCCUUGCAGUUGAUGAAUGGGGCAAAUCACUUAAAGCAGAGCAAUUCUCACCCAUGAGCAAGAUGAAACAUAGUCAAUUGAUUCAGCACAAAAAGGGAGUACCGUCCCUAAAUUAGUCCAAUUCAACUGUGGAAUAUAAGUAACAUGCCCCAUUUCUUGUAGGAAAAGGUGCACACUGAGCACUGAAGCAACACCUUAUACCAAGAAGGCAUGCUAAGGCCCAACCAUCCAUUUUGAUGGAAUAAAUGGAGUAAAAACAUCUAAGGAGCAAUGCCCUCACAUAUCGAAACAAGGAGUACCCUCUCCUUUCAUCUUUGACGCCCACUCAGAAUGAGUGAAUUUGAUAACAUCUAAAUGGCCUAUUUGAAAGCAAGAUCUUCAAGGAAAUGUUAACACCUGAGGAGCAAAAGCACAUGAAGAGGAAACACAAGACAUUUAAAGUCAGCUGCAGGAGAAGGGUAAUUCAGUAUCGUUUCCAAAAUGCCCCUCUCUAACUUCAUUAUUUGACGUAGUUCCCUUGUUUGACAGGAAGCGUUGGUGUUCGAGGAACAAACUCGAUAAAUUGAUUUAAGCAUAAUCUAUAUCGACAAAGUAAGCAUGUGGAGUUAACACAUGACAAAGUCACCUAAGUUGGCUUAAAAUAUGCGUCGUUCUAGAGCCGGUUCAAUUAAAUAAAAAAAGAAGCGCCCCAUAGACACUACUAGCGCUUCGGCCUGGUGGUAUGGGAAUGAAUGAACGGUCCGAGAGGUACGGGGUUCGAUCCCCAGAAACGGCAACGAGGUUGCCAUGUAAAAAAAUAAUAAAAUAAAAAAAAAUUUUGCAUCUCUUAUUUUUGCAAAAAGAAGAAGAUGCUUGAACUAAUGAGACCAAAGACCUGAGAUUCUCUUCAAGCCUUAAAACAGUACGUUCAUUCCGCUAUUUGCCGCCAAAUGGUGAAAUUAACCAAGGGUAAUGUUGUAUCGUUUCCAAUUUUACAAUCCCUAAGGAUUCAUGUACUAACACAUUCCCUUUUGUUCUUCGUAGGGUCGCCUGACUACUAAGACACAGGUAAGUGCCCUUCUCCUCAAAAUCAAAUGGAAAAUAAAUGGAGAAUUUCCAUCGCAAAAAAAAGAACAUUUAGUGUUUUUCUAGAAACAAGCGCAAAAAAUGGAAAUUAAAGAAACAAGUUUUCCACAAGGUUUGCAAAAAUCUUUUUUACCUUUAAAUUGUCCAUCCACCCGAUGGAUCACUCAUUUUGAAUCAAAGUUCUCUAUGGAGAUUAAUCCACUCAGAUGAUCUCAACAAAAAUGAAAGGCGAUGUUGCUUAUGCCAAGCGAGAAACACUUAGGAUGAGGAAAGGCAACCCAUUUCCAAACAUGUCCUUUAAACACUCUAGAAUUCGAGUGAAAAAGAAAGCUUGUGUUGUUUGAGGUCAAUGAAUUCAUUCGCAAGCAGUACAUAGAUCAAGAUGAUAAGAGGCAUUUCUUUCCUCUAUCAUACACACUACAGGUGACAAUAGUUAGCCCAUUUGAGCCUUUUAAUGUGAAGAAUUUUCUGCAAAAUACCCCUGUCAAGAACCACCCCACGAUGGGGGCAAUUAUGGAGGUUUGGGUUGACAUUAUUUGGAGAGGAAAGAUGAGAAAGGUUUCUUUGCUCUCACUUGCAUAAAUCUUUUUGUGGUAACUUUAGGUGAAUUCUUAUGGAAGCUCGAAGCAUCCCAAGGUGAAGAAGAGCAUUCUUUUCUCUACCCAAACACCGAUACCCUUUGCUUAAACCAAGUUGAGCUUAAUCGUUCAUUUCCAAAACUCGAGUGUUGAUUACCUCCCCACAUUGGGGCAAGGCAUAUGAUUUGCCAAGGCAAGUGAUGUUUACAUGAAAAUGCGGAAAGCAUCUCGAAAGUCCUAAGAGUUUAAAAAGUUCAAAAGAGCAAAAGUCAAAUGAAAAUUAGGGGGCAUGAAAAAGCAGUAUGCCUGGUAAAAGCAAGGCUAAUGCCCAUCACAAAAAAAUUGCAUCAAGAAGAAUGUCUCCGUGAAAAAAAAAAAAAAAAAACAAAAUGCUUAUAUCAAAAGGAGAUCACUGCAAAUGCAAAAGUCAUGAGAGGAAAGAGCAAAGCUCUUAUUUUGCGAUGAUUAGUCAAAGGACUUUCGAGACAAAUUCGAGUGCUUUCAAAAAAAGGGAUGAUACGGUAAUGAUGCCAUGAUAAUCACCAACUCUCAAAUCCCCCUUUGACAAAAAGUUCUAAGCCUUUUGAGCUAAGCCUUUUGAACCUUUCCUCGAACCAACAUUACAACCUACUCCCGAAUUCUCUUCAGAUUGGGAUGAUUCAAAGUGGAAAUAAGGACUUCCCAAAGAAGAUGCCGCUCGAAGAAGUGAGAGUAAGGUUGUCUUAUCUCAUCUUAAGGUUUCUUGACUUGUAAACCUGGCGGAGAUGUCGAUCAAUGAUUAAUUCAUUUUAUAGCCAAUGAUGCUUAUCCAUUGCUAAAACCAUGACCAAACCUGCACUACGGUCCUUCUAAAAGACCUCUUUGAUUGGUCAAUGUGUACUUAUUGCGAAUGAUCCAAAGCCUUGCACACUGGAAGAGUGAGGUUGAGUGAUCAGUUUAUUUCCCACAUGAAUAGAUGGGAUCAAAUAGCCAUUUUCUUGAGAAUAUGCGAGAAGCCCUUUCUGACUAGGGAUCCUUGCUUGGCAUACUUAACAAACCUUUCUCAUAAGUCAAGGUCGUUUCGACAAGGACUUUUCUCCCAAGAGAAUUUGACGAUUAAUGAUAUCAUUCGAGCGUGAUGACAGUUUUGCGAGUUUGUCAAGUUGUCGGAAUUAGUUUGAUUUGUUUAUGCAAUCAUUGUUUUCUCAUUACCAAUACACUUUUGAUAGUGUUUAUAAUGACAUGUUGAAAUUGACCUCAUCUAGUAUGCUUUCGCUACUAGAAUACUUGUUAUAAUGAAUACUAUUUAAUGUGCAGUAUCCAUUUCAGAACAUUCUCGAAUGACAGGUUCCUCCAGUAAAACCACACAAUUUCAAAGGGUUCAUGGAUUAGCCUUAAACCAUGCAUUUUCAAAGGGUUCUCGGUUAUCCUUAAACCUUGCAAUUUCACACGGUUCAUGGGUUAGCCUUAAACCAUGCAAUUUUCAAAAGGUUCUUGACUAUCCUUAAACCUUGCAAUUCUAAAGGUUCACACGGUUAGCCUUAAACCAUGCAUUUUCAAAAGGUUUUUGGUUAUCCUUAAACCUUGCAAUUUCAAAGGGUUCAUGGAUUAGCCUUAAACCAUGUAUUUUCAAGAGGUUCUUGGUCAUCCUUUAAACCAUGCAAUCCCAAAGGGUUCAUAGGUUAACCUUAAACCAUGCAUUUUCAAGAGGUUCUUGGUUAUCCUUAAACCUUGCAAUUCACAGGGUUCAUGGGUUAGCCUUAAACCAUGCAUUUUCAAAAGGUUCUUGGUUAUCCUUAAACCUUGCGAUUUCAGAAGUUCUUGGUUAUCCUUAAACCAUGCAAUUCUAAAGGGUUCAUGGGUUAGCUUUAAACCAUGCAUUUUCAAAAGGUUCUUGGUUAUCCUUAAACCAUGCAAUUUCAAACGGUUCAUGGGUUAGCCUUAAACCAUGCAAUUUUCAAAAGGUUCUUGGUUAUCCUUAAACCUUGCAAUUCUAAAGGUUCAUGGGUUAGCCUUAAACCAUGCAUUUUCAAAAGGUUCUUGGUUAUCCUUAAACCUUGCAAUUUCAAAGGGUUUAUGAGUUAUCCUUAAACCAUGCAUUUUCAAGAGGUUCUUGAUUAUCCUUAAACCUGGCAAUUUCAAACGGUUCAUGGGUUAGCCUUAAACCAUGCAAUUUUCAAAAGGUUCUUGGUUAUCCUUAAACCUUGCAAUUUCAAAGGGUUUAUGGGUUAGCCUUAAACCAUGCAUUUUCAAAAGGUUCUUGGUUAUCCUUAAACCUUGCAAUUUCAAAGGGUUUAUGGGUUAGCCUUAAACCAUGCAUUUUCAAAAGGUUCUUGGUUAUCCUUAAACCUUGCAAUUUCAAAGGGUUUAUGAGUUAUCCUUAAACCAUGCAUUUUCAAAGGGUUCUUGGUUAUCCUUAAACCUUGCAAUUUCAAUAGGUUCUUGGUUAGCCUUAAACCAUGCAUUUUCAAAAGGUUCUUGGUUAUCCUUAAAUCUUGCAAUUUCAAAGGGUUUAUGAGUUAUCCUUAAACCAUGCAUUUUCAAGAGGUUAUUGGUUAUCCUUAAACCAUGCAAUUUUAAAGGGUUCUCGAAUUAGCCUUAAAUCAUGCAUUUUCAAGAGAUUCUUGGUUAUCCUUAAACCAUGCAAUUUUAAAGGGUUCUUGAAUUAGCCUUAAAUCAUGCACUUUCUAGAGGUUCUUGGUUACCUUUAAACCAUGCAAUUCCAAAGGGUUCAUAGGUUAGUCUUAAACCAUGCACUUUCAAGAGGUUCUUGGUUAUCAUUAAACCAUACAAUUCCAAAAGGUUCACAAGUUAGCCUCAAACCAUGCAUUUUCAAGACAUAAUUUCAAAGGGUUCAUGGGUUAGCCUUAAACCAUGCAUUUUCAAGAGGUUCUUGCUCAUCCUAAAAUCAUACAAUUUACAUGGUUAGUGGGAUUGCCUUAAACCGCACGGUUAGUGGGAUUGCCUUAAACCACACGGUUAGUGGGACUGCCUUAAACCACACGGUUAGUAGGACCGCCUUAAACCACAAGGUUAGUGGAACUGCCUUAAACCACAAGGUUAGUGGGACUACCUUAAACCACACGGUUAGUGGAUCUGCCUUAAACCACAAGGUUAGUGGAACUGCCUUAAACCACAAGGUUAGUGGGACUGCCUUAAACCACACGGUUAGUGGGACUGCCUUAAACCACACGGUUAGUAGGACCGCCUUAAACCACAAGGUUAGUGGGGAAUACCUUAAACCACAAGGUUCGUGGGACUGCCUUAAACCAUACGGUUAGUGGGACUACCUUAAACCACACGGUUAGUGGAUCUGCCUUAAACCACAAGGUUCGUGGGACUGCCUUAAACCACAAGGUUCGUGGGUAUAUCCUUAAACCACACUUUUCAAAUUGUUCACAAGUACAUCCCUAGAUCACGCUCUUUACAUUAAGCUUACUUGCAUUUUCAUUUUUACAAUUACAAAAAAAAAAAAAAAAAACAAAACAAAAAACAAAAAACCAAAAAAUUAGGCGUCACCUUAUCUUUGAAAGAAACCUCUUUGAGCUUCCUUCCAAAGAGGGGCAGCUGUUGACACCUAAUUUUUGCCCAAAAAUAUUUCAUUCCAGCAUAUAGAUUAUCUAGGUGUUUAAUAUCGUGUUUUAAAUGAAAGAUGUUUUUCCUAUAAAAAAAUAAUAAUAAUUUAAAAAAAAGAAAAAAAAAAGAAAUCGAAAAAAAAAAAAAGAAAAAAAAAAGAGAGAGGAGACGAGAAGAAGAGGGGAGGGCUCGGAAUCGUUCCCCAAGGAGGCCCUCAGAAGCAACUCCAGAAAAGCAAACCCAGAAAAAUUCCAGAUGAACCUCCAGAGAGAAAAGAGAAAUUUUCGCAAACUUGCAGCCAAAAUUAGCCAAAACCUUAAACUAGAGAGUGAAACUUCACUCAAAGAUAUUUCCAUCCAUAGGUCGCACGUCCAAAAUGGAGAUCGGGAAGGCCUCCUAAAGCCCCCCGAAACAGUGCCCUCCUGGCGGGCCAAAGAAAGUCCGAAAAUUUUUCUAAGUGUUGAGCCCGGUUGGUCACGAGUGAGGAAAGCCAGUGUUUUUGAGAAAGUUGAGAGACAAAUGAGGAAAAUCUUGACUUUCAACCCAAACUAGAAUACAUAUAGUUUGGUGUGGUGUCAAUUUUUCCAACAAAAUACGUCUUGAAGUCUAAUGUUAGAGGUCAACGAAAACCUUCAUUGUCAGUUUAUUUUUUUUGCAGAUCUCAUUUCCAGUUGAAGAAGCCAACUUCCACAGGCCCCCGAGGAUAAUUUGUUGGUUUCAUCGGCCAAGAACCACUUGAAAAGGAAACUAGGAAGUAAGGUAAGCAUCCUAGAUAUACUUAUUUUCGAGUUUGAGCAUGUUUUGAUCAUGAAAAUCAAGAGGAAAAGCAGCCCGGAAAACUGAUUUCUGAGGUUGAAAUUUCUUCCAAGUGUUUGAAAUCUCUUCAAGAGUGUUGCAUGUGGGCUUCUUGGAGAGGUCGUUUUGAUGUUGUUCGGUGGGUCAUUCUCUGUGAUGUUUAUUGCAUUUGAAAGCUCAUGUUACCUACUUUCACUCGGAUCAAGUAAGGUUUCCUUUAGAUCUCAUAUGCAAUGAGUGUCGGGGCUUGAAUAUGGGCAUGUAACCUGUUUGUUUGACUUGGGUUCAAACCCAAAUUUGCAAAAUCAGUUCAAACCUGUGUAUUUGAGGAUGAUUUUAGCUUGGUUCUAGUGUGUUUUUAGCUAUGAUUUCUAUCUAAUCUUGUUCUUUGCAUGUGGUAGUAUGAUCUUAAUACUUUAGUUCCACAUGAGAUUGCUUAUGAGUGGAGAUUGAAGGCUGCAAACAUGGCUCAAGGAGGCUAUUGGGGCUAGUUUAAUGCACACCAAGUGUUCGACAAAAUGCCCAAACUAAGCUUCGAUCUUGAAAAGGUUGAUUUGAGCUUGAUUAUUGUGAUAUUCAUGUGCUGUGUUACUCCAUGUUAGCAUAGAUCGGUUUAAGGAAUUAUUAUUAUUUUAAAAAAAAAAUAAUUAAAAAAAAUAGAAAAAUAUGAAAAUUUCAAAAAAAAUAUCAAAAAAUGUUAGAUAGCAUCAAAUUAGGAUAUAAAUGACAUAUAUGAAAUUUUCCUAAUUUUAAAAGGUCAUUUUCCUAAUUUAAUGCUAUUUUGGUAUUUUAUAGCCAUUUUUGUAAAUAAUCCAUUUUGCGUAGAUUAAAACUAUUUAAAGUAAUUUCAUGCAUAUAGAGUAAUUUCAUGCAUAUUUGAAUUCUCAUUUUGCUCAUGGGGGUCCUGUCCCGGGGCGUGAUAACAAGGCCAUGUAAUAUGUUUGUAUCUCACUGAUUNNNNNNNNNNNNNNNNNNNNNNNNNNNNNNNNNNNNNNNNNNNNNNNNNNNNNNNNNNNNNNNNNNNNNNNNNNNNNNNNNNNNNNNNNNNNNNNNNNNNNNNNNNNNNNNNNNNNNNNNNNNNNNNNNNNNNNNNNNNNNNNNNNNNNNNNNNNNNNNNNNNNNNNNNNNNNNNNNNNNNNNNNNNNNNNNNNNNNNNNNNNNNNNNNNNNNNNNNNNNNNNNNNNNNNNNNNNNNNNNNNNNNNNNNNNNNNNNNNNNNNNNNNNNNNNNNNNNNNNNNNNNNNNNNNNNNNNNNNNNNNNNNNNNNNNNNNNNNNNNNNNNNNNNNNNNNNNNNNNNNNNNNNNNNNNNNNNNNNNNNNNNNNNNNNNNNNNNNNNNNNNNNNNNNNNNNNNNNNNNNNNNNNNNNNNNNNNNNNNNNNNNNNNNNNNNNNNNNNNNNNNNNNNNNNNNNNNNNNNNNNNNNNNNNNNNNNNNNNNNNNNNNNNNNNNNNNNNNNNNNNNNNNNNNNNNNNNNNNNNNNNNNNNNNNNNNNNNNNNNNNNNNNNNNNNNNNNNNNNNNNNNNNNNNNNNNNNNNNNNNNNNNNNNNNNNNNNNNNNNNNNNNNNNNNNNNNNNNNNNNNNNNNNNNNNNNNNNNNNNNNNNNNNNNNNNNNNNNNNNNNNNNNNNNNNNNNNNNNNNNNNNNNNNNNNNNNNNNNNNNNNNNNNNNNNNNNNNNNNNNNNNNNNNNNNNNNNNNNNNNNNNNNNNNNNNNNNNNNNNNNNNNNNNNNNNNNNNNNNNNNNNNNNNNNNNNNNNNCUUUGAGUGAAGUUUCACUCUCUAGUUUAAGGUUUUGGCUAAUUUUGGCUGCAAGUUUGCGAAAAUUUCUCUUUUCUCUCUGGAGGUUCAUCUGGAAUUUUUCUGGGUUUGCUUUUCUGGAGUUGCUUCUGAGGGCCUCCUUGGGGAACGAUUCCGAGCCCUCCCCUCUUCUUCUCGUCUCCUCUCUCUCAUCUCUUGAAAGACCUUGCUUCAGUUAUCUUAUCCCCCGAAUUAAGGGAUUUUUGGUCAGCCUUUUGUCCACCUACCAGGCCUGUCAACCGGGCUACUCAACCUACUCUUCUGACUUGGCCAAUUUUUUAACUUCUGCAGCUGUUGAGUGUGCAGGUUUUGCUGCGAUUUUCCGGUGCUGUCAGACGCUUAUCUCUGGCCAAUUUUCGUCCACUUGCACUACUAUAUACGGUCUUCCAUCACGUGCAAAGAUCGGGCUGGUUGGGCAGCUGAGGAAGAUAUGGUGGGGCCACCAAAUUGCUUACUCAGCAACUCCGGAUUAAGACCAACUCGUGGACUAAGUUUUGGCUGCUGAUUUGAGUGCUUUAAUCCACUAAUUUGGCUGAGUUUUUUGAUCAAUUAGAAAGCUCAUGUAUAUUAGUUUAAGAUCUUGAUCAUUUUUCGCAAUUAUCUCCACCCAAUUUUGCAAGAAAGUCCCUCAAAGUUAGCCAUUUUCUUGCCCUAAAAUGCCAAAUUCAAUGCAAUUAGGUCCUUUUUGGCUCAAUUUGAUAGAUUCUACUUGGCCCAAAUUCAAUUUCAACUUAAUUGAUGACUAAGAUGAUGAUUUAAGGGCUCGGGCGCAAAUUUUGCAAAAUUUACGAAUUGGUCCCUCGACUUUUGGAAAUUGCAUUUUGGCCCCAACUUGUCAUUUGGAUUCCAAUCUGACCUCCUAGGCUUGGCUAGUCACAUUUAGAUCGUUGGCCCCAACUUGCUCUCUCUCUCUUUUUUUUCUUCUUUUUUUUUUUUCGAUUUCUUUUUUUUUUUCUUUUUUUUAAAUUAUUAUUAUUUUUUUAUAGGAAAAACAUCUUUCAUUUAAAACACGAUAUUAAACACCUAGAUAAUCUAUAUGCUGGAAUGAAAUAUUUUUGGGCAAAAAUUAGGUGUCAACAGUCCAUGAGUCGUAUUCAUUUUCAUUAGAUGAAACACGUGACUGUUGACUAAGUAGUAUUGACAUCAAUACGUGACACGACAUACCAACACAUCGUUUCUAAAAAAUCAGAGAAUUUCGAUAUGUUAUAUAUAUAUAUAAUCAUUUUUAUGAUUAUUUCAAUCAAAUUAAUUUAAUUCAAAUUCAUAAAUAAAUAAUAUAAAAAAGUCUAGAAUGAAUUUACACUAAAAACAUUAAUAUGCUAUUUAUUAAUAUCUUUUUGACAAAUUCAACUCCAUUCCAAUAAUUUAUAAAAUUUAAAAGGAAAAAAACAAGUAAUUCACAUUCUGGACUCACGUGUUAGAUAUGUCGGAAGAGAGAGAAAAAACUUGGUGGUGAAUUAUGUAUCACAAGAAGUGAAAGUCAGAAAAUAAGAUAAGACUAGGUUUUUUUUUCUUUUCCAAUUUAUUAUUUUUUAUAGUUUUUUACAUAUAUAUUUUGACCCAUCAUUUAUUGAAAAAUUUUCAAAUUAAUUUCACAUAUUAGAAUCACAUAUCAAAAACUCGCAUGUCAGAAUUUCAACUUGAGUAUUAGAAAGAGUUAGGAAAAUUAACUAAGUGUCGGAUUUUCCAACACAUAUUGACCGAGUGUCAAAAAGUGUCCAAAAGUGGUGGAGAGCAUUUGACACGUGUCAAAGUAUCCAACACAAUACAAAGACUUCUAGAGAGUGUUGAUACUUCCUAGACUAUUUACAUGGUACACCUUAUAUUUGUUAUUUAAAAAAAUAAAAAUAGGUAAAAAUGACAACAACAAAAAAAAGAAGCUAUAUGGUAAUAAAAAAAUCAUAAAAAAAAGGAAAGUGAAAAUACUGUGAGUUCAUUUUCUUUUCCGAUGACCUCAAUGGGGAACAAAAAUCAUUGACUAAUUGAAAAUUAAGCAAGUUGGUCUAGGAACUGUGUUUAUUCCAAUUAGACGAAACACGUGAUUACAUUUAAAAAAAUGGUAAAAAUGACAAAAUAUAAAAAAAGGAAGGCGAAAAUACUGCGAUUGUUGACAAUUUAAAUUGUCCCAUCGAGGAUCAUCUAGAAAAGAAAAUGUCUUGGGAGUUCAUUUUCUUUUUCGAUGACUUCAAUGGGGAGCAAAAAUCAUUGACAAAUCAAAAUCUAAGCAAGUUGAUCCAUGAACUGUGUUCAUUCCCCUUAGACGAAACACGUGACUAUAGACAUAUUAUUUUUGUUACAUAAAAAUAAAAAUAAAAAGGUAAAAAUGACAAAAAAAAUGUAGUAAAAAAAUAAAAAAAUAAAAACGAAAAUACCGUGACUACUGACAAUUUGAAUUAUCCCCAUUGAGGAUCAUCUAGAAAAGAAAAUGUCCUCGGAGUUCAUUUUUUUUUUUUGAUGACUUCAUUAGGGAGCAAAAAUCAUUGACUAAUCAAAAUCUAAGCAAGUUGGUCCAUAAACCAUGUUUAUUACCAUUAGAUGAAAUAUGUGACUGUUGACACAUUAAUUUUUUUUUUACAUAGAAAUAAAAAAAAUGGUAAAAACAAAAAAAAAACCUAUAUAGUAAUAAAAAAAAAAAGUAACGCGAAAAUACCCAAAAAAAAAAGGGCUGUAGUACUAAGCAUGGAUAAAUAGAAGAGAGUAGAGAAUUUUUUUGAUAAAAAUUAAUAUAUAAAAAAAGAAAAAUAAUAAAAGCACUAAUAAACCUUGGGUGGGCCAUUUAUACCAAGCCCGUUUUCUUUAGUAAAAUAUUCAGUCCAACUUCCCGAUUUUCCUUAUUUUCUUUCAGCCCACAAUUUGAGCCCAAAAAGGUGAGAAACAGAGAUUGAAAAAAACUCGCAAAACUCGUCCGAUCCAGAGUACUUCGCCCGAGUUUCUUUGAAUUUGGCCGGAAAUAGCUUCGAGUCUUUUGGUCGCCGAUCGCCGUGUCUGUCCACGGCCGAGCGACCUAGAUACUUUCUGAAGCCGUUCGUCCAAUCGACGAUCUUGUGGAGCUCAAUUACCUUGAUCCUUCGUUCUCAGUCUUGCCCAGGUAAGGUGAGCUUCCCCUUUCUCGAUCAUGCUCUGUCUUAGCCCUGUCUUUCAAGAGCCCGAACUCGAUCGGCAAGUUAAUAAGUAAAUCAUGAUAAGCUGGGAUCGACUGGCUGUGGCAUUGAUCUAAGUCUCUGUAUACCAUGAUUAGGCUAAGAGUCGCUAGAAAAUCAAAUUGGAAAAUCAUUGUUGAAGUUACACGUCAUGCGUUCGAUAAAAUGCAUAAGUGAGAUUUCGAAAUAGAUUGUGUGCGAUUCACUUUUGACUUUAUUUAGUCUGAAUUUGAUCCCUUUUCAUUGAAUUGCUUGCUCAUACUGAUGUUGUUGACUCGUUUUGUUCUUUUUAUGUUGCCAUUUACACAUCAUCGAGUCGGCCAUGGACGAACUUCUUGCCGGAAGAUCCAUACCCUUAGCCGGAGAAGUCGUGGUUAGAAGCUGCGGUAGUCGGUCCUUUCUUUUUGUCUUGUGGUAAUGCUUCUGAAGUGGUUACACUGGGCCUUUUAUUAGCUGAACAGUUGCUUUUGCCAGUUGCUGUUGCCACUUAACAACCUAGGCCUACUCUAAUUGAAAAUGAAAAAAAAAAAUUGCGAAAAAAUAAUCCCAAAAAAAAAUUGAGAUUUUUGUUAAGUAAUCAAAUAAGCAAAAAAUACUAAUCCUUGGGUCGAUUAAGAUCCCCUAUUUUUCUUCUGGUCACCAGCUCUACCAAGACCACCCCAAAUGAAUACAUAAUAAUUUUUUUAGUGAGCUUCUCAUCAAAGGCAUUCACCAAACUCAAGUAGUUGCAUUACGUAGAUUAUAUCAGCAAAAGAUGACACAACGAAUAUAUGCUCGGAGGCGAAACAAAUGCACUCAAUCAUUAGUGAUGUGAUGAUCGCUUUAACUAAUUCAAAGGCAUCCACAUACGAUCUCCCCCUCUCCCCCUCCUCUGUGAAUAAGAAUUCAAUGUCUGAAGAGGGAAUUUUUUAGUGAACACUGGCUUGGUUUCAUCCAAUAGAGGACCAUUAGGACCAUUGUGGUAUUUCUACUCGUUGUCGAUCCUUCCGCUAUAACUUCCAACAUCAGCCUGCUAAUUGACAUAGAAUUCACGUCUACAUGCAUGUCCCCUUCCGGGAUUCAAAGCAUUUUCUCCAACACGUAAAUGAAAAGAAAAAAAUUACACAUAUACUAUAUCGAUUCAAUACUAUUUGAAACUAUCUACACAAAUAGUCUUUAAAACAAUUAACAAUUUUAAUAUAAUUUUAGUAUUUAACUUUAACAAUAGGCACUUUUGUUUAGUGCAUACCUAUAAAUGUUUUUUAAUUAACAUGUAAUAAUCAUUUGACAUUAAAUUACUUUAUCAAAGUCUUUCCUUGUGAUAUGUGAGAUCUUGACUUAGGAUCCUAUCGAAUACACAAUAAUGCAGCAUGGCACAUGCAUGAAACCUCUUCCUCUAAAAAUUGAUCUCCCAAGCGAGGGUCGAUCAGUUCAUGAAUUGUGGACUCAAAUGAUAAGCUUGUCUAUAGAGAAUAUUAGUUAAAUAUAAGAAGAGUUAUGGUCCUGAAAACCGAAACUUAGACAAGUUGAGAAUAGAUUGAAAAUUCAUUCAUUUCAUAUUCACUUUGUCAAACACUACUAGCCAUUAGGUUGAUUAAGAUCCACGAUAUUUCUUCCGAUGACAUGCUCUACCAAUCCACCCUAAAAUAAUAGUAAUAAUAAUAAUAAGAAAAAUAUAACAAUUUUGUUAGUGAGCUUCUUGUUAAAGGCAUACUUCGGACCUAGGUGGUUGCAUUAAGUAGACUUGCAUCAGCAAAAGAUGUCAUAUUGAAUAUAUGCUUGAGAGGAAACAAAUGAACUCAAUCAUCAGUGAUGAGAUGACCACUUUUGCUAAUUCACUAAGUAUCCGCCUAUGAUCUCUUUCUCUCCCAACUCCUUCACAAAUAAGAAUUUAAUAUUCCAUAGUUUCAUCCAACAGAGAAUCACUGUAGUAUUUAUACUCGUCACAGAUCCCUUCCGCUAUGGCUUCCAACAUCAACAUGGCGAUCAACAUGGAAUUCGCAUCUAUGUGUAUGUCCCUUCCAAAAUUCAAAGCAACGCGCAAAAGAAAAGUGAAAAAAAAAUAUUUAUUCAAUACUAAUUUGAAAUUAACCAAAAAAAAAAGUCUCCAAAACACCUAACAAUCUCAAUAAAUUCAAGCAUCUAACUUAAGAAGUAAACACUGUUGUUCAAUGCAUACCUACAAAUUUUUCCUAACUAACACGUGAUAAUCAUUUGGCAUUAAAUUGCUUUACCAAAGUCUUUACUUGUGAUAUGCGAACAUUAUCUUGAUCCAGGUUGUUAUUGUGGUAACUCUAGUGAAUAUGGUAUAUUUUAUAUAGACACCACUUAUAAAUAGUAAAAUAAUGCUAAGGGAAGUAACAAAUGAAGUCAUGUUACAAGAGAUAUAAAAUUCAUAAACCUGUUGAUGAUUAGCCCCAUUAAUGGUGUGCCAGUUAGGGUAGUUUUGUACCCGAGUCCUACCAGACUCUACUUGGGGGAGACAUCGCUCUUUGAAAUGUGAUGGCAGCUAAUGGAUCAGCUAUGAACAUUUUUACAUCUACAUGGACUUAUCUCGAUUUUCAUUUUCGAGUUCCCUUUCUUCACGUGGAGCGGUGGCCAUGUUGUCGGGAGAUUUUUUUCUUUCAUUUUUUUUUUCUUUUGAACGUUGUACUGGGAGUCUCUUGCUUUUCACAUCCUUCUUUAUUUUUUAUUUUAAUAUAUAUUUUCUCAAGAGAUUCUUCAUCAAUUCUUGCUUGCUUCCUUUAUGUUACUAUUUCAUUCCUUUUCCUUUUUUUUUUCAUCAUUUAAUGUAUAAGAAUAAAUUGUUAUAAAAUGCAAAAAGAAGUUCAAAAAAAUAUCAGAACAGUCUCUCCACGGCGAAAGUUUCUGCAUUGCGAAAAAAUAUUUCAAAAAGCUCUCUCUCUGCUGAGGGCAUCAUCCGUCUAGUUGGUUCCUCCUGCCAUAGACAAUCCAUGUGAAGGCAAAGAGAGAGAGAGAGGCGAAAACUUUCUAAAAUAUUUUUUCGCAAUGCGGAAGCUUCCACCUUGGAGAGUCUAUUCUAAUAAAAAAUUCUUUUUUGCAUUUUAUGACAAUUCAUUCUUAUACAUUAAAUGAUGAAAAAAGGGAUGAAAUAGUAAAUAAAAGAUGCAACCAAGAAUUAAUGAAGAAAUCUCUUGAGAAAAACAAAGAUUCAUGUGAAAAGCCAAGAUACUCCCAAUACAACGUUCAAAAGGAAAAAAAAAAACAAACAAAAAAAAAGUCUUUCGACAACAUGACCAUCGCUCCACAUGAAGAAAAGGAACUCAAAAAAGAAAACUGGGAUAAAUCAUAUAGAAUGCAAUCAUGAUCAUAGCUGUGCCACUGCCUGCCAUCACAUUCCAAGAAGCGAUAUCUCCCCCAAGCGGAGUCUAGCAGAACUUGGGUGCAAAAUCACCCUACCUGGCAUGCUAGGGCAUCUAAUUAUCAACGAGCUUAUGAAUUUUAUAUCACUUGUAACACAAUUUCCUUCAUUACUUCCCUUAACAUUAUUUUACUACUUAUAUGUAUUGUCUAUUUAAAAUAUACCAUAUUCACUAAUGCUACCAUGAUAAUGACAUAGAUCACAAUAAUCUUCGCGUAUCAUGAGUAAAGACCUUGAUAAAUUAAUUUAAUGCCAAAUGAUUAUCACGUGUUAGCUUGGAAACUUUCGCUAGAUUUGAAUAGCUAAACUUAAUACUCUCUAUGCACAUAUUGUAGUGGCCUUUUCCUCAUGUUAAUUAUUAGAUUGUUGAUCAUGAAUGGCUAGCCUAACUUAACAAUCUCAUCAAAUUGUGUACAUGUGAAAGUGUGGAAGAAUAUUUGGUGGAGAAUAUUGACAUACCAAAUAAGUUGACAUUGGCAGACACAAAAAAUUAAAUAUUAACAUACCAAAUAAGUUUAACUUGGCAGACAAAAAAAAAGAAAAGAUGCAUGAUGUUUCUCCAUUUUAAUUCCUAAUUAUGAUUUGUGGAAAGUGAAAUUCAAAAAGAAAAAAAAACAGAAUUAAACAUUGGACUAGGAAAAUAAUGCGAAUGCGAAAUAUUCUCCAUGCCAUUGCUAGGUACCUUUACCAUUAAAACUCAAUCAUGGGCAAGAUGUCAACAUAGCAAACUAGAGAUACAAUAAUGCCACCUAGCAAGAACUGAUUGAAUCCUAACAUAUAUAACAUCAAUUCUAGGUUCCUUAAUGUUGCGACCUACCCCUCCCAGAAGGGAAUAUAGGAGGUGUUGCUGAAUUCGAGUCAACGGCUUUCAAUUUGACACAGAUUUGACACAGGUUCUCCCAAACCCAAUCUUGCAUGACAUAACUCAUUUGAAUUCCAUAUAAAAAGUUACCACUAGCCAAUUGAGAUCGAUGAGAAAUUAAGUGAAAUAUGAGGGAAAUAACUAGAGAUCUUGGAAACGGAGACUUGAUUACAUUAAUUAUAAAACUGAUGCCCCAUUCAUAAUGUAAACUUAACUAUUUGCUAACCAAGGUGUAAGGACAGCCUAUUGAAGAUUUUAAAAUUCAUUCUAACCAUUCUAAAAAUAGAAAUUACCAUCAAUAUAUAAAGAGGCACAAUCAAAUAUAAUUUAAAUGAACAAUGUAAGCAAUAACCUAGUAUCGUCUCUAAAAAGACAUCCAAAAAAUCUUGUGGUGAAGCGGCUUGUUCAAUUAGGAUUCAAUUUUUUCAAGGAUUUUCCACUUUUUAAGCAAAAACUAUUUAAAAGCUAAAUUUUAGGCUUAUUUCCAAGGAUUUCCGAUUUUUCUGAAUUUUUUAAUUUUUUUUAUGAAAUUUCUGGAUUUUCUGGAUUUUUAUUUUUUUUAAUUAUUCUUAUGUUUUAUUAUUAUUAUUAAUUUUUUAUAUUUUUAAUUCAGAUAAGGACUUCGGGCUGGCUCCGGUCCACCAAGCCCAUUUGUUGAAAUUAAAAGGCACUAAGCCCACCUGCUAAAAAAAAAAACGCAGCCCAAGCACCUCUAUGAGUAAAACCAGCCUGAAUCUAUUAGAACCACUUAGGCCCAAGGUUCGUCAAGUCUAAUUAAUCCCGAAGUUCAUUAAACUAAACUAAGCCCACUUACACCGAUCCUCUUUUCUUAUCUAAUUUUUCCCUUUUUUUUUCUCUCUCCUUUUUUUUUUUUCUAUUUUCCAUUAUUCUUUAUUUUCUCUUCCCUUCCACUGUUCCAGUGCGUUUGGAUGGGCAUUUAGAAAGCCCAUCCAAGCCCCAAAGCCCUUUCACCCUAAGGGAGGGUGUUUGGCAACCAUUCCCAAGGGGCUUUCAGGUGAAAGUUUGCCCUUGGGAAUGCUGAAAGCUCAAGGCUGGUGGCUGGUGGAGACCAGCCUUGAGCAUUUCAGCAUUUUCGGAAUGCUUCGGCUUCCAUUUAAUGAAAAUAUUAAGUUCCCUAUUCUACCCCCAAAAUUUUCGUGAAAACCCACCGUUGCCCAUUUUGAAAACAAAAAAACCCCUAAUCUCAUUCGCACUCCUCUCUUCCAUCGCCUUCUCUCUCCACCCUCCCCCACGCUCUGCACCCUUCCCCAUCGCUCUCUCACUGCGAGCUCGACUGUCGUCCUCCGAUCCGCCGCCGCCGGUCAGUGGCGCCGCCGCCGACGAAGACGACCGCCGCGAUCGAUCGACCGAGAGGCUAGUGAGAGGCCGGUGAGCGGCGCGCGAGGUCGGUGGAUCCCCGAUCGGGAAUGUCUUGGGUGGGAUGGAACCGGACGUCCGAGAGCUUCCACCUGGCGCUCGCGUAUGGCACCGCGGAGGAUCCGGGCCACGCCGGCGUCGAGGAUCCGACGCGCGUCGGUCUCGUCAACGGCGUCGUCGGGAUCGGGGUCGGGGUUGUCGCUGGGGUUGAUGUCGCCGCGGCAUUUUUUGCUAACUGUUGUCUCUCUCUCUUUGUUCUGUUUGAUAUCCCCACCAGGCGAGAAUGCCAAGUCUCGGGGGCUCUCGAUCGAGAAGAAGAUUGAGUUCCUGGAGAGUUUGACUGGAGGGGUGAGUGCAUUGAGUGAUGCGUGGAUGCGGAAUGACCUUAUGGAACUUCAUUUAAUUGCUAUCCAUCAUAAUCCCAUUCCUGCUUUGGGGUGUUCAUUCACCUGUUUACAGUAGGUUCUUUAACUCAUGCUGCCCAAAUUUGUUGAUGCCCUGAUUUGCUCCUUAUUUGGUGCUAUAUGUAUGCUUAAUCUAGCAUCCCAGUUUGUAUUAUGUUGCAACAAAUUUUUUGCUAUCAAAGUCAUACGUGCCAGUUACGAGUUAUGCACUGGUUUUUUGUGUUCUGUUUUUCAACAUGGAUGUUUAUUCAUAUAGCUGAUACUUGCUAGAAUGAGUGGGCAAUGAAUGGGUAUAGAGAAUACAUGUCAAUUUUGUGUUAUGUUAUGCAACCUGGAUGUUCAUGGGCAACUUCACAAUGUUUUGUUCCUGUUAAGGAGGGUCUUUCUUGUGAAAAUCGGUUCUGUGUUUAACGGGGGAUUAUGUGGACAGAUAGGCUUGGGGUUUGGAGACUUUCUUGCUCUUGUUGGCUUAGAAGUUGAGUUGUGAUGCUGCAAAUGCAUGUAUCUCUUGAUCUACAUGUACAAUGUGUUAUGGGCAUGGAAGUUGCACAAGAAAGGGGAGCUAAUGAUCUUAGUGGUACAUCUCUGGAUGGGGAACAUCAUAGGUAAGAGGCAUGCCUAUUCAUGAAGAUUGGUCUUCUUUGAACACAGGGUAUACCAGGGCUUCAAACAUCCAUGUUGACUGUCGUGAAGAUGCUAAUGAGCUUAGCUGAGGUUAAUGACGGUGAAAUAUCGACACCUUGUCACUUUCAAAAUUCAUGGAUCUAAUUGCUGAUGAAGGUCUGAGAGGUCACUCAAAGGAUUCAUCCUCCACUUCAUCUGGGGAGUCAAGCAGACCAGACAAAUCAUCUUUGUGGUCAAAAGACAUGGCAGCUUAUGUGCUAUAAUGACCUUUAAUUCUAUCUAUGACAGGAGCAUUUGAACUUUUAUUAUGUACGCUUUGCAUGUAAACAGAGAAUAGAUAUUUGAGAAACUGUGUUGUAUCAAGGUUUGUUGUACAUAGUAUUCUAGCUUGAUCAAAUGGCUCUAAGUUUAGGAAAUAUUUAAGGAUGUUUGUAAUUUUAAAGGAUAAUAAAUUUAUUUCCUCGGGGCAGAUGUUAUUCCAUUUAUUAUAAUAAAGGUUUUUUUUUUUUUUAAAUUAAGAAAGAGACCACUUUGAUGUGAAUUUUUUCCAUUUGAUAUUUUUUAGCAUUGUCGUCAAAAUUUAAAUUAAAAGAAGUUGCAUGCAUUAUUUUUGUCAAUUUUAAACAUAUAAAAACUAAAAAGCUAAUAUUAAUCACUCAAAUGGGCUUUCUAAAUGUGUUUUUUUACCAAACAGCAUUUAUCUCAAAGUUGCUUUUCAAAGCAGAAUUUACCAAACAGUCUUUGCAUUCCCUCCAAAGCCCUUUAGGCUAAACUGCUUUGCAUUUUCUCAAUGGGCUUUCCAAAUGCCGAACCAAACGCACCCUUCGUCAUCUUCUUCCGAGAACGACUUCUUCCCUGCGAAUAUCCCCUUCAACCGAAUCCCACCAUUUUCUCAUGAGCCCUCGCCGGCGCUUAGGCCACUGCCGAGCCACCACCCCGUGUCGAUCGCCUAACCCGACAACGCCAGUCACCACCGGCCAUCACUCUGUCGCCGGUCGUCCCUCGCUGGCCAUAACCAAACCUCACCGGCGACGUCAAUGUCACCGAAACACGUGAUACAAAACGGCAUCCAUUCUAACAGAACGUGCACGCAAAUGAGUGGAUAGGAAACUAACCAUGGCGGCCUCUAACCGCGGGCUUCUCCGGCUGAAAGAAUGGCAUCUCCGGCGGCGAGGCGUUCACGGCCGACUCGAACGAUGAGGAAUAUGCCACCAAAAAAAUCGAAGAAAAAGCCGAUUCAGUCUCAGUUUAAACGACUCAGCCGGACCCAACUGAUCAGACUUUUUGAAACCAAAGCACCCACAACCGACGACAAACGAUGAGAAACCGCAAAGGUCUCGCCUUUUUCUCCACGGCAAUCCCACCCAGAAUCCGAAAAACUCAAACUUUUCAAUUUUCACGCACGGACAAGACAAAGACAGAGACACCCAUAUUCAAAAAAAAGCGUCCGUGCAAACAGAGACGGUACCUUGUCCAGACGAUGACGACCCAGCGGGGCCGCGAGGGUCGAGGGGGUGAUGAUGGUGGCGGCGGCCGGAAUCGAUCUCGAUCUCCGUCACGGCCGCCGCCGCCUCGGGCGGCCCGGCCGUUUCAAUCGUGGGCAUCACCGCAGCGAGUGACGGGAAAGCGAGAGCUUUUCUUGAGCGGCGACGGUUUUUUGCGUUUGAUAGCAAGGAGCCGACGGACGGAACCGUUCCCUAGCCUACUUAAAAGACACGUAGCGGGCCAAGAAUUUUGCUAAAAGAACGGGCCAAAUCAAACCGCCCCGCUUGAUUUUUAUCAAUUUUUUUUUGUCGUUUUAAUACUAUAUUUUUUAAUUGUUUUACCAUUUUCAUUUUUAUAUUUUUGCAAAAUGGACGGAUGUCCGCAAUGUCACGCACGCUCCCAACCCCGCCGUUGCCGUCCCUCAUGUGGCGGAUGUGGCGGCUCUCGAUGAACAGAUUGCACCUCGGAGGGUUUGCGAAGCCACGCACCAAGGGCAGCACGGCACAGGCCGAUGCGUCGAUGCAUGAUGCUAUGAGGGACGUGCACAACGAUGAGUCGGGGUUGUAAUGACGACUAAUGAGGGAGUACGUUAUGUAAGGAGCAAGAGCCCCAUCUAUGAAGAGCUCCACUAACCUCAUAAAAUAGAUAAGAGACCCAUCAAAAUUUGGUAAUUUGGCUGCAAUACGUGAUUGUUUUCAUUUAGUAGUAUGACUAUCAAACCAAUAUCGUGUGUAUAAUCUACAGGCAAAGUGUCUGAUUUAUAUAGCAACGAUUGUAUCUAUAGCUAUGUCGCAUUGUUAUUAUGUUGAGUAUUGUAAUUUGUGUGUUUGGUAAUACAUGUUUUAAAUUCGCUACACUUCAAAAUUGGUUGAGACAACUUUCUAAAAGUUACUUGAGAUGGAUGCAAUCGUGAAAACUUGUCAAACAUUUUAUAAAGCCGCAAAAUUCCUUUUUAUAGUUUGUAAUUAUUAUAAGCUGAACCAGGCCAAUUUUUCCAGUAGCCUUGCGAUAAUAGACUAAUAGGGCUCAAACCCACAGCUUCGGCUUGACGAAAGAUUUUCAGUUCAAAUAGGGCUCAAACCCACAGCUUUGGCUUGACGAAAGAUUUUCAGUUCAACUCAUUCUUUCUUUCUCUUCGAAAAGCCCCAUUGGUACAAUAAUGACUAUCUCACUAGAAUGAAAAAAUUUAGAAAAUUGAAGGAUUGUUCCUAUAUAAGUUUGUUAACAUGUUUCGUCAUUCCAAAUCUCUCUCUCUCUCUCUCUCUCUCUCAAAAAUAUGCAUGUGCACAUUUAAAAUUGAGAAAUGCAAUAAAAUUUUUAAAACUUAUUAAAUUGGUACAAUGUAAACUCUCCAUUUUGUUUAAUUUGAUUAACAGAAAAUACCGACAUGAUUUUUUUAUUCAACAUUUUUAAAACACAUUGUCUCUACCAAGCGCAACAUUUAAAAAAAUUGAAAAUAUUUAAAUAAAAGAAGGAGAAAUAAGGAAAAAAUAGAUCAUCGUAAGAAAGAAAGAGGAAAACUUCGGGGUUCAAUGUAACUUCUCCAAAUUUCAUCUUCUCAACCCUUUUUUGUUUUGAAAUCAUGAAAGCAAAUCCAGAUUCAUUUGGCAAGCAAAAAAUCUAAAAUCAAAAUUAGAGAAAUAGGAAGGAGCAAAAAAAAAAAAAAGCAUACAGAGCACAACAAACAAAGAAAUAGAUAGAGAGAUAAAGCGAGAGAGUAUCAAACAACUAAAUUCUACAUGCCAUGGCCAUGAGCGUGAAGAAAUCUGUUGAAGUUUAAGCGAUUGAAAGAACUCUAGAAACAUUUGAAUUUAGAACUUCCUACUCUAGUACCAUGUGAAAUUUUGUUUGACCAUUGCCAACUCUUCUAAAAUCUUAAGCAAUUAGAUAAAUGUGUGAUUUAAUAUUUAAAUAUUUUAUUAUUAGAUAUAGGCACUGUUUAAUAGUUAAUUAGUCUUUCACUCCCCCUAGCAUGUUAAAUUAAACUUAGCAUGAGGUGGAGUGAUAGAAUAUUUGAAUAUUAGACCAUAUAUUCAUCUAAUAACUUAAAAUUUUAAAAUAGUUGAUAGUAGUCCUACAAAUUCUCACAUGAUAUUAGAGCAUAAAGUCAUAAGUUUAAAUCUUUCUAGGCCUUAUUUGCCUCCCUAAUUAAAUUUUUUCAUGCUUAGUACUAGGCAAAAGACCAACUAAGCAUGAGGAGAAGUGCUAAAAUAUUCAAAUAAUAAAUCACGCAUUCAUCUAAUAAUUUAAAUUUUUUAAAUAGUUGGCAAUGCUCCCAUAAAAUGUGAUAUUUAACAUUUAAAUAUUCUAUUAUUACAUGAAUGCACAGUUUAAAAUUUACCUAUUAUCUCACUUCCCUUGCCAUGUUAGUGGAAUAGUUGUUAGUGGUACCGCAAAAUCUCACACUUUAUCAUAAAAGAUUGAGAAGAUGAUCCGAAGAAGUCGACAUUCAAGCCAUCGAACUUUUGCUCUUUCUUUUUUAUGAGGUUCUUUUAAUUUUUUCUUUUACUCUUUUCUCUUUUUCUUUGUUAAAUUUUUUAAUUUUGCUUUAAUGCAUCACUUGUAGGCAACAUGUAUCUUCCAGAAAGUAACAAAAAAGCCACAUCACAUUUUUAUGUUAGUUAAAUUAAACAAAACUAACAUAGAUAUUUAAAUAUUGUAUUAUUAGAUGAAUGCACAGUUUAAAAUUGACCUAUUAUCUCACUUCCCUUGCCAUGUUAUUGGAAUAGUUGUUAGUGGUACCACAAAAUCUCACACUUUAUCAUUAAAAAUUGAGAAGAUGAAGAUCCGAAGAAGUUGACAUUCAAGCCAUCAAACUCUUGCUCUUUCUUUUUUAUCAGGUUCUUUUAAUUUUUUUCUUUUACUCUUUUCUCUUUUUCUUUGUUAAAUUUUUCAACUUUUUUUUUUCAUGCAUCACUUGUAGGCAACACGUAUCUUCCAAAAAGUAAUAAAAAAGCCACGCCACAUUUUUAUGUUAGCUAAAUUAAACAAAAUUAACGUAGACACUUUAUUAUGCCAAUCUAAUAAAAUUUUUAAAAUUUUUUAAAAUUCGAUUACAUUUUUGCGAUAAGUUUAAAAUUUUUUGAUACACUUAUCUCUUUAAAAUUUCAGAGUCGCCCAAUAUGGAUCUAUUUGACCGAAUGUUAGUAUAGUUUGUCACCAUCGGGGUACUAUCGACAUCAUAGAGUACUCUACAUGUACAGUCGCCGUAUGCUGAUAUUUCUUAGGGAGACAUAAUCAAAAACCAGAAAUGAACGACUCGAGUUUGACUCUUAACACUGAAAACACAUCGCCGUCUCACACCAACCCAAUCUAUUGAAAAAGCAAGGUACAAAAGGUUUAUUCGACCGUUUUCCACCACCACUUUCAUUGAAAACCCCAAAAAAGAAGGGAAAAAAAUCCACGAAGCUACUCCUAUAAGAAGCCAGCUCCAACAUUCCGCAAAUGCACCGACCAAUUCCCCAGCAUCUGAAGAUUUUUGUACUUGUGCAGUUCCUUAAUCACCCUCCAAAUCAGAAAAAAAAAACACAGAAUAAUGGCUAUGAAAUUUGGAGGAGCGAUGGAGCUUGUCGUGACAGCUUCGGAGAUGAUGGGUGCUUCAGUGGCCUAUCCCGGGUGGUACGACCACAACGGCCACGCUUGGCCUCCAAAGCAAGAUGACAGUACUGCCGAGGUCCCUCCCAAGAUUCAAGAAGGUCGUCGUUGAAGGGUCGGAGAAUUGGCAUUUCGGAUUUGGUUACAGCGCCUGGGCUCACGAGAACGGCCCCUUUUAUGUCAACGACACUCUCGGUAAGUCGCUACUAUGACUCAUUGAUUCAUAUCUGGAUUCAGCAUCUAUUGUGCCCCAUUUUUGUCUGUGUAAGUUUGUUCUUAAUUUUUUAUUUAACAGUUGAUAUGAGAGAUUCAUAGAUGAUCUUGAUGGUAUUAGAAUCGAUGCAAAUUCCUCCUCAGGCAACAUUAUCUUCUAGACAUUCACUUACUAUGAGACUUCGAUAUAAUGCAAUCUCACGCAUAUGAAGUAGAAGUAGAGUGCUGCGGAUAAUUACCUGGUAAAACAAUUGCUUUCAUUUGGAUAAGUUGUUAUGGCAUUUGUCAGCACAUUGUUGACACCUAAAAUUUUAAUUAGGUUUAAUUAGGUCUUAAUUUCUUUUAGAUAACAAAAAACCAAAUAAAUAGCAAAAACAACAAAAAAUAGUAAAAACAAAAGAAAAGAAAAACAAAAGCCCCCCCCCCCAAUUUUCUUCACGUGGGUUUUGUGCGGCUUGGCCCCACCCCCCUUCUUCCCUCUUCUUCUUCCUCGCUCCAUCUUUCUCCGCCUCUGUAGUUCACGCGCGGUGGCCGGCGACGCGCGCGAAGGACGGCCUACGGCCGAGGGGAGUAGGCCGACGUCGGCCGGAGAGGAUAAGAUCAGGCGCCAUUAAUGCCGAGCGAGCUUCGCUGGAAAGCUCGAUGGGACACCGGUUCGGCCGAGCGGAACCGGUGGGUAAGCCGGAGGCCGGCGACCGAACCCCUCCGUCGACCGGAGUUCCUUCGCCUAUAAAUAGGUGGCCGCAAACAUCGUCGGAGGGUGUGGCGAGCUCGGAAAUCCUUCACUGAGAGACAUCGGGAGGGGUUGAAGGGCGAGCGCAAGAGAGAGCUCGAGUCGCGAGCUUGGCCCACCUUCCACCGAGAGACUUCGGGGAAGGUAGGCGGCGAGCGACCUCGAGAAGGUCAGAUCCGGCCGGUGGAGGCUCGGAUCUGGCCUGAGUGAGAAGAAGUCAAGGCCGAGGAAGGUCCGGCCGAGAUCUGCGAUGCCUCAGAUCUGGAGUUUUCGUGCCGCUGUACCGCCGACGCGUGCUCAGAGUUGGCUGUAGGGUGGUUGUGGUGCCCCCCCCCCCCCCCCCCCCCCCGUGAAGCCCGUCGUUAAUCGAAAGGUAAAAGGGCCGUCGCCGUAUUCCGCCGUCGCCUUCGCCGUUCAUCGCAUGCGUCGUAUGCUGCCGUCGUCGUUGUCUUUGCGAUCGCCGUCACCACCGCGCCGUCGCCGCCGUCGCCGCCGCAAUACCCCGGUUUCCCCCUUGGCGCCGCGGAUUCGCGAACCCUAGGGUUUGCGAUUUUCCGGGUCGCCGAGUCGGAGCCGGGUUGGCAAGUCGGGUAGGGUUUCCGCGGUUUUUGGGCGGCGGAAGACCGGGUCGCGAUUCGGAUCCGGGUCGGGUAGGGUUCGCAGGGAGCCGGGUCGCGGAGCGGGUCGUGGACCCGGGUCGUCGGGCCGGGCCGGGUGUCCCCGAACGCCCGGCCACGGCGUCGUUUUAACAAAAUAGAAAAAUAAAAUAAAAUAGACGAAAAAAAUCUGAGUUGGGCCCGCGUUGCGGGCCCGUCCGCGUGCGGGUCGCCGACCCGGGUCGGACCCAACCCGCGGAUCCGACCCGGGUCGGUUUUAUUUUAUUAUUUUAAUAUAAAAUGAUAAAUAUUUUAUUUUCAAAAAAAAAAAUCAAAAAGUAUUUUAUUUUCAAAAAAAUAUUAAAAAAUGUUUUAAUUUCCAAAAAAUCAAAAAAUAUUAAAAAUUGUUGAAAAAUGUUUUAUUUUCUAAAAAAUCGAGAAAAAUCAAAAAAUAAUUUAUUUUCCAAAAAUAUUAAAAAAUAUAAAAAAAAAUAUUUUAUUUUCCGAAAAAUAAAAAAAUCAAAAUAUUCCAUAUUUUCCAAAAAAUGCCAAAAAUCCAAAAAAAAAAAGCCAAAAAAUUCAGAAAAAGCCAAAAAGACUUGUAUUUCACCAAAAAACCCAAAAAAAUCCCUUUUGUGUCCAAAAAAUUAGAAAAUGACUCAAAAAAAAAUGUUUUUCCUCCAAAAAAUGCAUGGAAAAUCUCUCAAACAUCCAAAAAGCCUUAGGGUUUAAACAAGAUUAGGUACCGAAAGGGCAUUAGUGAUUAACUAGUGUAAUCAAGUCCUCGAUCCUAAUUUCUCUGGUUGCGCAGGAGCGAGUAUUUCUCCCGAUACUUCGCUUGGGUUUCUAAUCGACCCACUCCAAAUCGAUUAGUGGCGACUCCAUUUUAAAAAUUGAUUUAUAGGUUAAAAACUCAAACUAUUAAAGUCGUGAAUUGGUGGACUUGGGAGAGUCCGGGCAUAAUUAAUUAGCCGAGCCAUUAGCCUCCUUAGGCGUUUGUACCCGAUUGCGGGCGCCGGAAAAAAGAGGUCGCGACAGCUUGGCGACUCCGCUGGGGAAUUAUGAGGACUUAGGCCAUUUUAUCUUUGUUUAAAUGCUUUGCUGACUUGGCUUUUUUUCUUUUAUGCAGGGUAAUAGCUUAAAGUUUUUUUAUUCUGUUAAAAUAAAAUGUUUUUGUGAUCAUAAACUGUUGUGCAUGCUUUACUGUUUUAAACACUACACAUGGCACACACAACCCGGCCGCCGGACCUGGGCCGCCAUAGGAUUUCUAGGAUGGUGUUAAGAAAGAUACGACCUCGAACGCGAGACUGCGAUGUAGAGGUUGCCUUUCUUUUCCCCGAAUUUCUUAGCCGAGGUUAGGAGGAUAUGCUGCUAACGCGAGACUGCGACGGGCGGAUAUCCUUUUAAUCUCACCAAGCCUUCUGAGUUAGAAAUCGAGCCGCACACCCCAUAUGCAUGUCUUUGUGCUUGCCAUUUUAUUUAAAAGCAAAGUAUUUUUUUUAUUUUUACUUAGUCUUUUCUGGCUCAUGGCGAAAUAGGGUCAGGUUGUGUAUUUCCCUUCCUUAUAUGCGAUGGGAAGAUUUGAUAUCCAGUUCAUUCCCACCCCAAAGGGAGAGCUUCUCAGAUGGUGGAAGCAGUUAGAUCAACUCGGCCAAGAGUGUGUCAAAUCAAGAAUCGGUCAUCUCCUCCCAUUGCUCCAAAUCAAUAUCCACUCUGGGGUCAUGCAAGCACUACCACAUUUCUGGUGCCCUGAAGCAUCCACCUUCAUGUUCGGCAAAUUUGAACUGACUCCGACCUUAGAAGAGUACAGUCUCGCCAUAGGAAUGCCCCUGGGAAGCGAGCUUGUCAAGCCAAUCGGCAUUGACCCUGUGGUUAGUCUAUCACGGUUUCUAAAAAAUCAUUCGGUAAGAGAAAUUGUUCAAGCCAACAAUAAUGCUUUUCCGCUAUCAUCUUUAACUGAAUGCUUUGAAAAACAGUCAAUGACCCAAAAAGCCAAGAUCUUCCUCUUAGCAUUCUUUGGUUUUAUUAUCUUUCCCCAUCGAAAGAAUGCUAUAGAUCCUUCAAUCACAUGGGUGAUAAAUCAAGUCAUUGUUGGAGCAGGAUAUGUGAAUAUGGUUUUAGCCGAAACGUUUUUAUCCCUUAAUCGUUUUAAGGACCGAAAAGAAAAAAUCAUGAGGGCCGCUCCAGAAAUUUUACAAAUGUGGUUCUUUUCCCAUAUCAAAGGAUUUGGACACCUCAUGCAAAUAUUUGAAAUCAACGAGUUUAAACACCCAUUGCAAAAGUUUCAAAUCUUGGAAAAAUAUUCUCCCAAUGAAGAGUAUUCUCGAUGGAUUAACUUGCUAAAAAACCCGGUCCCUGAGACAUUCCUAUGGCGAGCUAAAUGGUUCACUGCAGGAGAGGCGCGCUUUGCGCUUAAUUAUUACAACCCCAUCCCGUUGCUGGGCCUCUCCGGAGCUACCUCAUAUUAUCCAUAUAGAGUGGCUCGUCAGUACAGGGUCCUCCAAGAAAUCCCGCCACCGCUCAAAUCAGGACUGUUCCGAAUCUUUUUCACCCGUACAGACUACAACUACUUGGAGGAGAUCCGCAUAAUUCAGAACGCAUGGAGUAGAUGUCACACUGAAAGGAUUGUUGUGCCCAGAAGGUUAAAGGGGCAAGAAAAAGUUCAUCAUGCAUCAACAUUCUACAUCCUCAACCAUAUAAUUCCCAAGGAGCUGCGACCAGUAAUCCCCGAUAUAGUUGAUAAACUUACCCUGCAAGGGCGAAUCGAAUCUCUUGAAAAGAGCUUGGAGACCAGCAAGAGACACGUAUCGAAGUUAGUACGAAGAAGCAAGCGGCUUCACAAGACUGGAGCUUCCCAUCACAUAUAAAAUGGGCAGCGGGACUUUUGAUGUGAAUAUUCCUAAUGUUAAUAUCUAGGGUCGUUUUGACUUGUGUAAAAAGCCCUUUUGGCAUUGUAUAAAUCUCCUGUUAAUAAAUAAAAAUGACGUGACCCUUGCCAUGGGCCAGUGUUCCAUACGUUUAUUGGCUUACGUUCUCUCCAUUUUCUUUAUGCAGGUAAUCACAAUCAUAGUCGUAUUCGUCAAAUCCAAAAGAUAGAAUGGCCGAAGAAAAUGUACCAAGCCGUGUCGAGAUUAUGGAAAAUGAAAUGAAGCAAGUCUUCAAUGUGCUUCAGCAACUCUCAAAGCAGAUAGAUUCCAUCCAAGGAAAAUUAGCUCCCGCCCCAGCCUCAAUCGAAGUAUUGUUACCGCAAUCGUCUACUCGAGGUGAUCAAGGAAGAGAUACUGAUGAUAACAUGCCCGAAUUAGAAGACGAUACGCACCAAAUCGUAGUCGAGAAAGCAAAGCCCAACAGUUUGUCUAAGACUGAACAUGACAAACGCCUUGAGAAGCUUGAAGAGAGGCUAAAGCAAUUGCAAGGCCUUCAAGAUCCUACUCCAACAGACCUCUCUAUCUACUCUAAGGUCAAAAUGCCGGAAAAAUUCAAAAUGCCUGAGUUCGAGAAGUACGAUGGCACGACCUGCCCAAGAGCUCACUUGCAGAUGUACUUGGUUCGAAUGACCCAGUACGUUAAUAAUGAACCUUUAAUGAUCCAGUUGUUCCAGUCAAGCCUGAUAGGUCCCGCCCUGAGGUGGUACAUAAAAAAGAACAUAAACCUCAUCGAGACAUGGAGUGAAGCAAGUGAAGCAUUCCUCAAGCAGUACAAAUUCAUAAUGGACAUUACCCCUUCUCGUGAGGAUCUUGAUCGCACGGAGAAGAAAAAGCAAGAAUCUUUCAAAGAAUAUGCUAUUAGGUGGAGGAAUCUCGCCGCCCAGAUCAGUCCCGAGCCAACUGACUUUGAAUUGAGAAAAAUGUUCAUUAAAACCCUCCCUUUUGAAUACCGCAAUCGGAUGGUGACUACAAUCGCUGAAUCAUUCAAUCAACUCAUUCCAGUGGGAGAGCAGAUUGAGACAGGUUUAAGGGACGGCUGGUUCACUGAGCCUGCACCUGUCAGCAGAAGGCUCAACAUGAAAAAAGAUAAAGAAUCCUUGAUUGAUGUCAAUGCCACGUACACUGCAAACACCGGUCAUCUCCCGACUGUUCAGACAAACACAGGCCAGCAACAGACUAAUAGCCGUCCACCCCAGCGCUACAACAACCGAAGACAAUUCACUCCGCUUCCUGGAUCUCCCUCCCAGGUUUUGGCAAUCCUCCGAAACAAGAGCCUCCUUUCAACUGAGCCGAGACGACCCAAUGCUGAAAACUUCUCCAGCUAUGACCCGUCCAAAAAAUGUGACUAUCACAUGGGAGAAGUAGGCCAUUCAACUGAUGAGUGUUUCGUCCUUAAGCAUCGAAUCCAGAACCUGCUAGAUACUAAGGCUUUCCCAUUCCAAACCGCGAAGCCGAAUGUUCAAAGCAAUCCGCUCCCUGAUCAUGCUAACAAAGUAAACAUGAUAUUCAGUUUCGAAACCAAUCAGAUCAGAAAUGUCAAUGCACAUAUGACUGACAUCUAUCGAGGGCUAGUAGAAACCGGGUAUUAUCCGGAUGAUGAAAUACUACCCUUUGCAAUAAUGGAGGAAAGGGUAUUAAGAAUGAUAGAGGCCGGAAUAAUCGUGUACGCCAGCCACACCAGCAUAGUUUCUACCAUAUCGCAAGUCCUCAUCAACUGGGAGGAAGAAUUUGCCGCGCUAAAUGCGGAAAAGGAGAAGAAUGACUCAACCUCACCUGAGAGCGUCUUUGAAAGGAAGGAAGCCAUUGUUCAAGCAUCAACAGCAGAAACAGCUAUAGUCAUUGAGAUUCCCCAACCUUACAAAUACAAAUACAACAAUGCGGUACCAUGGUCUUAUGACCUUGAUGUUGGUUUGGUUACAAGAUCUGGGCGAACCUAUGCUCAAGCAAAUACUCAGUCUGCUAAGCCCGUCACUGACGAAGAAGCCAAGGAGUUUUUGGCCAUUGUUAAGGCCAGCGAAUAUAAUGUGGUAGAACAGUUACGAAAAUCACCGGCACAGAUUUCUCUACUGGAAUUGCUUCAGACAUCUGUCAAGCACCAGAAAUCCCUCAUGAAAGUAUUAAGUGAAGUACAUGUCCCUGAAACUAUUGAGCAUGACAAACUCGAGGAAUUUGUCAGUACCAUCCUUCUAAAGGAUCAAAUGGCGUUUUCUGAUGAAGAGAUUCCCGAGGAGGGUAGAGGACACACCAAGGGCCUUUACAUAUCGGUCAAGUGCAACGCAUCUCACGUCGCUCGAGUGUUGAUUGACAAUGGAUCUGCUCUUAACAUAUGUCCAUUAGCGACACUCUGUCGCCUUAAAAUAGAGAGAUCAUGGAUCCAGGUACCCAAGACUUCUGUUCGAGCAUUUGAUGGAACAAAGAAGGAAACAGUGGGAGAGAUCGAGCUCGAUAUUCAAAUUGGCCCAACCGUAUUCAGAAUUUUGUUCCAGGUGAUGGAUAUCCCCACUGCAUUCAAUUUCCUCUUAGGGCGCCCAUGGAUACACGUCGCAGGAGCAGUACCUUCAAGCCUCCACCAAAGUGUGAAGUUCGUGGUUGGAGGAAAACUUAUCACGGUCCGAGGAGAAGAAGAUCACCGCAUCUACCACGAGACGGCCAUUCCUUAUGUUGAACCUAGUAACAAGAGUGAAGCUAGCUAUCAAUCGUUCGAGCUCGUGUCUACUAUACACGAAACUCGAGGGACUUUGCCCCUCGUCCCCGAGAUAUCAAGUGCUGCAAUCAUGGUAGGAAAAAUCAUGGUAGGACACGGUUUCCUUCCAGGACAAGGGCUUGGUAGGAGAGGCCAGGGCAUUCGUCAGCCUAUUGAAGCUCGGAGAAGACCCUAUACUGUCGGUUUGGGAUAUUCCCCAGAUAGAAAAGCAAAGAAAAAAGCCCGCCUUGUAUAUCCCCGUCUCGAGGAAACUUUCCCGGGCCCAGCCAGAUGAUGCAUGAGAGAGAGUGAUACUCAAAAUGGUUCAGCCCCGAAACGUGAACUUGCCCAUGAACNNNNNNNNNNNNNNNNNNNNNNNNNNNNNNNNNNNNNNNNNNNNNNNNNNNNNNNNNNNNNNNNNNNNNNNNNNNNNNNNNNNNNNNNNNNNNNNNNNNNGGAGACAUUUUCAUAGGUGCCAUUGAGAAGAGCAAUUAGAAGAGACAUGCGAUAACUUCUCGUUCAUCCAGCUUCGACACCAAGUCGAAGAAUUACGCGAGACUGUACACCAUUUGACAGAAAACUUCGCUCAAGCUACUCGUGCAUUCCGUUCUCGUCACAAUGAGGAGCUGGUGGUAAAUGAAGAGGACCCUAUUAACACAACCUGGCAAGGGGCACGGCUACCCUUAUCCCCAAGAAGCACUCGGCCAUAUUCGCCCCUUCCUAAAUCAAUGUCCAUUAUUUUCCCCAUCCUCCUCGAGCAAGGGCUAAUCGGCAGAGAAUUGAACCAUCCUACCCCUGAGUACUUCCUUGAUUAUGAUCCAUCCAAGCAAUGUGAUUACCAUUCAGGGGAAUUAGGACACUCGCUAGAUGACUGCACCAUUCUGAGAGACAAGGUUCAAGAUCUUUUGGAUGCUGGGGUAUUCACGUUCCGCUCUCCAUGGCUGUGUUUCGGCAAUGAUCACCUCCUCGUGGUACCUAGCACCCGUACCAUGUUCCCUGAGCAUGCUAAGGAGGCGCAUAAAGGAGAGGCAAUCAUAGACACUUUGGGUCAACCAAGUGGUAAAUUUGACUAUUAUGUCAAUUAUUCAAUUCCCCAAAGUUUCUAUGAUCAUCAUCACAACAUCGUCCCUGAUGGAUGGGGAGACGUGGAUGAUCUGAAAUCCACAAAGUCGGAAGCACAAGGAGACGUGGCUGGCAGCUGGUAUGAAGACUUCUUUGUGGGCGCUAUUAAAGAAGGACCGUCAGGGGAAAUGGGUGCAGGCCCACUCGAGUAGAAUCCUUUUUAACUCCUCUGCAUACUCCCCUACUUGGGAGCUUGUACAUAUUUUUUAAUUUCUGGCUUGUUUUCAACAUCAGUUCCGCUCAAGGAACUAUUUUUUGAAAUCACCCUGUAAAUCCAUCUACUAAUAAAUAAAGUUGAAAGCUUUUUGAGGGCAUGAGGAGACACACCAAACCGGCCCGUUGAUGAUAGCCAGCCGUCAAAUCAAAGAAGAAAUCUGAGGCCCGGGUCUCCUCAUGUUUCCUUGUCUUUAAAAACAAUUUAUCACCUUUUCAAAAGAAAGAAGCAUGCAUGCUACUAACCUUAUUUGUUUCCUAUCUACUCUAUGACACAGGAAUAAUAUAACGGCAGGCGAGGGUAUGGGAACGGUCCAAACCAGCACCACAAGUAGCCAUGAUAGCAAUUCUGAUGACUCAGAUGAUGAUUUUGAUGAUUCCGACGAAAUUCAAUGGAAUUGGAAGCGCCACGAAGAAGCAAGGCCCCCUACUACCGAAGACACCAUCAUUGUCAAUUUAGGCAGCACAGAAGACCCAAGGGAAAUAAAGAUUGGCGCGAACCUUCCUGAAGAAGAAGCCACAAGCUUAAUUGCCCUCCUAAAGAGAUAUCAAGAUGUAUUCGCAUGGUCUUAUGCCGAUAUGCCAGGCCUUGAUCCAAUGAUCGUGGAGCACAGCUUGCCAACCAACCCUGAUGUGGCCCCUAAGAAGCAGCGGCUAAGAAGAGCUAAGCCUGAAUUGUCAAAAAAGAUUGAAGAAGAAGUAAUGAAGCUCCUGGCAGUAGGCUUCCUCGAAGUCUCGCAAUAUCCUAGUUGGGUGGCAAACAUUGUACCAGUAAAAAAGAAAGAUGGUCGAAUCCGGAUUUGUGUCGACUACCGUGAUUUGAACAAAGCAAGCCCAAAGGAUGAUUUCCCACUACCUCACAUAGACGUUCUUGUGGAUAGUACUGCUGGAUUCAAACUUUUCUCUUUCAUGGAUGGGUUCUCAGGAUACAACCAAAUAAAAAUGAAGGAGGAAGACAAGGAAAAGACGGCAUUCAUUACUCCAUGGGGAACUUUUCACUAUAAGGUCAUGCCUUUUGGCCUGAAAAACGCUGGAGCAACUUAUCAACGUGCCAUGGUCACCCUUUUCCAUGACAUGAUGCAUAAAGAAAUUGAAGUAUAUGUCGAUGACAUGAUCGUCAAAACUAGACAUGGAGAAGACCAUGUGAAGACCCUGGAAAAAUUAUUCGAUCGACUUCGCCAAUUCAAGUUGCGCUUGAACCCAGCAAAAUGUGUGUUCGGGGCAACUUCUGGCAAAUUACUUGGAUUCAUUGUGAGCUGUAAAGGGAUAGAAGUGGACCCGUCAAAAACUAAAGCAAUAUUUGAGAUGCCUCCUCCCUCGACUGUAAAAGAAGUCCGGAGCCUCCUGGGAAGAUUAAAUUACAUUGCGCGAUUCAUUUCCCAGCUUUCUGAAACUGCAAAACCUUUCUUUAAACUUCUCAAGAAAGAUGCACAAAUCGAAUGGGAUGAUGACUGCCGACUGGCAUUUGAAAAUUUAAAGCGGUACCUGAUGAAACCCCCGGUUUUAGUACCCCCGACUCCAGGACACCCUUUGACCCUCUACCUUACCAUCAACAGUGAAUCCCUAGGUGCAAUGUUGGCACAGAAAGGACCCCAUGAUGGGAAGGAGCGAGCCAUUUACUAUUUGAGUAAAAAAUUCACCACAUCAGAACAAAACUACUCCAAAUCAGAAAAGACCUGUGCUGCAUUGGUAUGGGUGUUGCACAGACUCCGGCAGUAUACCUUGCAUUACCAAACAUUCCUUGUAACUGAGAGUGACCCAAUCAAGUACUUGCUUGGUCGCCCGGCCUUGGUGGGAAAAUUGGCCAAAUGGCAAAUCCUAAUCUCAGAAUUCGAUAUCCAGGUGAUGUCGCAAAAAUCAGUUAAAGGUCGGGUGAUUGCUGAUAUGUUAGCAGAUUGCCCUAAAGAAGUACGCGAUGAUCAUUCCCCAGAUGACCGAAUUUCAACAUUAGAAGAGGACACAUGGACUAUGUUCUUUGAUGGAGCUGUAAAUUUGUCAGGUUCAGGCACUGGGGCGGUCCUGAUAUCCCCAAAUGGGCAGCAUUAUCCUGUGGCUGCGAAAUUGAUGUUUCCAUGCACCAACAAUAUAGCCGAAUAUGAAGCAUGCAUCCUCGGCCUACAAGCAGCUAUUGGAAUGGAAGUGUCAAAACUGAAAGUGUUCGGUGACUCCGCCUUAAUUAUCCUCCAGACUGUGGGCGAGUGGGAGACAAGAGACGCCAAACUAGUACCUUAUCACGACUACUUGGAAGAAUUGAUAGAAGAAUUCCAGGACAUCUCAUUUGAAUACCUACCUAGAAUUCGUAACCAGUUUGCUGAUGCGCUAGCAACACUAUCAUCCAUGUUACAAGUAGCGAAGGGGUUAGAAGUAGAGCCUUUGAAAAUUGAAGUCUUGACAAGACAGGCCCACUGCAUGACUAUAACUGAAGAACCCGACGGGAAACCCUGGUAUUACGACAUCAUGAAAUACAUCCAGAAGCAGGAAUUCCCUAAAGAAAGCACUCCCUCUGAUCGAAAAUACCUUAUGAAAAUGGCUUCGAGGUUUUUCGUCAGCGGUGAAAAUUUGUACAAAAGAUCAUAUAACUCAGUCUUGCUAAGGUGUGUGGAUGCAAAUGAGGCCACACAAAUAAUGCAAGAAAUACAUGGGGGAGAAUGUGGCCCUCACAUGAAUGGACGUAUGUUGGCCAAGAAAAUAAUGAGAUUGGGUUAUUACUGGUUCCCCUUAGAGAGCGAUUGUGCUCACCAUGUGCGAAGCUGUCAUCGUUGUCAGAUCCACGGGGACAAGAUAAAUGUCCCUCCAACUGAAUUGCAUCAGUUAUCUGAGCCGUGGCCAUUUUCAAUGUGGGGCAUUGAUGUAAUUGGCCCAAUCAAUCCAAAGGCAUCAAAUGGGCACCGGUUUAUUUUGGUCGCAAUCGACUACUUCUCAAAAUGGAUCGAGGCCGCAUCCUAUGCAAGCGUAACUGCACGAAACGUUAUGAAAUUCAUCAGACGUGACAUAAUCGCCCGUUAUGGCGUACCGGAAGCUAUCAUCACCGACAAUGGGUCGAACUUAAACAACAAGUUGAUUGAUCAAUUGUUUUCUGAGUUCAAAAUCCAACAUCUGAACUCGUCCCCUUAUCGUCCACAAAUGAAUGGAGCCGUGGAAGCCGCCAACAAGAACAUCAAGAAAAUCCUAUCCAAGACAGCUGAAAACUACCGCGACUGGCAUGAGAGGUUACCCUUCGCACUAACAGCAUAUCGAACUUCGAUUCGAACCUCCACUGGGGCAACGCCUUUUUCCCUGGUUUACGGCAUGGAGGCGGUUUUGCCUGUAGAAGUAGAAAUUCCUUCCUUGCGAAUUUUAUCCCAAGCAGGAUUGUCCAAGGAAGAAUGGACACAACAAAGGCUUGAGCAACUAAAUAUGAUCGACGAAAAACGACUGAAAGCCCUCUGUCAUGGUCAGUGUUACCAACAAAGGGUAGCUCGAUCGUUCAAUCAAAAGGUGCGACCCAAGCACUUCGAGGUAAAUGAGCUAGUCUUGAGAAAGACGCUGCCAAUCUUUCCAGAGCCCGGAGGCAAGUUCGCCCCUAAUUACAAGGGUCCUUAUGUAAUAAAGAAGAUACUCCCUGGAGGAGCCUUGAUUCUGACUGAAAUGGACGGGCGGGAAUUCUCCAAACCAGUUAAUUCCGAUGCUGUAAAAAAGUACUACCCUUGAAAGAUGUUUAUUGUCUGGCAUUGCUAAGCACCUCUCUAUCAGAAUGAAAAUGCUUAUGCACCUUUAUAUAUGAGUGAUGUAUUUACACCAUCGUGAAAAAUGUGUGUUUGACUCAAUGGAGAAAAAUGAAUGGUGAUGACCAGUCUUUAAGGAAGUGUCAUAAAUCAAGAAGUGAACUCGAUGGCAUAACUUGAACAAAUCAACAUUACCCAGGCAAACGCAUAAGAGUAAUCCCUGUCAAUUUUGCCCAGCUCGAUGUAAAGGAUGCGUCAUUCAGGAACCAGUCUGGUUAAAAGAAGCCUUUUAUCCCAGUCAACAAUCUUAGAAUAUGGAAACCUCACUUCUUGUUCCAGACACAUGCACUUGCAAGAAGUAAUUGCCAUUAGAGAAUUGGAGGUUUUGAUUGUCCAUCUCAGAUUCCAUAAAAGCUUGAGGUACAUGACUUUGCCUGAUCAAAGGCAGAAGGAAAAAUUCCACAGAAGGAAGGCAUUAAAGAUGAAUCAACGACAAUCAAUCAUGCAUACAGGGCCACCAAUGAGGAGGGCUAAUCGAAGGAAAGAUUGAACUGUGUCAAGAUAAGGAGUCCAUCAUCGACAUUGAAAUAGCCUUAGGAAUCAACAAAUACAAACUCUGGGAAAGGGAAGCAUCCGAAUUCAAGAGCCAAACUUGAUGGUUAGGUUUGGCAAAUCAACAUUGGCCAAGCUAGUACAUGGAAAUGACCCACAUCGAAUUCACCUGAUUUCGUGUAAAAUGACGUGUCAUCCAGGAGCCAAUAUUCGACCUAACGAAGCAAGGGAUGUAGGACUUCGUGUCCCCCUCUCACUUCAGGUUCACCCAAUCGUCUGCAAACCAGUGAAGGGUAAAGUUGUAUCGCUUCCAGUUAUUCAACUCUUGAAAAAGUUCAUGACUAACACAUUCUCUCUUGUUUGUUACAGGAUCACCUGACUGUCAAAAGCAAGGAUAACAAAUCAAUAAGAGGCAUGACAAACUCUCCCAAACGAAAUGGCGUCCUGAGUAAUUGCCAAAGCAAAUGACAGAGAUCCUUCAGGCCUCAAUUCACCUUUAAUUUUGGCCCUGUUGAUUGAUCCAUUUUCUCUUCUGCAGGGGCAACAACAGAGUGUCCGAUCAGAUCCCCAACCCCGACUGAUCCUUCAUGUGUCAUAUCCCUAAUCAAUAGGGACAAUUAUCGACACCCAAUUGCAAAUAACCCUUUUGAUGUUCAAAAUCUAACAUAUUUGGAAACACCAUUAUGUUAGCCCCUAAAGUUGUCAAUAGGGUCUUUUUUACGAGUCAAAACCAUUCACUUGUUUUGAAGAGUUCAAACUCCAUCACAUUUAAAAUACUGCAUGCCUUUUCCAGAUGAAUUCUGCAUGAUGAUUUUGGCUGUCUAAAUCACUGAUUCCACUGAGGAUUAUCAGAAUAGACAGCUAAGUGAAGAAUACAAGAUUAAUUGAGCAUGCUGAAUAAGGCACGUCAGAACGACGAAAGGCAAGCCAUAUCCUAUACACAGUCCCCCAUCUAUACACUUGUGAGAUGAGUGCAGAAGAUUCCAUGGCUGCAGGGUAAAGAGUUCUCUCGCGAAUGGUACGAUAACCAAAAUAGUGAGAGGCAUUCCAUUGCUCACCCCAUUGAGCCCCAUACAUUGGUGAAGCUUCUCUCAUAUCCCCGUCAAAGAACCACCCCACACUGGGGCAAGUCGAAAACAAGUCAGCAUCACAAGGUGAGAAGAGAGAUAGAAAUUUUCUUGCUCGCACUUGCAUCAAUCUUUGGGUGUCUUUAUUGCAUAUGAACACUCGCGUUAAUUUAAGUGCCCUAGAGUCAUGAAGAGCAAUUCUUUCUUUACGCACUUGUAUUCAUUGUACAACCCAAGUGAGUCUGUAAUUUUACCCUCACAUGGAGGCAAAACAGAAGUUAUUGCCAUAGCCCAGAGCGCCUAUUGAAGAUGAAGACUCAAGAGUCUAAUAACGGUGCUUCGAUUGAACUUGCCUAGACUAGUUCCUCCAACGACAAGAAUGAAAAAACAUGGGUAUAAAAAAGCUGUGUACCUGGUAAGAGCAAGGUCAAUGCCCAUAAAAGAAAAACUGGAGUAAAAAUAGGGGCAUGAAAAAAGCAGUGUGCCUGGUAAAAGCAAGGCCAAUGCCCCCCAGUCAAAAAUGCAGCCAAGAAAAUGUUGCUGUUGUGGUCCAUAGAACCUCCAUUUGACAGUGAGAAGAAAGACUGGUGACAAAUGCCAAGGCAAUCACCAGCUCUACAUUUUUACACAAGAAUCAAGCCUACGUUGCAUGCCAUUGUAAAAGUCUCUUCAGACUAGGGGCACUUCAAUUAACGUAGGAUUUCAUAUGUCUAUAAGCAUCGCUCGAAGAAGUACGAGCAAGAUUACUCUAUCUCUUUUCGCAGGAUUCUUGACUUGUAAACCCGGAGAUGAUCGUGCAGCAUUUUCGUCCAUCAGCUUCAACCUUGAUGGUCCCCUUCGAUGAGUCACUGACCAAGACUUCAUCACAGUUUCAACAAAGACCUCUCACAUUGGUAAAGUCGUACCGUUUGCGAGAAUACUCGGACCCCUGCUGACAUGAUGACAGUGAGAUAGUGUGGUCCUUAUAAAUCCUGCAUCAAUGGUCAGGAUAGCCUUUUCCAUGAGAGUGAGCGGAAAGUCAUUUCAGACUGAAAGUCCCUCAUCUGGCAUGCUCAAGACAUCUACAUUAUAAAUGAAGGUUGUCUUUCAAAAUCUUCCCCAGUGGAAAUCAAAAGAUGCAGAACUGACAAAAUUAUCAUGCAUGAAUCUCAUUUGAACUCAUGAAUUUACAGCAUAUACAAUCAUGUGUGCAUACUGUGCAAAUAACAGACACACUCUUAGAGAUCAGAGAUAUUGCCAGUAAGCAUAUCUCUAUCCCCAUUUGUCUUAAGGUACCUAUCACUGUUCAGGUACUCUCUUCUUGACACUCGACCUAUUCGAGUCAUCCCUUGAGUUUGGGUGCUUGCAAUUGUCUCAGUAUCCCAUUGUCUUUGAGUACCGGCCACCGUCCGGAUACUCCUUUUUCCUGACACUCGGCCUAUUCGAGUUGUCCUCAAAGUAUUGAUACUUGUGACUGACCAAGUAUCCCUUUAUUGUUAAAUACCUACUGCUGUCUAGGUAUCCCUGCUGUCUUUGAGUACCGGUCACCGUUCGGAUACUCCAUUUUCCCGACACUCGACAUGUUCAAGUUGUCCCCAGAGUAUUGAUACUUGUGACUAACCAAGUAUCUCUUGGAAUACCUACUGCUGUCUAGGUAUCCCUAUAUCGUCAAGUACCCACCAUUGUCCGGGUACUUCCUUUUCAUGACACUCAACUUGCCCAAGUUGUCCCCAAAUAAUAGCAGCUGUUCAAGCAUUCCAUUGCUUUGUGUGCCUGCGCCUACCCAGGUAUGCUUUCUUACACUUGGACUACUGAGUGUCCAGGUUGUAUCAUUAAAUACUGUGUCAUCCAAGUAUUCCAGUACUUUGUACACCUGUGGUUAUCUAGGUGUGUCCACCCCUUUUAAGUGCCUGCGGCAAUCCAGGUAAGCCUCGUGCUACAUUCAAAUUCGCUUUACCAGGAGGUGAGAAACCUUCAUGAAUAUGCGAGGCACGUCCUCAAUAUUCCCAAUUACCAGGAGGUGAGAGACCUUCACGAAUAUCUCAGGUACGCCCUCGAUAUUCCCCUUUACCAGGAGGUGAGAAACCUUCAUGAAUAUGCGAGGCACGUCCUCAAUAUUCCCAAUUACCAGGAGGUGAGAGACCUUCACGAAUAUCUUAGGUACGCCCUCGAUAUUCCCCUUUACCAGGAGGUGAGAAACCUUCAUGAAUAUGCGAGGCACGUCCUCAAUAUUCCCAAUUACCAGGAGGUGAGAGACCUUCACGAAUAUCUCAGGUACGCCCUCGAUAUUCCCCUUUACCAGGAGGUGAGAAACCUUCAUGAAUAAGCGGGGCACGCCCUCGACAUUCCCAUUACCAAGAGGUGAGAAACCUUCACAAAUAUCCAAGGCAUGUUCUCAAUAUUUCCAAUUAUCAAGUACCCUUCGGUACUUGUGAUCAUCUAGGUAUCCCCAAAUAGUUUGUACCUAUAAUCGUCCAGGUACCCCUUCGAUACUUGCAAACGUCCAGGUAUCCUCCAAGAGUUCGCUCUUGUGAUCAUCCAAGUACCCGUCCAUUGCCUAUGAUCAGCCAAAUACCCAUUUCAACGCCUGCAAAGGCCCAAAUAUCCUUCAUGUUAGUACUUGUGAAUAUCCAGGUACUCUUUGAUAUGUUUGUGAAUGUCCAGGAAUCUUCUAAAAUCGAUGCCCUGAAAAAGGUCGGCGCAUCCUCCCGAGAAAGGUCGGGUUCCAACUGGUGUCUUCGACAGAAGUCAGACACCCCACGAAUCGAUGCCCUGAGAAAGGUCGGUGCAUCCUCCCGAGAAAGGUCGGGUUUCAACCAGUGUCUUUGACAGAAGUCAGACACCCCAACAAAAUAGAUGCUCUGAGAAAGGUCAGCGCAUCUCCCGAGAAAGGUCGGGUACCAACCGGUGUCCUCGAUACCAAUCAGGCACCCACAAAUGAGAUGCCCUGAGAAAGGUCGGUGCAUCUCCCGUCAAGGCGACCGAAGAAAGGUUCGGGUCCUAGACAAAUCAUGGAUUGUUUUAACAGGCGACCGAAGAAUGGUUCGGGUCCUGGAAGAGCAAUCUCCCGUCACGGCGACCGAAGAAUGGUUCGGGUCCGAGACAAACCACUGAUUACUCCAACAGGCGACCAAAGAAUGGUUCGGGUCCUGGAAGAGCAGUCUCCCGUCAAGGCGACCGAAGAAAAGUUCGGGUCCUAGACAAAUCAUGGAUUGUUUUAACAGGCGACCGAAGAAUGGUUCGGGUCCUGGAAGAGCAGUCUCCCGUCAAGACGACCGAAGAAAAGUUCGGGUCCUAGACAAAUCAUUGAUUAUUUUAACAGGUGACCGAAGAAUGGUUCGGGCCUUGGAAAAGCAACCUCCUCAUAUCACCAGGUAAGAUGACGCCUUGAUACUUACCAAAACUCGGGGUUCACACCCUAUCUCACUCACUCCCGGUAAGUAACUACAGGUAUCUUCUUAUCUGUCUUAGUAUAUGCAAUGUUAUAUUGCUCUCUUUCUGCAUAGAACAAUAGGUUCCAAAUAAAAUAUAAUCUACUACGCAUGCAUAGACAAAAUUUAGGUAUCAAGUUUGUCUUUGAAUGCAACCUCUGCGAACUCACCUUCAAAGAGGGGCAGCUGUUGACACCUAAAAUUUUAAUUAGGUUUAAUUAGGUCUUAAUUUCUUUUAGAUAACAAAAAACCAAAUAAAUAGCAAAAACAACAAAAAAUAGUAAAAACAAAAGAAAAGAAAAACAAAAGCCCCCCCCAAUUUUCUUCACGUGGGUUUUGUGCGGCUUGGCCCCACCCCCCUUCUUCCCUCUUCUUCUUCCUCGCUCCAUCUUUCUCCGCCUCUGUAGUUCACGCGCGGUGGCCGGCGACGCGCGCGAAGGACGGCCUACGGCCGAGGGGAGUAGGCCGACGUCGGCCGGAGAGGAUAAGAUCAGACGCCAUUAAUACCGAGCGAGCUUCGCUGGAAAGCUCGAUGGGACACCGGUUCGGCCGAGCGGAACCGGUGGGUAAGCCGGAGGCCGGCGACCGAACCCCUUCGUCGACCGGAGUUCCUUCGCCUAUAAAUAGGUGGCCGCAAACAUCGUCGGAGGGUGUGGCGAGCUCGGAAAUCCUUCACUGAGAGACAUCGGGAGGGGUUGAAGGGCGAGCGCAAGAGAGAGCUCGAGUCGCGAGCUUGGCCCACCUUCCACCGAGAGACUUCGGGGAAGGUAGGCGGCGAGCGACCUCGAGAAGGUCAGAUCCGGCCGGUGGAGGCUCGGAUCUGGCCUGAGUGAGAAGAAGUCAAGGCCGAGGAAGGUCCGGCCGAGAUCUGCGACGCCUCAGAUCUGGAGUUUUCGUGCCGCUGUACCGCCGCCGACGCCGUUGCUUCAGAAGGUUGCUGUCGCGUCCCCCCCCCCCCCCCCCCGUGAAGCCGUCGUUAAUCGAAAGGUAAAAGGGCCGUCGCCGUAUUCCGCCGUCGCCUUCGCCGUUCAUCGCAUGCGUCGUAUGCUGCCGUCGUCGUUGUCUUUGCGAUCGCCGUCACCACCGCGCCGUCGCCGCCGUCGCCGCCGCAAUACCCCGGUUUCCCCCUCGGCGCCGCGGAUUCGCGAACCCUAGGGUUUGCGAUUUUCCGGGUCGCCGAGUCGGAGCCGGGUUGGCAAGUCGGGUAGGGUUUCCGCGGUUUUUGGGCGGCGGAAGACCGGGUCGCGAUUCGGAUCCGGGUCGGGUAGGGUUCGCAGGGAGCCGGGUCGCGGAGCGGGUCGUGGACCCGGGUCGUCGGGCCGGGCCGGGUGUCCCCGAACGCCCGGCCACGGCGUCGUUUUAACAAAAUAGAAAAAUAAAAUAAAAUAGACGAAAAAAAUCUGAGUCGGGCCCGCGUGCGGGUCGCCGACCCGGGUUGGACCCAACCCGCGGAUCCGACCCGGGUCGGUUUUAUUUUAUUAUUUUAAUAUAAAAUGAUAAAUAUUUUAUUUUCAAAAAAAAAAUCAAAAAGUAUUUUAUUUUCAAAAAAAUAUUAAAAAAUGUUUUAAUUUCCAAAAAAUCGAAAAAUAUUAAAAAUUGUUGAAAAAUGUUUUAUUUUCUAAAAAAUCGAGAAAAAUCAAAAAAUAAUUUAUUUUCCAAAAAUAUUAAAAAAUAUAAAAAAAAAUAUUUUAUUUUCCGAAAAAUAAAAAAAUCAAAAUAUUCCAUAUUUUCCAAAAAAUGCCAAAAAUCCAAAAAAAAAAAGCCAAAAAAAUUCAGAAAAAGCCAAAAAGACUUGUAUUUCACCAAAAAACCCAAAAAAAUCCCUUUUGUGUCCAAAAAAUUAGAAAAUGACUCAAAAAAAAUGUUUUUCCUCCAAAAAAUGCAUGGAAAAUCUCUCAAACAUCCAAAAAGCCUUAGGGUUUAAACAAGAUUAGGUACCGAAAGGGCAUUAGUGAUUAACUAGUGUAAUCAAGUCCCCGAUCCUAAUUUCUCUGGUUGCGCAGGAGCGAGUAUUUCUCCCGAUACUUCGCUUGGGUUUCUAAUCGACCCACUCCAAAUCGAUUAGUGGCGACUCCAUUUUAAAAAUUGAUUUAUAGGUUAAAAACUCAAACUAUUAAAGUCGUGAAUUGGUGGACUUGGGAGAGUCCGGGCAUAAUUAAUUAGCCGAGCCAUUAGCCUCCUUAGGCGUUUGUACCCGAUUGCGGGCGCCGGAAAAAAGAGGUCGCGACAGCACAUAAUCGAGUAGGUACUAGAGGGGAGUUAGUCUUAAGGCUAACAUAAUCAAAUUCUCAAGUCUAGAAUAUCUGGUUAUAAAAAAAUAAGAUAUCCUCCCGUAUUUUACUUGGGUUCUAGUAGACCGAAAAAGGCUAAUGACGACUCCUUUGUCAAAAUUUGCAUAUGCUUAAUUGAUUUAAAAUUUAGUCUGAUGUCGUGCGAAAUAUGAGCUUGGUAGAAUCCGAGUCAAUAGAAAGUAUGACAAUACCCCAAAACAUAACUCUCUUUCCCCCAAGGGGUUAGGUCGCAACACCACCUAUUAAAAACAUAAUAACACAAUCUAGAACGAUAAUCAUUGACGCAUUGCACAUAACAGUAAUCAUCGAUGUGCCGUUUUGAUACUAGCAAGAUCAUCUAAAAGUAGUUUCGCCUGGAUAUUAAAACGGCCGAAUAAGAAUGAAGCAAUUGGAAUGACAUCAGCUAGAGCUUGAAUUCUGGAAACGGGUAGCGAUGGCGAUGGUCUGCAUCUGGUGCGCCCGAAGGUCUUUCUGGCAGAGACAUUGCUAGCCGGAGACAACGAACGUGACUAGGAAUCUCUGUCUACUCCAAGCUCAGCAUCAAGGCAGAGCAAGCACUCCUUUCUUUGGUCAAAUCAACCGCGACAUCCUCACAGGGCGGAGGAGGAGGGGAAAAGAGAAGGCCAGGCCAGGGGAAAAAGCUGAAAUGUUGCGGUGAUGGGGCUGAUGGGUUUGGGCCGUGGAUCAAAUAAAUGGGUUUGCUCUUGUGGGCCGCGCCAAUUGGCUUUUUUUAUUUGUUAUUUAUUUUUAUCUUUUUAUUAUUCUCUUUUUUUGUUCUUUUUACUACCAUUCAUUGUUUUUAUGCUCUUUUUUUACAAAAAUGUAUUCUUAAUUUGUCUACUGAAAAUUAGGUAUCGACUGUUUCAAAAAUAUUUACCUAAUAUUCAAAGAAAAAUAUCAUGCUAUCAUGAACAAACUACAAGACAUUGUAUGUGUCGUUGCAUCAAAUCUUAACUUACUAAAGGUUAUCGUAAUUUCUUGAUCAAUGGAAGAAACGAGCCAAAAAUAUAUGACAAUCCCAUCGAAUAGAAUCAAGUAGGUGUUGAUGAAAUAUUGACUCAUCUCAAAUGACUUCAUUUAUGACUCGGAUUAAUAUGGACCCUAAUUCGAAUCUCACCCAUUUGGUGAGUCGAAGUCCUACAAAUUAGAAUGGAAGAUUAAACAAAGAUUGGUACGAGGGAAGAGAAAGAGAUGGCUUUUUAUAGUGGAAGAUGAUUCUUUUGUGUUUUGUUUUUCCUGCUCUAGGAUUCUUUUUCAAUUUAUCUGAAGUUUUCAAAGUGAGAAAUGAUUAAAUAUGGCAAAGAGUCAAGGAAAAAGCAAAAGAAAUGAAUAAAUAUAUUGAGAAUAACAUAGAUUUUAAUAAAACUAAUGUUUAUAAAGUUUCAGUUGAAAAACCAAUCAGAUGACUAGUCAAGUGGCCCAAGACUUGAUUUGCAAGUCAAAAGUCACAAGUUUAAUUUCCCAAUCUAUUAUCCAUUUUGGGAUAAUUAUGCGAAUAAGUUGGCAGAAUUAAUUUGAACAAUAUCUUGUGGCAAACACAUUCACCCGUUUGGAACCAAAGAUUAUUGUGGGUUGGAGAAAAUCCAAAUAGAAUGUCCAGCAAAAACAUUUGAGUCGCCAUUGAUGCCCCUCGAUGAAGGGCUGUGACUCCACUUCGACGAAUUUCCACUUCCACCAUGAUGUCGAGACAAUUUCCUUCACACGCAAUAGCAUAAUUAACAAUAACCUUUUUCAACAAUAACAAUAAUAAUAGACAAUUUUGUCUCCAUACCAGAAAAGAGGCGAAUAUAUGGUGGAGUAGUUGGCACUGAGCUUCGCCCCUUGAAAUUUCAUUUGCUUCCAAUUAUAUUUUUCUUGUCUUGAAUAAGUGUAAGCUUUAUUUGGUAUUUCAGCACAUGAAGUUACAAUUGAUGUGAAAUUGCAACAAUUAAGUCAUAACGAUGAAUUAAAUGUUGAUAAUUAGCUUAUGUAGAGGAUGAUAGUGUGAAAUAACUGAAUAAAACGUGUAUUUUGUAGGUAGUGUGGCUCGAAUGUAAUUUUAGUAUAAAGAAAUGGUGGAGUGCCUCACUUGUUUUCAAUUAGCGGAGCAUAGGAUUUGGGAGAAUUUUUUUUUUUAAAAUAAUUUUGGAUUCUUUGAGGUCAAGCAUAAUCAAAGCAAGCAUUUAUUUAUUUUAGUGAUUAUUUGGAUGUUGUAGAUGAUUAAAUAAUGCACUGUACAACCUGUGCGCAUUGAGGACGGGCCAAAAGAUGCAAACAAUCCACAAUCUAGUAACUCAACCUUUUGUCUACUAUCUCUAAUAAUCCAUCCGUUGGUAGUGAAGGUGGAUUUUGAUGAUACAGUUCACGCCGAUGGAGUGAGCAUGUCAUGUUCCACCAUGGAAAGAAUAGGAAAACACAAUACUUUGGCCUUCCAUCAUCAUAGAAGGUCGACAUUGUCUUCCUCGAAUUUUUCAAAUGUAGUUCCCAUCAUCCUUGUAGAGAUAUUCAUUCACCUCACCAGCAAUCGGCCUGGAGUGCUUGAGGCCCGCCGUUCUUUUUUGGGGCACAUGUGGCCCAAGAGCACGGGUCCGAAGUGGCACGGCCCGUUGGCCAUCCUAACUAAAAUUUAUCUGGGCUCAUAUACAAAUAUUAGAACAUUUUCUGAUAGUUGAGGACCCUUCCCUGAAAAUAAGUGUUGCUGACACCUUCAUAGAUAUUUUUGGCGCUCCAAUCCAUCUCAUUCGAACAUCAAAUCACAUUUCCCAUCUUGCAUUCACUUUAUCCCUCCUUCACUGUCUCUUGUCUUUCACCGAAAGUGUUACCGACAGCCUCGCAGAAUAUUUCGGAACGUCAACCCAUCGGACAUCUGUAAAAUUUCCCAUCUCGCAAUCACUCUCUGUCCUUUCUAUCCUUCACCGAAAAUUGAUGGUGACAGCUUCGUUGCGGUUUUAGCAGCCUCGACCAAUCUUAUUUGAGACAUCUAUCCACAAUUCGCAUCUGCCCUUUCAAUCCGUGUCCUCCCUGUCUUCUAUCCUUCACGGUAAUUCAGACAUCAGUCACGUGUCCCAUCUCGAAACGAACAAGAGUCUGGAAAAUGCAAAUAUGUUAUGGGCCCACCGAACUUGUCUUUUAAGGAAAGAACUCAUUUUGCAUUUCCCCUCACUUUCUCCCGACUUUCCGGAGGAAAAUAUCUUGUGGCCCCCCACAGGAAAAUCCUUCUCAACGGUUCUCUUCGUAUUCCUUGAAUCUUUAUUUUCCUCGCUUCUUUUUCCCCCAAUUCCUGCAACCGGCUUCAUUCUACGGAAUGGCUCCAUUCGGAUAAGGUCUUGCUCUCAAAAGAAAAAUCAUGGUAGCAAACAUUUGGAGUGGCUCCAUAAAUAACAACUUUCAUUUGAUGAGAAAAUCAAGAUAUAAGAAUUCUCCCACAAGUGUUGAUGUUCUCAUUAAUAAUAUUAUGUGUCAACAUGACUACUAUAGUUGCAUGAGUAGACAUUCCUCAAAGAAACGUCAAUAACAUUGGUAAGCUUCUAAAUUCAAAUUAUGUUUUGCACUCGGCAUUAUAGCUUGUCGUUUUUUUCUGGUCCAUCAAGCUAUGCUAAGAAUGAAGUAAAGAUGAGAUGUGAAUGGUUUGGGCAAAGAAAAAAGUGGAUGAACAAGACAACGUCUUUGUCCUCAGCAAUGGUGCAUAGAGAUUUUUUGCAGAGGAGCGAGAGGUUCUUUUAAGUUCUUCCGUUGAUCGAUAACUUGCAAUUAACUAUCUUGUAUUAUCUGUUUUUAAAUAUUGAAAUUGAAUGUCAUGGCUACAUAUGGAUUAUGUACCUUUUUAACUAGAGAUUUUUGUUAGCCCCAUAAUUGAUAGAAUAACAACUCCAACUGUGACACUAAAACAAUUAUACGUGUAUCGUGAUUAUUUGAUUAUGUCAGGUUAUUUAAAUUUUUUGGUCAUAUUUUUAAGUAUGUUUUCCCAUAGUUUAAAGCAGUUUUUGUUUUGGGUGAUCAACUGAAUAUGUUUUUUUUUUUCUUUUUCAAAAUUAAGAAGUUGCCUUUUUUAGAAUAUUUGUUGUUGUUAUUCGUAAAACAAUUUGUACAAAGUUGGGACCAAAUAUAUAAUCAUAUAUGGCUACGCACAUAUUAAGUCGAAGCUAGACGGGACAACGUUGAGAGAGAGAGAGAGAGAGAGAGAGAGAGAGAGAGUACAGUGGAGUCGGGUCCCCCAACGCGAGGUUGAAAAAUGAAAGAAUGCGUAGAGAAGCAAGAAGCGUAGAAGUUUGGGGAGAAAUCUUUUGUGUUUCUUCAGUUGUAUUCAAUGUACAAAACUUAGUAAUUAUAUAAUACAAGAUGUACAUGAAGAAAAGGUAAUGAAAUAUUCUACAAAUCAAUCUAAUAUCUCAAUCUAAUCCCUAGUUGAUUUAGUGUAUGAUUAUAAUCAAAUCGGAUUCCCGAAAUAUCUUCCGAAUCUUCAACUAUAUCUUCCAACAAAAAAUCAAGAAACUUUAAUAAUUGCAACACGAUCCACAAUGUAUAAAGUCGUACUGUCUAUAUGCAUCACGAGGCUGACAUAACACUAACCUUCAAUAAUUGCAACGUGAUCCACGGCAAAAAAGCAACUUAACUUUAAGCCGUUUAAACUCUUAACCUCGCUUUUGUUAAGUCUUUCUCCCUCCUCCUCCUCCUCUGCAUUUUAGAGAGAGAGAUAUCAGUAGUAGCAUCAGAGGAACGAUUGUGGACGUGUGUGAUCGAUACUUGUUAGGGAAGGAGAGAGAUGCAAGGAUUUGGAGUUCAUAGAGAAUCGGAAAGAGGGUCAUUGAAUUGUUAACGAGGUGUAGUCAAUCAAUGCAAUUGUUGGGUUUUCUUUAAAAAUAUUAAAAGUGAGGUUUUGAGAAAUAAGUGAUGAGUAUAAUUAGUAAUUUUUAUUAAAAAAAUGAUAAGGCGUUUGUCAUGGACCUUCAAUUUCUCUCAAUGGAGUUGUGUAUGUAGCUCAAAGCCUAUGCAUGUUCACAAGAUUGACAAAUUGUUGUCUUUUAAUUAUUAAUGGAGUGCCGGGAAGCAUCCAACAAAUCUCCAUCAAAUGUGGCACUUCCUCCAUUUCAUAUAGAUUGGAUAAUUAUCAAAGAUAUAUAUAUACACCUAUGAUAAAUUUAUUUUUUAUAUUAUUAUCUUUUGAAAAUGGGCAAGUUGCCACACUUGAUUUUUUCAUCUCAAUUUCUAUUUGAAGUUGAUUUUGGCAGAUUAACAAUCUACACUUGGGAGCUGAGCCCCCCUUCCCUUCUUUUCCUUUUAUUCUUGGGAAGGUUUGGUGAGUAUUUCUUCUAUACUAUAAACUAUUAGUUAUUUAAAUUCUAACCUUAAUAUCAAAUUAUUCAUGUUUUUUUGCACGUGAAAAUAAAAUUAAAAUAUUGGGAAUGAGAAACUACUUCCAUUAAAGUUCACAUAUUUAAAUGAUGAGGCGUGACCAACUAAAUUUUAACGAUAAAAUUUCAGGUCAUCAACUUGGAAGAAUUUAUGAUUUGAUGGUCGUAGAAUAAUCAGCUUAGAUAUUAAGAUUGAUGGGGAAACUGAGCGCGACUCUUGUGGAUCUUAUCUUCAUUACAUUUUGUCAAAUAAGCUGGGUGCUAUUAGAGACGCAAUGCCUAUCUUCUCGAGAAUUGAUGUAAGGGGCUGAACAUUUUCCUGUACUUUUCACAUGUCAAUUGUCGUACCGAGCAUCUAAGUAAAAGAAAGACGGACAAUUCGGUGGACAAUUCGGUGGAGUUGGGUCCCUCGGUGAUUGGCUGAGUAGCCUUCACGUGCAUGAAGCCGUACUGCCCAUGAGCACCACUAGGUUGACAUAACAUGAAACUUUAAUAAUUGCCAAGCGACUGCUGAUGGCCAAGCAGCAACUUCAUCUCCAUCCUCAUUAAACUCUUAACAUCACUUUGUUCAAUCUUCCUCCUCCUCUGCGUUUUAGAGAGAGAGAGAGAGCACCGUCCCAACUGGCACGGCCCAUUGGCUAUCCUAAUUAAAAUCCAUUCGAGUUCAUGUACCAUUUUCUGAGAGUGGAGGAUCCUCCAUUAAAAAAAAAAUGUUGCCGACAGCUUCAUAGAUAUUUUUGGAGCUUCAGCCCAUCCCUUUGGACAAUCAUUCACAUUUCCCAUCUCGUGUGCACUUUAUUUCCGUCCUUCACAGUCUUCUGUCUUUCACCGAAAGUGUUGCCGACAGCUUCGCAGAUAAUUUCGGAACAUCAAUCCAUCAAUUCGGACAUCUGUAAAUUUUCCCAUCUGGCAGUCACUCAGUCACUACCAAAAAUUGUGAGUGACAGCUUCGUUAACGUUUUAUGAGCCUCGACCAAUCUUAUUCAGACAUCUAUCCACAUUUCCCGUCUCCCGAUUCAAUUUGUGUCCUCACUGUCUUCUGUCCUUCACCAAAAUUCAGACAUGCGCCCCCGUCGAAUCUCCAAAUGACCAAGAGUCCAGAAAAUGCAAACAUGUAAUGGUCCACUGAGCUCGUCAUUUGAGGAAAAGAAAGAGCUCCAUUUUGCGUUUCCCGCUAUUUUCUUUCCACUUUCCGAAGGAAAAUAUCUUGCGGGUCCCCACAGGAAAAUCUUUCUCUACCAUUCUCUUCGUAUUCCUUGAAUCUUUUAUUUUCCUCACUUCUUUUCACCCAAUUCCUGAAACCCGCUUCAUUCUAUGGAAUGGCUUCAUUCGAUUCUAUACAUACGGGUCUUGCUCUCAAAAGAAAAAUCAAGGUAGCAAACUUUUGAAGUGGCUCCUCAUCCGUAAACAACAUCUUUUAUUUGAUGGGAAACUCAAAAUGUAAGACUUCCCCCAUAAGUGACGAUAACAUCGUUAAUAAUAAUAAUAUGUAUAGACUCGGCUAUAGUUGCAUUAGUAGAUGUUACUCAACAAAAUGUCAAUAAUAUCAGCAAACUUCUCAACUCAGAUUAUGUCUUGCACUCUGCAUUAAAAAAUGAAGUAUAGACGAGAUGUAGAUGGCUUACAUAGAAAAAAAGUGGAUGAACAAGGCAACGUAUUUAUCCUCAGCAAUGGUGCAUGCAAAUGUUUUACAUAGGAGACAGAGGUUCUUUUCAUUUCUUUCGUUGAUCAAUAUCUUGUAAUUUUUUAUCUUAUAUUAUCUGUUUUUCCAUAUAGAAAUUGAAUAUCAUGGCUACAUAUGGAAUAUAUACAUUUUUAACUAGAAAUUUACCUAGGUCCAUAGAAUAACAAAUCCUACUACGAGACUAAAAUAACUUUACAUGCAUGAUGAUUAUUUAAUUAUAUCGGGUUAUUUAAAUUUUUUUGUCAUAUUUAUAAAUAUGUUUUCCCGUUGUUUAAAGCAAUUUUUGUCGUAUAAAGCAGUUUUUGUUUUGGGUGAUCGAUCGAAUGUGUUUUUUUUUUUUUUUUGGGUGAGGAUGAUUGACCCAAUUAAGAGGUUGGUUUCUUUAGAAUAUUUGUCGGUCUUGUCCAUAAAACGAUUUGUACGAAUUUGGGACCAAACGUUUAAUCAUAUAUGGCUUUGCACAAAUUAAGUUGAAGCUAGUGGGACAACGUUUAAAUUGAUAGAGAGAGAGGAUAGUACGGUGGAGUGGGGUCCCUCGGCGUGGGGUUCAAAAAGCAUGAAGCUUUAAUGAUUGCAACAUGACCCACAAUGUAUCAAGUCAUACUGUCAAUCUGCAUCACGAGGUUGACAUGACACCCCAGUUAAAUUCUUAACAUUACUUUGCUUUGUCCUCCUCCGUUUUAGAGAGAGAGAGAGAGAGAGCGCGCGCAAGGAGCAAUGAUCGUGGAGGUGUGUGGUCAGUACAUAUUAGGGAAGGAGAGAGACUCCCAAGGAUUUGGAUUUUACAGAGAACCGGAAAGAGGGUCAUUAAAUUGCUAACGAGGUAUGAUAAAUCAAUGGAAUCGGGUUUUCUUUAGAACUAUUAAAGUGAGGUGUUGAGAAAUAAAUGAUGAGCAUAAUUAGCAAUUUCUAUACAAAAGAAAAAUGAAAAAAGGCAACUUUCAUGAACCUUCAAUUUCUCUCAAUGGAGUUGUGUAUGUACCUCAAAGCCUAUGCACAUUCACAAGAUUAAUAGAUUGGUGUUUCUUAGAUAUUAACGGAGUGCCUAGGUCUCUUUGAGCAUCUCGUGAAUCUCCUUCAAAUGCGGCGGUCCCUCGAUUUUAUAACAUUGGAUAAUUACCGAAGACAAACAGUUUUUAUUAAUAUAUUGGUGAUAAAUUUAUCUUUUAUAUUACAUUUUUUUUGAAAAGGGCCAGUUGCCACAUUUGAUAAUAUCAUCUCAAUUUCUAUUUGAAUGUUGGUUUUGGCAACUUAACGGUCUUAAUUUGGGAGUUGAGCCCCGUUCCUUUUAUAGGACGGUUACUUAAGUAUCAUAAUUUUUUGUCAAUUGAGUGGGUGUCAUGACUUUAAAAAAAAUUCAUUUAAGUGUCAUGGUCUUCAAUUACUCAUUUAAAGACUACAACUCCCAUCAUCACAAGUGUCAUGAUGCUAGCACUAUUGGGCAACGUCUUUGAAAAGGUUAUAAUGCUCAAGUGAAUAUUUUUUAGAGGUUUCAAAAUAUUUAAAUGAUCAGAAAAAAAUAAAUUUAUGAUACUUAAAUAAGCGUCAUACGGGGUGACCUUUUUUCAAAAUUAACCUUGUAGGGCAUUACAGACUUCUACAUGCUAUGGCAAUAUAAUCACGCAAGCACUGCAAGAUGCUUUUGCAUGAAAAUGAUACAAACUUUUACGAAGAAGGGACAGGAAAAGCAUUUUGGUCAAAAUAAGCGUUAUUGCACUCGCCGGACUCUAUUGUUGUGCAACUUUAUUAAAGCUGAUACUUAAAAAGAGCUCAUGAAGCCACUGAAAUUGGAGUGCAUCACCUGAAUCGGAUUCUGGACUUACAGAGAUUGGGGCCUCGCCGCUGUUGAUAGCUGGGGCUGAGCACGUAUGAAAUGAUUGAUGGACAAUGAUAGUCAUAGACAGCUGGAUAAUUCUCGCAUUCUAGGAGCGGUGGGGUCCGAAGGCAAUUUUAGUCCAAAAAGAAAUGGUGGACUGGAUUUUUUUCGAACCGUUAAAUUGAGGUUCUCCAUUGAGGUGCAUCAUCUGAAUUGGAGAUCAUAGCUCGGUCCCAAGCGGAGAUUUGUGCAUCGCUGCUGCAGUGCUGCUGAUUUCUGGAGCUGAGGUCAGAUGUGUUAAACGGUUAAGCAUAAUCAAAUGGGAGAAAAUAUUUGAGGGUCCCGACCGCCAAGCCAGCGUGUACCCUUACCAAUGAGGAAAUGACGGGUGGCUCCACGAUGCGCUAGCUGCUCCACUGGUUUUUCUGCACAAAAUAUACUAUUGCCCCUUUUCUGCUUAAAAAUUUACAAUCAUUAAGGGGUGCAUGAUAAUCAAAAUUUCUGUUUCAGAAACAAUUUUUCUAUUCCAGACCUGUUUCUGGAAUAGAAACCUGUUUGAUAAACCUACUUAGUUUUUCUAUUUCUGGAGUAGAUUUCUAUUCCAAAAAUUGAUUUGGAAGAGAAAUAAGAAGUAAAAAUUUUCUACUUCUGAUUUCUGGAAGAGAAAUCAGAAAUAAUUUCUCCCACUAAACCCUAAUUUCGGUGAGUCCUCCCUCAUCUCCUCUACGUCCCUGCCUCCUCCUCCUCUGCCUCUCCUCAUUUUAUUAAAAAUAAAAAUAAAUAAAAAUAAAUAUAUUCAUUUUAUUCAUUUAAAAAUAAAUAAAUUAUUUUUAUUUAUCAUUUUAUUUUUAUUUGCCUUGAGUGUUCUGCCAAAUAAUUAUUUUUUUUAAAUUUUUGUUCAUUUUAAAAUAAAUUUAUUCGUAAAAUAAAAUAAAAUAGAAUAAAUAAAAUAAAUUUAUUUUUAAGGAUAUUUUUAUUUUAAAAUAAAUAAUAUUUUUAUUUUAUUUUUUAUGAUUUAUUUUAUUUUAUGAUUUAUUUUUUGUUACUAAAUCAUUUUUAUUUUUAUUUUUUAUAUUAAAGGUCGUCGGUUGUCGCCACCGCCGUCCGAAAGAAAAAAAUUUUGUGUCGUUAUCAAAUGGUUAUUUUUGUUUAGAAACUCUUCUAGAAAUAGAAAUAGAUUUUCCAAAAACUAUUUCUAGAACAGAAUGGUUGUCAUGAGCGCCCUAAUAGAUCUGCUGCUUUCUUCUCUCACCUCUCUAAUGUGAGUAGGCCUGCAUGCAUUAAAGGAGCUUUGCCUCUCGUCAUUUCUUUCCUUCUCACUUCAAAAUUUUGGGUAAGAAUUCGCUCUCUGGCCCAAAGCACGUUGCUCCUCCACCUUGCUCCGGUGCCGGGUCAUCCUCGCUCUCUACCCCAGAGCUCGUUGCUUCUUCGGCCUGCGUCAUUGUGUUCCUUCUCCGCCCUGUGUUUUCCCUGCGCAAGACGGCCAGGAAUGUUCUUUCUGUAAGUCGCAAACUCCAAGCGACAAGAAGUUCCAGCUCUCUCCGAUUCGGCUUCAGAUCCACUACGUUCGCAGCUCAUAACAGUGAGUUGAUUCUUUCCCUGAUUUUUGUGUUUUUUUUUUUUUUUUCAGUUUUAGUUUCUUUUGUUGGUGGGUGAGUGCACGAGCUUGGCUAUCGAGUCGGCAAUUUUUCCCGUGAGUGUCCGGUGUUGUAAUUUUUGGGAGGUUGGUUUGUCUAGGCUAGCACUGAGUUUCAGUCCGAGGCGAAACGAAUGGUUGUAAGUUUCCGCGAAACCGGGGAGAUUAGCAGAAAACGGAUGCUUAGUAAUAUUGGAGAUGAUGUGGAAGUAUUUCGUUGAAACGAAUAGUCGGCACUUGUCUGAUUUUUCUGUUUUUGGCUUUUGUCUUCAAGUAUUUCGGUGGAAGUAAUUCGAUUGGGGAGAAUGGCGGAUAUUGUUCCGCCUCCCUCGGCAUAUAUACAUUCUUAACUCUCGUUUCUCCACAGAGAAGGGAAGAAAACCAGAAAGAAUUCAAAGAGGGGAAAAUGGCGGAUGCCGGUCUGUGUGCAGCUUCCACAGUGGCAGGGUGCCUGGUGGCUCCGGUCAAUCGUCUUUGUGGCCAUGUGAUUUCCUACGACAGCUACGUUCGCAAACUUAACGGUGAAGUUGAGAAGCUGGGUGACGCGAGGGAUGAGGUGCUGCAUUCCAUCGAUGAAGCUCGAAACAACACGAAGCCGAUCAAAGCCAAGGUCGAGAAAUGGGUGAGAGAAGUGGAGACCGUCACUAAGGAGGCGCGUGACGUGCUGGAGUACGACGGAAUUGCUAAGAAAACUUGCUUCUACGGUUGGCUUCCCAACCUGAACGUGCGAUAUCGUCUCGGCAGGGAGGCAAGGAAGAAAGCCGAAUGCAUCCAGAGACUCAUUGAUCAGAAACCAUCCGGGGAGGUCUACGACGAUCCUCCUCCAGGGCGCGUUGAUGGCACUCCCGAGGAAAUCGGUGAUCGAGGUGACACUAUCUUCGAUUCUCGAGCUUCCAUCUUAGAGGACAUAAUGAAAGCUCUGGAUCACGAGAAGCACAAGGUGGUUGGGGUCUACGGGCCUGGCGGCGUGGGGAAGACGACACUGUUGGAGGAAGUUGAGAAGAAACUCAGGAAAGAGGGGAGACCAUUCGACAUGAUCGUCAAAUCGAAAGUGUCGCAGACUCCGGACUUGAAGAAUAUCCAAGAUGAUAUCGCUUACGCCUUGAAACUGGAUCUGAAGAAUGAGCCCAGCGAAGUCGGAAGAAGAGAUCGUCUGUUCAAGAGAUUACAGAAGGAUCCGAGUGAGAAGAUUCUCAUAAUAUUGGACGAUCUGUGGAAAGAAUUUGAUCUGAAGGAGGUUGGAAUUCCUUCGGGAGAUGAGAGCAAGGGAUUCAAGUUGCUGCUAACGUCGAGAUUUAAAGAUGUUCUGGAGCAAAUGAAGUGUGAUACUCCCAUAUUUCAUCUUGAAGGUUUAAAGGACAAAGAAGCAUUCAGGCUAUUUGAGAAGACGGUCGGUGACAGGCUCAAAGACGAUGAAGAAUUGAAAGCAAUAGCACCUAAAGUCGUCAAGAAGCUUGCAGGUUUGCCUCUUCUGAUUAUCUCCGUCGCGUGUUGCUUGAAAGAUCGGGAUGUGACCGCAUGGAGAAUCGCUUUGACAAAAAUAGACCAGUCAAAAAUGGAGACUAUAGUGAAGUUGAGUUACGACCAUUUGAAGAGUGAGGACACCAAGACCUUAUUCUUGCUCUGCGGUCUUAUUGGCGGGACCAUUGACGUGGAAAUCCUGCUGGUUUUAGGCAUGGGUUUAGGCUUGUUUGAGGAAUUCGGAAGUACGAUACAAGAUUCAAGGGAUGGAUUGAAUACUAUGCUUGAUGAACUCCGUUCUGUUUGUUUGUUGCUGGAUGGUGGUGAUGACAAAAACAAUGUGACCUUAUAUGAGCUGUUGUAUGAUGAUGACUACAAGAACGAUGUGACCAUACAUGAUCUUUACAGCGAGGUGGUUGUCUCAACUCCAUUUAGUGGUCAGGAUUCUUUGAUGAUGAACAGCAAUUAUGGCUCACGGUCAAAGGAAAAGCUUGAGAAAUGUUGGGCUAUAUGCCUAGCUGAUGUUGACAAAAGGAGAUUUGAUGAACUAAUGAAGUGUCAGUUUCCUGAUAAGAAGAUACUCAUAUCGUCUCAACCGGGAGGCUGGCGUUGGAAACAAGAACACGAACGUGAAGUGGGAGAUUGGUUGAGACUACUAGAUUUCACAUACAUGAAGGAGCUCCGUGGACUAUAUUUUCGCUCCAUGCAUAUGGCCAGUUUACCUCCCUCAAUUGGAAUCCUCGGGAACCUCCACUCUUUAUACUUAGACUGUUGCGAUGUGAAGGAUGUGGCGAUUCUUGGCAAGCUCAAAGCAUUGCAAAUUCUCACCGUCGCCGCACGGUCCACCUUUUCUAGGUUGCCUAAAGAAAUUGGGGAACUCAUAAAUCUAAGAUCGUUGAAUCUAAGCAAAUGCUACUACCUUAAAACAAUUGCGCCAGGUGUCCUAAAUCGCUUAACCAACUUGGAAGAGUUACAUAUUUACCACUUUUCUCAAUGGAUGGGUAAUGAUCAAAUACCGUUAGGAUCAUGUAAUGCUAGGCUUGCCGAGUUGAAGAGCUUGACAAAGCUAGCAUCUCUGGAAAUAUCGAUUUCUAAUCCCAUCAUACUCUUGGAGGAUGGUGACCUACCAUUUGAGAACUUGGACAAAUUUCGGAUCAAAAUAGGAAAUGCUAGGGGGUGGAAAUAUGGAGGUUUGCCAACCAUGGGGCUCGAUUUAAAAGGGUGCGAUAGUAUUCUUUUGAGAAAAUGGGUUAAGAAAAAUCUGCAGAAGACUCAAUACUUAUAUUUAACCGGGUGUAGUGAUUUCAAAGAGAGCCCUCGCGAAUUGUGCACCCAAGAAUUCCAAGAAGUGAAGCGUCUCCACAUUGGAGACAGCCCCUCAAUUAAGUACAUUGUCGAUUCAUCCAAUGACCUCCCUCUCACUGCUUUUGGAAAGUUAGAGUCUUUUUCCCUUGAUAAUCUUAUUAAUUUGGAGAAGAUAUGCCACGGCCCCAUAGUGCUAGAGUGCAACAAAUUGAAAGAUGUGAGGGUCGUACAAUGCAACCAAUUGAAAUACUUGUGGCGUCUUUCAGAUGUGCAGAGACUUGUACGAUUGGAAGAGAUUAACGUGUCUGAGUGCAGCUCAAUGCAAUCCAUUGUCACACAUGAUGCAGGAGAAGAUAUAGUUUCUACCAAUAACAGAGUUGAGUUGCCUAACGUACGUCGUCUGCGAUUGCAUGAGUUACCAAAUAUGACAAGCUUUUGUGAUACUUCAAUUCAGGUAACCUUUUUUUUUUUUUUUUUUUUCAUUUUCCCCCGUCAAUUUGUUCUGUUAGGAUGAGAUGAUAUUGGUUUUCACUCAACGUUGGUACAUAUUGCAUUUAACUUUGACUAUUUGUACAAUUUGAUUUAGGUUUUGAUUUACAAAUAAAAAAUCCUCUCAAAUAGAACACAUACCAUAUUAUAGUUAAAGGGAAGCCUCUUUCCAUGACUGAUUUUUUUAAUUUUUCAAAAAAAAAUGUCAACAUUAGAUAAUUGCAUUGCUAACUUGGGUUUCUUCUGUGACUAAUUUAUUACUUAUUUAACAUUCUUAAUGAGACGAAAAAAUAAUGUACUGAACGAAUGAAAGGGAGAAUGAAUCUUGAAUGAAUAAAUAAAAUUCAAUAAUUUCAAAAUGAAGAAAGCACCGUCCAGAGAUUCAAUAAAUGGAUGGGGCCACGUAACAAAGAAAGUCCCCAUAAUUCAAGUUCCACCUAACAUGCAAUUUGCAACUGAUUCCAACAUGUCAUUCCAAGUUGCCAACAUCACCGGAUCAACAUCACUAUUAAUUUGAGCUGCAUUAAUGGCAUGAUAGCAGUGAGGAUUUCCUCAUGAGAAUGAUUUCGCUUUUCACGGAAGAGAAAUUAUUUCCUUUUUUUUUUUUUUGUAUUUUAGCCCUAGAGUUCCACUUAUUUUCUUGUGAAAAUAGCUUUACUUGUAACAGACUUACCUUUAAUGAGCUUCAUUGUGGUGCCACAUCAGGUUUCAUUGCCUCACUUGGAAUCCCUCAUAAUGGUUGGAUUCCUUGACCCAGAAAAGAUACUCUACAGUGAACUUUCAUCAACAUAUAGCUAUCUAAGAUCGCUACUGAUAAGAGCCUCUAAAUCCACGUCGAAGAGUAUUCUAAAAUUAGAUUGGAUUUUGAAGUUGUUGAAUUUGGAAUCAAUGUCACUUGGGAGAUUUCCAUCAGCAGAAGUAAUUUUUGACCUGGAGGAGCUAAAAGUCAUCGAAGAUGUCGAGAUUUGCUCUCGGCUAACGAAAUUGACAUUAGAGGAUUUACCAAACCUGCAGUGCAUGUGGAAACAUGAUGUAAAAUUACAAGGAAUAUCGAUAUUUCGAAACCUGAGGGACCUCUUUGUCUAUAAAACGGGGCUGUCAUUUCUCUUUUCGGUGUCUGUGGCUAAAUGUUUUAGAGAAAUUAGAGUCAUUAGAGUGUGGGACUGUCAAAAUAUGAAGGCAGUGAUUGUGGAUGAAGAAGGAAGAAACGAAGGGACAUAUGAUAUUAUAGAGUUCCCACUACUGGAGCAUCUAUCUAUACGGCAAUGUCCAAUGGAGAAAUUCUUCCUAUAUCCUCAUGUAAAGAAAGAGCCAGUAACCACUACUUCAGAUUUGCAAGAUGCUUACUCCAAUUCCUUCUUUGAUCGAAAGGUACAAAUCCCUUCUAUCGAGAUUUUACCCAUAAUAGCCAUAGGCACACGCUUUGUGGGGGGUGUAAUAAAAUCUCUUUGAAGAAUUUUAUUUGGUUUUAUUAGUUAGAAUGUGUUCAUUAUUUAUAAUUACAUUUGUCAUAAUAAGGCCAUUAGUGAAAAGUCAUUCUUCCAUCAUAUCAAAUAUAUUGCUAGGAUUAGGCCAAAUUGCCAGAUGUUUCAUAGCUAUGAUCUAAUGUAUAAUGAGUAGGUUAGUAUGUCAAGCUUGGAAUUUUUAUGGCUUCAUUCAAUAGGAUCCUUCAAAAGGAUAUGGCAAGAUGAACUUCCAAGAAGUUCUUUCUACGAAUUAGCCACCCUCAUCCUUGAAAAUAGCGCUGAGCUACUCAAAUGUCUUCCCUUGACAAUCAUAGGGAGAUUGCACAAUCUAGAAGAAGUCAGAGUUUCAAAUCGUCGUUUGACUGUAGGUUUUUUCGCAUUAUCAUGUAUUAGAACAUACAAUGUAAUAAAUUUAUCCUAUUUUUCCUCCUUUCUCACAUUAUCCUCAUGCAGGUUACAUUUCCUAACAUAACAAAACUGCAAAUUGGUGGCCUUUUGUGCCAAGAGAUAUGGAACAAUCAAAUUCCCACCAAUUCGUUUCAGAAGUUGGAAUCUCUUGUAUUGACGAAGUGUGACAAUCUCCAAAGUAUUGCUACUUCUUAUAUGUGGAAGAGGUCGCAGUGCCAUCUUGAGAUCCUAAAAGUGAUUUCAUGUCGUUCGAUCAAGAUCAUAUAUGAAGGUGAUGGGACGGAUAUAGAGAGUGGUAAAUUGAGGAGCCUAGUUUUGUGUGAUCUUGAAAACUUGAGGUGCAUUUGGCAGUCCGACAAGUUCCCAAACGUCCCAUUUCCAAAUUUGAGAGUCGUAGAGGCCGUGAGAUGCCCUCGUUUGGAAAUGCUUUUCCCUACCUUCACUAUGAAAUUUCUCGGGCAAAUCAAACAGUUGAUAGUGGAUUCAUGUGAAGAUAUGGAACUAAUUGCUGGCCAUGAAAAAGGGGAAGAAGCGACCCACACAACAAUCACCUUCUCUGAAUUAACUCUUCUAAUGCUUGUCAAGUUGCCGAAAUUCAGGAGCUCCUUCUUACCUGAGAAAUACUCUCUCAAAUUCCCAUGCUCCGAGGACUUCCCGUCCUUGCAAAACUUGAGUGUAAAAAGCUGUGGAGCAGAGCCGGACCAAGUCCUCGGUCACUUGGGAGUCCAAUUAAUUCGAAGCGGGGACAUAUAUUCAAAGUCGGACCAAGUCAUUGGUCAAUGGGAAUUCGCCAGUACGGAACGAGAACGUGGCAUGCCAUUUCAUGAGACGUGAGGUAUUCCUUCAAUAUUUCAUUGCUUUGGUUUGGCUCUCUGUUCCUUUGAAUCGAAAAUCAAUUUAAAUUAGCUAAGACACAAUUCUCAGUAGGAGCCACACGUACUCUACAUCACGUGGCCCUCUCUGUUCCUUUCUCUCUCUCUAGCUCUCUUUCUUUACUCUCUUCAACUAACGAUCUAUCGAUUCCCUUUUAUGCUCAGGAACCGUGCCUUCUGGAGUUCCCUUGAUCUUCGUUCCUUGUUCAUUCUCCCUCUCCGUCGCCCCUCCAUCCACCAACAGCCGCCGCCGAGAGUCCAUUGCUGGCCACCACCCGACAUGGCACGCUGAGAAGGGAGAAAGAACAGAGAGCAUUGAUCGAAGGCUGUCGGUGAUUUCGAUUGAAUCCUUUCCUCUCACUUCGCUGCUUGUCGUCACCGCUUCCCGAUCACCACAUGUUCCACUGCUGCGAAGAAGUUCUGUAAUGUCGGAGUGCUCGAACUUCGGUCACGACUGCCUACUUCGACGAUUCCAUCCCUUGAUGUUGCUUCUGUUAUCUCCUUACUCCUGUCUGAUGUCAAUCGCUAUAGGUAAUCGUUCUCUAUUCAACUAAACCAUAUAUGCUCCGUGUCUGUGUGCAAAUCGAUUGUGAUUGAAGGGUUGUAUUUAUGAUUUGAAGCAGUGCUCCUCGGCCGAAAUCAAUGUAUGCUACCCGUUUGAUGAAAUUCCUGAAUUAAGUCGGUGUGUAUUUUUUAUUCAGUUCUUGACCGAGAAUUCCCUUGAUUACUAGAUUGCUGAUCUAUACUGGUCAUUUAAGCAUAUUUGAGUUCUGUUUCUUCAUACAAAAACCAUAGGUGUUCGAUUUCAAACUUGUUUGGAAUCUGCUGGAACCCUGUCGAUACUUGCUGAUUCGCCAUUGUUGCGGCCCUGAGCUGAUGUCGAUUGGUCCUUGAUUUUAUGCUAUUCCACUCAAGUGAGCAUGUGCAGUGAUAUAAGGUUGUCUUAUGGUGAAUUUCAUGUUUGUUUGGAAAAGAAAUUAUGUCAUGGAUGAAUGAAAUUCUACUGGAAAUUGAUCCAUGUAUGCUGGCCCUGUCUUGAUAUCCCUGAUUGGGUGUGCUUUUGAUUCCAGCUUGAGGCUAGUUUGGUUAUGGGAUCAUAUAUGUUCAUGCUAGGAAAGUAAUAAAAUGAAUCUCAUACCAUUUAGCAAGAAUUGGGUUCAUCUCUGAACUUGAAUAUGCUAGAAUGAAGUAUUGCAUGCUGACCAUGAUUGUUUUGUUUAAAUUUGGCACUAAUUUGGUCUUUGAUUGAUGUCAUUUUGAUCAAGUAGACUCAUAUGCACUUAUAGGAAGAUAUGGCUUCUAUUCAUGUCUAUUCAUGUCAAUUAGUCAUCAAAAGAUCACAAUUUGUGGUCUUUAUGCUCUGUUACAAUUUCGAACAUGUGCUGGAAUUUUUAUCUUAGGUUUUUUCCACAGAAUUUUUGUCUUAGUUUGGUUGCCUUCUUUAUUGCCCGUGGAUAAGUGAUAUGCAUGUGCAUGAUUAAAUUGAUGAGAUAUGUGCUUGAUAUUGCCAUGAGAGUUUGAUUGAAUUUUAAUUCCAUAAUUCUCACGAUUCCAAAGGAAACCUUUAAUGGUACACAUAUUUUGAAGGUGAUCUGGUAGACUAAGCCAGAUCUGAGGAAAUCUCUCAACAAAGCUGGUCAAUGAGGACCCUUGAAAUAUUGCAUGUAUGACACUUGCCACCAAAGUACAUGUAUUCUCUUCAUUUCCUUCGACACUCAGCAUUCAAGGCUUAUUUACAAGAGCUAUUGCUUAAAUCUAAUUGAUCCUUCAAGUGUGUGUGUUUGUGCCAACAUACCGUGCACAACACCAAUUGCAACCUAUGUCCUUUUUCUCGGAGUGUUCACUGGCCACUACUAUUUAGAAUGAUGUUUCAAAGAUACGAUUUUUGUUUUCCUCCCUCCCCCAUAGAAUUCGCAAAAGCAUGUCCAGCACUACCAUUAACCUGCGCUUGAAAUCCAUUAGGACCCUGCCCAUAUGUUCCACCAGGAGUAGGUCCCUAGUUCCGAUUGUCUCUCCUAUAAACUAUUUUGCAAUGGAGGUGCAAAGCUCCAUCUAUCUCCUUGCAGCAGGUCUCUCUAUUGAUGAUAGUAAUUAUUUUUUAUGACCUUGCUGAUUGGAGGUCCCCUGAUCUGAAAAAGUUGAAUCUUUUUGUCUAAUAUGUUUAUGCUAUAAAUCUCGAAUGGAAAACACUAAGUCAAGAAGAACUUGAUGAACCAUAUGAAUUUAUCUUAAUGUCCACACGAUAACAUCAAGUCAUCCAAAGCAUUUUAUACAACAAUGGCAUCAUGUGUCCUUUCCACAACUUGCUUUAAUUAGUAGAGAGUAUCCAUCCGAACCACAACUUUGUCCUGCUCAUGAAUGCUCAUUCUACUCAUAUUUCUCAAUUUCAGCUGCUCAAAACACUGCUGUUUAACCCAAAAUCACUUGAAAAUUUUGUUAUAUACCAUUGCAUUUGCGCACACUCAGAAUUGAAUGCCACUAAUUUUACAUAAUCAAUCAUGUCGUGAGAGCAUCAGGAAGAGUGGUGGGCGAUCCAAGGAUUUUGCCACCCACAUCGGGAAACAUUUCGAAACCGGCCAAAGGACUAACUUUACCGUCUCUGCUCACAUGGAUGGGAUACUGCAUGAGGUGGCCUCUCAUUUCCUUGGGAUUAUGUUGGUCCUCAUCCACAUAAGCUUUCCAAUUCCGUUUGGCUAUUUUAUUCACCCUCUUCACGCAUUCAGUGCUUUGGGGUUCCCUAAAGCUGUCCUCUAAAUCUUCCAAGUGCUCCGCCCAAAGCGACAUCCUAUAACCAUAAACCUGCGCAGCAGAAGUUAACAUUAGUAGUCACAAGCUUAAGGUUUUGAUAUAUGUCGCUACCCUCACAAGGGUGUCUACCUAGUACCUCUAUUUAGAUAAGAGGCUAAUCCGAUGUACUAACCUGGCCAUGCGGAUGCCUCUUUUUCCCAGCCCAAAUGUGAUGCGGCUGAUAGGCCCCCAUCGCGAUUUCAGUGUCUCUUGAGCCAUCUAGAGAUCUUUGGUUGAUAUUUGCCGAUCCCAUGAUCACAUACUCAUCAUCUACUAUCAUCCCUUUGGCAUGCACAUAUAUCAUGAACCUGCGAAACUUUUGAACCGAAGCCUGCAUGAAUAGAAACGACAGCAUGUUUCAAAGCAGAAGUCUUUUUACCACUCGUUCAAAAACCAUAGCUCUUAAUGACUAUUUUUGUUUUAAGGAAAAAUCCAUGAAAAGAGUAUAGACAUAUACCAAGGCAUUAUUUUCGGAUUGUUGAUUCAUUGCUUGGGAUGAAGACUGUGUAGAGGACAAGGGCUCCUGCUUGCCAAGGCAAUAGAAAUUCAAGUAAUCUGACGGAUGGUACUUGUGUGACAACCCGGCUUUUUCGAGAGCCUGGGCUAUAAUUUUGUACAUCAUCGUCAUGGUUUGUCCCUGUCCACAUUAUCAAUCCACAAAUAUGAGAGUAGUGAAUGUUUAUCUCUUGGAGAAAAAUACUAAAUGACCUGAACAAGGUCGGGUCUCAAAUUUUCCCCUUUGAGUAGCUAGGUUUGUUCUGCUUGGAUCACUUCCUUUUCUGCUUAACUCUGUUCAAUGUGUUAUUUAGCUUCAAUUUGCUAGGACGUUAUAUUUAUUGAUAUACCGUUAUCGAAAUGCAAGUGUCAUCGCUAUUUGUUUGCAAGAUGAAAGAGUUUAUCCUUGAUAUGACCUGCCAUAAGAGAAUUUCCUGCACUGCAGCACUAGUAGGGACACCCUCCGGCCACAUCGGUAUCACUAUAUACACGCGGAAGCACUUGUUUUCACUGAUCUUACUUGUGAUCUUCAAUGCCAGCUCCAUCGGAACUAGAUUGUUUGCACCUGCUUGUCAAAACCAAAUCAAGCGUUGUUCGCCAUGAAAACUUGAACUCGAGAAAUUAGAUAGGCCGAAACAAAACUAGAAAAUGGGGGAAAAAAUCUAAAUUUAAAAAGGUUUUGACCUUAGAAAUAUAACAUAUUGAAUCAGAAUUCAAUUUUAAUGUCUUAUACAGUGAGUUCUAGCUAUUAUUAGCUGCUACACAAUCCCCAGAGGAAGCAAAGUCUAAAUUCUCUUUACUAGAGGUGCUAUUGCUCACUAAACUCAAGUCAGUCAGAAUGAAUAGAAAUGUGAAACUUAUACCUGCAUUUUUGUAUGAUGGCCAAUGGUAGGAAGAGCCAAAAAAAUACUGGUUUUCAAUGUAGAUGAAGUGUUGCGCCGAUCUAAUCGCUUUCACGUAAGCCGUGUGAAUGCUCUUGUCUACUUUCAAGUUCUUUCCGCAUAUAAGAUUCUGCAACCAUGAAGAGAUUGAAAGAAACAACAUGAUCAUUGCAGGCUUCAAUCCAUAUUCAAAAGCACUAACGAUUGUGCAUAAGAAAAUAGAGUGACUUUCUAACGUGAGGAAAACUUUUCGAGUUACGCAUAUAUAACAGCCACUUGCAAAUCUACCAGCAUGGUAUUAGCAGCUAAAACUUACUUGCUUUGCAGCCUCUUCAACGCUCUUUGGGAAUCCCUUUACAGAUCCCGAAUCAAUCGAUCUGAAGAUCUAUACCAACGUAAAAUAGAAAUGAAAGACGAUCAUUACACUUUGUUUUGUUUACGAAUGAAGUCCUCAAAAAUGGUCAUUAAUUUUACAUAAAGUUUCCCAACCUGCACGUGCCAAUUUUCCAGGUCAUCUUCGUCCCUAACUUGUACUUUUUUGUCACCAUCGGGACUUGUCGAGGGACAAAGUAUCCAUGAAAUCCUGUCAAGCCUUAAGAGAGCAUUCUCAUGCCAAUGCCUGACGUUUUUCAGCUUGAACUCGCGCCACUUCGCCACCUUUUUCCACCUCUGUUCGAAAUUCUUCAAUAUGUCAUACGCAGCUUGUCCCUCAACUUUGCAAUGUAGAUCAUGCCACGGUUCCCUUGGGACAUUGACAGUGGACUACAGUUGUCACCAAAAAAAAAGAAAAGCAAUGAUCAAAUGAUUGGAAAAUAACAUUUACAUGUCUUUACAGUGCUGAAGGUAAACAUUAGCUUAAUUACCAUGAAUGUUGGGUUGUGAAUGUCAUUCUUAAAGACAGUGUCAAGAUCGCUAUAGAGUCUAUGCUCGGGAGUGUCGUAUCGGCCAUCACAUAGGUCCAACCCACCAAUGAAAGCUGUUAUUUUGCGGUUGUUUCCCAAGGCUUGAGUGUCGAGAACCACACACUUUUGGUGGUGCGUGUACAAGGUCCCCACCACCUGGACUACAAAAGAUCCAUACACCAACAAAUUAAACCAAACAUUUUCGUAGAUUUAUGCUGGAUUUCAAUCGAAUGGGCAGCUUCUGCAACACUGUAAAAUUCGCUAUUAGAACUAUCCUAAAUGCAUGUCAUUAGGUUAGAGAACACAUGAUAUGAUCUAGGACAGCAUGAGACAGAUCAAUAACUUCCGUGGAUUGUCUAAUGAAAAGAAAACAUUUCCUAUGAAAUUAUACCCGAAUGGAAUAAUCAGGUAAUAUACAGCAAAAGCAAUGCUUUUGAUGCAAUCAAACAAUGAGAUUUUGAUUAAGGAUCGACCUAAACAUCUAAGGAUACAUACCUGUUGCUUGAAAAUGCUGAGUUUGGUGCUUGCAUAACGAGGAGCAAGCACACAGCGGACGCCAGAGUGUCGGAAGAACUUCUUCGUCUCUUCAUCAUGAGUUUGCAUCACUCCAUCCUGCACUAACAACAUGACACAUGCCAAGUCUCAAUGAUGAGAGAUCUCAAUAAAGAACUAUCUUUUCCUAAGUUGAUAAACGUACAGAUUUUCUGUCACAAAGAGCAUGGAUUUGAAAUUUGGCCAAAUGGUGGGUUGCACCAUAAAUAAGGAUACUUAUCCAAGAAAGAGCCAUGAUAUAACAUAUUCUCCUUUUGCAUUUUGUAAAGGCUAACUGAAAGAAAGAACUAUUAAAGGUCAAGAUUUUGAUUAUUCCAGCCUUUGUGUUAAAAAACAGAAAACUUCUUAUCUGUAAAUAUUCAUUAAGCCAACACUAAAAGUAAGAAAAUCCUUUACUAACUAUGCACCAUUGAUAAAAGGGUGAUCCUUAAAUGCGAUGCUGGUAGAAUAAAAAAUGUGUUCGCAUACGGCUCUCAUCACCAUUGAUGCAUUAGUCAUAACUUGAACCACUCUACUGCACCGGCCCAACAAAUCAAUAGGGUUGGAAGCCGUGGGCGGACAAAUUUUUCUCGACCCAGCAGUAUUCCGAUCAUUUCGCAAACCAUAAAGACAUUUCCAUGUUUCAGCAAUGUAUUACAUGUAAGCAUGGUUUAGUAUUACCAUCUUCAAGAGGAACUUGUCGUGUGAAGUCUUGUCGUCCCAAACAAGCACGACCACUCGGACACCUUCCUCGGACUUGUACUUUAGGAGCUCCCCUAAAGAGAGCUCUCCUCCAUUCGGCAAUUCCCUUGUGGGCUCUCUCACAAGCCUCACAGGAUGAUAAAUGGACCAACCAAUGAUGUAGAUCAAGUGGUGGGCCUCCAAAAUGGCAUGGCAUAUGUCCUCCCAGCACCUGCCUUGCUCAUAAAUCUUCCCAUCAUCAAGCAAAAUCUGAGGCAGCUUGCCCUUUGGGACAUGAGCAUCUUGGUACAGUGUCACAUCCCCACCUUUCCUAAGUGGAAAAUAUGUGUUUGUGACACCAACAUAGUUUGGCCCAACCCCAACACCAUCCUUGUAUAAGGGGUUGUCACUGACUGGCCUGAAUUGGAUUGAGAUGUGAAGUUCCGGGUAGGGCUUGAGAGGGCUCCCGAAGUUGCCGAUUAUCGGGAACCAGUCAUUAAUCAUGUCGCUGGAUACGAUCUUGGCCACUGGUAUCUCCACGACCCCGAUGAGCUCAGCCCCAAACACAUCAUUGUCCUUCACAUGAAACUCCACUUUCACAACCGGAUGCGCCACGGGAACGCAAAACCGCUCGUCCCACAGGGGGUUCUCGCAGUUCUGGAUCACCCGGGUCUGGGCAACCGUGGCUCCCGCCAGGCAGACGGAUACGUAGGGGUCACUCGUGAUCAUUGAGUUCUUCCCUGAGGAGCGGGCAGGGACGGGCCGCUGCCCGUGUAACGCAGGCACGCAGGGUGGCCCGAUCAUGGAGCAGCACUGCCUUAUUCUCUCCGAGGCCAGGUCCAUGUUUGGGAGGGAUUUGGCCUCCGCUAUGUACAUGUCCAAUUCGCCGUGCAAGAAGAUUGGCCCUGUUGUGACGUUAAGCCCAUUGAGUUUUCCCGGUUCAGUGUCUGCGUUCCCUGGGAUUUCAUCCUCGUUGCCCACUCUUCUUUGCGCCGGGUGCCAAUCUUCCAUCUUCUCAAGCAUUUCUUGAUCACCUCAAUUUAACCCAAAUUUGGGCAGACUUUCGCACCUAAUAAAAGCUGAUGCGGUCUGCUAAAUUGAAACUCAGUUGCUCUAAAGGAAUGUACCGAUUUGUUCGCUUAAUUUCUGAAACCCUCAACGAAUUCGGUCUCUGCAGAAUUAGGAUCCGCAGGUGCUCCUUGCUGAAAAUCACACGGAAUUAGGGUACAUUAUUUUUCUUGCGCAUGAGAGAAAAUGAUCCCAUUCGUAAGUUCAUUAAAAAAGGUACAAGAAAAUCUUUAAUAACUUUUCCAAAAAGAACAAAGAUUAACAGAUCUUGUAAUUCAAGGAAAUGACAAUCCUCAUAUCACAAUUGAUCGAUAGGUAAAAACAGUAUGCCCGGAAAUCUGAAGCCUUGGGGAAAUAGCUUGACGAGAAGGAAAAAGAGUGAAAAGGAGAGUUACCUGGUGUUGGAAAAAGCAAGGAGGACCCAGAAUUGGGAAGACGAAAAGACACCAGACAAUGGAAAAAGAGCUUUGCAAGGUUUUCGCUCGUUGGAGAGAGAAAACAGAGGGAAAUGGUCAAAAGACAACACCAGAGAGAGAGAAUACAGGAAAAAUCGAAAGCGAAGAUGGUGGGAAGCCUCAGAUGAUGAUGUGUAGACCAUCUUUAUCUCAAGGACUCGUCUUGGUGACUCCCUUUCUCAUGUGACCCGAUGAGGUACACCUUUCAAUUUUAGAUGGUUGAUGGGAAAGUAAUUGCGGGGAAUUAGGGGGUCGAUCGAAUGUCAUUCGAUUCAUCCUCUCUAGUCAUUAGCAAAACUUAAUUAAUUGACUUUGCCAUAGUCCACUGAAAAAGGAGAAAAAAAUCACAUAUGUAUAUGUGAGAUCUAGAGGAAAAAGGCAACAAGUUUCGUUGAACCAUAUCCAGGCAUUUAGUAAAGCAGCUUAUUCACCAGUGGUGCAAAAGAGUGACGAUCCAACGAGGUAUAUUUUGAAUAAAGUACACGGACUUGGCAACGAAAGUUAAGUCUGACGCAAGAAAUCCAAAUUUUCUGAAAGAAAACAAUUGCAUAAUCCAGCUCACAAUCGCAUUAAUUUUGGUGAGGGAGAUGGAAUAUCCAUUCUGUAGUGAUUAUUAUUGUUUCCAUGCAUGUUUGCUGAACUUGGACUCGCGUGCAUGCACACACACACACACAGGAAUCCAUCUCAUACCUCACAACUAUUUACAGAGAGAACCGACAGCGUAUAUGAAAAAUGACAUGAUCUAAAAUGAGGACUUAGUUCUCAACCUAGUUCUCAACCUACUAUCCUGACCAUGUGUAAUAUCGUGACUCCUGCAGGAACCACAUCAAAUCCUCUCGAGAGAAGUCAUGUAAAUCAACAUCUUUGCAAGCCUUGCCAUCCCAAGGACCCCAUUUGAGCUCUCUAAUAUCUCCUCUGCAGAAGACAGCGGUGUUGAGGUAUGUCAGAGGCAGCAAGAUGAGAAAAGCUCACACUUAACAGCUACAAUGUAACAAGUUAAGAUAUCCCCAAACGAAGCAAUGAGAUGGUCAUGGUCACGGUAAAAUUGACGAGAAGAAAAGCAGAUGCAAUACUGGACAACACUAAAAUAAUUUCUCUCUUUUCUAUCAUAUUUCCGGGGCAGAGCAAGAGGUAAAGAAUGGCUGUGAGCCUACCUACCCCAUGGAAAACAAAAUAACACAUCAGAUAGCAAAAUUCUCAUGUUAAAGACUGCCAUGCAGAAGUAUGCUUCCGCCCAAGAGGAAAAGAAAAUAUACAAAUAUAAUGAGAUUUGGAUGAGUAUGCACAAAAAAUCAUGCGACGGGACAAGUUCAUCUGUAUUUUAAUCACAGAAAAAAAUGGCUAAUUUCAAGGUCCAGCCCGCAACCAACAUUAAAGCCAAUGUCAUGACAGAUGCAGUGGAAGCAUGUAUCUCCAUCUAAAAACAAGAAAAUGUGCAUUACUUUGGAAUAGCAGCAAGACUAACUUCACGGCCCUUGUUCACAAAAGCAACCGCCCACCGUAAACUACUUAAGUUUACACACGACAUAGAUCAACCGCCCCCUUAUCCGGUUCAGUGAAGAAAUCUCGCUAAGCAUCCCACUUAACACCUCUCUCAAGAGUAAAAUAGCAACAAUCAAAACCAAUUCUUCAUAAUCUUAUGGCAGAUGCAUAGCAAAGUACUCAUUUGCCUCAACGCAUCACCCAAACUUGGCAUAGUUGAAAUCCCAUACAAUGAUAAUCAUUUUACACAUGGCUAACAAGUAAUGACUACCAUACUCUUUAUAUAUUACUCCACUCAAGGAUCUAUUUCAAUAGACUAUAAAAACUUACUUGCUCAAUUCCCCCUUGUCCUUCUGGUCUGUAGCUCCUCUGGUCUUGCUGCGUGCUCCACUGGUCUUCCUGCACAUUCUUUUGCCCUGGUGGUGUGAACCUUUGUCCUUCGCCAUAUCCCAUAUAAUUCUGUCCAUAACUGGGAUUCAUUCCUUGGCCAUGUGCAUUACCAGUACCCUGCCCUUGAAAUCCAUCAGAACCCUGCCCAUAUGUUCCACCAGGAGCAGGUGCACAGUUCCGAUUGUCGCUCCUAUAAUCAUUCUGCACUGGAGGUGCAGAGCUCCAUCUAUCUCCUUGUGGCAGGUCUCUCUGUUGCUAAUAGUAACUGUUGUUAUGACCCUGUUGAUUGUAGUUUCCCUGGUAUGCAGGUACCGGAUCUCUCCUCUGCCCUCGAUAUGGAUCCCUUCCGCCAGGGGCAUAAUUCAUAUUGCCCAUUGGCAUGGGGUUUCUUCUUUCACCUUGCCCCGAGGGAUCAUAACUUUGCUGAGGAGGAUAAUUUUGCGGAGCAACCCGCUGCAUAGGUCCUUGAUAACCAUAUUUGGGGCUCCCUUGACUGUUUGGCAUUUGACCUCCUUGCCGGUCUUAUCUAGGCUGGUCAUAAUUUCACAUUCCAAAACUUUCACAAUCUACAACUUGUUUCUACUCUACUUUUGCAUAUUUCAAUUAAUUAAUUAUUUAAUUGGAGAAGUCUACCUGACUGCUUGAUCCUAAUAUAUUGAUUAUGUAUAUUACCAAUGAGUUUUUCAAGAAUUCAAUUGAUUAAUGAUUUUAAUAGCUUGGAAAUUCAGUACAUCAAGUACAAAGUACUAAUAUUACAAUAGGUGAGGUAAUAGACUAGGGAACUCUUUAUUAUUCAUUGAUGCUCCUCUUCAUUUCACAUUAUCAUUGAUGGCCUCUCAAAUAUUUGUCCUUAUACAGGACGAUAACGAUAACUAUUUAUAAAAAUAGUUGUUCCAUCCAUCAUUGUGUUCCUUAACUUGGUUGUAUUUAGAUUUUUCUUUAUAAUGUAUGUUGUUAAUUGAGUAAGUACAUUUUUAAACUCAACACUCCUAACAACGAGGCAAUUUAUUGGUCUCGAUAAAAGGUACUCAAUUAAAACCUCCUUAAAUCUGAACUAUUUUUCGAGAGAGAUAUUUGUUGAUAUAAUUAGUCAAUAAAAAUUAGUCGCACGAAAUAUAAUUAUGUGACCUUUAUACAUGUUAUGGUGACUGCAGGAGGAGAACUUAAUGAACUUGAGUUUUGGACAUAAUCAAAGACAAAUAGUAUCGUCAACCAAAUCAGUUGUUCACAAAAUCCAGAGCAAAAUGGGUCGCCAACAAUAUACUCCUAAAAUUUGGAUGCCCAGGCUGAUUCAUUUUGGCUUACUUGUGCUAUUUUUAAUGCAUUUGUUUUUAUUUAACAUUUUAAAUCCUUUUUUUGAGAAAAAAAUCCCCAUCCUUACUGUUUUAACAAAAAAAAAAUUAUCACUUAGUUAUUUUCAAACUUUCCACUCUAGUUUGGACGCGUCUAACUUCCUAAAAAUAGCAUGUAAAUUUUAGUACUAAAGCAGAUAUUAAUAUUCUCAACCUUUCCUUUUUUAUAUUAAUAUUAAUAUUCUCAACAAUUUUUAGUACUAAAAAUUUUGUCAUGCGCAGCAGCAAGUACGAUGGAAUUUUUUAUGGCCUAGGCCCAUCACCGAUUUUCCCUUCCCUCUGGAAAUCGGUUAUGACAACAAUAACCAGAAGGAAAUUUUCGUCAUUUUAAAUCGGGGCACUUUCGUCAUUUGAUGAGAGAAAUAUAAAAGGGAAUUUUUGGUCUUCGUCAUUUGACGAGGAAGUUCUGGAUUCUGACUGAUUCUGCUUCGCGUCCCUAACCUCUCCCUCCCGUCCUCCCUAGCUUCACCGCCGGCCGGCCUUCCAUCUCCGACCACGGCAGGCGCACGAAGGAAGGCACACACUACACGCACAGGACAAACAAAGCUCGAUCCUGGAAUCGGAACUUCAAUUUCGUUGAUUCGAGCUUCACCAGAGGUGAAUCAACGUCGAUUCCAGUGUUCAUGACUUCGAUUGCGGUGUUCUAGUGAUCGUCUGGUUGCAGUUCCGAUCGUGUGCUGUCCUGACCGCGAGGCGCUCCUUCGGCUCGUUCUUUCGCUUCAGGGAUCGGUGGAAGGUUGCGUAAGUUCGAACCGCAUGGAAAAGGACGCCCCGUCUCAGUUGACUCCAACCAUCGCUUACGAAUCUUCUCUCCACCGAUUGAGCUAUUCAACUUCUCGCUCUAGUCCAAGCCCAAGAGUCGUCCUCGCGUCGAAUGAAUGUAAGGAUACUGCUCGGGAAGUGUUCGAUGAAAUGACCGAAAGACUCUAUCCGGUAUUUUGUCCCGUUGCUGGCCAUUAGAAUCAAUGCUAUAGUGAGGCUGUGCUCUCUGUCUGGAAGUCACUGAGCCACCACCAAAUCAUCAGGUCGUCUCUUCUCCAAUUAAACUUUGUUAUUGUCGUCGAUUUGUUAUAGACUCGCCUCUCUUGAUCUCCGUUCAGUUUUUAUUCUUUUCGCCUUUCAUUUGACUGCUCCGUCCGACCUUUGUUUGGUCGUCGUGCCAAGACACUUCUCGUCACCAAAAGCCAGAAGCGGGACUGCAACGGUAGGAGCCAAGGAGGCGCAGUCGCGAUCGCUUUCGAUAAUACCGGUUGCCUUAUUCGGACCUUCCUCUGUGUACACAUUCGAGAUGGCCGGAACGGUAUUUACUCGGGAGGUUAUACGUGCUCGCUAAGGCCAUAGCACUUCGUGUCGGCCGAAGCUUAUUCUAGGAUUCCAUUUAUAGAAAGGUUCUGUCGAUUUUGGUCCUAAAGUGGUGGUGCGCUCAAUUGUAUUUCGCAUUGCAAGUUGAAUGAUGAAACUCCACGAACUGGACCCCUGAUUUUUUGCUGGAAUGUGUUGGAAUUUGCCGAAUUUUUGUCGAGGUGUUGCCAGAAGAUUAUUGUUGUAGCUUUGCUAGAAUUCACUAAAAGUUUACUUGGAGUUGCCGUAAUUUGUUCGGAAUUGUUGGAACUCGCUUGAAUAUGCUGGAGUCUUGCUGAAAUAAGUUAGAAUUUUGUCAAAACAUGCCCCCUUGUCUUUAAAGAUACUUUUCUAGUUCGCCAACAUGCAAGACGACAUUUUAAUGCCACAACUCUCCUCAAGGGCAUCCCAUAUGUUAUAACUCAAGGAUUUUCUUGUGAAAAUCUAUUGAUGCUGGCGAGAAGAGGAGAGAGAGAGAGAGAGAAGAAAAGGUGGCGAAGCUGCUGGUAAUUUUUGUUUCAUGUACUCAGUAAAAUCUUUAAAUAGAAUGAUAACUUUAAAUAAAUUAAGUAACUUCCUUGGCAUCCGUAGGUUUUAGUGUUGGCUUUUAGGUUUUUUUUUUUUUUUUUCUAAAUAAAUUGUUUGAUCUCAAUUGAAAGUCUUGUUUCCCUAUUCGAUUAUUCACCUGUUGCUUUUGGUGAAAAAUUUCGCGUAAUUCUGUAAAAAGUCGGUCGCACUGCUAAUAUCUUUAUCAUGUUGAUUCUCCCAAUUAUUUUCGAUGAAUCUAUAUAAAAAUCAAAUCAGAAAUCUCAUCUUCUUACCCCCUUUAUUUGGAGAAAUCCCUUCGCACUCUUCCAUCAGGUGACAUACUGCUUCAGUUGCUUCCUUCAUUGUUCCUCUUAGAGCAUCAUAAUAAAAAAAUAAAAUAAAAAAUAAAAAAAAUUGUUGCACAGACUAUGUAGAAUUACAAAAGAAUCCAUCUCUAUUUCCUACGACUUCAUAGCACACAAAAUAUCUAGUGCUUCGGCGACAUCCCAAUUCUAACAACACCCAGAAACCAUUGCAUUCCAGGAGCUUGUAUCUCAGAACGGCGUAUCAUCAAACACCUGACGAGCAUUACCUAAGUAAUCAAUUUUGAGCAUACGUGUGAGGCUGAAGCUUGUGGAUCUGGGCUGGGUGUGAGAUGGGCAUGGUUUAAUGGGUCGUAUCAAACCGAAAUGCUUGGGGGAUUGGGCCGAAUUUAUCCUCUUUUUUUCAUUAUCAUUUUGUGCCGCGGUACUUCCCACUCCAAUUUCGGCUUUGAUGCUCUCAGAACCCAUUUUUUUACCACGUCAGUCACUCGUCUUCUCUUCGAAAUUGCCUCUUUCUUUGUCCACCGCAAUCUACUGCGGACCUGGAUUACAGAAGAAGUUUUACUUUUCAAAAUAGUGAUUAUUAAUGAAUUCACAGCUGUAAUAUUUAAUUUGUUUAUAGUUUUUGCUCAUUUGCAAGCUUCAAAAAAUUUGAUUGAUGUAAUAUUUAUUUUAUUAUAAUUGUUGCAUAUUACUUCUCCUCCAAGUCGAUACAAAUAUAUAAAAUAAUAAAACAAUUAUUGUUUUAGAGCCGUGUGUGGGACCUUCCUUUAUAAAUUGCUUAUGCCAAAGGCCAUCCCAUUAUGGGCACUAGUUAGGGCGAAAUAUUUAGUGGUUUCCGAUUGCCGGACCUAGACCUAAGAUGGGUGAUGGGACCUGCCAUGGCUGCACAUAAAAGUUUCAUGAAGUGGAAUUAAGGAAGGAAAAGCAAAAAAACGACGGCUAGAAACCUCACAUGCAGCCUGGAACCGACUAUCUAAGAGAGUGCUGAAAAUUAACAUAGGCAGGUCCUUUGUGGCCGGAGAUUCAAUGGGAAGCAUGGUUGGAGUGAGUCGCGGUGAGACUGAAAGGUUAAUUGAUAAAUUUGCAAAGGAGGUGAGUGAUAAGCACAACCAUAGAUUGCAAUUUGCCAUUCUGAGAAGUGCAGCCACUUAUCACCGAGUGCAAGGUCCUAAAGGCACAUUAUAACCAUAGUCAGAUAGAAAAUCAAGUGACAGACUAAAUUACCAAGGCUCAUUGUUGCAAAAUCCCUCCAAUUGGGUCCCUAAUCUCCUGCAAGUUUUAUCAAACCUCGUUUGCUUUGAGGCUAACAAGCAAUGAAAGCAGUUGGUUUCCUGGGAAAAAAAAAGAUUGGCAAAAUAAUAUAAAUAUUUUGUCAUUCUCACACACGUAGCUCAUGCAUGAUCUAAUCAUUGUCUAACGGCUAAAUCACGUAGCUAAUAACAAGGUUAAUAUACAUAAAUAUAAAAUUAUUUCCUAAAUCUCUCACAAAUCUUAAAUUUUAUAUUUAAAUCAUUCUCAUAUAGAUUUGACUCUAAAAAUGAUUUAACAUUUCCAAUUAUUUUUUCUCUAUAUAUUUGCAAACUUCUUUUUUUUUUUCCAAACUUUUUCCCUAUAAUCUCUCAACAAAACCGGCCUCAAAAGAUUGCAUCCACGACACUUGCCAACAAAAUACCGAUAUUCUCUCCCACUCCUUCGACGCUCACCAAUUUCUAGGCUUUGUUUAUAAGAGCUGUAGCUUAGACCUAACUAAUCCUUCAAGUGUGUGCGUUUGUGCAAACAUACUGUGCACAGCAUUAAUUGCGAGCCGCUCAAUCAUGAUGCCUUUCCUUCCUCCAAGCUACCAUCGGUCACUACUAUUUAGAAUGAUAUUUGAAAGAUAUGUUUCCUAUUUCAUUAGAAUGUUCAUGAUAAACAGAUAGUCAAUUCUCAUCACUAGUUAUUUUUGUUCCUUUAUUUUUAGUAUGUUCUACGAUUUGUUUCUUGGAGUUGCAACAACUUGACAUAGAGGAUAAUACUUACCCUAGGCAAUUGAAUUGGUGACAAUUGUUGACUACGCUUGACCCUGAAUUCCCACUUUCUGAAAUAAAUAUAUAUUUUCAUUGUAACGUCCAAAUGCGGACUUCAUUGUUCGCAUGACAGGGUAUGUGUCGCAUGAGAUGGAUGAAACGUUGAUAGAUUGAUGAGUUCUUGGCGCAAAUCGUUCCAGUCCUUAUUUGUCUCUUACUGGAUAUUUAUUUCUGUCAAGAAUAGACGUUGCCGAUCCCUAUUCUGUUGACAUUCUGUCCAUCAUUUUAUCGCUUCUUUCCAUGGAAUAUGAUAUAUCUUUUUUAAUUAUUUUAUGGGGGGAAGAUCAAGCGGUUUAAUAAUGAACAUUUAUGAUUAAAGACAAUGAGUGGACGGAAGGAUUAGAUGAGAAGAGGGGAGAGUUUUUAUCCAUUUACCUCUCUGUCAUUCGUCACGGAUUCACCCCCUGCCUCUCAUAUUUUCCUUGUCUCCGUCACCAUGUUAUGUCUAUUUGGUCAUGGAAUUUCAUUCUUGAAUCGCAUUAUUGUCCUUGCCUGAAAUGGAAAUAUACAAAAGGAUUGAGAAACAUGUCAUGUGAAGAUGCGAGAAUAGAUGGAGAAAUGAUGAAGUGAUAGGGGUCGCCGUUAUCGGCAUUUUGGUGCGAAUGAACGUAUGGAAGAUGUACAAGAGCGGUUCAAAAGAAGCUUUUGAGAAUCGAUCUAGAUUAUGGACAGUUUAUUUUAUUUCUUAAAUUUUUGCUGCAACUGGGAAACGCAUGGGGAUAUCAAGAUUGAUUGCACUAUAAAUUCGUUUUGUCGCGGUUAUCGGCAUUUUGGUACGAAUGCAAAUUCCUAUUCUUACUAGUUUAGCGUUUUGUUUUCUAUCGCUUAAAUAUUUUCAACCUUUCAUCUCUCAUCUAGACGUGUGUAACUUGUGAAAAAAAGAGCAUGUAACUUCACAAUUGUCAUGCGAGCCAUCGACUUAGUUUUAGAGCUGAAGUUGAAACUAAUAUUACGAAGCAAAAAAGAAUGCUUUGAGAAAUUAAAUUAAAAUCGUGAUCGACACUCUAGACUGAAAUUGAUUGUGGCUUGAAAUGAGAAGUACAAUCGGCAACAAUCUCGUGGAGAGGUUAAUGAGAGAGAGGAGUUGGUAAAUUCUCAAUGCUCUGUUUUUUGUCAUUCUUUUGUACAAAGUACAGGCUAAGAAUUCCGGUGGAGAUUUCGGCGAUAUAUCCUUCAAUUUAGGAUUUUUAAUGAUCUGUACUCAUUUUGAUGCUGUUGUGAUAAACUUGGAUUGCAAUAAUUGCUUUCAUGUUGCGAUUUGAUCUCUUGUUCGAACCGAUCACCAUAUGUUCGUUAAAAUGCCGAAAUGAAGUUCGUGUGCAAAUUCGAGAAGCAUUUUCAUGCCUUAGUCUGGAAUGAUGGUUGUAUAAUACACAUGGUCAAUUCAUUUGCAGCGUCUCUGCUUCCGGUGAGUUAAGCCUAUGGCUGAGACGUCGACAUGCCAUGACUACUCGAUUGUUGUUCAAAUCCAUCCGCACAUGCUGUCUCUGAUCCUGAUAUGUUCUUGUUAAUCAUUUUUCAGGAUGACCAAAGCAUGUCAACUUAUGCCAUAAGUAGCAUAGUAGAAUCUAGUGGUCAUGAAAUUAUUGGCAUCUGACGAGUUAUGUUCACUGGAUUUGGAUAUUGUUUUACUCGUGAAUCUAUCGGUAGGCUGAAAGGUCUUACGUUGCCUAUUUGUAUACAGGUUCAGUUGUUGCUGAAUGAGUCUCAACCAUGAGAAUUUACAGUAGAAUGCUGUGUUUAUGUUGCUAUGCAUUUCGGUUUUUGCAGCAUGAUGUUCUUCGAAAAUGUCCCCGCUGCAGCCACCUGUAGUAUUUGGUCCCAAGAGUUCCUGUUGUGUAUUAUCAGAGUUGUUUCCAAGUUAUUCAAGUCAUAUUGUCAAUUUACGUUGGAUAUCCGUGCUGAUUUUUAUAGAACUUUAAUGUGUUUUUUGCGUCAUAUGUUGGCUAGGAUUGGAUUUGAUAGAUCUUGGUUUCAUAUGCGGGUUAGUUUGGUAGCACACGAUGGUACAUGACGUGCAGAUGAUUUCUCGUCAUUUUUUAAUGUUUUAGUAGUGAUUUGGUUGAAUAAAUAAAGGUCACGUGCCAUUGUCCGAACCAUAGACUACAAGUAUCGGACUCGUUCUUAGUUAAAUAACAUGUCCCGGGUUAGUUUCUGUAAGUGGCCAUGACCCCGGGCUGGAUUCUUUAGUUUACCGGAUCAUUCCGUGCUUAUUUGUUAUAUGUUUCCUCUUGGAAUUUCAUUAUUGGUCGUCAUUAGGGGGAUAUUUAUUUGGUACCUUAGAAAUAGAAUAAAUCUUGGAUUUAGCUCAUGGGGAUUCUUGUCCCGGGACUCAAUAAUGAGGUCAUGUAUAUUCAUUACCUGACAUCAUAUCGAGUUUAUUCUAUCGCACUUUACCUUUAUUGCAUUGAUUAUGAUUGGUUACUUAUUGGUUGUGCACCCAUGCAAGUACAUCAUUUAGUGGUGUAUGAUAAUACGAUAGGCAAAGAUCGCAUGAACAAUAUAUUCGAAAGAUUGAGAAUCGGUAUUGAAAGGCUGGUCAUUAGAUAAUUAGUGUAAUUAAGCCCCGAUCUUAGACCAAUAAUUUGCAAGAGUGAAGUGUACUACUGCACUUCACUUGGCUCUUAAUUGACCCUAAAUAGAGUAGUGACGAUUCCAAUUAAAUAAAAUUUCUUUAUCAAUUGAAACUCAAACGUCACGAUAGUUAGGAUUUAAGAGAACUCACGUUGAACAAAAGCGAACACCUCGAACAAAGGCAUCGCUCAAUCGUUAUACCCGCCCCCUCUAGAUUCUUUAGAGAGGGUCGCAACAAUUUAUGAAAGGAAGCUUUCGAAAAUUAGUUAUGGUAAUACGUGUUAUGGUGACCAGAGGAGGCGGAUUUAAGGGGCUUCAUUUUUUGGCACAUUUUAAGGGGGUUCGCCCCAGUGGCUGGCUACCUUUCCAACUUGGAAUGGGGAGGUGAGGAGUUCAAAUCCCCACCUUCACGGGGGAAUUGGGAUGGGGGCGAUUUCAUUUCAGGAGUUGGUUUCGACUCCCACGCUUUGUAAGGAGGCAGGUCAAAAGUUUGAGAGUGAGUGUUCGAAUAAGAUUAGAGUAGGACCGACCAAAAAAAAAAAAAGAUAGAUGAUGUCGUCAAUUAAAUCUCGUCCAUGUGCUCCGAAACCAAGUGGGGUCGCCGACAAUUUGCUUUAGAAAAUUUGGAUGCCCAUGCCAAUUCAUUUGGGCAUUCUUGUGCUAUCUUUUUUCAUUAUUUAUUUUUAUUUAUCAUUACAGAUCUUUUUUUUUUUUAACAAAAGAUCUCCAUCCCCAUUGCUUUCAUGUUUUGUUUUCUAUCGCUUAAAUAUCUUCAACUUUCCUUGCAGGAUAGCCACCUAUUCAGCAUGUUUGCCUUGUUCUUGUGAUAAUGUACUUAAUGUUGUCAAUCGUGCGACACACAUAUUAUAUGUACCUUUAUCUAUGUGAACAGUAAGCUUGAGUUGGAACCUUAUGACACCUAUAUUCCAUUGGUCACUCUAAAUCCUUCUUAUUGAACCUUCAUUCUUACCGUGUUUAUUCUUCAGAGAUAAACUACAAUCGAGAGAGAGAGAGAGAGUCCAUGGUAAAUGAAGGCAUAUAAAUGAGGAAUUAAUGGAAAGGAAGUAAAUAGAGCUGAUAAUGAAAAAAAAAGGUGAUAAUUUUUUUAUCGAGUGAACUUCACCUUUAAGAUAAUAUAAAAAUAAUGGAACUCAUGAACUUGCCGAAUUUUUGUUGAGGUGUUGCCGCAAGAUUAUUGUAGCUUUGCUAGAAUUCACUAAAAGUUUACUUGGAAUUGCCGUAAUUUGUUCCGAAAUUUUUUAAACUUGCUUGAAUGUACCGGAGUCUAGCUGAAAUAAGUUGAAUUUUGUCAAAACAUGGCCGGAAUAUUUAAAGAUACUUUUCUAGUUCACCACAUGCAACAUGACAUUUUAUGCCAUGACUGUCCCCAAAGGCGUCCCAUCUGUUAGACCUCAAGGAUUUUCUCGGGAAAAUCUGUAAAUGCUGGUGAGGAGGAAAAAUGGGUGCCAUGGCAAGUGAAAACGGAAAAGAGAGAGAAAGAAAAAAAAAAAAAAGAUGGCGAAGCUGUAGGUAAUAUUUUUUUUCUAACUUUAAAUAAAUAAAGUAAGUAACUUCAACUCGGCAUUCGUUUCAGUGCUUCCAUUUAGUUUUUUCUAAAUAAAUUGUUGGUUCCAAUUAUAAAUUGCGUUGUCCUAUUUGAUUUUUCACCUGAUGGUAUUGGUAUUUCACGUAAUUCUAGAAAAAGUCGAUCACAUGGCUCAUAUAUCAUGUUGAUUUUCCCAAUUAUUUUUGAUGAAUUUUUAUAAAAAUCAAAUUAGAAAUCCCAUCUUCUUACUCCCUUUAUUUGGAGAAAUCCCUUUGCAUUCUUCCAUAAGAUGAUAUGCUUCAAUUACUUCCUUAUAUUGUUCCACUUGAUGCAUCAUCAAACUGAGCGAAAAAUGGUGAGUAGAUUAUGUAGAAUUACUAAAUAAACCGUGAGUAGAUUAUAUAGAAUUAUUGAAUAAUCCAUUCCUAUACUUGGCGACUUCAUAGCGGACAAACUAUAUCCAACGCUUUAGCGACAUCCCCAUUCUAACAUAUACCCAUAAACCAUUAUAUUCCACGAGCCUAUAUCUCAUAACAGCAUAUCAUCAGACACCUGACGAGUGCUAUCUAAGUAAUAAUGUUAAGUAUGCAUAUGUACUGAGCAAAAGGCAACGGAUACUUAGAUUCAUAACUCAGCUUCAGAAUUAAGUAACCGACCAUUUCUCCCUACAAUACAUUUUCUACAAAUUUGAUGGUGGAAGACUGGAUCGGAAGAUCGAAAUCCCUUCCUUACUUCCCAACUCCGAUGAAAUCUAAUGCGAUUUGGAGAGCACUGGUGGAAAAGGUGAGGAAAUAGCAUGUCGGAAGAGCGUCGUCAUGGUUCGCCUGUAGGCUCUGUGUCGCAAGGUGUGAGAUGGGCAUGGUUUAAUGGGUUGGGCCAGACCGAAAGACUUGGGUGAUGGGGGCCAAACUAGGCCCCAUUGGACUCUCUCUUCUUAUUUUUAUUUACUUUUAUUUAUUAUUGUUUUUGUAUCUCUUUACUAUUAUUUAUUUCUUAUUUUUUUCAGAAAUAUAUGUUUGAUGUGUCGAUAAAAAUUAAGGUGUCAAUAAUGGGUUUUGUGGAAUGAAGGGAGAGAGGGGGAGAGAGAGAGAGAUUAUGUAAUGUGCUUUACAAAUAGACUAAUAUAAUAAAGUUAUCCAUUAUCUUAGAUAGGAGGAAGAACAAGGUAAAAGCUAAGGAGAAAAUCCAUUAUGAGAUUGUGUCUAUUCCAACACUAAUCAUAACAAAUAUUAUAUAUUUUGAUCACUCUUAUGAUUGAAAAAGAGAGUAUAGAUACCCAUCAAAACAAGUUAUUUUGUCGUACCAUUUAAUAUUGAAAAGGUUAUAUGAUUUCAAAUAUUUUGAAGAUAAAUGUUUACAAAAAAAAUGUUUAUUUAUAUGAAGAUCAUAUUGAGGAUUAUGAUGAGGCUCGAAAGAUAUAAUAUCUCAUAAAUUACUUAUUUUUGACAAAUAGUAAUACCAAAUGGUGUUUAUUGCUUCAGCAAUCUCCGCCGAUUCCGAAGACUUCAACUUUUUAUUGCCAACAUGCAACAGUCUACAUUGUCAUCCAACGGUCCAAGACUCUUCAUGCUAAUCGAACUAUUGCAAGGUAUGAUGCACGGAAAAAGGGCAAUUAUCGUGAGCAUAAUUUCUGCAACUUUAUGUAGAAGUGCUUCUUGACUUGACUUGUCUUUUUUAUUAAUUAAAACAAAGAAUUAGAAAAAAGAAUCGGUGAGCAAUAAAAUGUUUCUUAGUGACACCCGGACCCCUGGAGUUUCAAAAGUUGGCACAAAGGAACACUUAAGUGCCAAAAGUUACGAAAGUGAUACUCGAGUGCCAAAAUAUGAGCAAAAUUGAUCAUUUAAGUGUCAAUCCGGCCAAAAUGUUGAAGUGGUGAUUUUCCGGUGAAGUAAGUGCAAAAUGGCGUCGUUUUGGUGCUGACAUGGUAAAAUAUUAAUAUAAAAAUUAAUUAAAUGAAAUUUAAAACUAAAUUUAUUUAAAAAUAAAAUAAAAAGUUUUAAAAAAAUUAAUUAAAAAAAAAAGAGAGGGAGGCGGCUGAGGGCUGAGCACUCAUCGCCGCUAUCGGGAAGGGCCGGCGAUGGAGUGGGGAGGGUCGGUUGGGGUCACCAAGCCCUGGCCAGGGGCCGAAAACCUCGGCUGUCCGGCUGCGAGGGCCCACGAGCCCUCGCCCCGAUCUAGGGCGAGGGUCACAGCCCUCCCCAGAUCCGGUGAGGGUUGGCGGCCCUCGCUCGGCCUAGCCAAGGGCCGUCACCUUCGCCUAGAUCCGGCGAGGGUUGCCGGUCGGCCAAGGUUGCCGGCCCCUGGCCAAUGCACGACAACCCCAGCCGACCCUCCCCCUUUGUCGCUGGCCCUUCUCGACGGCGGUGGCAAGGGCUCAGCCCUAAGCCGCCUCCCUUUUUUUUUAAUAUUUGUAUUUUUAUUUUUAAAUGUUUUAAAUAAAUUUAGUUUUAAAUUUAAUUUAAUUAAUUUUUUUACCACGUCAACACCAAAACGACGUCAUUUUUGCAUUGUCUAGCCACGUCAGCAUGUAUAACGACGCCGUUUUGCACUUAUUUCGCCGGAAAUUGCGCACGUCAGCAUUUUGGCUGGAUUAGCACUUAAGUGAUCCAUUUUGCUUCGAUUUUGGCACUUAGGGCGCGCAUGACAACCAUUCGGUUCUAGAAAUAGUUUCUGGAACAGAAAUAGAUUUUUCUAUUUUUAUUUCUAGAAGAGUUUUUAAGCAAAAAUAACCGUUUGAUAACGACACAAAAUUUCUACUCUAAAAAUAGAAAUUCGUUUGAUAACAACACAAAAUUUCUUCCUUUCGGACGGCGGCGAUGACGAUUGGCGACCUUUAAUAUAAAAAAUAAAAAUAAAAAUAAAAAUGAUUUAGUAACAAAAAAAAUAAAGAAUAAAAUAAAAUAAAAUAAAAUAAAUCAUAAAAAAAUAAAAUAAAAAUUAUAAUUUUAUUUUAAAAUAAAAAUAUCCUUAAAAAUAAAUUCAUUUUAUUUAUCCUAUUUUAUUUUAUUUUAUGAAUAAUUUAUUUUAAAAUGAAUAAAAAAUUAUUUGGCAAAACACUUAAGGCAAAUAAAAGUAAUUUAUUUUCAGAAGUAAAUUAUUUUUAAUAAAUUUAAUAAAUUUAUUUUUAAUAAACUAAAAAUAAAAUGAUAAAUAAAAAUAAUUUAUUUAUUUUUAAAUGAAUAAAAUGAAUAUAUUUAUUUUAUUUAUUUUUAUUUUUAAUAAAAUGAGGAGAGGCGGAGGAGGAAGAGGAGGCAGAGAUGUAGAGGAGACGAGGGAGGACUCAUCAAAAUUAGGGUUUAGUGGGAGAAAUUAUUUCUGAUUUCUCUUCUAGAAAUCAGAAGUAGAAAAUUUCUAUUUUUGAUUUCUCUUCCAAAUCAAUUGCUGGAAUAGAUUUCUAUUCCAGAAAUAGAAAAACUGAGUAGGUUUAUCAAACAGGUUUCUAUUCUAGAAAUAUGUCUGGAAUAGAAAAAUUAUUUCUAGAACAUAAAUUUUGGUUAUCAUGCACCCCCUUUAGUGUCACUUUCGUAACUUUUGGCACUUAAGUGUCUAUUUAUGCCAACUUUUGGCACUUGAAGUGAUCUUUUGCCGUUUCUUAGUUGGUAAAUCGUACUCUCCACUAACUAAUUUUAUAAUUUUUUCUCUAAUAAAGUUUAGAUUGCGAUAAAAAAAAAGAACCAACGAGCAAUAAUGAUGCUCCUUUGUUGGUAAUCAUACUCUCCACCAACUAAUUUAAUAUUUUUCUGCUAAUAAAAUUUAGAUUGUGAUAGCGCCUAGUCUCUUUUCAGAAGAUGGAUGCGCAGCUUCAAUGUCUUAUUUAAUUUGAAGGUCCUUACUCAAGUAUUUUUAUUGUCCAAUGACGAUGGUACAUGGAGAAAUUGUCAAUCAAUUCUAAAUAUUUUGUACGAAUGACAAUAACAUUUUAACCUUUUCAAUUUUCUCAAUUUAGUCCUAAACUUUUGUACGAAAUUACAAUAUAGUCAUUUUGGCUAAUUUUUAUCAGAACCGCAUAGGAUGAUCAAUAAUAAUUGAAUUGUACAUUAGUAAUUUCUGAUAAAAAUUGAUGAGAUGGACAACAUUGAACUUUGUGGAAAUGUUUAAGACUAAAUUAUCAAAUUGAAAAGUUCUUGAGUGAAUUGAUAUCGCUACAAUGUAUCUAAGACUUGUUGGAUAAUUUUUUCCUAUAGUUGUGGAGAAGAAACUUAUUUCAUUAGAAAAUUAGAAGACAACUACUGGAUUCGUGCAUAGUCACCGUGUUACAACUUUAAGGUUGAUUGAAGAUUAUAUUCAACUACUUAAGUAAAUAAUAUCUUGAGUGAGUCAAUUUAAGAAUAUGAUCCUCGAGUUGGGCCAAAUAGAUGAACCAUUGAUAAAACAACAACUUAUAGUGGCAGCAUACAAAUCUUUUAUUUUAACAAAUAGUAAACACUAAAUCUGACUUUUUUAUGCAACAAUAUUGCCAUUUCAUAAUCCAUAAUAUAUAUAGACCAUAGUAUUUUCGAAAUAUGAGUUUUACAAACUCAAAGAAGAUAUAUGCAACAAUAUUGCCAUUUCAUAAUCCAUAAUAUAUAUAGACCAUAGUAUUUUCGAAAUAUGAGUUUUACAAACUCAAAGAAGAUAUAACAUCACUCAUCUAGAUAUAUCAUAAACCAAACAACUAAGCCGACUCAAAUUAAUGAACUCGCUUUCCUAUCAUAUAAGUGAAAAAUAAUAUCAAAACCAAGUAAAGCACUAUCUCAACUAUAGCUCAGCUAAUUUAAGUUUAAACACUAAUAAAAUAACUCCCACGCAUCAACAAAUCGUUCACUCAAAGUGAUUAUUCAAAUCUAAACGCAACAAGGAACUUGCCUGCAAAAUACUAAAAUCUCACUCUAACAAAAUCGUUGCUUUAAAACAAUUUUUGACUAACCCCAUGGCUCCACGGCACCAUAAACCUCAAUUUCCCAUAUAAAUCUAUAGGUCAACAAUCAAAAAUCCAACUAAGUGGCAAAUUUCCUAAAAUUUCAAAUUUUAGCCCUAAAUUCAUAAAUAACUUUGAUUAGACGAGCAACAGGUGUGAGCACUUACCAAUUGUUGCAUUAUGUGUCUAGUCGAUUUAGCGAGGUCCCUUUGGUGUGCACAUGUGAAACCUUCUUCCUCUUUCUCUUUCAUUUCUUCUUCUUCUUCUUCUUUCUUUUCUUUUUCAUUCUAUUCCUGAACAUACGCUUCUGUCCUUCUCUUCCUUUCCCUUUUUUUUAGGGCCCACCACUUACUUAAAUAUUACAUUAUCAAUGAAUCCCAUCAAUAAAUACGCUAAUGGAAUGGAAUAUUAUAUCACGUAUCAAUAGUUUAUUCUAUUGAUCUAUCUCAUAUCAAAUUACAUGUCGAUGGUCCAUCCAUUGAUUAAUCUUUGCUCAAUAUCUAACUAUUGUCACGACAUAAUGCCUAGUAACAAUAUGACUAAGAUUCCCCCACUGACAAGAUCUCCAACUAUAAAGCCAGUGGCUCGACUUAGAAGGACAUCCUAAACCCGGUAUACAUAUCCACCAACCGCUCAAUAUCUCCAUUCAUUAAUAUGCAGAAAUUCAAUCCAUCUCAUAGUUCGCAAUGCAUUUUAUAAACCAAUCAUAAAACUUUUUGUAAUUCAAUUUAUCAAUUAAAAUAUAAUGUUUCGAAAUCUAUUUCAUAAACUCUCAAUAUUUCAAAGUACCUUGCACAAAAGAUAUCUCAAAUCAAUAUAGACUCAUUGCAUAAACCAUUCGUAACGCAAUACACAUAUCAUUUCGCAAUAUUUUUCUUAAAAUUAUUUCCAAACCAUUCAAAAAUUCUAACAAAUAGUAAAUGCUUGGUAUGACUUUUUGUGCAAUUUCGUAAUCCAUAAUAUAUACAUGAUUCAUAGUAUUUUCAAAAUAGCCUCAAAGAAGAUAUAACACCACUCAGCUGGAUAUGCCCUAAACCAAACAACAAAACUCACUCGAAGCAAUGUAUUUACAUUCCCAUCAAAUAAGCGAGAAAUAGAAUCAAAAUCAAGUAAAAUGCUAUCUCAACUACGGCUUGGCUAAACUAAACUUAAAUGCUAACAAAAUCACUCCCACACGUUAACGAAUUGCUUAAUUGAAAGGAUUAUUCAAACCUAAAUGCAAUGCAUAAUUCAUACGUAAAACCCUAAAAUCUUGCUUUAACAAAACAUUGCUCUACAACAAUUCUCGAUUAACCUUCUUCUACACCGUCCUGAAGAGUAAUUAGGACCAAUUUAGUUAUAUUUUCAUGUUCCAAAAACUACUCUAAUUGGACGAAUGAUAGGUACGAGCACUUAUCGGGUGUUGCGUUAUGUAGUCGAGUUGGCUUGGUGAGGUCUCUUUGGUGUGCAUAUGUAAAAUUCCCUUCUUCUUUGUCAUCUUUUCUUUUUUCUUUUUCAUUCUUUUCUUUCUUCUUCUUUUCUUGAACAUGGGCUUCUAUCCUUUUCUUCCUUUUAUAUAUUCCUUUUUCUUUAUUAGACAUUUCAGCCAUUCAUUUUAUUUAUUUUCUUUUUUUAGGCCCACCGUUCACUCAAAUAUUACAUUAUUAAUGAAUCUGAUCAUAAACAUGUUAAUGCUUUAUUUCAUUGAUUAAUCAUAUGUCAUACAUCAAUAGUUUACUCUAUUGAUCAAUCUCAUAUUAAAUCACACAUUGAUAGUCUAUCCAUCAAUUAAUCUUUUGCUUAAUACUUAACCAUGGUCACAACACAAUGCUCGGUGAUAGGGCAACUAAGAUUCCUCCCUUGACAAUGUCUUCACUUAUAAAACUAGUUGCUUGGCCUCGAAAGAUAUCCUAAGUCUAAUAUACAUAUUCAUCAACCCCUCAAUAGGCUCAUGGUGACAUUGAGCACCAAACCCCUAUCUUCCAAUAUUUAAAAAUUUAAUUCAUAAUCAAUCUUAUAAUAUGCAUUUCAUAAAUCAAUCAUAAAACUUUUGAUAACUUAAUUUAUCAAUUAAAAUACACUUCACAAGACAUUUCUCAUAAUAUUUUGAAAUCCAUUUCAUAAAUUCUUGACAUUUCAAAAUGCCCUCAAUAAAAGGUAAUUCAAAUCAUUAUAGACUCAUUGCAUAAACCAGCUCAUAACGCGAUACACAUAUCAUUUCACAAUAUUUUUCUUAAAAUCAUUCUCAAACCAUUCAAAAGUAUGAACAAGUAAUAAAUGCUCGAUCUAACUUUUUAUUCAACAACACUGCCAUUAUAUAUGUAUAUAUAAUCCAUAGUAUUUUUGGAAUAUGAGUUUUACAAGCUAAAAAAAGAUACUGACAAAAUUUGAAGUAAAGGGAAAAAUGGAGGAAAUGAUGUAUAAUUUGUAUAUGAUCGACAUAUCUUUUUACAAUAUACAAUCACCUAUUUAUAAUAAAGUGGAUGAUUUAACUAAGGAAAUAAUAAAAAGAGAUAAGGAAUCAAAUUCAAUCUUUGAUUGAUAUAAUUAAUCGAUCAUAAUUCUAGAUAAUUUUGGAUUGAUUGAUCGUGAUCGACUAUUGAUUCUUGCAUAUCUCCAACAUUUCUCCUCAAGCUAGUGGCUUAUAUAUAUCCAAGACGCUUAGCUUGCUUAGUAAAUAUGCAUGUUAUCUUUGAGAUAAUGGCUUGGUAAAGAUAUCGGGAGUUGUUCUGUGGUUCCAAUUCCAUUUGUCUUGAUAAUCCCUUCUUGAAUUUUACUUUGAGUGUAAUGGCAAUCUACUUCUCUGGAACAACACUUUGAAGAUUUCUCAGUGCAAGAGAAGAAAUGGUAACAUUGUCCUGAUCCUCUUCAUCCUCCAGAACAAGUGGUCUUCUUUUCUUGGAUGGAGCUUGGAUGGAGCUGUCAUGGGCUCCUUUCCUUUCCGCUUUGCCACUGAAGAACCUUGGUGUGACUUGAUAGGGGUUUUCUCUUUCAAUCGCUCCAAAGCUUUGUCCAGCUCUUUCAAAUGCAUAUUGGAAACCAUUUUCAGUCCCACUACCAUUUGAUCACAUGAUCAAACACAUAAAAUCCUAGGAGGCUGAAUGUUGAAACGUUUGAAAAGCUUUGUAACAAGCCCCGAGUAAGGAAGUUGCCCUCUGUCUUUUGCCAUCAUUCUGUACAUGUGAAACAUGAUUGUGUGAGGUAGGAAUAAAUUCUUUCUAGCGUUGAUGGCAUACAUCAACUUUGCUUCUGAGUUGGAGACGUCUGUCUUCAAGGUUGACUUGGGUCUGAGGCAAUUGAUCACAAUCUUGUGAAGCAAAAUGUUAGAGGCAUUCAUCCUCAAGUACGAAAUUCUUCCUUUAGCCAUUCCAUCUAGAACAAGCUCUAUUGUCGCACGACCAACAGACACACUAAUUGAUUGGAAAGCCCCUCGCUCCACUCCAAUCACAUCCGCCAAUGUGUCAAUGUCAACAAGAUAGUCCUGGUCUCGAAUGCUAAACGAAAAUCUAUUCGCAUCUAAGAAAUUGAGAUUAGAAUAGAAGUAAGCAGUAAGUUUUGGAUAUGCCUCAGUAGUCUCAAAACAAAAUUGCUCAAGCAGAAGUUUAGUGAAUUUCUCUCUCAGCUUCACAUUCACAGAAUCAAGAAAAUUAAAGUCUACACUCCUCGGAUUGAUCACCCCUCUUUUUAGCAACUUAGAGUAAAGUCGCAUGUGUUCAUCCGAGUGAAACAUAUUUGUCCUUUUGCUUCGAACAUUCACUGCAACACCCAUUCUAGGCUUGAAUUGAGUGUACAUUUUAUCAUCAUCAUUCCCAUUAGGCUGACUAAAACCUCCAACACGUGGAUCACUAGGAAUAUUCGCAAAUUCUCGAUCUGCCGACCCCGCAGGAGUAAUCUCCAAUCGUUCCAUUGUUUGCAAAAAGUGGGUUUCAUUUUGAUACCCUUUAUCUUUAAAAAAUUCAUCGAUAUAAUUCAAGAGAGUCCCUCCCCUUUUAAAGCAGAGUAAAUCUUAUACAUAAAAGCGGGCUUUUGAGAUCUUACGGGUUCUGCGUCUUCAAUGAUUUCUUCCUCCGAUCUACGAACACUGCCUUGAGGUCUAGUUUGAGGAGAUUGACGCUGUUGAGAAUGUUGUGAGCUCUGCUCUUGUCUCGGAGAUUCUUCUUCCUCGGUGAGGUCAAAAUGUGUAGGACCCUCACGCAUUUGCUGUGGUCCCCUAUUCGCAAUCAUUGAAGACUUUCUCUGGGAUGCUAUUCUCAUAGUUUUUGAGAGAUUUCAAACUCGAUUCGCGAAAAAGGUGAGAACUUGGAAGAUUAAACUAGAGAGUAAAAGUGAGAAAACGAAGGUCUGUGCUUUUAGGGUUUUGAGGAAGACGAUCAGUAUAUAAAGCAGUCGAAAAAAGGCAUACAUAACGAUGUAAAAAGGAAAAAAUAGAAAAUGUCUUUUAAAAAAUAACAGCCUUUUUGAAAAAUGGAUAACUGUCUUUUAAAAAAAUAACCUAUUUUUCGAAAAUGAAUUAUUGCAAUAAUCACGAAAACUGGGGAGAUGAUCGUACCUUUUCGAGAUCAAUCAAUUACAGAUUAAUAGAUAACCGUACUUUUUCGAGAUUUUAUCUGAGAGAUAAAUUUCUAAAAACGAAAAUAACUUACAGUCGUUGAUCUUCAUCUUCUGAGUCUGAAUAUCAUAGACUUAUCCUUGAAUCUGAACUUCUUCAGACUUUAAGUUAUUGAGUCUGGAACGAAUAAGCUCAAAUUGACUUUUCUCCAAAGGUUUUGUGAAGAUGUCCGCUAGUUGACUGAAUCGAGACUUCUCCAUUUUGAACAUGAUCUCUAAUGAAGUGAUGUCGAAUCUCUAUAUGCUUUGCUCUUGAGUGAAGAAUUGGAUUCUUGGUGAGAUUGAUUGCGCUGGUAUUGUCACAUUUGAUCUUGGUGCACGAAUCUUCAAUUCCAAAGUCUCUUUUUCGAGAUUUUAUCCGAGAGAUAAAUUUCUAAAAACGAAAAUAACUUACAGUCGUUGAUCUUCAUCUUCUGAGUCUGAAUAUCAUAGACUUAUCCCUGAAUCUGAACUUCUUCAGACUUUAAGAUAUUGAGUCUGGAACGAAUAAGCUCAAAUUGACUUUUCUCCAAAGGUUUUGUGAAGAUGUCCGCUAGUUGACUAAAUCGAGACUUCUCCAUUUUGAACAUGAUCUCUAAUGAAGUGAUGUCGAAUCUCUAUAUGCUUUACUCUUGAGUGAAGAAUUGGAUUCUUGGUGAGAUUGAUUGCGCUGGUAUUGUCACAUUUGAUCUUGGUGCACGAAUCUUCAAUUCCAAAGUCUCUUAGUUGUUGUUUUAUCCACAUAAUUUGUGAACAACAACUUUCAAGAGCCACAUAUUCUGCUUCUGCUGUAGAUAGAGCUACGGUACUUUGUUUCCUCGAAAACCAUCCCAAGCAAUUGACAAGUGCCCGAGGUGCUCUUCCUAUCAACUCUGCAUCUUGCUAGGUCUGCGUCUGAAUAUCCAAGAAGAGUAAAGUCUCAUUCUUUAGGAUACCAAAGACCUAAAUUUGAAGUAGAUGCAACGUAUUUGAUGAUGCGUUUUGCAUCACUUAAAUGAGAUUCUUUGGGAUCUGAUUGAAAUCUGGCACAAAUACAAACACUAAACAGAAUGUCGAGUCUAGAAGCAGUAAGAUAAAGAAGUGAACCAAUGAUACUCUUGUAUAGCUUCUGGUCAAUUUUCUUUCCUCCUUCAUCUUUGUUCAGCUUUGAGGAACUUGAUAUUGGUAUGUCAAUCUUUUAGCAAUUCUCCAAGCCAAACUUUUUCACAAGUUAUUUAGCAUAUUUUUCUUGGUGAAUGAAAAUUCCAUUUUUCAAUUGUUUUACUUGAAGUCCAAGAAAGAAGGAUAGUUCACCCAUCAUGCUCAUUUCAAACUCAUCCUGUAUAGACUUAGAGAAUUUCUUGCACAAAUUUUUAUUAGGAGAUCCAAAAAUAAUAUCAUCAACAUAAAUUUGAACAAGCAAGAAGUUUUUGUUUUCUCUUUUGAUAAACAGUGUAGUAUCUACUUUACUUUUAACAAAGCCAUUUUGGAUCAAAAACUUACUUAGUCUGUCAUACUAAGCUCGAGGUGCUUGCUUUAGACCAUAUAGCGCAUUUUUUAGUCUGAAUACAGAGUCUGGUUUCCUUGGGUCUUCAAAACCAGGAGGUUGUUCCAUAUAAACUUCCUCUCGGAUAAAUCCAUUUAGGAAAGCACUUUUGACGUCCAUUUGGAAUAACCUGAAAUUCUUAAAACAAGCAAAAGCAAGUAAUAAUCUAAUUGCUUCUAACCUUGCUAUUGGUGCGUAGGUCUCAUCAUAGUCUAUCCCUUCUUCUUGCAUAUAUCCUUUGGCCACGAGUUUUGCUUUGUUCCUUAUGACUUUUCCUUUCUCAUUCAUCUUGUUCCUGAAAACCCAUUUAGCUCCAAUGAUAGAUUUAUCUUUUGGUUUAGGAGUCAAUUUCCAGACAUCAUUUAUACGGAAUUGCCUGAGUUCUUCUUGCAUAGCUCCAAUCCAGCUUUCAUCAGUUAAAGCUUUUUCUAUGCUCUUGGGUUCUAUUUCAGAAAUAAGAGCCACAACACUAGACUCUUCACGCCUUUUGGAUCUUGUACGAAUUCCCUCAUUAAUGUCUCAAAUAAUGAGUUCUUUAGGAUGACUAGACUUGUGCUUCCAGUUGUUGGUUGAUUUGUUAGACUGUUGAUCAUUUUCUUCAUUUGAUUCUUCAACGAUCAUUUGUUGCUGGUCUUCUGAAGUCUGAGCUGCUUCUGGCGAUUUAGACUUUGUAGAGUUUGCAGCAGGUUUAGGUUCUUUAUGUUGAGUUUGAAUCGAUUGAUUUUGCAUAAAGUCUUGAAAUUUAACAUUCAUUGAUUCCUCCACAGAUUGAGUCUUUUUGUUGUAUACUCUGUAGGCUUUGCUGGUGGUUAAAUAUCUAAGGAAGAUGCCUUCGUCUGAUUUUUCUUCAAACUUACCAAUUUGAUCAUUUGCGUUUUUCAAUAUAAAACAUUUGCAUCCAAACACAUGAAAAUAGAAAACAAUUGGCUUCUUUCCUUUGAACAACUCAUAGGGAGUUUUCUCUAGAAUAUGCCUUAAGAAGACUAUUAAUAAUAUAGCAUGCUGUAGAAACUACUUUAGCCCAAAAACGAGAAGAAAUGUUACUUUCAAUUAGAAGAGUUCUAGCCAUUUCUUGCAAAGAUCUAUUCUUCCUUUCCACAUCUCCAUUCUACUCUAGAGUAUAAGGAUAGGAGAAUACAUGCUGAAAACCAGAUUCAUCACAUAAUUUAGCAAAGUCUUGAUUUUCAAACUCACCUCCAUGGUUUGUCUGUAUACUGGAAAUAACAUAUCCUUUCUCAUUUUGAACUUUCUUAGCAAAUUUUAUAAAAAUAAGAAAAUGUUUCAAACUUACUUGCCAGGAAAUAUACCCAAGUAAAUCGUGAAUAAUCAUCCACAAUUACUAGACAGUAUUUCUUACCUCAAAUGCUCUGAGUUCUGGUUGGUCCAAAGAGAUCCAUGUGUAAUAGCUACAGUACACGAUUAAUAAACACUUUAUUUAUUGGUUUGAAUGAAUUUCUUACAUGUUUUCCCAAUACGCAUGGUGUACAUAGGUCAAACUUUUGGUAUGUCAGGUUGGGUAAUCCACGAACAAGCUUCUUUGUAGAGAUCUUGGCAAUUUGCUUCAUGUUGAUGUGCCCAAGCUUUCUGUGCCAUAGAUUUGCUUCCUCUUGAAUUGAGAUUAGACAUUGGGAUUUUUCUGGUUUAAUAUCCAAGAGAUAGAUAUUCCCAUGUCUUUGCCCCGUAAAAGUCUGAGAAGAGUCUUUACUGGUUCCUGAACAUAUUCCUUCUUGAAAGUUGAUUUUGAAACCGGUGUCGCACAACUGGUUAAUACUCAGCAAGUUGUAGUUGAGUCCUUCUACUAAGGAAACGUUACUGAUCGUGAGACUUCCAAUCUUUACAGUUCCGUAUCCCACAAUUCUUCCUUUGCUAUUUCCUCCAAAAGAAACUUUUCCACCAUUAACUUGCACAAGCUUUAUAAAGCAGUUUGAGUCUCCUGUCAUAUGUCUCGAGCAUCCACUAUCCAAGUACCAUUUAGCCUUUUUCUUGAUAGUGACAUGCGUUUAAAAAAGAAACUUAAGCUUUCUUUAGUACCCAUAUUUUCUUGGGUCCAAUGGAGUUAGUGUGAUAUACAGUCUUUGCCCAAACCUUCCUCACAGGUUUCCAAACCAUAAGACAUUCUUUCUCAAAGUGUUCUGAGCUAUUACACUUAGAAUAUUUAAGAGCACUGUGGCCUACAGGUUUUACAAAAAAAAUUUGGAAAUGUUUUUUGUAAAAAUCUUUUGUAGGUCUUUGUUUAAUUCUUUCCUUUACCUUAGGAAAAUCAAUUAGAGGAGUGGUUUCAGCAGUCAUUCCCAAACCCGAUUUGUUGAAUUAAGGUCUUUGUGCUGAAAGAAUCUUUUCUAAUUUCUUAGAUCCUAUAGAAAAUCUUUUAGAAAUACUUGAGAUAUCAUUUUUCAAAAAUGCAUUUUCUUUUGAAAGAUUGUUUGCAUUUUCUUUCAAAGUAAUAACAUUUUUAUCUAAACUUUUGACCUUUUCUUUCCAAAUAAUCUCAUGUUGCUUUAGUGCAGAAUUUUCCCUUUUAAGUUCGGAAAUCCUCUUAAGAGAGGUUUUGAGGCUAAGACACAAUUCAUCAAUAUAUUUGGAGACUUUAGCAGGAAUUUUUAAAUUACUUACCUCUAUUUCACUGUCUGAGUCUGAGUCUGUCUCAGAGUCUGAUUCUGAUUCUGAGUGUGCCAUUAGACAAAAAUUGGCAUAUUCAUCAUCACUUUCUUCAGACUCAGUAUCACUCCAAGUUUCUGCUUUAAAUGAUUUUCGAUAUUUCUCAACUUUUCCUUUCUUUCUUUUCAGGAGAGGACAGUUGGGUAUGAUAUGUCCCUUUUUCUUGCAUUCAAAGCAGAUUACAUCCUUGUCGGAUUCAUCAUCCUCAGCUAAUUUAUUUUGUAGCUUUUGAGAACUUUGUUUCUUCGAAUUGAAUCUUCUUCCUUUUCUAUUCAGCUUUCUGAAUCUUCUUAUCAUAAGAGCAAGCUCUUCAUCAUCCAUAUCGUCUUCAGAAUCUGUGACAUCAGAAUCAUUAUUAGAUUUCAAUGCAAUGGAUUUCUUACCUUUGGGAUCUUCAUUUUCGUUGAUUUGCUCCACUUCAUAAGACUGAACGAUGCCAACCAAUUCGUCAACAGAUAGUGGCAUGAUCCUUUGUGUGUCCCUUAUUGAAGUCUUUACAUGAUUCCAAUCCUUGGAAAGUCCACGCAGUAACUUGUUAAUCUUCAUAGGUCCAAAGAUUGGUUGACAUUGAUAUUCAAGACCAUUCACGAUUUCUGUAAAACGACUAAAUAUGUGAGUGAUAGAUUCUCCUGAUUUCAUCUUGAAUGCUUCAUAAUGACCGAGCAUAAUAUUGAUUCUAGUUUCUUUCACUCGAUCGGUCCCUUCAUAGGUGAUGUGCAAUAUAUCCCAGACUUCUUUAGCUGUUUCACAAGAAGAUAUUCUGUUAUACUCAGUAGGUGAUAAUGCACAAUAUAAGGAAUAAAUUGCUUUUGCAUCAAGAGCUUGUCUCUUGGUUAUCUCUUCUUAAGUCAUUUCACUGGACUCAACAGCUUCUUUUCCUCUUUCUGAGACUAUUGCAGCUUUAGGAAUGAUUCAUUUGUCUACCACGUCCCAUUCCAGAGGAUCCCUUGAUCUUAGGAAUGCCUUCAUUUUAUUUUUCCAUAUGCUGUAAUCCUUUCCAUCAAAAUAUGGCGGUCUGGUGUUGCUUUGUCCUUCAACCAGACCUUGAGCCAACAUACUAGCCAUGGAUCUUUAACUCCGAAGUAAAAACACUUCAACUUAAAUGAAUACGCAAGCUCCGAUACCAAUUGUGAAAGCUAGUACCAGCACCUAGAGGGGGUGAAUAGGUGCGAAAACAAAUUUUGUAGAGUAAAGAUUAUAAUUUUACUUUUGAACCGAUUCUGUUUAGCAAUAGAUUAUGAAAGGAAAUUAGACUCUAACAAACAAAUAUUGAUACAAUCAAAGUAAAGAGCUUAGGGAAGAGAAUAAGAAUACAAAGUUUAGAGUGGUUUGGCUUGAUCCAAGCCUACGUCCACUCUUCCACACUAAUAGUCCACCGGCUAGAUUUCACUAAGAAUCAAAAGAGUUGUUACAGUAUAGCUCUUCCUUGAUUCCACAGUGUAAAGACUCUGUUACACUUUCUCAAGGUCUCACAGAAAUAUGAACGCUCUUUUGAGUACAAGUUUUCGCUCAACAAUUGAAUUGACAAAGAACAAGGAGCUUCGGACUUUGGAAUUCUUUUAUCGCGCACACACUCGAAUAACUGGAACGACUUCCUUAUAUACUCCUCCAUGCAUUCAUAUCUGUUGGCACUUACCAAAGGAGUUCUUCCAAUCUACCCGUUGGACAGAAUCAAUUAGAAAAAUUUCGAGUUUUUUAAAGAAUAUGACGAUAGCUCACCAAUCCUGCUCGCCCAUACAAUCAGGAUUUAGGUUUCCAUAAGUAGAACCUUCCAAAUAUGUUUCGUCAAUCAACGGAUCUAAAUUACCCGAAUUGAAAUCAAAACGAAUAACAGAUUCCAAGAUGCUAUCUCCAGCCGAGAGAUCUUCUUCAGUCGAUAGAAUCAAAUCCUUAACAAGAUACUCAGUUCUGGAUAAGUCUUCUUCGACGGUCUAGAAAUUGUCAAUGAGGAUAGACUCUGAAUCUUGAGUCUGGCAGAUUGGCGAUUUUCAGACUUUGACUAAAGAGUCUGCAAGUCUUCAGACUAGACUGAUGGAAAUUUUUUGUCAUCUUCAAAACACACAAGGAAGUUUUCUCCAACACAUUACAGUCUUGAUGGAAGAUGUCGGUAAUGUAAGAAACGGAAUAAAACGUCAGGUCAUCUAGUUCAAACCCUAUCACUACAGAAAAUACACCAUCAGGUUUGAGGAGUAUUGGCUAGUAGAAUAUGACGUACAUAUAUGGUGUUCCCAUACUACAGAUCGAUCAUGCUGCGUGGAUCCGUCCAAGGUUUUGAGGUUUUCCGUUUUUUGCAAAUUUUCAUCAAUGGCUGGAGGUAUGUUAAUCUUUAUGUUUCCACAAAUCGAUCCCGAAUUUUGUACGAAUUUAUCCGUGAUUGAUAAAUCGGGAUCGUUAGGUUUUAGUUUAUAUUUAAUCUAACACUUUUGCCAAUAUUUAUUUUUGAACAAACAUCAUGUGCAGGCUCAAUCUUCCUAACCCGCAUGAAAUGUGAAAGUCGACGUAGGUAUCUUAACUUGCGAUCGCUCCGAAGAACAUCCUUUUGCUCAAUCGAUUUCGGAAAGGGCUUUGUGCCCGACACGGGAAACUAUUAGGUGAGCGCACAUACCGCGCCUCAUCAGCUAACAAGCUAUUAUCAAACUUAAUUGAAUGAUCUCAUCCAUCGGACGUCUACAAAACAGAGAAAUUCUCUAAGUUUAGUCAUAUUAAACAAUCCCGACAUGCUGUCUACUUGGUUUGGUAUAAAGCAUUGCAGUCAAAGAUGGGAGCCUGUUCAAUGAGGGUUCAUCUUACUCCUUGAUUUCACGGAUAUUUGGUUGAUGCAUGAGUCGUCUGGUUUACCAUGCAGAAUUCUUUCUGUUUUUUUACAUCCUAACUUUUAUAUUAAAAGGCCAAAUUUCAUCUCACCUCAUAUUAUCAAAUUCUCUCAACAUAUGCACAUGAAAAUUGGAAAUGCUUUUCCGAAUUGAAGAAAUAUGUUUCAUAAGGACAACAGAGCAAUGUGUCUUGUGAACAAACAUCAUCAUUGGAUUGGACGUAACGGUUGAUUUCCAACCGACAUAUUGCCCAAAAAGUUAACAUUCAUUAAAAAGAAAUUCUACUAAUGUUUAAUCACAACUUUUCAUGAAUUUCGAGUUUCGACAUUAUUGUAGGCUUUUUAGAUCUAGGUAAACUACUUCUAAGUACCAUCUCACUGCAUCAUCACUGACAUUCUAGCAAAGUGCUACCACGAAUGUGCAUUUCAACCGCUAGAUCUAGUAAACAAGAUUUUUAUACAUAAGAGUUUCAUACAUUUAACGGUCAAAGCGUUUGAAUUUGUGACUCAUGGUGGCUUUAUGAUGCCUAAGUUAGUAGUUAUUACAUAGAGAGAGAGAGAGAGAGAGAGAGAGAGAGAGAGAGAGAGAGAGAGAGAGAGAGGGUAGUUGCGGGUUGGGUGGCAAUUAUGCUAACCUCGGUGGAUGAACGGGCAAUUAUGCAAAGUCUUGUUUAUAUGCUGUUGUCUCACCUGCCAUUUUCAGCAGAAUUAUGGCUUGUGAAUCAGCCAAAGCUAUCUAAGACUUCCUCAAAACCGAGUAUCAAGGAGAUGAAAGGAUUAGAAGUAUGAAGGGGCUAAAUCUGAUCACAGAAUUCAAGAAACUGCAAAUGAAGGAGUCUGAGACAAUUAAGGAGUAUUCUGAUAAGUUGAUAAGCAUUGCAAAUCAGGCAAGAGUUCUAGGCACUGACCUCUCUGAUAAUAGGCUAGUGCAGAAGAUUCUUGUCUCCUUGCCCAAAAGGUUUGAGGCAAGCAUUGCCUCUUUGGAGAAUACCAAGGAUUUGUCUUAGAUCAAGUUGGCAGAAUUGCUAAGUGCUUUGCAAGCACAAGAGCAGAGGAGGUUAAUGAGGGUGGAAGGAAGUACAGAAGGAGCUCUGCUGGCCAAAGAAUAGCAGAAUGUAGGAGGAAAAGUCAAGAAGUGGAAAGGGAAGAAAGGAAAUGGCAGUAGUGGUUCAGAAGCUGCUGCAGGAGAGAAUAGUGUGAGCAACUCCAAGAACAAUUGUGAAAGAUAUUCCUCAUGUCAGCACUGUGGAAAAAAGAAUCAUCCACACUUUAGGUAUUGGAAGAGGCCAAAUGUAAGGUGCAGAAAGUGUCAUAAGCUUGGACACAUUGAGAAGUUCUGUAAAGAGAAGAGAGAUCAACAGCAGGGUGAGGCACAUGCUGCAGUUCAGCAAGAGGUAGAUCAAUUGUUUGUUGCCUCUUGUUUCUCCUCUAGUACUCCGUGUGACAGUUGGCUUGUUGAUAGUGGUUACACAAACCAUAUGACAAGUGAUGAAACACUGUUUAUAAACCUUGACAAGUCAUUGAAGUCAAGAGUGAGGAUUGGGAAUGGGGAGUACUUAGAAGUGAAAGGUAAAGGGACUGUAGCAAUGGAGAGUUGUGCUGGAACUAAGCUGAUUUCUAAUGUGAUGUAUGUGCCUAAAAUUGAUCAGAAUUUGCUGAGUGUGGGGCAGUUGAUAGAAAAGGGAUUUAAGGUGAUAUUUGAAGAGGAGAAGUGUUUGAUUUUUGACUCUAAUGGUCAGGAGUUGUUCAAGAUAAAAAUGCAACAUAAAAGUUUUUCUUUGAAUCCUCUUGAGAAGGAGCAAAUGGCAUUCAAGUGUCAGGCUAAUGACUCGGAAUUAUGGCACAAGAGGUUGGGGCACUUUCAUCAUAAAGGCGUGCUGUUCAUGCAGAGGAAUGAAAUGGCAACUGGGUUACCAAGCCUGGAGGAGCAGAUCACAAGGUGCAAAGCUUGUUUGUUGGGCAAGCAGACAAGACUUCCCUUCAAGAAAUCCACUUGGAGAGCGACAGAGAAGCUGCAGCUGAUUCAUAUGGAUCUAUGUGGUCCACAAGUGACUCCUUCACUAAAUGGCGGCAGGUAUUUCAUUAUUUUCAUUGAUGAUUAUACUAGAAUGUGCUGGAUUUACUUUAUGAAGCAAAAAUUAGAAGUUGCUGAGGUAUUUCUGAAGUUUAAGAAAUGGGUUGAGAACCAAAGUGGCUGCAAGAUUCAGGUCAUUAGAUCUGAUAAUGGAACAGAAUACACUUCACAGAGGUUUAACUCUUUCUGUGAAGAGGCUGGAAUUGAGCAUCAGCUUACUGCUCCUUACUCUCCACAGCAAAAUGGAGUUAGUGAGAGGAAGAAUAGAACAAUUAUGGAGAUGACUAGGUGUCUGCUUUAUGAGAAGAAUCUACCAAAAGAGUUUUGGGCAGAAGCAGCAAACACAACAGUUUUUCUGCUGAAUAGAUUACCUACGAGGGUAUUGGAGAUGAAGACACCUUUUGAAGAUUGGUUUGAUGUCAAGCCAAUUCUAAGAAAUUUGAAGGUGUUUGGCUGUUUGUGUUUUUCUCAUAUUCCACAGGUCAAGAGAGACAAGUUGAGAGAGAAAGCUGAACCUGUGAUUUUUGUUGGCUACAGUUUAGUGUCAAAAGCUUACAUGAUCUAUCAACCACAGACAAGGAAGGUGAUCACUAGCAGGGAUGUUCAAUUCCUAGAAGAUGAGAAAUGGGAUUGGACAAAUGAGCCACAAGGCAAGCACAAAGAGGUCUCAUUGGAACCGGACGAACUGGUGGAUGAUGUUCCAAUUAGAGGUACCAGAUCUUUGACUGAUAUAUAUCAAAGGUGUAGUGUGGCUGUUUUGGAACCUUCGGGUUAUGAGGAAGCUAAAAGCGAUCAGAGGUGGAUGAAUGCAAUGAAGGAAGAGUUGGCUAUGAUAGAAAAGAACCAGACAUGGGAGCUAGUGGAGAGGCCUCAAGAUAGGAAGGUGAUUGGAGUAAAAUGGGUUUUCAAGACCAAAUUUAAUCCUGAUGGCUCAGUGAAUAAGCAUAAGGCCAGGUUGGUGGUGAAGGGAUAUGCACAGGUUUGGGGAGUUGAUUUCUCAGAAACCUUUGCUCCCGUGGCAAGACUUGAUACAAUUAGAAUGAUUCUUGCUUUGGCAGCUCAACAAGGAUGGAAGGUAUAUCAAUUAGAUGUGAAAUCUACAUUUUUGAAUGGAGUGUUGCAGGAGGAGAUUUAUGUUGAGCAGCCAGAAGGCUUUGUCACACCAGGCCAGGAGGAGAAAGUUUAUUUGUUGAGAAAGGCUCUCUAUGGCUUGAGGCAAGCUCCCAGAGCAUGGUACAGUAAGAUGGAUGAGCACUUGUUGGGUCUAGGUUUCAAGAAAAGCCUCAGUGAAUCCACUCUAUAUGUCAAGAAGUUAGUAUCUGACUUAGUGGUGGUGUCUCUUUAUGUGGAUGAUAUGCUGGUGACAGGGAGUAAUAGUGCUCAAAUUACUGCAUUUAAGCAAGAGAUGAUGAAGAUGUUCGAAAUGACUGAUCUUGGUGAGAUGUCAUAUUUUCUAGGAAUGGAAGUUAGGCAGACUCAGAAUGAAGUUUUUUAUCUGUCAAAAGAAGUAUUUGAAGGAGAUCCUAAGCAGAUUCAACAUGGAGGAGUGCAAGAGUGUGAGUACUCCAAUGGGUCAUAAGGAAAAGCUUCAAAAGGAGGAUGGAUCAGCACCUGCGGAUGAAAGAGUUUAUAGAAGUUUGAUUGGCUGUCUUAUGUAUCUCACUGCAACUAGGCCAGACAUCAUGUUUCUUGUAAGUGUCUUAUCUAGGUUUCUUAAUUGUGCAAGUGAGUUGCAUAUGGUAGCUGCAAAGAGGGUGUUGAGGUACUUAAGAGGUACUCUUUCAUAUGGGAUUAAGUUUUGUAGAGUUCAGGAGUUUAAGUUGCAGGGGUAUUCUGACAGUGACUGGGCAGGAUCAAUGGAUGAUAUGAGGAGCACUUCAGGUUAUUGCUUUACAUUUGGGUCGGCAUGUUUUUCCUGGUGUUCAAAGAAGUAGGAAAUAGUGGCUCAAUCAACUGCAGAAGCUGAGUUCAUUGCCGCUACUACAGCUGUGAAUCAAGCAUUAUGGUUGAAGAAGCUAAUGGAUGAUCUGCAUAUGCAGCAAGAAGAAGACAUAGAAGUGUUUGUGGAUAAUCAAGCUACUUUGGCCAUUUCACAAAAUCCGGUAUUUCAUGGAAGGACAAAUCAUUUUAAGGUCAAGUUUUACUUCUUGAGAGAGUGCAAAAGCUGAGAGUGAAACUGGUGUACUACNNNNNNNNNNNNNNNNNNNNNNNNNNNNNNNNNNNNNNNNNNNNNNNNNNNNNNNNNNNNNNNNNNNNNNNNNNNNNNNNNNNNNNNNNNNNNNNNNNNNNNNNNNNNNNNNNNNNNNNNNNNNNNNNNNUGUUCUGUUUUCUUUUCUGUUUUGUUUAGUCAGUUUGUUGGUGUCCUGUUUUCUAUGGGUGGGUUCUUGUUGUUUUACCUUCUCUUCUUAUCUUGUUGGAUGCUUUUUGUGCACGUAUUUAAUAUAUUCUGGUUUGUUGCUGGAUUUGUGGACCAAGUCAGCCGUUCGUGGGCCCGUGGGCACGAGGUUUCAUUCUAUACUGCAUUUAGAACAUUUUCUUUUUUUCCAUUUUUCUGAUCACUAUGCUCUGUUUCUGCUGUCAACUUGUUCUCUGUUUUUGCUGUCAACUUGUUCUCUAUUCUUUAAAAAAAACAACAAAUGAGCUUAGCUUCUUUAGGGAGAACGUUUCAACCAAGGUCACGCCGGCCGCCUUCAACUGGACUGCAUGCCAUGUCCGACGGCGGCUGUCUUCCUCUCCGGCAUGUCCAGGACACGUGUCGAUCACUCAUAGGUAUUGUCAAAUCUGUCGUUAAUCAUCACACCUAAUGUAGAUUCACAGAUAUGACAGCUUGUAAGAACUAUGCGCGACGAAAACUUGAGUCGCUGUUGGAAAAUAAAUGGUGCACAUUGACAAGUAGUAGAAGUCUAUGGCGAGCUCACCGUCUUCUCGUCAACUGGAUCGGAACUAGGAAAGGGAUUAUUGUCAAAACUGAAGGCUUUUUGUGAAGACAUAACGUGGAAAAUCUCCAGGAAAUAUGAUGAAUGGACCGCUUUUCUUCAUACCAUGUUUUUUUAUGUGUGUUCCAACGUUACGUGUAUUUAUGAGAAUUUAUUAACUGGAAAAGUUCAAAUUUUGCCAACUCACAUACUUUGAAAUUUCUGAAAUCCAAAACUUCUGAAAUUUUGCUCACGAUCCAAUAUUUAUAUGUAAAUUUACAUAUUACAUUUUCAUAAUUUUUGAAAAUCUUAAUAAUAUAUUUCAAGUUUUGGUAAUGUUUGCACGUUCUGUCUUUUUUUUUUUUCCUGGAAGAAUUUGCCGCCCUUUAGGAGCUUUAUCCAGAUAUUCCCCUUGGGCUUAUGCAAUAAUAGUAUUGCGAAAAAGGUUUAUUCGGAGUUAUUUGACUAUGCUGCAAGGUAAAUAAUCUUAAGUAGAAGCUUUAAUUAGUACGUCUCUUCUAUUGUUGUAUGAUAUUAUUUAUGCAAGAUUACAAUUCUUCGCAAUGCAUGACACUUAAAAUUGAUGAGAUAGCGUGUGGAUGUUUUCUUUUUAAGGGCAAUAAAUAAACUAGGACCCAUCUUGAUGAGGUAUAAUUUUGGCCACAUGAUAGUUGGACUUUUAUGUCACAUGGUACAAACCACUUGCAAAUGGUACAAACCACUUGCAAUGACUUUGGACUCUUAUGUAUCCGAUAGUGAUACAUAAUAGUGACCUUUAUGGUCUUGGAUUUAGAAUAUAUCCUGUCAUCCAUGAGAACAAGGGAGCUUGUUUAUUAAAGAUAGAAAAUCUCCAUGGGAUGAUCAACUUAACAAAAUCAAAUUCAUAAUUUGUCUCUUUAACCCGAGAGAAAAACUUUAUAAAUAGCCACCUAAUGGAAAAGCAAAAUGUGCCAAGCCAGAGCUACCAAAUACCUCUCCAAUAUUCAUAAUGAGGAAGGCCUUUCUUCUUGCUUGUGCUCUUUUGAUCUCGUUCGCUCUUCUCCUCCUUCCUUCCACCGAAGCUCGAGCACUCCUUCCAGGUGAAGACCUUCCGGGUGAUCUCUCUCUCUCUCUCUCUCUCUCUCUCUCUCUCUCUCAUGUUUCGAAUCGAUGUGAUUGGUCAAAGAAAUACAAUUAAUCUUCUAUCUGAUGAUGUCAGCAAGAAUGGCACCACCGGCGACAGAGUGCUCAAAAUUUCCGCAAAAACCGUGCACACCGGUACGACCUCCAAGCUGUGGUUAUCAGAGACGUUGCCCUCCGGGAGUUAGUCCUACAGAGCCAUGAGACCAUGCAGUUAGAGUAAGCCGCUCGUGACGGCCAAAUUGCAUCAUAAUAAUAUGAAGUACUUUCACGACACCGUCAUCGUGAAUGAAUAAAGAAGCUGAGUGAAGUCAGUCACUUGAUGGAGCCUUUUUUCAAUACCUAAAAAUGAAUUAAGGAUGAAUACUAUGUAGAGGAUGCAAUUUAAUGUAUGAAACGAUAAAGCAAUGAAUGAAUCGUCUAGUUUAUGGUAUGUAUCUUUUGAAAGGAAAAGGGAACAGCGACAGAGCUUGUCACAGGCUUCAUCUUCUCUUUCAAAUUGCAAUAUGAUGAAUUAUCUAGAUGUAAGUGCAAUGAAGUGCUUGUCUAAUCUGUGAAAGUAGCUUCCAGGAGUUCCUGAAUUUCUUGCCUGCCUGGGAUUUUCUUCAUCGAGGAUGGAGAAGUAUCUGUCUCAUCUCUGUUUUCACCACGAAUUUUUCAUAUCUUAGCUUAUUUUGAAAACAAAUAGGUGUGGCUGUUUGGAAGGGAAUGAUUAAUAAGGCAAUCUGUAGCAUUCAUCGCUAAAGAGUAAAGAGUAUAAACUAUGAUGCAAAAAUUUUCCAGUCCGAGAAAUCCUCCAGUAAAAUCGAAGCAACAUAUAUAUGAUCCUUCCAUUCACAGUCAUAUAGUAUAAGGUGCAAGUUCAACAUCUUUGUGUUCUAACCAAAAUUGAGCUUGGUCAAUUGAGGACUUUCCAGCUUGAAGAAGUUAAUAACAGAAAAGAACUCUCGCAGAAAUGGCAGCAGAGUUUCUUCGAAACUGAUAACAACUUGGCAUAUAAUUGGCUUCACAUCAACCAAUACUAGUUAAACGAAGCAGAUAAAUUUGCAUUGCAUUUGAGAGAAAUCAACCACAACAAAAAGAGGUUCUCAAUGUUUCAGGGCAAGCUUUCUCAUUCAGUUCUGAUUUCAUAGAACAAAACCAAUGUCAAAAGAGCCAGACCAUUCCUUGCCAGAAAAUGGCCAAUCUGAAGUCCGUCUGGAUCUUAAACAGCAUAUACCCCAGCAUAAACUUGCAAGAGAAUGAAAGCUUCAUCCAACUGACCAUCCUUCAUUUACUUCAUUUUUUUCUUAUGACUCAACAGUAGACUCAUCUUGAUGUUCCUCUGUACGAGCAAGUCUUGGAUUAACGCGGUGAACCUGAGCCCAGCUGACAUGCAUCUAUCGUUGGAUGAAGCGCGCCGAGUGGAACCCACAUAAUCCUACGAUGCAUGUAAGUCGGGCUAUAUUAUUUACAUACUUGAUGGUUGGACGCUUACGUUACACCCAAUUUUGCCACUGCACUUACGGAGAAAAUUGAGUGGGCAUUGCAAGAUGAUGUACCUAUCAGAUUCUAAUAGGGCCUAUAGUGGGUGAAUUAAAACCUCUCUUUCGUCAACUCACUAGGAUUAACUCAAUUGAGAUAAGGUCUCUACGCACCCUCAAUUACGUUGAUAUAGUGCCAAGUGAAUUGACGACACUGCACAAGAUAUUAUGUUCAUAUCGAGCAUCGUUACACCCAAUUUUGCGACCGCACUUACGGAGAAAAUUGAGUGGGAUUGCAAGAUGAUGUACCUAUCACAUUUUUGCCAAUUGAAUCCUAAAUGUUCUCAUUUUUGCUAAUCGAGUCUAUCCAGAAAGUAUUGAAGUGGACCGGCCAACAUGGCACGGCCGGUGUUGACGUGGAUGAUUGUUGGGAAAAUAUUUUUCUUUCAUUCAUUUUUAUAGCAAUACAAGCGAUCAUUUUUGAGAAAAAAAAAUUUCAAAUUAUCCAUUUUUCGUAAAAUAAACGGAACCUAACACAAAGAAAAUGAGGAAUAAAUCCACCUGACAGAGAAUAUCCUAAAAAAGGGGAAUAAAUAAAAUUAAAAUCUUUAUGCUUGUCACGCGCGAAUUUAGAAUAAGGUAGAGUGACAACGUGGGUAAUCUUUGCGAGAUAUAUAAUUGCGUAAUCAGAAAAAGCAAAACAAGCUUUAUUCCUAAUCCGUUCAUAAGCAUGGGUAAACGGAAGCUACUGAUACCUGGUGGAGCGACAAAGAGGACAUGACUCCCUCCUCUCCGGCCACUUGCCGAUGCACUCUGCAUGGAAGACAUGCUCCCAAUGCGUCCGACCGGCCAUAGACUCGGCUCAGAGCUCCUCACGACAGAUCAAAGGAGCCCUUUCAAUGCCAAUCUUGCGCUGUAAUUCCCCACCCAGCAAGUUCGAAGGCCAUCAUGUCGUCCAACGGCAUCACUGCCGCAACGAGGACUCAGAGACCCGUGGUGACGACGGAUAUAUAUAUUGAUCUUAAUUUGUCAAAUGUGAUAUUGAUUUUGUAAAAUCAUUAUCUGUCAUGUAUGUCAUAAUAGACAUUAAACAAAACAUGUGGAAGAAGAAGAGAAGCUAAAUUAGAGAGUACUAGGAUUAGAGAUUUGCUAAAAUGACUAUGAAAAAUAAUUUGCAGAGUAAAGCUCGCGUGGGAACAGGGAACAUGGCUCGGUGUGACAAGAAAUUUACCCACAUUAAUAUGCUUUGAAGUGCUUUGCUGCAAUCGAAUAAUGUCCAAUGAAGUCACCCAUGUUUAUCCCAAUAUUCAAUUUAUGUUCCCCGAAGAAGAUUAUGCUCUACCUCUUCAGGAAAAAAUUAUUAAAAACAGUAUAGUUUAAAGAGAACACUUAGAAAACUUCGUAAUGAUGCAUACAUACGCAUCUCGUUUUCCUAGGUAAGAUCAUUCUACUGCAAAGAGAGAUGCAUUUCAGCGUGUGCAAUUGUAAUACAGGGUAAUAUUUCUUAAUCAUCUCGAAAUUUGAAAUAAAUUAUUUUUCUUUUGUUAUAUGGAUGGAAAAGCAAAAAGAGGACAAUAAAGAAGACAAUAACUUGAGCGAGGGAGAGUCGCGAGGGAUCAUGGAGGUGAUGUUCCUUUAAUUAGCGAGCCGCAAAAUAACGUUCAUAGCUCGGCACCUAAACUAAUAAUGGAUUACCUUGUUAAUUGUCUUAGUCCAAUUGUGAUUGACUUGCCUUUGAGCAGAUCGAUAAGGUAACUAAACCUGACCUAAAUCACCAUCACUACAUUGCAACACAAGAAAGCGUGAAAAGUAUCAAGUCGGAUGGUGAGAGUGGUGGCUGGUGCCCUUUUCAAAUGACCUUGUCUUUUAACUUGUGGGAACUUUCUUAUGAAUCAUGUAUAGAUUCGGCAUCCCUCGCAAGACCAACAUUAUAGUUGAACAGAUAAAAUUUCAUGCUUAAGGCACGAGCUAGAUGAGUCAAUAUCUCAAGUUCAAAACCCAAUUCAGCAUAAUAUUGUAUGGCUCUCGGUUGAGAAUAAUUUAUUCCUUACUAGUAAGUCUAGAUGGCUUUUUUUUACUAGAUCCAAGUGAACAGCUCUAAAAUAUCAUCUCACUGCAUCAUGACCCACGUUCCGAUAGCUUCGUGGCUCCAAAUUUGUAUUUCUAACAUUUAGCUGGUAAAGUUUUUUAAUAAAUGCAUCUAAUAGUGGAAAUCCCAACACAAUAAAAUAUCUUAUUAACAUGAAAACUGAUCCUACAAAAUCAUUCAAAUCACAUGUCAAGGAUUCAACCUAUACCCUCACUAACAAGUGUCCAAUUUUGUGAUCUGGGUUGGCUCUAUCAUGCUUAAGUCAGUAAAAUAUGAGAGAGAGAGAGAGAGAGAGAGAGAGGGGGGGGGGGGCAUUUGAAAGGGCAAGAGAGAGAAGUUGGAAAGGGAUUCGGGUCAAAACUGAAGGCUUUGUGAUGACAAAGUGUGGAAAAUUUCAAGGGAAAAUGACAAAUGGACCCCUUCUCUUUCUAUCAUGUUUUCAACAUGUGUCGCAAUACCAUUUGGAUUUAUGAGGAUUAAUUGAGGUUGGCACUUGAAAGGGCAAGAGAGAGAAGUUGGAAAGGAAUUCGGGUCAAAACUGAAGGCUUUGUGAUGACAAAGUGUGGAAAAUUUCAAGGGAAAAUGACAAAUGGACCACUUCUCUUUCUAUCAUGAUUUCAACAUGUACAGUUCAAAAAGAAGUAAGAAGAAUCAACUCCACGUGACUUUCAUCUUUUAAUUCAUACUUUAAUCUAAAUUUUUGCGAUUCAGAUCUUCUUAAAAAAUUAAUUCUUAAAACUUUCACAAUACUCAAAUGUUGAUGUGUAAAAAGCAUUUUUUUUUUUUUUUUUGUAACUAUGUGAAAUAUGAAUAAUAAUUCUAAAGUUGGCAAUAUAUGUUCUUUUCUAUAGGAAGUUGCGGGGUUAGCGAUGAUAUCACCUUCUCGGCCUCAUUAAAAAUCUCUUACUCCUUGGCGUUAUCCAAUAAGAAUAUUUGGAGUUGCUUUUAAGACCAUGACCGAUCUUGGCAAGGUACCAUUAUGGUCACUUGAUGCUUGGAUUUUUGCGUCACACGAUACUCGACAACUCGCAACGACUUUGGAGUCAAUUGAAUUUGGCAUUUGUAGACGAUGUAUCGAUCCGAUUGAGACACGUGUGGCUUAGAACAUUUUGGAUUUAGAACAUUUUUCAUUCUUUAUUGACUCGUAAGGACUCAUGAUGAGUGAAAGGAAGCCGAAAAAAAGCCAAUCAGCCGACAACACCAAAACAAGACAACACGCCAAAGGAAGAACACAAAGCAGCACCAAGUGUCUACCUAGGCAAGGCCAACUCAGACGUCCAGGAACGUUGCACUCUUCUGUUUCUUGGGGAAUCCUUCACAUUCUUGAAGGUGCAAGCCCUAUCUUUAAAAACCUUUAGAAGGUGCUUCUUCAUAACCGAAGUAGAAAUCUACACACCCCUGAAGAGAAUAUCGUUUCUAUUCUUCCAAAUGAUGUGGCAGAGUGCUCCAAAAGAGAACCGACCGAUGCAUUUAUAGAACUCCUUGCCCGAGAGCAAGGCCAAAGCCCAACUAAGCAUAUCCUCCCAAGGCUUAUUACUCCAAGGAAGACCACAUCUAGUCUCCCAAAAGAAGGCAACAAUUGAGGUAAUGCGACAACCAAAACAGUUGAGGUAAUGCGAAUCCCACAUACCAAUUGCAUCAUACACAACGUCAAAUUUCUCUGGGAGGUCUUCGAAGUUCUCUUUGGUGUAAUCAAUGGCCAAAUCUGCUCCCAAAUUCCUCAGCAAGUCCAGCUUUCCGGUGCUUGAUGUAGCUGCCACUCUUGAUGCACCAAAGACUUGCUUGGCGAGCUGUGUUUUUGGACAGAGAGAAUCUUAUAUUUAUAUGUAAAAAUAUCACCCAAAACUGGAUCCUAAGAACCGAAACUUCCACAUAUAUAGAUGAAACAAUAAAAUGAUUACAUCCUACGUGUGGUAAUCUCAAGGUCUAAAUUGAAGUAAUAGUUGAGCAGAUUCCAACCCAAUAACUGUUGGGAAAAUAAAUUUCGAAUUGGGUAGAACAAUGAAGUCGGAUCGAGUAAUCAAGUCGGACUUUGAGGCAUGGUAUCACUUUCUUUAAUGAUUUAUUUGCCCCACAAAGUUGCUAAUGGUCACCGACAAAUUUCCUCCAGGAUACAACAAAGUCUCAAAAAUGAGAAUACUAUAUAGCAAUUCUAGUAUUUCUCCAAGGUCUCUCAUGGGAAACAAUUAGAAACAGUGGCUGUAGUUUCUCUCGAAAGAAAAAUGAAAAAAUGGAAGAAGAUAUGUGUUUGAUCUCAAAACAAACAUAUUUUUCUUUUUCUUUCGAAUAAAGGCAACUCUUCAAAAGGUUGCAAAAAAGAACAAAGACAACAUUUCGUAAAAAAGUACGUCUCAAAGGUUACGUUUGAAAUGAUAUAAAAAUUCGGAAUUAAAUAAAUAAAAAAUAAAAAAUAAUUUUAAAUUUUCAUAAACAGUCGCACUGUUUCAACAAGAUUUUAUAGUUAAUAUUUUAUAUAAAUAAAUCCGAAUUUUCUCAAUAAAUAAAAUAAUGAUUGUUGGUUAAUGCCAAAUCUCGUCCACGUGCGCACUCACAUCUUUUCGAUGUGGGACAAGGCAUCUCUACAUUUGUUUUAUAAACAAAUUACCAACAAUCCCCCACUUUUGUUUAUAAAACAAAAACAAAAAUAAAAUGUUAGAAAUAUACAGCCAAAAUUUCCGUGAGAUUAAUAUACAUACAUAAAGGUCUCUUUCGAGUUAAACAUUUACUUAGUGCAAGCAUCUUAAAGCUCUAUCAAAGUGACAAGUAGCUCGGCUUUAAACUUGUACUUUUAUAUAAUAGAACUGGACAUACCGCACAUACACUAACCUCUUGUUUCAGCGAGAAGUUCUAUAUUACUCCGCACUAUUAUGGCAUUGUGCUUGAUCCUGUUUCAUGAGCUCUCUAGAAAGCAACCCUAACUUUCGUAAGAAGCGGCACCACUUCUAAGCUCAUAUAGGUGAAGUAUCUAUCAUGUGUUUCUGUUACUAUCAACACAUUACAAAUUUGUAUCAUACUUCAUUAAGAAUUCAAUUCAACCUACAAAACGUAACAGACAAUAUUGACUUCUCAUAUCAGGGCUACGUCAAUAUCAAACAAUCACAUUCAAUAACUUGUUUUCACCCAUUAAACCUUGUAACUAGUGAUAUUCUAGAAAAAGGUCGGGUUACCAUUAUUGGUGAUUUUAAUUAAAAGGUUUCAGCCCCGUUUCUUAUGAGGUCAUUAUUACCAUGUGUCUUUGUAAAGCCUUUGUCAAAUGAUCGGCAAGAUUAUUACUUGACCUCACGUAAACAAUUGUUAUGGUACCAUCUUUAAUCAAUUGUCUCAUAUACUCAUGUCUUAGAUUAAUAUGUCUAAGAUUUACCAUUAUAGGUGCUAUUAUAGGCUCUUGCCAAAGUAGCCUAACUAUCACAGUGGAUAGAAAUAGGAGGGAUUAGGCCAUAAUUUGAUAUCCAACAACAAAUUCCUAAUCCAUUCGGCUUCUUUCCCAGUUGCUACCAAGCAAUGAUUCAAAUUUCAUAGUUGAGUGAAUUAUGCACACUUGUUUCUUGCUCACCCAACAAACAACACAUUCAUGUAAUAUGAAAAUCCAUAUAGAAGUUUCAUCUCCCAUACUUGUAAUCCAACUAGUAUCGGUGUAUCUUUGUAAUACAACCGAAUAAUUAUCAUAGAACAAUCACAAAUUUUAAGUUCUCUUAAAAUAACCAAAGAAUUCUAAUAAUAGCCUUUCAAUGUUCUAUAUUUGGAUUACUAGUAUAUUUACUCAACUUGCAUAUAUAAAAGUAAUAUCAGGUCUAGUAUAAUGCAUCGCAUACAUUAAACACAUUAAAAACUCUCCACCAAGAAUCAAAUGGAGUAUUUAUAUAUUUGAAAACAAGAUGUUUAAAUAUAUAAAACAUCUUCUCCAUAUAAUCACUUUAGCUCAAAGAAUAACCCCCACUAUUUUUUUUAAUUUUUAAUACUUAAGAUAGUAUCUGUUUCACCCAAAUCUUUCAUUUUGAAAAUGAAAGUCAUAUACUACUUAUUCUCAAUGAUUCCAAUCAUAUUAGUUCCAAAGUCCCUUCAGACAUAACCCCACUUCAAGAAUAUUCCAAGAGGUAAUUAAUCGAAAUUAUGCAUCAUCAAAUUUUCAUCCUCGAUGAAAUACAUACAUCAAAAUAGAAAACCAAUGCAAUUCUACUCUCUUGGCUCAUUUAUGCUAUUCCAUAGAAUCAAAUCUAUGAGGGGCAAGGACAACAAAUAGAACACAUUAGAGCCAAACAAGGGACACUUGAAAAACCCAUUCGGUAUCUCCAAAUUGCCUCCAUAAAUAAAGCACUACAUAUUAGCUCAUGCAAAUAAUGACAUUCUCUAACAAUCCAAUUAAUGAGAGCAAAUCGAGUAUGGAGGUAUCAAAAGCACAUGAACUUGAAUUAAAAGAGGUAAAAAGAAGAUACCGGCCAUUCUAUGAAUGGAAUCAACAACAUCAUAUAAUCCGAAACCUUCUAAAAGAAAUAAUUAGAGCCAUACCUCAUUUCUUCAUGAUAUUGAAUUUCUAGAAGCUCUCAUAUCAUCCUUCUCAAGACCCCACUGACAGUACCGUUGUGUUACAAAUGCAAAUGGAACAACUCUGAGUUGAGCACCGUCAAAUGGCUAACUUUGGCUAAUACCCCUAGGACUGACCGAUAACAUUAUCUUUCUCUUCUAGAUUUCUUGAAAUAUUCCCAAAGCAUCGUCCAGGAAUCCCAGUUUUGUGUAAGAGUCAACCACAGCUCCUCCUACAAUAACAUCAUUUUCUAAACCAACCUUAACAAUUUGGCCAUGAAACAAUUUUGCCAAGCCAACAUCCUUGACAGGUGACUAAAAAAAAAAACUCUGUUGAAAAUUUUCAGCUGAAAUUCGUAAAGCCUGUGGUGUUUGGCAGGUUAUAUUUGACAAAACAACACCACUUGUACGAGACAACCCUUUUUUUUAUUUUUUUAAUCUUAAAAGUGACUGCAUCCAGAUCAUGCAAAUGUUCAACAGGUCGCACGACAGUGCCAUUUGAAAAGGGGCACUCAUAUCCCACAUCACUAGAUCUGGAAAGUUUCAAAACACCAUCCACAACACGAUAUUCAGAACUCGCCGACUUAUCACUGCAAUAAGUCUUGUCCACGCUUUGCAUCCCAUCCAAUGGCACUGUAGCAAGAGGAUCAUCCCAAGCCGCUAUGCCAUUGUGCUUAAAUUUAGAAGACAGUUUAGGUAACUCCAACAGCGUACAGGUUUCUUCCAUUGAGUUUCUCCAUCUUGGAAAGUUCCUUUGAAAGGCUUCUUUCCCCCGCAAAUCAUACCAUAUCUGCUUCAAGGAAACAGGAAUAGGCCAUUCCUGCUCAUACACAUGAAUUAAGUCAAGGAACAACAAGUCCCUCGACUUUGCCAUUUCUCUGUAAUCUCGUCACAAUCUUGAGUAAUUUAGUGAGUUGAGUCAACAUUUGAUCACCUAAAUCCGGAAAGAAAACAUUUCUCUUCUCCGCGCCAACAUUAUGAUAAAAAACACUCCUUCCCACCAAGCGUCCAUGUGAAACGCAUCCACACUCAUUCCAUAUGAGAAGUCACAUGGACCAGUUACGUAAAUAGGCGGCACUGGCCUAAUAGAAGCACGGUAAUCGUGCUGGUCAGCUGUGCAAGAGACUAAUCCAUCCACGGGAGGUGGUACACGUACAAAGUCCACGAGUUUGCCAGAGCCAUCGUCCUCUUUGCGCGUCUCUUCGCAACAAAGAAGGCACCACAACAUUUCAAUUUACGCUACCCUCAAAGAAGGACAUUAUCAAUCAUUAACUGAAAUCCUCCAUCCACUUAUUGAUAGAUUGGCAACUGGAUUGAUGACUAAAACUUCUGUUAUCGUCGUCGUUUGCUUCAGGCUCUCAGCCAUGAAGCAGAGCAGAACAGAGCACGUAGCCCGACGACUUGGGCCCCUGCAGGACGGCACUCCUGUAGUUGCCCCCGUCAGCCCGAAAACUGAGGCGGAAACGGAAGCGUCCCCGACCAGAGUCGCCACCCUCUCUCUAAGUCUCAGUCGAAGUUUCAGUCUCUCUCUGUUUUUUACGUAAGAACAACCGGUCACCAUAGCUUCACGAAACGAACCGACGCCGCUUCCGCCACCCUGCGAAACCGACAAACUGCCACCCGAAUCGGCACCCGCGCCGGUCAAACCGUCGUCCACAAAACCCGCGUCCGCGUCCUUCCCCGCAACGACGCAAAUGACCGAAUCGUACAAUCGCCUCUCGCCUCAUCCCCCAUGCCGCCACCGGGACCGCCCACGUAUACCUCGCCCAGCGUCAUACGCGGAGGCCUCGCCGUGUCACCGAUACCGCACCGCCCCCGCCCUCGCGCCGCGCCACCGGAGACCGAACGUUCCAGAUCGCGGGUCGCCGGUGAUCUGGAACGCGAGCUUAAGCGUCUAGACCGACCGGCGUAAACGGAGAGCAAAAAGGGGGGAAAACCGGCGGUCAAUAGCGGCACGGCUAUACUCGUCGCGAACACCAAAAUGCGCCCGGAAUCUUCAAUGGCCAUCAAACGAGAGGGAGAAGAAAGUUGUGCGUGCGCGUCUGCAAAUCCUUGACCGCGAGGGUAAAUUUUUUUUUUUUAAUUUUUUUAAAUUUUUUUUAAAUUUUUUUUUUCUUUUCCGUCCUUCCUUCCCUCCUUGCUUCCUUCCUUUCCUUCCUCCCUCUUUUCUUCUCUCUUACUUUGUGUCAGACUCUCCUUCCAGCGAUUUUUUUUUUUUUUUUCUCUCUGCCCUUCUUCCACGCACAAACCCACAAUCUCAGCCAACUAGACCAAAGCAGGCUCGAAGUAAACCAAAUUAUCGUCCAAUGCUCACACCAGCAACAGAUUGUCCGCCAAGCAUGCUCAUGAGAGGCCGAGACAUACAACUGGGCGAUAUACGCCAAGACCUUAAGCCUCACCAGCACCUUUUGCUUCCGAUGAUAAACUCUGAUUUCAUUGUUGCAAAAAUUAAAUCCUUAAAAUUGUUGGGAAAAUAAAUUUCGAAUUGGGUAGAACAAUGAAGUCGGAUCGAGUAAUCAAGUCGGACUUUGAGGUGUGGUAUCACUUUCUUUAAGGAUUUAUUUGCCCUACAAAGUUGCUAAUGGUCACCGACAAAUUUCCUCCAGGAUACAACAAAGUCUCAAAAAUGAUAAUACUAUAUAGCAAUUCUAGUAUUUCUCCAAGAUCUCUCAUGGGAAACAAUUAGAAACGGUGGCUGUAGUUUCUCUCGAAAAAAAAAAAUGAAAAAAUGGAAGAAGAUAUGUGUUUGAUCUCAAAACAAACAUAUUUAUCUUUUUCUUUCGAAUAAAGGCAACUCUUCAAAAGGUUGCAAAAAAAGAACAAAGACAACAUUUCGUGAAAAAGUACGUCUCAAAUGUUACGUUUGAAACGAUAUAAAAAUUCGGAAUUAAAUAAAUAAAAAAUAAAAAAUAAUUUUAACUUUUCAUAAACAGUCGCACUGUUUCAACAAGAUUUUAUAGUUAAUAUUUUAUAUAAAUAAAUCCGAAUUUUCUCAAUAAAUAAAAUAAUGAUUGUUGGUUAAUGCCAAAUCUCGUCCACGUGCGCACUCACAUCUUUUCGAUGUGGGACAAGGCAUCUCUACAUUUGUUUUAUAAACAAAUUACCAACAAUAACCAUUGACAUCAUUGUUUCUGUUAUUAGCUUUUCAUUUUUCUUCUCCAGGCAUUGACAGAGCUUAGCAAUUUGCAAUGAUAUACCUGAAUCACAAGGCUACCGAUACCACCAGCACCACCCAAAACCAGGAUGGAUUUGCCAGGCGAGAAGUGAGUCCUCUCGAGGCCUUCGUAAGCGGUUUCAAUGACCAAGGGAAGUGAAGCCGCUUCAGCAAAGCUCAAGUUCUUGGGCUUGAGAGCCAGCAGCCUCUCUUCCACAGCAGUGUACUCAGCCAAAGUGCCAUGUUGCUUCGGGCGGACCAAAGAUAUCUCAUUGAUAUCCCCAUACACUUCGUCCCCAACUUUGAACUUCUUCACUUGAUCCCCGACUUUCACCACCACACCAGCCACGUCGUAGCCCAGCACAAUCUUAAUGGACAUCAAAGAAGAAAGAAAGCCAUAAAAAAAACCAUUCCAAAAAAGUAAUUAGAAGCUAAUAACCAAUUUGUAAUGAUAAUUCUCGAGAAAGUCUUCUGAUAAUCAAGUUCUUAUGCUGGCCAAAAAUCGCUUUUUACAAGUCAUGCUAUCGCAAUUGAUGAUAUGCAAAUCGAUAAGUUCAAGAUCAUAAAAGAUUCUCAUUCAGCAGAAAUCUGUAGUCACGGCCGUUGGACAAAAAGAAAAAAGAUAUUACAUAGUAUGAUGUCUUACGGGAGGUGGGGAGUCGUCGUCCUUUAAGAAGCCGCGAGCUCUCUUGGCAUCAAUGAUAUUUAGGGCAGCAGCAACAUCCUUAACAAGGACCUGGUCUUCCUUAAUCUCAGGAACCCUGACAUCCGAAACUAGCUUGAGGACAUCGUUGGGGUUCCCAAGUUCGGCAUAUACCCAAGCCUUGAUCUUGGAGGGGAUGGUGAAAUCUGAACUGGAAGCCAUUGAAUGAGCGAAAGCCGAGCUAACUAAGCUUGUCAAUCUGUAUAAAGAAUAAGUAACUUCGUAGGGAUUGGUGAGAGUAUAGAAAAGAACAAAGCUUUUCCUUUUUGGUUUUUGGGUAGUUGAAGGGAACCCACCUUGUCAAUCUAUAUAUAGUUUAAGGUAGAGGGUGGAUGAGGUUUAUCAUCAUGGAUUAGCAAGGCUUGACUUUGGUUUAAGCAUUUUGGAUUUGGCAAAGUACAGAGACAUGGAUGGGGUCCAAGUACCUUUUUGUCUAAAUGCAAUCUAGGGGUCAAUUUCAUCACGUCACGAUAAUAGUUUAGACGUUCUUGGUAGAAUAGUCAUCAUAUCUAUACAUGAUAUGCUCUUUAAUCUAUCGCCAGCGUAACAUUUCUAAUCUAUUUCGUAAAUUCAAGUGGGAGCGGCUAGCAUAACAGCUGGUUGAAGAAGGACGGUCAAAAGGUCCAACGCUAACCACAAGUCUUUUUUUGAGGAAAUAGGAAGAAUUCUCUCUGUUUGUUUGGCAGAAAAUGAAAUGAUUUAAAAUACAUUUUCUCAAUAACAAUCAUUUGUAUCACUUAUAAAAAUGAAAUAAUGAAAAAUAUUUUCAUUAUUCAUGAACAUAUUUAGAUAUAAAUUGUUAUCAACCAUGAAAACAUUUUCUAUUAAAUAAUUAUUUCAAGGAUACACGCGAUCAUUUUUAAGAAAAUAUCUUAUAAAUAAUUUAUUUUCCACAAAACAAAUAAAGCUUUGAUAUGUAUUUUCUUUUCUUUUUGCUUCAAUGUUUCCUUUGGCAAGCUCAAAUUUAGAGACAAAAAUCAGAGGUAGGAAUCAAAUUCAAUCUUGGAUUGAUAUAAUUAAUCGAUCAUAAUUCUAGAUAAUUUUGGAUUGAUUCAUCGUGAUCGACUAUUGAUUCUUGCAUAUCUCCAACAUUUCUCCUCAAGCUAGUGGCUUAUAUAUAUCCAAGACGCUUAGCUUGCUUAGUAAAUAUGCAUGUUAUCUUUGAGAUAAUGGCUUGGUAAGGCAGAAGUACAGCGCAAGUGCCACAACUUGGCACGCUGGGACACUUAAGUGCCAUAACUUCCAAACGGUACACUUAAGUGCCACUUUUUUUUUCAAGUGGGACACUUAAGUGCCACCUCCGGCGACCCUUGCCGGAAAUCCUACGUGGCAUUUUUUUAUUAUUAUUUUUCGCCUACGUGGCUCGCCGGAGCUCCAAAUCAGCAUAAAAAAUAAUAAAAAAUUUAAAAAUUUAAAAAUUUUAAUUUUAAAAAAUUUAAAAAUUAAAAAAAAUUUAAAAUUUUAAUUUUAAAAAAUUUUAAAAAUUUAAAAAAAAUUUAAAAAUUUUAAAAAUUUUAAAAAAAAAUUUAAAAAUUUUAAUUUUAAAAAAUUUUAAAAAUUUUAAUUUUAAAAAUUUUAAAAUUUUUAAUUUUAAGAAAUUUAAAAAAUUUAAAAAAAAUAAGAAAAUUUUAAAAAUUUUAAUUUUAAAAAAAAUAAGAAAAUUAUAAAAAAAAAAAAAAAAAAAGGGGGGGGUCGAAGGGGCGGCUUCGAUUUCUUUGCAUGCUCGCAUCCAUGCUCUUGCUCGUCCGUUCAAGACGUGCUAGGGGGGAAGAUGUGGCGCAACGGAAGGAGGACUUGAGAAAGCUAGAGGGCCUGCCCACUCAAUAGGAGAUUUCCAGUUUGUUCGUGUUCCCGAGCAAUCGUCAAUUCCACUAUCUUUCAUCUCUUCCUUUUUUAAUGAUGACGGAAAGGGGCCAGAGACGUGGCCCAGAUGUGAACUUUUCGAACUAUGGGCCCCUGGAUUAUGCGAUGCCGUGGCUCGGCUUGACUGUUGUGCUUGGCUGGUGGGAUCUGAACUAGAUUUGGGNNNNNNNNNNNNNNNNNNNNNNNNNNNNNNNNNNNNNNNNNNNNNNNNNNNNNNNNNNNNNNNNNNNNNNNNNNNNNNNNNNNNNNNNNNNNNNNNNNNNNNNNNNNNNNNNNNNNNNNNNNNNNNNNNNNNNNNNNNNNNNNNNNNNNNNNNNNNNNNNNNNNNNNNNNNNNNNNNNNNNNNNNNNNNNNNNNNNNNNNNNNNNNNNNNNNNNNNNNNNNNNNNNNNNNNNNNNNNNNNNNNNNNNNNNNNNNNNNNNNNNNNNNNNNNNNNNNNNNNNNNNNNNNNNNNNNNNNNNNNNNNNUUUUUUUUUUUAAACUUUAAAUUUUUCUUAAUUUUUUUAAAUUUUUAAUUUUCUUUUUUUUUAAUUUUUUGAAUACUUUAUAAUUUAAUUAAUUUUUAUAUUAAUAAUUACACGUAGACACACGAAACGGCGUCGUUUUUUGCGUUUUCUCCGCCACGUCAGCGUGUAAAACGACGCCGUUUUGGACUAAGGUCGCCGGAAAAUUGCCACGUCAGCCAUUUGGCCGGAUUUUCGCCGGAGUGGCACUUAAGUGUCCCAUUUUGCUCCGAUGAUGGCACUUAAGUGUACCAUUUUAAAGUUAUGGCACUUAAGUGUCCCGGCGUGCCAAGUUAUGGCACUCCAGGUGUCCCGACCUCGGCUUGGUAAAGAUAUCGGGAGUUGUUAUGUGGUUCCAAUUCCAUUUGUCUUGAUAAUCCCUUCUUGAAUUUUUUUUAUUAAUUUUUUACCCCGUCAACAAUAAAACGACGUCAUUUUUGCAUUGUCUAGCCACGUCAGCAUGUAUAACGACACCGUUUUGCACUUAUUUCGCCGGAAAUUGCGCACUUCAGCAUUUUGGCUGGAUGAGCACUUAAGUGAUCCAUUUUGCUUCGAUUUUGGCACUUAAGUGUCACUUUCGUAACUUUUGGCACUUAAGUGUCUAUUUAUGCCAACUUUUGGCACUUGAAGCGAUCUUUUGCCGUUUCUUAGUUGGUAAAUCGUACUCUCCACUAACUAAUUUUAUAAUUUUUUCACUAAUAAAGUUUAGAUUGCGAUAAAAAAAAAAAAAAAAAAGAACCAACAAGCAAUAAUGAUGCUCUUUUGUUGGUAAUCAUACUCUCCACCAACUAAUUUAAUAUUUUUCUGCUAAUAAAAUUUAGAUUGUGAUAGCGCCUAGUCUCUUUUCAAAAGAUGGAUGCGCAGCUUCAAUGUCUUAUUUAAUUUGAAGGCCCUUACUCAAGUAUUUUUAUUGUCCAGUGACGAUGGUACAUGGAGAAAUUGUCAAUCAAUUCUAAAUAUUUUGUACGAAUGACAAUAACAUUUUAACAUUUUCAAUUUUCUCAAUUUAGUCCUAAACUUUUGUACGAAAUUACAAUAUAGUCAUUUUGGCUAAUUUUUAUCAGAACCGCAUAGGAUGAUCAAUAAUAACUUAAUUGUACAUCAGUAAUUUCUGAUAAAAAUUGAUGAGAUGGACAACAUUGAACUUUGUGCAAACGUUUAAGACUAAAUUAUCAAAUUGAAAAGUUCUUGAGUGGAUUGAUAUCGCUACAAUGUAUCUAAGACUUGUUGGAUAAUUUUUUUCCUAUAGUUGUGGAGAAGAAACUUAUUUCAUUAGAAAAUUAGAAGACAACUACUAGAUUUGUGCAUAGUCACCAUGUUACAACUGUAAGGUUGAUUGAAGAUUAUAUUCAACUGCUUAAGUAAAUAAUAUCUCGAGUGAGUCAAUUUAAGAAUAUGAUCCUCGAGUUGGACCAAAUAGAUGAACCAUUGAUAAAACAACAACUUAUAGUGGCAGCAUACAAAUCUGAAGCUUUCAAGGCACAAUAAUGAAGAAAGAAAGGCUAGUCUGCAACUUGAAGGAGAGAGGGAGAGAUAAGGGGACAAAGGAGGCCACCAAGGCUUCAAUCUUCAUCCAAUUGAUCCCCUUGACCAAUUCCCUCCACCAGCUGCCUUCCUUGGCCUCAAAUCAGCCACCAAUGCCUCAAAUACAACAUUUGAAAUGGUCCAAAAGCCAUAGACAAGGGGGAGCUACGAAUUUCUCAAGAAUUUGGCUUCAAUUGGACAUUUAAUCAUUCUUAAUUCAACACAAACCAACCUUUAUAAAAUCAACCAACACCUCAUUGAUCUAAUUGGUAUUUUUCGUCAUCAACUGAUCCCACUUGCUUCCCAAUUGCGCGAUAAAAAAUGGUCCAUGACUUUUUCUGGACAAAAAUAGCCCUAGGACGACUUUUUACCAAAAAGUCUCAGUUUGCAGAAAAAUCUUCAGAGGUGGAGUCGACGUUCCUAAAAUGGCUUGUGACAAGAAAAAACUUUCAAUUUCUGAAAUCGGAUUCAAAUUUGCAGUUAAUUUCAAUCCAGCGCGAUUUUAGCGUGACUUAAGCUAUCGGGUAACUUUUAGAAAUUUUUAGUGCAAAUGACACGUGGUCGAUUUUCUUUGAACCACAAUGAACCUCUUCGACACAUUGGUGACUUUCGGUGGUUGUGAAAAUCUCGAGAUUUCAAAUACGAACGCAAGGUACCAAAACAAUAGAAAAAGCAAAUUAGAGCCAAUCAAUGAGAUUUUUGCAAUUUAGUGGGAUCACUCACGUUUAACCACGCAUCUCGGUCGAACCGACCUAUCUCUGAUCUCUAAUCAAUUUUUAACUGUGCCGUAAUGAUCUUGGCAGAUGAGCACGGUCAAGCGGCCGAUUCUUGGUCGAAUCCUCAAGUCUAUUUGCCAUAAAGUUCUUAAUGGCUUCCAUAUAUAGUCUAGUUAUCUCAUGAGUAAUCAGCUCUAAGAACAGCACUAUAGGCGCAUCAAUUAAAUGCUUGAUUUAUUCAACUAAAAGUAGAAUUGAAAAUCUAUGAUGUCACAACUCUUCCCCUCUUAUAAAAAUUUCGUUCUCAAAAUUUAAACAUUUACAAUACUUAAGCAAAAAUGUGGGGGUACAAACGUCUCAUCGACUCUUCAGUCCCCCGGGUUGCUCCUUCGGUACCGUGGUAUUACCAGACCACUUUGACCAUCGAGAUGGUCUUUGUAUGCAGAACUUGCUCUUUUCUAUCCACAAUCUGAGUCAGGCUUUCAACAUAUGACGCACGGUCAUCCACGUCCAAUUCCUUGAAUUGAGCACGUGAGCCGGGUCAGGCUCAUACUUCCUUAACAUUGACACGUGAAAGACGUCGUGCACUUGCGCCAAUCUUGGCGGCAACGUAAGACGAUACACUAGAGUUGCGAUUCUCUCAAGAAUCUCAAACGGACCUACGUACCUUGGACUCAAUUUUCCAUUCGUGCCAAAGUGCGAAGUUCCCCUCAUUGGUGACACAUUCAAAAAAACGUAAUCACCAACUUAGAAAUCCAAAAGCCUUCGACGCCUAUCUGUGUAGCUUUUCUGACGACUCUGAGUGGUCUUUAAUCUACUUUUGAUCACUGCCAUGGCAUCCACUGAUUAUUGAACCAACUUUGGGCUUGUAAUCUUUCUUUCCCCAACUUCAUUCUAACACACCGAUGUUCUGCACGCUCAGCCAUACAACACUUCAAAUGGAGCCAUUUGGAUACUUUGCUAAUAAAUGUUGUUGUAGGUGAAUUCUACGAGAUGAAGUUGUUUUUCCCAACUUUCCUUGAAGUCUAGUACACAAGCUUGCAACAUAUCUUCAAGGGUUUGAAUUGUCCUCUCAGACUGGCCAUCCGUUUGAGGAUGAUAUGAUGUACUAUUCUGAAGCUUUGUACCUAAAGCACCCUGUAAGCUCUUCCAAAAAGCGGCGGUGAACCUCGGGUCUCGAUCUGAAGUGAUCGUAACCGGCACUCCAUGUAAUCGAACUAUCUAACGCACGUACAACUCAGUGUGCUUAUCCAAGUUAAGAUCCUUUCGCACUACAAUAAAAUGAGCCGACUUUGUCAACCUAUCAACUAUUACCCAAAUCGAAUCAUUACCUCUCUGACUCCUUGGUAACCCGGUCACGAAGUCCAUCGUGAUAUCUUCCUAUUUCCACUUUGGGAUUUCAAGAGGUUACAAGAGUCCUCCCGGCUUGCAAUGCUGAGUUUUAACCUGUUAACACGUCAAACACUUUGCGACAUGUUUGGUGAUGUCCACCUUCAUACCAGACCACCAAUAGUGUUGACAUAGAUUCUAAUACAUCUUGGUACUUCUGGGAUGAAUACUGUAACUACUACGAUGAGCUUCAGAUAAAAUAUCCUCUUUAAGCUUCACAUCGUUAGGUACAACUAAUCGUCCUCGAAACUUUAGUGUUCCAUCUUCAGAAACCUGAAAGUCAACUUUCUUCUCUUCAAUAUCAUCUUGUAAAAUUUUCUGAACAUCUGGGUCUGUCGGUUGAAGUAGCUUGAUCCUGAUCUACACAUUUGGCUCAAUUUUGAGGGUAGUCAUAAGAUGAGAAAGGUGGCCUACCUCAAAUUUGAAUACCAAAUCUCGAGCUCACUCGAUUAGGUUCCACUGCUUAACCAAUAGGUAAGCAAUUGACGACUUUCGACUCAAGGCGUCGACGACCUUGUUCGCCUUUCUUGGGUGAUAUAAAAUAUCACAAUCAUAAUCUUUAAGCAAUUUCAUCCAUCGACGCUGUCUCAUAUUCAAUUCUUUCUGAGAGAAUAGGUACUUGAGACUCUAAUGGUCCAUGAAGAUCUGAAAUUUCUCCUCACACAAGUAAUGUCUCCAAAUCUUCAACGCAAAUAUGAUAGAUGCGAGUUCUAUGUCAUGCAUCGGGUAGUUUAGUUCAUGAGGUUUCAACUAGCAGGAAGCGUAUGCAAUAACCUUACCAUAUUACAUCAAUACACAACCCAGUCCUCUAAACGAUGCAUCACUAUAGAUCUCGUACCCUCCAGGACCAGAUGGAAUUGUCAGCACAGGUGCGGUAGUUAGCUUUUGCUUCAACUCUUGGAAACUAUAUUCACACUUGUCUAUCCAUACGAAUCUCUCAUCUUUCUUCAGGAGUCUUGUCAAAGGCGACGCCAAAGCUAAAAAUCCUUCCACAAACCGUCUGUAGUAACCUGCCAAACCUAGAAAACUUCGGAUUUCUGUCACUGUUGUUGGUUUCAACUAGUUGAUCGCAGCUUCAAUCUUGCUCGGGUCCAUAGAGAUUCCUUCGCCUGAAAUCAUGUGUCCUAAGAACGCAAUACGAGUCAGCCAAAACUCACAUUUGCUAAACUCAGUGUACAACUGAUGAAUCCUCAAGGUCUGGAGCACUAAUCUCAAAUGAUCCCGUGCUCCUCAGCACUCCUUGAAUAUACCAGGAUAUCAUCGAUGAACACGAUCACAGACUGAUCUAGAUAUUCCUUAAAUACUCCGUUCAUCAAAUCCAUGAAAGCAGCUGGAGUAUUCGUUAACCUAAAUGGCAUCACAGUGAACUCGUAUUGACCAUAUCGAGUACGAAAUGUUGACUUUGAAAUGUCUUUUUUCCUAAUCCUCAGCUAAUGAUAUCAUGUCCUCGAGUCGAUUUUCAAAAAUAUCAAUGCUCCUCGUAACUGAUCAAACAAGUCAUCAAUCAUCGGCAAUGGAUACUUGUUCUUGAUCGUCACUUGAUUGAGUUGGCGAUAGUCAAUGCACAAGCACAACAUACCAUCCUUCUUUUUCAUGAAUAGAACUGGUGCUCCCCAAAGUGAUGCACUAGGACGUAUGAAUCCCUUAUCUAAUAAUUCUUGCAUCUUCACCUUUAGUUCCUUCAACUCUGAUAAAGCCAUUUGGUAAGGAGCCUUAGAGAUCGGCUCUGUCUUGGGGGCUAACUCAAUCACGAACUUAAUUUCUCUCUCUGACGGUAAUCCUGGCAAUUCCUUCGGGAAUACAUUUGGGAAUUUUUGCACAACUGAAAUAUCUUCAAUUUUCAACUCGUCAACUAUCGUAUCCACGACAGUUGCCAGGUAACCAUGGCAACCCCCGUCUAAUAAACAGGUUGCCUCAUGCGACGAGAUUAGGGAAAUUGAGAGUCCUCAUCGGUUCUCUACAAACUCGAAGCUCUCACCCUUUAAUGGGUUAAACUGAAUCGACUUGCGAUAGUAGUCCAUUUUAGCUCGUUGCUUGGUGAGCCAGUCCAUGCUAAUUAUCAAAUCAAAGUCAUACAUGGCUAGGACUAAUAAGUCUAUUUUCCUCUCUCGCUCACCAAUCUCUAACUUGCAACCAGAACAACCCAAAGCAGACAACACUUUAUCCUUCAUAGGUGUAGAUAUGCUAACAACAGAUUCCAACAACUCAGGAUUUAUUCCAAUCAACUUAACAUACUGCUCGGCAAUAAAGGAAUGGGUUGCUUCCGGAUCGAAUAAAGCAUAAACAGGAUGGUUGUUCAACGAAACCAUACCAGUGAUCAUGUCAAGCGCGGCCUCUGCCUGACCUUAAGUAAUGGCAUACAUCGUGCCUUGAAUUGGGGGUCGGAGUUGUCCUCCUUGAUGUGCGUUCUGAGACGCAUACCCUCUGAUUUGUCCUAACAGUGGCAGUAGCAGCAACUGCGGUUGUCCUCUUAUUCUUCUCGGACAAUUCCUGGCUAUAUGACCCAGCUAGCCACACUUAAAACAAGUGCCUAGCCUAGAUUAGCAUGGGGUAGAUUCGUGUCGCCUUCCACACAAGCAACAUACACCAUUCUAGUUAGGCCUAGACUUGCCAACUCCACCUUUUCUGCUAGGCGGGAUAUGAAAUCUUCCUCCAACCAUGGGCCUCUUCCCAUGUCGGAUUGCAUCUUUGUUUGCAUUAAAUCUUGACCCAGAUGUGGCGGCUCUCUCAUUCUGAUCUCUCUCGAUCAUCUGGGCCCUCUCAUAUAGGUCAUUGUAACUCCUCAAAUUCAGCGAAAUCAAUGUACUCCUCAAGUCUAGCCUGAAUCUAUCUCUAAACCUUCUCACUCAGUUCACUAGAUUCUCAAUUAGUUCAGGCGCAUAUUGCGAUAGUUUAGCAAACUUCACCUCAUAUUGAUCGACAGCUAGGGAACCUUGGCAAAGAUGUUGAAACUCUGCCAUCUUCAUAUCUCUUGCAGUCUCUGAAAAGUACUUACCAUUAAAAGCCUCAAGGAAGGUGUUCCACUCCGGGACAACACCUUCUGGAAAUACUACUCCUUGGGUGAUUCUCCAUCAAGUAUUUGCAACUCCUUCCAAUUGGUAAGUUGCAAGAACUACCUUUUCAGUUUCAUUGCACAUUAAUAGUGCAAAAGCUUUCUCAAGUCUUUGGAUCCACAAAGCAGCAGCUUCAGGAUCUCCUGCCCCAGAGAACUGAGGCGGAUUCAACUUCAAGAAUUGUUCCACCAACUUGUGAAUCGGUCUCCCAGCGACUAUGAUUCCUAGCUAACCUUCGACGGGUGCGACGGCAGGUGCGGCAGCGGAGGCGGCUUUAGCGACAGCAGGAACAACAGCAGUAACGGUGGCUUGAGCGACAGCUUGAUUAUGGGCCUACUGCCCAAUCAAGUCCCUCAUGGUCUCCAACGACUGCAAGAUCCCGUCUACUUGAGGAUCACUAGGGUUUGCUACCCUAGCACCAACAGUAGGUGGUGCUAUUCCACUAGUGCUAGCCUAUGUUGGCGCCCUACCCCUGCCUCCUCGGGUACCGAUCCUGGUCGAUGUCCUACCUUGAAUUACAAGCCUGACAGAUCUCUUACUCGAAGUUCUCUGCUCCUGCUCACUCAUGGUUUAGUCUUUUUACUGAAACCUGUCUUCCAAAUCCACACCGGAUUAGAAGAUGAGCUAUCCACACUCAACAAACAAUUCUACCACACAAUUAUUACCGACAUGCACUAGUCAUGAAGUUAAAGGCCUUUCCUACUUACUAUCCCAUAUUCAUCGCACAUUAUCACUCCAAUUUCUAACGACCACGCUCUGAUACCACUAAACUGGGACUUCACGUCCCGAUCCUCCGAGCCCAUGCCCAUCCCUUUUUAGUUGAUAUAAUAGGGAUGUCUCAAGAUGCAUCGCCGAUCCAUUCAUUUUAUAUACGCAUGCGGAAGCAGAUACAAAUCCCUAGACGAUAAAAUAAUGGGAUAGGAAAACAGUGCCAUAAAAUUUCGUACCACACUAACCACACUUAUAUAUACACAACACAACCAGUUAUAUAUAAUACAAGCCAAACCAAACUUUGUGUAUCCAAACACAUAAGGUUUAACAAAUAGGGGGUGGGGUUUUCUUAACACUCUAGCUACUCAUCCUCGUCCUCUUCGAUCUCUCAUUCUUUUAGACUCCAGCUGGAGCCUACUGCUGAGUACGCCGAGGAAUCUGGAUCACCAAGCUUAGGGUCCUUCGCAUCCACCACCAAUCCGUCCUUAGGGUUUUUCGUACCCUUUCCAAAAGCAACCUCCAUCACGUACAAAGGUAUAUCAGAUUCCGGUACAUGGCCCACCCUUUGGCCAUUAUGAUAAUAGCGAUACCAUGACUGGUAUUAAUGAGGUACCUUUUUGGUUAACCCUGUAUCAACCCAGACAAUGGAUUUCACCAGUACAUAUUCAAGACCCUUGGGGUACCCAUGUAUCGGGAUGUGAUAGCUCUAUUCUGUGAACUUCUUAGGUUGGCCAAAAUGAUUAGGUGAGGCUGCCAUCUAUGGGCUUGAAAUGUUUAUCUCAUAAUGAGGUGAGAUGAUGUUUCAAUGAGUUCUACCCCCCUUUAGACCCGAUUAAGAAGAAAAUAUGCUCUAAGGGCUGCCUAAGCACAAUUAAGCGUUAAAAGACUUACCUUGGCCUCAGUUCUUUUCUAUAAGUCAGUUAAAUUAAUAAAUACUGACAAUUAUAUCUUCCAAUCAAUCAAGUCGAACCAUUGAUCAAUCGACUUAGUCGAUUACAUGUCAUCAAGACCAUCAUACAAUCAUUUAGAUUAUCCAUUCUCAACUCUUAGUUACGGUCCAACAAGCACGACCUAGAUUUAGUGGUAAUCAUGGCCCCACCAGCAAUUUUCUAGAUUUGGUGGUAAUCACCGCCCUACCUGGCAAUUUUCUAGAUUUUAUGGUAAUCACUGCCCCACUUGGCAAUUUUCUAAACUUGGUGGUAAUCGCGGCCCCACCAGCAAUUUUCUAGAUAAAUAGCCACAUUAUCCAAUUUUUGGGAUAAAUCCCCAUAAUCACUAAUUUCACUCAAUUUUCACAACUCGGUACUCAAAUAAAUAAACAAAUAGCACGAUAGCAAUCAAUAUGAAAUUCCAGUCACCGGCCAUCCCGGUUGAAUUUUCGGAAAAUAAUUAAUUAAUUAAUUAAUUAUGGAAAUUAUUAAAUAAAUGCAAUAAAUAGCAUAAAUGCAAACUUAGGCCCAAUAAAGCCUAAUUGGAAGCCGAGAUGGGCCCGGAAAAUUUUCGAACCACUCUAGUUAAAUACUAGAGCUUGUCUAGGCUCUAAUUGCACUAACUAUCCACCUAACAUGCAUCAGUAAUUAAUUAAAUUCACUAAUCUAAUCUAAUUUAACCAUCUAAUCCAUCUUAGCUUAAACUAAUCAACCCCUAAGCAUAAUUAAACUACUAAGAGAUGAUUUUUUACCAAAAUAAAAAAGCUAUUAAGAGAAGAUUAGUGAGUUAAACUCACUUGUUAAGCGAUCCGGUCGAUUCAAAUCGACGGGGACGCAACGGGGCUAAACUUUCUCCAAAACGGGCCUAGCUUUCGAGGUUGGGAACGUCCUCAAAACGGGCCACGAACAUUAAUGGAAACCCACUUUAUUUGCUUCUGUUCUUGGCUGGUUGGUGGUUGAAAAGGCGGGGUGGUGGCUUGAUUGAGGCGGAAAUGGAUCGAGGGAGCAAAACUGGACCUAGGUGAGACUCGGUGGAGCUCGAACGGUAGCCGGCAGUAGCUCACGGUGAUCCAAGUGUCCACGGCAGCUCGUUGGGCUCGAGUAGGAGGUGGUGAGGCAACGCGGUUGGGCAGAGGGCACGCGUGCGUGUAGUGGUGGCGCGCGAGGACGGCAACGGUGACGGCGGUGCGUGCGGCAGGGAUGUUUGGCUCGAACAACCUCCUUGCUAGUUUUCCUCUAGAAAUCUAAAGCUUUCAAGGCACAACAAUAAAGAAAGAAAGGCUGGUCUACAACUUGAAGGAGAGAGGGAGAGAUAAGGAGACAAUGGGGCCACCAAGGCUUCAAUCUUCAUCCAAUUGGUCCCCUUGACCAAUUCCCUCUACCAGCUACCUUCCUUGGCCUCAAAUCACCCACUAAGGCCUCAAAUACAACCUUUGAAAUGGUCCAAAAGCCAUAGACAAGGGGGAGCUACGAAUUUCUCAAGAAUUUGGUUUCAAUUGGACAUUUAAUCCUUCUUAAUUCAACACAAACUGGCCUUUAUAAAAUUAACCAACACCUCAUUGAUCUUAUUGAUAUUUUUCGUCACCAAUUGAUCCCACUUACUUCCCAAUUGUACGAUCAAAAACGGUCCCUGACUUUUUCUGGACAAAAACGGCCCUAGGACGACUUUUUCCAAAAAAGUCUUGAUUUGCAGAAAAAUCUUCAGAGGCCGAAUCGACGUUCCUAAAAUGUCCUGUGACAUGACAGAACUUUCAAUUUCUGAAAUUGGAUUCAAAUUCGCAGUUAAUUCAAUCCGACGCGAUUUUAGCGUGACCUAAAUUACUGAGUAGCUUUUAGAAAUUUUUAGUGCAAAUGACUUGUGGUCGAUUUUCUUCGAACCACAAUGAAUCUCUUCGACACAUUGGCGACUCUCGGUGGUCGUAAAAAUCUCGAGAUUUCAAAUACGAACAUAGAGUACCAAAACGAUAGAAAAAUCAAACUAGUGCCGAUCGGUGAGAUUUUGCAAUUUAGUGGGAUCACCCACGUUUAACCAUGCAUCUUGGUCAAACCGACCUAUCUCUGAUCUCUAAUCAAUUUUUAACUGUGUCGUAAUGAUCUCGGCAGAUGUGCACGGUCGAGCAACCGAUUCUUGGUGGAAACCGAGAUCCUGAUUGUAUGGGCGAGCAGGAUUGAUGGACUAUCGUCAUGUUCCUUAAAUAGCUCGAAGAUCUUCCUAAUUGAUUAUGUCCAAUGGGUAGAUUGGAAAAAUUCCUUUGGUAAGUGUCAAUGGGUGUGAUGGCAUAAAUGAGUAUAUAAAGAAGACAUUACAGUUGUUCGAGUGCGUGCACGAUAGAAGAAUUCCAAAGUCUGAAACUCCUUGUUCUUAGUCAAUUAAACUGUUGAGUGAAAUUUUGUACGCAAAAGAGAGUAUAUCUUUGAGAGACCUUGAGGAAGUGUAGUAGAGUCUCUACACUGUGGAAUCAAGGAAGAGCUUUACUAUAACAACUCUUUUGUUCAUAGUGAAAUCCAGCCGGUGGGCUGUCAGUGUGGAAGAGUGGACGUAGGCUUGGAUUAAGCCGAACCACUAUAAACUCUGUGUUCAUAUUCUCUUCCCUACGCUCUUUUACUUUGAUCGUAACUCGUUUUGUUUACCAGGGACGAAUUUCCUUUUCAUAAUCUAUUGUUGAGAAGUGCUUCACACUUAUUUCAUAAAAUUAUUUUUGCACAUAUUCACCCCCUCUAGGUGCUCGUACUAGCUUUCACAGUUCUACAACAGUAGCCUUCACGAGCAUGAAGUCGUAUUGCCCACUGCAGAAAAGGUUCACGUAACCCGAAGCUUUAAUAAUUACCAAGUGACUGAGCAGCAACUUCCAACAUUACUUCUCUCUAUCUUCCUCCUCCUAUGCGUCUUAGAGAGAGAGAGACAAAAAGCAGCAUCAGAGCAACGAUGGUGGACUUGCAGUUGGCACGUGUUAGGGAGGGAGAUGCACAUAAGGAUUUAGAGUUUGCUAGUGGCACAUGUGAGGGACGCCGUGCCUAUUCAGUGAUAUAUUAUUGGCAUGUUGAUAGGACUAUAUUUCUUAUUUUAACGUAUUGGUACUUGCACGAUUUAGCUCCCAAUUUUCUCUUGAAUCUUUUUCUUCUUCAGGAGAAGGGAAUAUUCUCUUGAUGUUUUACAUCCAAGGGAUGCCAAGAUUCGCACAAGAUCAAACAAAGCAAUUUAAGGUGUUACUUAGGACCUAGAUUUGUUAUUUUUGCAAAGAAUCGGAAAGAUAGUCAUCACGUGGAGAUUAUCAACAAAGAGAGGUCAUAGAGGGAGGUGGUCAAGCUUGACCAUGGAAUAGCAUGAGAUCCAUAUAAUCCUUGAAAUAAGCUCACAUUAUCAAGUCCAUGCUAGGCUAACAUGGAGUCAAUGAUCCCCUUAACAUGCAUAUUUACAUACAAAUACGCUUUAUAUUCACUAGUACAGCUAAUGAGGUGUAAUUAAUCAAUGAAAUUGUUUUUUUUUAUAACUGUUAAAAGUCAGGUUCUCAGAGAUAACUGAUGAUUAUGCUUAUUAAUAUUUAUAAUAUUAAUAUUUUGUUAAAAAAUGCUUCCAGAUUUUCAAGCGUUUGUUUCAUUAGAAAAUAAAUCAAUUGAGAAAAACAUUUUCUAUAAAGUGAAAAAUAUUCUAAAAUAGGAGAAAAUAUUUUUUAUAUUUUAAAUAAAGAAAAAUAUUUUCCUCAUUCACUCUCUAUUAUUUCACAUAUUUAUUAGCCCUCACUUCUCUUUUUCAAUUUGAAAAUUAUUUUUAUUUUUAUACUUUUUUUUCCUUUUUGCUUUUUUCCUUUCUCGAUCAGUCGUCGGCUACAGUGAUGACAUCAAGCUCGCCGGCCUCUGAUGAGCUCAGACUUGUCCAUUAGGCGUCGGGCCCACUUGCUUUAAAUCAGGGUCCUUAAGGUCAAGCACAAUCAAAUGCAUAUAUAAUAUGUUUAGAAGACACCCUUGCUAGCCCGGGCGUACCGGCGGACGCGAGGGGCAUCUUUAGCGAGCAUCGAUAUAGUAACGCGCCACAUGUAUCUAUUAAAGCUUCGUGCCCCUCCCUCCCUGACCGCCAUUGUAUCUUCUAAAUGAUUUCUUCCGCGCUCUAGGAGCCCUUUCUGUCGCCUGAUCUUCUGCGGCUGUUCUUCUUGUUGGAACUGCCGUGCGUGCGUCAUUUUGAAUCCUCCCUCUUCUUCGGUCAUUGUGGUUUCCGGGUUCCAUCAGAUUCGCCUUCCUUGGAGUAUAUAAAUUCUUAACUCUCGUUUCUACACAAAGAAGGAAAGAAAGCCAGAAAGGUAGAAGAAGUCGAAACGGGGGGAAAUGGAGGAUAGUGCUCUGUGUAGAGCCUCCAAAGCGGUAAAGUGCGUGGUGGCUCCGGAAAUAAAGUCCCUGGUGGCUCGGGUCCGUUGGCACUGCGGCUACAUAAUAUUCUCCGACUGCCACGUUGGCGAACUUAAUGUUGAAGUUAAGAAGCUGGAUGACACAAAGGAUGAGGUGCAGCGUUCCAUCGAUGAUGCUAAAACAACAUGAAGCCGAUCAAAGGCGAGGUGGCGAGAUGGGUGAACGAAGUGGGGAGCGUCGCUGACGAGGUGCGUGACGUGCUGGAUUAUGACAGAGAAGCUAAGAAAACUUGCUUCUAUGGGUGGCUUCCCAACCCAAAGGCGCGAUAUCAUCUCGGCAAAAAGGCGAGCAGGAAGGUCAAGGACAUCCGGGAGCUCAUUGCACGGGGUCAAUUCAAGGAGGUUUACUCCGAGAAUCCUCCGCCAGGGCUUGUUGGCGGUGCUCUCUACGUGAAUUCGUUGGCCGGUGAUGAGGGCGACUUUAUCACCGAUUCGCGAGCUUCCAUCUUUCAGGGCAUAAUGAAAGCUCUGAAUGAUGAGAAGGUGAAAGUGGUUGGGGUCUACGGGCCUGGCGGCGUGGGGAAGACUACGCUGUUGGAGAUAGUCGAGAAUAAACUUAGGCAAGAGAGGGGACCGUUCCGCAUGAUCGUUAAAGCGGAAGUCUCGCGAACUCCGGAUUUAAAUAAUAUCCAAGGCCAGAUUGCUAACGCCUUGAGUCUGAAUCUGAAGGACAAGGAAAGCCAACAGGGAAGAAGAGAUCUUCUGUUUCAGAGAUUGCAGAGGUAUCCAAAUGAGAAGGUUCUCAUAAUAUUGGACGAUCUGUGGGGAGCACUUGAUUUGAAGGCGGUUGGAAUUCCUUUGGGAGAUGAGAGCAGGAACUGCAAAUUGUUGCUCACUUCGAGAGAUAAAAGUGUGCUGGAGCAAAAGCUACAUGCCGAACAAACAUUUCAUCUGACAAGUUUAGAGGAAGACGAAGCUUUCAAGCUAUUUGAAAAGAUAGUCGGCGACAAGCUUAGAGACGAUGAGGAAUUGAAAGUAAAGGCGGUUCAAGUGGCAACCAAGCUUGCAGGUUUGCCUCUUUUGAUUAACUCCGUUGCAAGCACCUUAAAAUGUAGUGAUGUGUCCACGUGGGAAGACAUGUUAAUAAAAAUAGAAUACCCACAUAAUGAGAGAAUAGUGAAGUGGAGUUACGAUCAUUUGGAGAGUGAGGAAGCCAAGUGCUUAUUCUUGCUUUGUGGUCUUAUUGGUGGGACCAUUGAAGUCGAACUUCUGCUAGGACUAGGCAUGGGUUUGGGCUUGUUUGGGGGAUUCGAUAACAAGAUGCAAAGUUCGAGGAAUAGAUUGAAUACGAUGCUCAAUAGCCUCCAUUCCUUUUGUUUGUUACAGGAUGGUGGCGAUGGUAAGGAAAAUGUGACCAUACAUGAUCUUUACAGCGAGGUGGUUGUCUCGAAUGUAUUUAGUGGUCGGAAUUCCUUAAUGAUUAACAACAAUUAUGGCUCAUGGCCAAAGGAAAAGCGUGAGAAAUGCUGGGCAUGCUUAGUUAAUGUUGGCAGUGGUAGGCUUGCUGAGCUAAUGCUGCGUCGGUUUCCCCACGUGAAGAUACUUAUGUUGUCGGAACAAUACGAUAGGGGAGAUUGCAGUAAAAUAGAUUUCACAUACAUGGAGGAGCUCCGAGCCCUCUAUCUUUGCUCCAUGCGUAUCACCAGUUUACCUUCCUCGAUGGAAAUCCUCGGGAAUCUCCAGUCAUUAAGUAUAAAUUGCUAUGUGGGGGAUGUGGCAAAUAUUGGCAAGCUCAAAGCACUGAGGAUUCUCAGCUUUGCAAAGUCUCGAAUUUCUAGGUUGCCUAAAGAAAUUGGGGAACUAACGAAUUUGAGAUCGUUGAAUCUAAACCAUUGCUACUUGCUUAAGAUAAUUGAGCCCGGAGCCCUAAAAGGCUUAAUAAACUUGGAAGAGUUACAUAUGAGGAGAAGCUUUGAUCGAUGGAUGGGCAAGCAUGAAAUGACGUCAAAAUCGUGUGGUGUUGGGCUUGCUAAGUUGAAGAGCUUGACAAAGCUAGCAUCUCUAGAAAUAUUGAUUCGUCAACCCAUCAUACUCUUGGAGGAUGGUGACCUGCCAUUUGGGAACCUGGUCAGAUUUUGGAUCAACAUAGGAAAUCUUGAGGGGUGGGGAUAUGAAUGUUUGGCAGUCAUGAAGCUCAAUUUGGAAGGGUGCAAUAGUAUUCUUUCGAGAAACUAGGUUAAAAAAUCUCUGCAAAAGACUCAAUACUUUUAUUUAUGUGAGUUGAGUGAGUCCAAAGAGAGUGCUCACAAGUUGUGCACCGAAGGAUUCCAAGAUCUGAAGGCUCUCAACAUUAAAGACAGCUGCUCAAUCAAGUACAUUGCCAAUUCAUCCUAUGGCCUCCCUCCUUUUUUUGAAGUUAGAGUCUUUGUUCCUUGAAAAUCUUAUUAAUUUGGAGAAGAUAUGCCAUGGCCCUAUCGCACCAGGGUGCUUCAGCCAUUUAAAAAUUGUGAGUGUUGGACAAUGCCGCCAAUUGAAAUACUUGUGGUGUAUUUUAGAUAUGCAAAGACUUAUCCAAUUGGAAGAGAUUAAAGUGUGGGAAUGUUACUAAAUGCAAUCCAUUGUCACACAUGAUGCCGGAGAAGAUAUAGUUUAUGUUGAUAAUAGAGUUGAGUUGCCUAAUGUAUGCCGUUUGGCAUUGUGUGAGUCACCAAAUAUGACAAGCUUUUGCAGUAAUAUGACGAGCUUUUACAGUAGAGCCGAAAUCACAUCAGAGGAUACUCCUCCUCCCAUCCAGGUAAUUUGUUUUUUUUUCUUAUCAUUUUUUCCCUUGGUCAAUUUGUCCUAUUAGGAUUAGAUGAUAUUGGUUUUCACUCAACGUUAGUACAUAUUGCAUUUUUUUAUUAUUUGUACAAUUUUAUUCACGAUUUGAUUUACAAAUAAAAAAAACAAUCCUCUCAAAUAAAACAUAGACCAUAUUAUAGUUAGAGGGAAGCCUCUUUCCAUGACUUUUUUUUUUUUAAUAAAUUUUCAACAUUAGAUAAUUGCAUUGAUAACUUGGGUUUCUACUGUGACUAAUUUGUUACUUGUAUAACAUUCUUAAUGAGAUGAAAAAAUAGUGUGCUGAACGAAAGAAAGCGAGAAUGAAUCUUGAAUGAUUUAAGAAAAUUCAAUAAUUUCAAAAUGGAGAAAGCGACAUUUAGAGAUUCGAUAAAUGGAUGGUAAGCAAGGAGCCACGUAACAAAGACAAUCCCCAUAAUUCAUGUCUUGUCCAACAUGCAAUUUGUAACUGAUUCCAACAUGUCAUGCCAAGUUGCCAACGUCAAUGUCAGCAUCACUGUGCAAUUGAGCUGCAUUGACAGCAUGAUAGAGGUGAGGAUAUCCUCAUGAAAAUGAUUUCGCUUUUCAUGGAAGAGAAAUUCAUUCUUUUUUGUACUUUAACCCGAGUAUUUCACUUAUUUUCUCAUGAAAAUAGCUUUACUUGCAACAUAACUCACCUUUGAUGAGUUUCAUUGUGGCGCUUGGUCAGGUUCUAUUGCCUCGCUUGAAAUCCUUAGUAAUAAAUGGACUCCUUGGUCUGGAAGAGAUACUCUAUAGUGAACCUUCAUUAAAAUAUAGCGAUUUGACAUUGCUAAAGAUCAGACAAUCUAAAUCCACGUCGAAGAGUAUUAUGAAAUCAAAUUGGAUAUUAUAGCUGCUGAAUUUGGAGUCAAUGGAAAUUGAGAGCUCUCCAACAGAAGUAGUUUUUGACUUGGAGGAGCUAGAAGUCACCAGAGAUGCCGAGAUUCUCUCUCGGCUAACGGAAUUGAGUUUAUCUUGGUUGCCGAACCUGCGGUGCAUAUGGAAACAAGAUGUACAAUUACAAGGAAUAUCAAUAUUUCGGAACCUGAAGAAGCUCUCCAUCAACAGUACGAGGCUGUCAUUUCUCUUUCCGGUGUCUAUGGCUAAAUGUCUUAGAGAAAUUAGAGCCAUUACAGUGAGGGAUUGUCCAAAUAUGAAGGCGGUGAUUGUGGAUGAAGAAGGAAGAGAUGAAGAGAUAGAUGAUAUUAUAGAGUUCCCAUUAUUAGAGCAACUAUCUAUAAGUCGGUGUUCCACGGAGAAAUUCUUCUCAUAUCCUUAUGGAAAAAAAGAGCCAAUGGCCACUACUUCAGAUUCACAAGAUGCUUACUCCGAUUCUUUCUUUGAUCAAAAGGUACAAAUCCAUUCUCUUGAGAUUGUAUCCCUACUAGCCAUAGGCACUUUAAAUUCAUUCUUCCAUUUAUUAGUUAAAGUGUGUUCAUAAUUUAUAAAUACACUAGUAAGAUUCAUUCUUCCAUUUCAUCAAAUAGAUUGGUAGGAUUAGGCCAAAUUUUCAAAAUUUUCAUAACUGCGAUCUGACACAUAAAUCUUAUGAGCAGGUGAGUUUACCAAGCUUAAAGGCGUUAUACUUUCACGAAGUAGGAUCCUUGAAAAGGAUAUGGCAUGGCGAACUUCCGAGAGGUUCCUUAUGCAAAUUAGUCACCCUCUCCCUAGGUUGUUGCUCCAACCUACUCAAUAUCUUCCCCUCCACAAUCAUAGGGAGAUUGCUCAACUUGAAAAGUAUCAAUGUUGAAAAUUGUCCCUCCCUGGAAUCAUUAUUUGAUUGUGGGUCCUUUGAUGCAAAUACUAAGCACACAACGAUUUUGCUCCCUGAAUUGGAACUUUUGACGGUGAUGGAAGUAGGAAAGCUAAGAUGCAUGGUGAAAGGCGACUCCCAAAUGAUUUUGGGUUUUCCUAGUCUAAAAGCUGUCGAUGUUGAAAAUUGCUCCAACAUGAGAUAUCUCUUCCCCAAUUUCAUAGCCACAACGCUAGGGAAACUCGAGAAAAUAAACAUUCGGCAAUGCAAACAAAUGAAGGAAGUGGUUCUCGAGGAAGAAGGUUGUCGAUCAAAGGCAGCUGUGACAAGUUUCCCUUCCUUAACACAACUAAGGAUUUUGCAGUGCCCUAACUUUGGAACGUUCAUCCAAAGUCCUAGAAGUGUCAAGAGGCUGCCUGUGAUGAGUUUCCCUUCCUUAACACAACUAAGUAUUUUGCAGUGCCCUAAUUUUGGAGCGUUCAUCCAAAGUCCUAUAAGCGUCAAGAGGCAGUUAGGCGAGAGGGUUGAAGAAAAUGAUGAAUCACUACAACUAUUCAAUGAUAUGGUCUGCUCUAUCCCUUACUAUGAUCAUUUGUAUUCUUGUGUUAUCAUGUUUUAGAACGAACAAUGUAAUAAAUUUGUCCUACUUAUCCUCCUUUCUCACAUCAUCCUCGUGCAGGUCACAUUUUCCAAUAUAACGAGUCUAAAAAUUGAAUGCCUUCGGUGCAAAGAGUUAUGGAAUAAUAAAAUUCCCAUCGAUUCCUUUCAAAAAUUGGAAUCUCUUAGAUUGAAGGAUUGUGACGACCUCCAACAUGUUGCCCCAUGUUGUAUGUGGAAGAGGCUACAGCACUGUCUCAUAAACCUAGAAGUGAUUUCAUGUUGUUCAAUCGAGAUCAUAUAUGAAAGUGAUGAGACGGAUACAGAGGGUAUUAAAUUGAGGUCGUUGGUUUUGCAUGAUCUUGAAAACUUGGGGUGCAUUUGGCAAUCUGAUGGUCUCCUAAAUGUCUUGCUCCAAAACUUGAGAAAUGUAGAGGUUGUGAGGUGCUCCCGUUUGAAAAUGCUUUUCACUACCUUUACGGCAAAAUUUCUCGGGCAAAUCGAAGAGCUGGUGGUGGAGUCAUGUGAAAAUAUGGAGCUAAUUGCUGGCAAAGAACAAAUGGAAGAAGCAACCGGCACGACAAUCGCCUUCUCCAAGUUAACUGCUCUUAGACUUUUCGAGUUACCGAAAUUUAGGAGCUUCUUACCUAAGAAAUACUCUCUGAAAUUCCCAGGGUAAGAGGACUUCCCAUCCUUGCAAUUCUUGAGUAUAGUAAGUUGUGGAACAGUGGGGGAUCGAGGCACUUUUGACUGGUUAGAUCGUGAGUACCGAGUAAUCAUGGAUGCCAUCCUAAUCAGUUGUCGUAGCUAAUGCACAAUUCUCAGAGGGACCCACAUGAAUGCUACAUCACGUGGCCCUCAACAUACUACUCUCUUCCAUAGUCGCCACAUCUGACGAUUCCUUGGAUCUUCAUUGUCCUCUCCGUUGCCCUCCAUCCACCAACAGGCGCCGCCGAACCCUGACCACUUCCCGACUGCCAACAUUUCCGCCAAGCCGCGAAGAGGUUUGUAAUGCCGGAGUGCUCGAACUUUGGUCAUGACUAUCUGCUUCAACGACUUCAUUCCUCGACGUUGCUUUUGUUAUCUCCUUACUCCUGUCCGAUGUCAAUCGCUGUAGCUAAUCAUUCUCCAUUCAAGUAAACCACAUAUGCUCUAUUUCCGUUUCUAUUGCUACUGUCCCCGGGCAAAUCGAUUGUAAUUAAGGCUGUAUUUAUGAUUUGAACUAGUGCUUCUUGGCCAAGAUGUGUACCACCUGUUUAAUGAAAUUCCUAAACUAAGUCGGUGGGUAUUUUUUAUUCAGUUCUUAACCGAGAAUUCCCUUCAUUACUAGAUUGUUGAUUUAUUCUGGUCAUAUAAGCAUGUUUGAGUUUCGUUUCUUCAUUAUAAAAAAAAAACGUAGGUAUUCAUUUCGAACUUAUUUUGAAUCUGCCGGAACCUUGUCAAUGUAUGCCGAGUCGCCACUGUUGUUGUGGUCCUGAGCUAAUGUUGAUUGGUCCUUGAUUUUAUGCUAUUCCACUCGAGUAAGCAUGUGUAGUGAUAUAAGAAUGUGUUGUGGUGAAUUUCAUGUUUGCUUGGGAAAGAAAUUAUGUCAUGGAUGAAUGAAAUUCUACUGGAAAUUGAUUCGUGAUGCUGACCCUAUCUUGAUAUGUUUGAUUUGGUGUGCUUUUGAUUCCAACCUGAGGCUAGUUUGGUUAUGGGGAUCAUAUAUGUACAUGCUAGGAAAGUAAUAUGGAGAAUCUCAUAGCAUUUAGCACGAAUUCGGGUCAUCAUCUCCUAACUUGAAUAUGCUAGAAUGAAGUACUGCAUGCUGACCAUGAUUGUUUUGUUUAAAUUUGGCACUAGUUUGGUCUUGAAUUGAUGCCAUUUUGAUCAAGUAGACUCAUAUGCGCUUAGAGGAAGAUAUGGCUUCAAUUCAUGUCAAUUGGUCAUCAAAGGAUCACAAUUUGUCUUGUAUGCUCUGUUACAAUUUUGAACGUGUGCUGGAAUUUAUGGAAUACGCAUGACUUAGAUGGAUUUUGACUUAGUUUGGUUGCAUUUUUUGUUGCCUGUGGAUAAGUGAUAUGUGUGUGCAUGAUUAAAUUGAUGAGAUGUGUGCUUGAUAUUGCCAUCGAAGUCUUGGCCUGAUAAAUAAUUUGGAGGACUGAUGUUAAUUGAAGCUUAAUUCCUUAAUUCUUGCAAUUCCAACACAAACCCUCUACUAGUACACAUAUUUUGAAGGUGAUAUGGUAGACUAUCCAGAUACGAGGAAAUCUCUCAACAAAGCUGGUCAAUGAGGCCCUUGAAAUAUCGCAUGUACAACACUUGCCAACAAAGUACAUGUGUUCUCUUCCUUUCCUCCGAUGCUCACCAUUCAAGGCUUAUUUAUGAGAGCUAUUGCCUAAAUCUAAUUGAUCCUUCAAGUGUGCAUUUGUGCCAACAUACCGUCCACAACACCAAUUGCGACCUACUCAUUCAUGAUGUCAUCUCCUUCCUCGGAGUGUUCACCUACCACUACUAUUCAGAAUGAUGUUUGAAAGAUAUGACUUUUGUUUUCCUCCCUCCCUCAUGGAAUUCGCAAAAGCAUGGGGAAGAUUAGUCACCAGCACUACCAGUAACCUGCCCUUGAAAUCCAUUAGGAAUCCAUAUGUUCCAUCAGGACUAGGUGCAUAGUUCCGAUUGUCUCUCCUAUAAACCAUUCUGCAAUAUGGAGGUGCAAAGCUCCAUCUAUCUCCUUGCAGCAGGUCUCUCUGUUGCUAAUAGUAAUUGUUUUUAUGACACUGCUGCUUGUAGCAAGUCUCCCGAUUUGAAAAAGUUCAAUAUUUUCCCUCUAAGAAGUUUAUGCUAUAAAUCUCAAUAUGGAAAACACUUAGCCAAGAAGAACUUGAUGAACCAUUUGAAUUUAUCUUAAUGUCCACACAAUAACAUCAACUCAUCUGAAGCAUUUUACACAACAAUAGCAUUGCGUGACCUUUCCACAACUUGCUUUAAUUAGUAGAGAGUAUCCAUCUAAAUCACAACUUACUUUGUCCUGCUCAUGAAUGCGCAUUCUACUCAUUAUUUUCAAUUUCAGCUACUCAAAACACUGCGAUUUAACCCAAAAUCACUUGAAAAUUUUGUUAUAUAUCAUUGCAUUUGCACACUCUCAUAAUUGAAUGCUACUAAUUUUACAUAGUUUAUCAUGCCAUGAGAGCAUCGGCAUUGGGAAGAGUGGUGGGUGAUCCGAGGAUUUUGCCGCCCACAUCGGGAAACAUUUCAAAGCCAGUCAAAAAACCGACUUUACGGUCUCUGCUCACAUGGAUGGGAUACCGCAUCAGGUGCCCUCUCAUUUCCUUGGGAUCAUGUUGGUCCUCAUCCACAUAAGCUUUCCAAUUCCGUUUGGCUAUUUUGUUCACCCUCUUUACACAUUCAGUGCUUUGAGAUUCCCUGAAGCUGUCCUCUAAAUCUCCUAAGUGCUCCGCCCAAAGCGAUGUCCUAUAACCGUAAACCUGCAUAGCAUAAGUCAACAUAAUUAUACAUAAGCUUAAGUUUGUGAAUGAAUGUCGUUGCACUCGCUCGAGCGUACGCUUUGUAUAUGCUAUUCAGAUGAGCCUAACCCGAUGUAACUAACCUGGCCACGUGGAUGCCUCUUUUUCCUGGCCCAAAUGUGAUGCGGCUGAUAAGCCCCCAUUGCAAUUUAUGUGUCUCUUGAGCCAUCCAGAGAUCUUUGGUUGAUAUUUGCUGAUCCCACGAUCACAUACUCAUCAUCUACUAUCAUCCCUUUGGCACACACAUAUAUCAUGAAUCUGCGAUACUUCUGAACCAACGCCUGCAUAAAUAGAAACAACAACAUGUUUCAAACCAAAGUCUUUUUACCACUCAUGAAGCCAUAGCUCUUAAUGACUUCAUUUGUUUUGCUUUUUUAACAUGUUUGUCAAAGAAAGAAUCCAUGAGAAGCGUAUAGACAUAUAGCACGGCAUUAUUUUCGGAUUGUUGAUUCAUUGCUUGGGAUGAAGGUUGCGAAGAGGACAAGGGCUCCCACUUGCCAAGGCAAUAGAAGUUCAAGUAAUCCAGUGGAUGGUACUUGUGUGACAACCCGGCUUUUUCGAGAGCUUGUGCGAUGAUUUUGUACAUCAUCGUCAUGGUUUGUCCCUGUUCACAUUAUCAAUGCAUGGGUAUGAGAAUAGUGAUUGUUAAUCUUUUUAUAUCAUCAUAUCUCUUGGAGAAAUAUACUAAAAUGACUGAAACAAGGUCAGAUCUCAAAUUUUCCCCCUCAAGCAGCUAGGCUUGGUCUGCUUGGAUCACUUCGUUUUCUGCUUAACUAUGUUCAUCGUGUUAUUAAGUUUCAAUUUGAUAGGACGUUAUAUUUAUUGAUAUCAUGUUAUCGAUAUGCAUGUUUCAUUGCUAUUUCUUUGCAAGAUGAAAGAGUUCAUCCUUGAUCUGACCUGCUAAAAGAGAAUUUCUUGCACGGCAGCACUAUUAGGGACACCCUCCGCCCACAUCAGUAUCACUCUAUAGACACCGAACCGCUCGUUUGCACUGGUCUUGCUUGCGAUCUUCAAUGCCAGCUCCAUCGGAACUAAAUUGUUUGCCCCUGCUUGUCAAAACCAUAUGAAGCAUUGGUUGCCAUCAAAACUCUAACUCAAGAUAUUAGAUGAGCUGAAACAAAACUAGAAAAUCGAGGAAAAAACCUAAAUUUAAAAAGUUCAGAGAGUUGGUCUUUGCUCCCUCUAGGUUUGCGCUCUGGGACAUGAGCAUCUUGCUAAAAUGUCACAUCCCCACCUUUCCUUAAGUGGAAAAUAUGUGUUUGGUACACCCACAUAGUUUGGCCCAACCCCAACACCAUUCUUGCAUAACAGAUUGUCUCUAAUCGGCCUGAAUUGAAUCGAGAUAUUAAGUUUUGGAUAGGGCUUGAGGGGCUUCCGAAGUUGCCAAUUAUUAGGAACUAGUCAUUGAUCGUGUUGCCCGACACAAUCUUGGCCAUUGGUAUAUCCACGACCUGAUGAGCUCGGCCCCAAAUGCAUCUUUGUUCUUCACAUAAGACUCCACCUUCAUUAUUGGCUGCGCUAAGGAGGUAUAAAACCGUUUGUCCCACGGGGUCCUCGCAAUUCGGAAUUAUUAACACUUAAAUUUUGCCAACAAUGCACGGACAAAAUUACGAACAACGAUAAUAGUAAAAAAUUGUCACACGCCAUUGCUGGAACGAGAGAGUUUUUUAUUCCGUGGGGCCCACCACCGAUUUUCCCUUCUCUCUUGAAUUCGGUUAGGAUAGCAAUAACCAGAAAGACGUUUUCGUCAUUUUGAAGCAGGGCACUUUCGUCAUUUGCCCAGAGAAGUAUAUAAUGGAAUUUUUGGCCUUCGUCAUUUGACGAGGAAGUUCUCGAAGCUGCUUCGCGUCCGUAGCCAAUCCCGUCCUCUCUAGCUUCACCGCCGGCCGCCAGCUCCACCGGAAGCCACCGCCGGUCUUCCAUCUCUGGCCACGGCAGACGCACGAAGGAAGGCACACAACACGCGCAGAAGAAACAAAGCUCGAUCCCGGAAUCCAAAGUUCACUGUGGUUGAUUCGAGGUUCGCCAGAGGUGAAUCAACGUCGAUUCCAGUGUUCAAGACUUCGAUUGCGGGUUCCAGUGUCGUCUGGCUGCAGUUCCGAUCGCGUGCUGUUCUAACCGCGAGGCACUCCUUCGGUUCGUUCUUUCACUUCAGUGAUCGGUGGAAGGUUGCCGUAAGUUCGAACCGCAUGGAAAAGGACGCCCCGGCUCAGUUGACUCCCAACCAUCACUUUCGAAUCUUCUCACCACUGAUUGAGCUCUUCCACUUCUUACUCUAAAUCAAGCCCGAGUGUCGUCCUCGCGUCAAGCCCUGGGAAUCAGAAUCAAAGUUGCUCUCGCGUCAAAUGAACGUUUGGAUACUGCUCAGGAGGUGUUCGAUGAUAUGAUAUUUGGUCCUAAAGUGGUGGUGUGAUUAAUUGUCUUCACAUUGCAAGUGGGAUCAUCAAAUUCCAUGAAUUGGACCUUUGAUUGUAUGCGACGACACGAUAUUCUCCCACAGCUAUGUUCGAGAAAGCUGCGAAUUUAAUUAAUGCGAGACAAAGGGUGUAGCGUUCCGUCGAUGAAGCUCAAAACAACACGAAGCCGAUCAAAGCGGGCGUCCAGAAAUGGGUAGACAGGCCCGGAGAUCCUUGCCGAUGAGGCGCGCGGCGUGCUGGACAACGACAGAAGAGCCAAGAAAACUUGCUUCCGCAGGUAGUUUCCCAACCUGAAGGGGCACUAUCGUCUUGGCAGGGUGGCGAGGAAGACAGCCGAGGCCAUCCGGGCACUUGAAUCGCAGAGUGAAUUCCGAAAGGUCUACUACGAGAAUCCUCAGCCAUAAAUCAAUAUAUAAGGACUUAAAAGAUAGUUUUGAUCAUUAUAAUGUAAUUAGGAAUUUUUAAUUGACCAUAUUAAAAUUAUACUCCGUUUCUUUUAAAGAUAGUCUUCUAGUUCACCACCGCCUAAGAGUUGAUAUUUUUAAGCUUUGACUAUCAAGUACGUCUAAUUGAUUAGAUCUCAAUGAUUUUCGAGGGCAAAUCUAUUGCUAUUGGCAUUUUUUUUUAUGUACUUAGUAAAAACUUAAAUAGAACAGUAACUUCAAAUAAAUGAACCAAGUAAUCUCUACUCGGCAUCCAUAAAUUUCAUUGUUUGCUUUAAGUUUUCUCUAAGUACUUUGUUGAUUUCAAUACAAGUCUGAAUUCCUCAUUCAAUUUUUCAGUAGUAUUUUCGAUUUGCUUGCGAUUUCAGUUUCCCACAUUUCGAUUCAAGUCCGAAUCCAAGGGAAGAAGGAACUUUGGAGCCAAUUCCACUUGCAUAGUUCACCGCCUCAGAGGGAUCAAGCCCAAUAAAACCUUCCACUAAGAACGAGAAGACACAAUCAGGACGAUAAUCAUCAAUGCACCGCAGGUAACGAUAAUUAUCGACGCGUCAUUCUGAUAUUUGCAAGAUCAUCUAGAAGCAGUUUUGCCUGGAUAGCAAAACGACUGAACAAGAAGGAAGCAACGGCAGGACAUCAUCACUCGGAGCUUGAAUUCAAGGAAACGGCUGGCGAUGGCAAUGAUCUACAUCUGGCGUGCCUGAAAAUCUUUCUGGUGGGGACAUCGCUAGCCGAAGACAACGAACGUGACUUGGAAUCUUUGUCUACUCCGAGCUCAGCGUCGAGGCAGAGCGAGCAGCCCUUUCUUUGGUCAGAUCAACAACAACAUCCUCGCAUGGCGGCGGAGGGGAGAGAAAAGGGUAGGCUAGGGGAAAAAGCUGAAACGUUGAGGUGAUGGGCUUAUGGGCUGAUGGGUCUGGGCUGGACAAAAAACCAAUGGGUUCCUCUUGUGGGCGGUGCCGGUUGGACCAAAUUGUCCUAUUCUAUUUGUUAUUUAUUUAUAUUUUUAUUAUUCUUUUUCUUUUGUUCUUUUUACUACCAUUCAUCGUUUUGAUGUUCUUUUUUUUUUUAAUUACAAUAAUGCAUACUUAAUUUAUCAACUAAAUUUCAGGUGUCGACAGUUACAAAUAUAUUUACUUUAAUAUAUGAAAAAAAAUAUCAUGCUAUCUAAACAAAUUAUAAGACGUUGUAUUUACUGUUGCGUCAAAUCUUUGAUUACCAAAGGCCAUAUUUGUUUCUUGAUUGACGGGAGAAGUGGGCUAAAAAAUAUGGCACAAUCCAGUUGAGUAGAACAUGCAUGUGUUGAUGAAAUAUCAACCCAUUUAAAAUAACUUGAUUUAUGACUCAUAUUCAUAUUAAGCCUAGAUCCUAUCUCGCCCAUUUUUCUGGUCAAAGUCCCAAAAAUCGCUGUGAAGGAUUAAACAAAAGCAAUACAAGUGAAGAGAGAGAUCAAGAGAAAAAGAGAGAUGGCAAAGAUUCUUUAGUGAAAGAUGAUUCCUUCAUAUUUUUGCUUUCCCUCUUUAGAGGAUUCUUUUUUACUUUACUUAAAAGGUUUCAAAUUAAAGAAAUGAUGAAAAGGUUGAGAAUUCGAAUCCUAUUUAAAAAAUAUAUGACCGCUAGCUUACUUAUGAGGUUACCCUUAAGUAAAUUGUCAUAAUUAUUAGGAUUUUUUCAAUGUCUAAACAAAUUAGUAAAUUAUCACAUCUUCUAAAAUUUCACAAGUGUCUUUUUUAUAUAUCAAUAUAAUAAAUUUAUAUAUAUUUCACUAAUACAGUGAUUGACCAAUUUCUUUGAAAUUUUACAACUUUUUUUGGUAAAAUACCAACUCAAUAAGGAAUCUACCAAACUCUCAAUAAAUCAGUGAAUUAUCAAGUUUUUUCAAGUUGCUAAUUAUUAAACUCUAACAAGACGAGAUUAAAAAAAAAAAGAACAAAUAAAGAUGAGAUAACAUAGGAUAAAGACACGAAAAAGAGUCCAGGAAAAAGCAAAUAUGUGGUGGGCCCACACAGUGGUGUAAGGGAAGAAGGAAUAGUUUUACGAGGAAUUUUUUUCUGGGCCCCACAGGAACAGUUUUCUCUACCACUCUUUCCACUUCCCUCGCACUUGUUGUAGCUGGGGUUGUGUAUAAUCCGGUGAAUCGAUUCCAGAAAAUUAAAAUUGGAAAUCACACGUUAGUUUCAUGGAUCAAUCCGAUAAUCGGAUCGUCGGUCUGGUUUGGUUCUCAAGUGGAUCCAUAAAACCAGUCUUACUAAAAGCUAUUUAAUAGUUAUACAAAGUGUUUGCUAGAAACAUGAAUUUGUUUUACAUAAUAACCAACUAAAAGCCUAAAAUCAAUCACUUGACCUCCACAAAAUUCUCUCAAUCUUUGAAUAGUGAUUAUUUUGCCAAUAAUUGCUACAUGCCAUUACCUGUUCAUGUUCUCAUUUCCUUCUUUUUUUCUUCUAUCGACAUUAGCACAUUUCGCAUUUGCUAAUUUGUCUCAGUCCUCUCUCUUAAGCAAGGCUUGUCUCUACAUGGUUUUUACCAUUUUCAUGAUUGCCUCGGCCUGCUUGUCAAUUGGCUUAAAGUACUCUUCAGUGGCAGACUCCUGCAUAGGUCAGGGGAGAGUUCAAACUGAGAGAGACGAGAUGGAGAUUGGAGCCAUGAAUUUUAGAUUUGCUAAUUUCAAAAAAUUUUAAUAUUAAAACUUAAUAUAUUAUUAUAAUAUAACUAGUCCAGUUCAGGUGGAUGAGUGGGCAGAUCUACCCAUGGAAUUGGAAAAUCGGACCAGUACCCACUGGUUACCAUAAAUUAGAACCAGGAAUCGAACCAGUUCCCUUAAGAGCCACCGAUUCUAGGCAGUUCCGUUCCGGUUUGAAGCGGUCCAAGCGGGUUCCAAUUCCUUUACACACUCCUAAUUCUAGCCCUACAAGGCAAGCAUUAUUUCCUUGUUUCUUUAUAUCCUCUCCUUUUAACCCAAGUCCUAAAACCCACUUUACUCUAUGAAAUGACUCGAUUCGAUUCCAUGGGUCAUGCCAUUAGAAAGAGGGGGACAACCACCUGUUGAAUAGAACCGAAUAUGUGUCGAUACAAUAUCGGCCCUUUAAAAAAGAUUUGAUUUAUGACCUGGAUUCAUAUUAAACCCAGAUUUAAUCUUACCCAUUUGGUGAGUCGAAGUUCCAAAUAUCACAAUGGAAGAUUAGACAUAGAGCAGUACAAGGAGGGGGAGAGAGAUGGAAGGUGAAGGAUGAUUCUUUAGUAUUUUUCUUUUCUAAUUUGGGGAUUCUUUUUCACUUUUUCAAAGUUUCCAAAGUAAAGAAAUGAUGAGAUGCUUGAGGAUUACAAUCCUAUAUGUAAAAGGAUCGGAAAAAUUGUCCAAAAAGUCCUAAACUUAUUGUACUUUUGCGAAGUUGAUUCUAAGCCUUUUUAGUUUUACCAAUAAAGUCCUAAACUUUUGACAAUUUGCCAAUUGAGUCUAUCUAGGUGGUUGGAAAUUGCUAACGUAAACAUCAGGCAUCCUACUUGGCACGCUGUCGUUGAAGUGGACAUUUUUAGUGACAUUUUGAACUUUUCUGGUUUUCUUCUUCUACUUCUUUUUCUUUUUUUCCAUUUCUUUACUUUCUUUUAGCCUAUCCAAGAUCUAACAAGGGUGUCACGACCCUCACUAGAUCUAGUUGAGGGCUCAUGUGCUCUCGCUUAACGUUGCAGCCCUAGCCCAAGCCCUCAACAGCCACGACAAGGGUCACUAUGGCCGUUGAGGAUUGCAAUGCCCUCACCCCAAAAUAGCGAGGAUUGACAUCCGUCACUCUAAAGACCAAAAAAAAGAGUAAAGAAAAAAAAAGUAUAAAAAAAAAAUUAGAAAAAAAAAAGAACUAUUUGUCAUCGUCAACAGCAAUGUGCAUCGACUUGACUAUAGAUGCUAUGCUAAAGAACGAAGAAAUAGAGAUGAGCUGUAGAUGGUAUGCGUAAAGAAACAAGGUGGAUGCACGCAGUGACGUCUUCAUCCUCUGCAGUGGUGCUGGAGCAAGAGGUUCUUUUGAUUUCUUUCGUUGAUCAAUAUCUUGUAAUUUUUUGUCUUAUAUUACCUCCUUUUCGGUAUAGAUCUUGAAUAUCCCAGCUACAUAUGGAACAUAAACCUUUUAAACUAGAAUUUUUUUAUUAGGUUCACGGACAGUAGAAAAACAUCUUCUAAUGCAGCAAUAUAAUAAUUAUAUGUGCAUGAUGACUAUUGGAUUAUAUUGGGUGAUGUAAAUGUAUGGAUUAUAUGUUAGUAUGUUUUCCCAUCGAUUAAAGCUGUUUUUGUUUGGGCAAUUGACCGAAUAAGUGGUUGCAUUUUUUAAAAAUUUGCUGCUGGUAUUCGUAAAACAAUAUGUACAAAUUUGGGACUAAUAUGUCAUUAGAUAUGAUUGUGCACACUUUAAUGUGAUGCUUUCGAGCUUUUUUCAGCAAUUCCUUUUGAAUUUCUAUUUUACUAGGUGUACAUGUAGAUACAUGUACUCUAUUUAUUUUUUUUUUAAAUGUACUAGGAUGAAAGAUAAUCUUUACUUUUAUUUUCCGAUAACUGAGUUUUGACUUCUUCUGGUGCAAUUGAUUAUACAUUUCGAGAUGUAGGGGCUAAAUAAUUUCAUAUACUUUUCAUAUGUCAUUAUCAUAAAUUUACAUCUAAGUAAAAGAAAGAACGAUAUUCACAUAUCAACCAUCCAAUUUAAUUAAAGAAAAUGCACAAAUUAUACAAAGUCCUUAGUAAUUGCCAUCUACAGCGUGAGGUUUACAUAAGACCAAGCUCCACCAUGUGCGACUAUUAACAUCACUCUGUUCUUUUCUUCUGUUUGGUCUGGCGCCGCGUUUGUCUCCCUCCUCCUCCUCUGCGUUCGAGAGAGAGCGAAGAAGGGGAGAGAGAGAGGGAGAGAGAGCAGCAGCAGCAGCAGCAACAGUACAACGAUGGUGACCCAUAUAAUUAAAUUGGGUUCUUUUUUGGAAAGAGGGGUGGUCCGGCUCAACCAUUGAAUAACGUGACAUCCAUAAAAUCCAUGGAGUUAAUGAACCUAUUAACAUAAAUAUAAUUCCAUACAGAUACACUUUAUUUUCACUGGUCCCGUUAAUGAAGUGUAGUUAAUCAAUUAGAUUGGGUUCUUUUUGGAAAAGUGAUGUUCCCAGAAAUAAUAUAUGAUUUUGCUUAGUACUUAAAAAAAAAUAUAUAUAUAUAUAAGCAUCUCCCAUGAACCUUCAGUUUCUUCCAAUGGAAUUACAUACGUUGUUCAAAACGAAUACAUAUUCACAAGAUUAAUAAACAUAGGCGUCUCGUAGAUCUCAUUGGAGAGUACCUCGGGCUUUUUGAACAUCCAACUAAUGGCCAUCAAGUGCGUCUGUCCCUCUGUCUCACACACAUUGGGUAAUUCUCGGAAACAGAUAAGUCCUUGCUCCUGUGGGCGACUCCAGAGACUACGCAAAUACGGUGAUUUAGUCAUGCGCCUUGAGCAAGGAAGAUAGACACACUUAUUACUUGAGCAAUUACUUGGGAUUAAAAGAUAGGUGUCGCUAAGUUUUCUUAGAAGAUAACCGAUCUAACUUAAAAUGAAAGCUCUUAAUUUUUCCUUAGAGAAUAAUUCUUAAUUUCCCAAAUGAAUUGUCUCCUUGUGAUCAUGGUUUUAUAUCACGUUUUUUUUAGAAAAUUCUAUAGUUGCCACAAUUGAUUUUUUCAUCUCAAUAAUAUUCGAAGUUGAUUUUGGCAACUUAGUGUUUUAAACUUGGGAGCUAAGCCCCCUUUCCUUUUCUUUUAACUCCCGGGAAGGGUUGGAGAAUAUUUCUUCCAUACAAGAAAUUAUUACUUAUUUAAAUUCUAACCUUAAUCUCACAAUACCUAUGUUUUUCCAUGUGAGAAAAGAAUUGAGAUGCAAAUUGCGCAUAGUUAGACUGAAAACUACUUUUAUUGAAGUUUAAAUUUGAAUGAUGUGGCAUGAUUAAUCAAAAUCUAAUAGUAGAAAUUCUGGGUCUCGGGAUUGGAAGAACUUUUGGUUGAUGGUCAUGGCAUAUUUGGCAUUAAUUUUUAGAUAAAUAGGGAAAUUGAGCGCAACUCUCAUGGAUAUUAUCUUUAUUACAUUUUGUCAUUGCUUCCGUGCUCAACUGGAGAAUUAUAUUGCUUGAGUUAUAUUUCAUCGUGCUCGCGAGUACUCAACCUACCUAGUCAAUCGAAAAUGUGAGGAAAUCUAGAGUAAUUAAGAUGGAAUAUACUAUGAUAAAAAUGUUGCCUGAGCCGAUGCAGCACUGCCACAUUUUUCAAACUUGAAAAACCAGUGGACUCUCAUUAUUGAUGAAUACUGGGGGGCACACUUUCUUUUCUCGAAAGGCUUGGUGAAGUUGAGGAAAUCACGAAUUAUUUGGUGCGAAUGCCUCACGAGGAUGUUGAGGAAAUUUCCCUAAGUAAUUUUGAAGAUCGACAAAACAUUUCCUUAAGUGUUUAAUAAUUCUGAUAGUAAGUUUUUUCAAGUAGAAACUCUGAUAUGCAUCAUUAGAUGUUAUUCAUCAAACUCAGAUAAUCAGACGUAGGGACUUAUCAACACAUUCUGGUUGUCUAUGAUGAAGAUUGUGUUAUGUUAUGAUAAUCAAGAACAAUGGUAUAAUUUGUACAAGGAUUGUCAAGACAAUACACAUCAUCAAACGUUACGAGAAGAUCUCAGAUCUUCGCACUCAAAUUAUAUGGAGCCCAAUGGCUAGGAAUUUGGCUUGGAUUUCUAGCUAUAAGUAUCGAUUGUCUAGGAGGGAUGGACAUUCACAUAAUCUUUCCUUGAUUGGAUAUUUGAUAUCCAUGCGACAAUCAUCUGGAGACGAGACACACUUUCCAAACAGAGUAAUCUACUUAUGGAAACCUUAUCUAUGUUGUAUGAGUAGCACAAUCAAGGGAGACUCUUAUCCUAGCAAUCCAGAAGGAAUCAAAUUUUCCUAUCCAACGGGUGGAUUGGAUGAUUAAUCCUCAAAGGUUAUGUCCAACAGUCGUUUUGGACAAUAAGGAAAAUAAAAGGAGAUCAUGAUCCUGAAUGAAUUAGGUAUGUGUUAAUGAAAUGUCCAUCCAUUUAAAAUAACUUGAUCUAUGACCCAAAUUCAUAUUAAGCCCAGAUCCUAUCUCGCUCAUUUGGCGAGUCAAAGUCCUAGAAAUCGUUGUUAAAGGUUAAACAAAGAGCAUUACAAGUGAAGAGGGAGAUUGAAAGAAAAGGACGGAUGUUAGAGAUUCUUUAGUAAAAGAUGAUUCUUUCAUCUUUUUUCUUUCCGUCUUUUGACUAUUAUUUUUCACUUUAUUUAAAAGGUUCCAAAUUGAAGAAAUAAUGAAAAGAUUGAGAAUUCGAAUCUUGUUUGGAAAAAUAUAUGACCGCUAACUUACUUAUCAGAUCACCCUUUAGUAAGUUGUCGAUAUUAUCAAGAUUUUGUCAAGUCUAAACAAUUAGUAAAUUAUCAUCUCUUCUAAAGUUUCACAAGCUUUUAUAUAUAUCGGUAAUAUAAUAAAGUAACCUAUAUUUCCCUAAUACGGUGAUUGAUCAAUUUCUUUGAAAUCUCACAACUUUUUUCUGUAAAAUACCAACUCAAUAAGGAACCUACCAACCUCUCAAUAAAUCGGUGAAUUAUCAAGUUUUUUCAAGUUAUUAAUUAUUGAACUAAAAAGAUGAGAGAAAGGGGAAAAAAGGAACAAAAAAGGAUGAGACAACAUAGGAUAAAGACAUGAAAAAGAGUCCAGGGAAAAGCAAAUAUGUGAUGGGCCCACAGAGUCGUGUAAGGGAAGAAGGAACUCAUUUUGCAUUUCCCGCUCUUUCUUCCCACUUUUACGAGGAGUAUAUUUCGUGGGCCUCACAGGAACAUUUUUGUCUUCCACUCCUUCCACUUUCUUCGCACUUACUCUAGCCCUACAAGGCAAGCACUAUUUCCUUGUUUCUUUAUUUCGUCUCCUUUUAACCCGGGUCCUAGAACCCGUUUUACUCUAUGAAAUGACCCGAUUCGAUUCUAUAUGGGUCAUGCCAUAAAAAAAAAAGGGGACAAUCACCUGUCGAAUAGAAUCAAAUAUUAGUUGACAAUAUAUUGACCCUUUUAAAAUGACUUGAUUUAUAACCCGGAUUUAUACUAAACUCAGAUUUGAUCUUAUCUAUUUGGUAGAUUGAAGUCCUAGAUAUCACAAUAAAAGAUUAGACAUAGAGCUGUACAAGGAGGGGGGAUGGCAAGUGAAAGAAGAUUCUUUCGUAUAUUUCUUUUCCAAUUUGAGGAUUCUUUUUCACUUUUUCAAAGUUUUCCAAAGUGAAGAAAUGAUGAGAUGCUUGAGGAUUACAAUCUUGUUUAUAAAAGGAUCGGGAAAACUAUCCAAAAAAUUCUAAACUUAUUGUAUUUUUGCUAAUUCGGUUCUAAGCCUUUUUAAUUUUGCUAAUAAAGUCUUAAACCUUUUGAUAUUUUGCGAAUUAAGUCUAUCCGACGGCCGGAAAUUACUGACAUGAACACUAGGCAUCCUACUUGGCAUGUUGUCAUUGGAGUGGACAUUUUUAAUAACAUUUUUGAACAUUUUUGGUUUUUUUUUCUAUUUCUUUACUUUCUUUUUGGUUUUUGGAGUGAUGGCCGGCCAAAGCAAGGGUGUGCAAGCCAUUGCCUAUGCAAGGGCUGCCAAAUUCUCGCCUAGCCUAGAUCUAAUGAGGGUGUCAUGGUCUUCACCAGAUCUAGGUGAGGACCUGUGCACUCUCGCUUGGUUCAAGGACCUAGCCCAAGCCCUCUACAGCCACAACGAGGGCCGCUAUGGCCGUUGAGGAUUGCAAUGCCCUAACCCAAAACUAGCAAAGAUCGCUGGCCAUCACUCCAAAAAUCAAAAAAAAAAAAAAAAAAGAGUAAAGAAAAGGAAAAAAAAUAAUGAAAAAGUUCAAAAAAAAACUAUUUGUCAUCGUCAAUAGCAAUGUGUGUUGACUAUAGAUGCUAUGAUAAGAACGAAGAAGUAGAGAUGAGCUGUAGAUGGUAUGCUCGACCAUUGAAUAAUUCAUGAAAUACACACGUUAAGUUGAAGGGGAUUAUCACUCGGAUAUUACAUCUCCACUGAAGCAUAUGACAGUGAGAAUCUUCUUGGAGCAUUGAAUUCUCAACUCGCUCCAUCCUCUUUUCUCAAAUUGACCUCCUCCGAACCUUUAGAGAAUAUCUUGACUUCGACAAAUCCCACUAUCUCCUCCCAAAAUGGCCAAGACUCGUGUCAGAUGUGUAGCCAAAUAGCAUUCCCUUUCGUGCUGAUUCCUCAUGACACCCCCGUAUAGCCGGUGCGCAUUGGAGAACGCAGGGGGCAUCUUUUGGAAAUAUAAUACAGUAACGCCACAUAUAUUAACGCCUCGUGCCCCUCUUUCUGAUCACCAUUGUAUCGUCUAAAUGAUUUCUUCCUCGCUCUAGAAGCCCUCUCUUUCACCAAAUCUUCUGCGGCUGUUCUUUUUGUUGGAACCGCCGUGUGCGCGUCAUAUUGAACCUUUCCUCUUCUUCAGUCAUUGUCGUUUCCGGGUUCCAUCGGUUUCGCCUUCCUCGGAGUAUAUAAAUUCUUAACUCUCGUUUCUCCGCAAGAACAAGGAAAGAAAGCCAGAAAGGUAGAAGUCGAAACGGGGGAAAAUGGCAGAGAUUGCUGUGUCUGUAGCUUGCGAAGUGGCAAAGUGCCUGAUGGCUCCGGUCAGUCGGCACUGCGGCUACGUAAUAUUCUCUGACUGCCGCGUUCGACAACUUAAUGUUGAAGUUAAGAAGCUGGGUGACACGAGGGAUGAGGUGCAGCAUUCCAUCGAUGAUGCUCAAAACAACAUGAAGCCGAUCAAAGCCAAGGUUGAGACAUGGGUGAAAGAAGUGGAGACCGUCGCUGACGAGGCACACGAGGUGCUGGAUUACGAUGGAAGAGCUACGAAAACUUGCUUCUACGGGUGGCUUCCCAAUCCGAAGGCACGUUAUUGUCUUGGCAACGAGGCGAGCAAGAUGAUCAAGGAGAUCAAAGAUCUCAUUGAGCAGGGUCAAUUUGAGAGCGUCUACGACGAGAUUUCCCCACCGGGAUGUGUUGGCGGUUCUCUCAACGUGACUCUCAUCGUGAAUUUGUCAGCCGUUGAUGGGGGCGACUUUAUCACCGAUUCGCGAACUUCCAUCUUUCAGGGCAUAAUGAAAGCUCUGGAUGAUGAGAAGCUAAAAGUGAUUGGGGUCCACGGACCGGGCGGCGUGGGGAAGACUACGUUGUUGGAGGAAGUCAAGAAGAAACUCAUGAAAGAGAAUAGAUCGUUCGACAUGAUUAUCAAUGUGGAAGUCUCGCAAACUCCGGACUUGAAUAAUAUCCAAGGCCAGAUCGCUGAUGCCUUGAGUCUGAAUCUGAAGAAAAAGCAAAGCCAACAGGGAAGAAGAGAUCUUUUGUUCCAGAGAUUGCACAGUGAUCCGAAUGAGAAGGUUCUCAUAAUAUUGGACGAUUUGUGGACGGAACUGAAGAAGUUUAUGCGCAAAGAAGAAAUAGGAAAUCUUGGGAUGAAAGAACAGUAGAGAGAUCUUGAGAUGGAAAACUUCUUUCUAUUCUAUUCUUUUCUUGUUUACAAUCACGAGAGUUAGCCUUUUUAUAUACGAUGGCUAUCUCUGGAAACUGUUUUAUAGGUAUUGAACAGUUGAAGAAAUGAAAACUAACUAACUGAAGCAAAAAACUAACUAACUUCCAGAACCGAAGCACACCAAAUUAACUACCGAGACUUGCCAAGACUUGCAACAUUAUACAGAGUGUUCGAAACAGGGUAUCCCAAUAUAGAGCUUCUAGCUCACUUUACAGAUUAUCACUCUAGCUCACUUUACAGAUUAUCACUCUUAUCUUUGUCUUCUUUUUCUUUCUUUGAUACUAACAGUAGCCCCUUUUCUUCUCAUUCUUCUCAGCAGCAUUUAUAUUCUCUACUUCCUCUUCUUCAUAUGUUUUCUCUUCGUUGCUCUUGUAUAUCUUACUUCCCCUGUUCUUACUGAUAUCAGUAAUAGCAUCAGUAGAGCUUUUGUUCUUGCUGUUCUUAACAUCCCCCCUCAAAUUGGGAAUGGGUGAGAAACCAAUUCCUAAUUUGAUUCGUAGCUGAUAGUGUGUAAUACGAGGGAGAGAUUUUGUGAAUAUAUCAGCAAGUUGAUAGUUACUUGGAACAUAUUUCACUUGUAGUGACCCUGAGGAGACUUUUUCCCUAACAAAAUGAAAGUCUACCUCAAUGUGUUUGGUGCGAGCAUGUAAGAUAGGAUUGAUAGUAAGAGAAAUGGCUGAUUUAUUGUCACAAAAGAGCUGUGUUGUACGAGUCAAUGAGCAUCCUAUAUCACGAAGGACAAAGCUGAUCCAGGUAAGUUCGGCAGAUGCAGAAGCAAGAGCACGAUACUCAGCUUCUGUAGAGGAUCGACUGAUUGUGGAUUGUUUCUUUGCUGCCCAAGAUAUGAGAUUGGAGCCAAGGUAUGUACAAAAACCUGUUGUUGAUCUUCUUGUUUCAACACAUCCUGCCCAGUCUGCAUCUGAGAACCCAUACAGGUGGAGAGAGCUUCGAGAGUGAAUGAAGACUCCAAGACUUAUAAUGCCUUUGACAUAUCUCAAAACUCUCUUAAGUUUAUGUAAGUCUGCAAUAGUGGGUUUCUGUAAUUUCUGACACAGCUGAUUUGAAGCAUAUGCAAUGUCAGGUCUUGUUAAAGUCAGCUACUGAAGGCCACCUACUAAGCUUCGAUACUCGACAGGGUUGGAGAGGGGAGCAGAAUCAUUUAUCAGAAUAGUUGGUUUUAGUGAUACAGGGGUGGUAAUUGGUUUGCACUCAAGCAUAUGAGCUUGAGUAAGAAGAUCACUGGCAUAUUUAGUCUGGCAAAGAAACAGGUGAUCAAAAGUAUUUUUAACUUCAAUGCCAAGAAAGUAAUGUAGUGGGCCAAGGUCUUUCAUAUAGAACUGAAGACUUAGAGAAUGGAUAAGGUUGGAAAGUAACUGAGAGGAGCUUCCAGUCAGGAUAAUGUCAUCAACAUAUAGUAGUAGAAGAAUGGUGUCUGUAUCAGUAUGAUAGAUGAAUAAGGAUGGGUCAGUUGAGCUGCAAAAGAACCCAUAUUCAAGCAAAAAGUUGCUGAACUUGUCAAACCAGGCUCGAGGAGCUUGUCGAAGUCCAUAGAGAGACUUCCUGAGGAGACAUACAUGAUGAGGUUUCUUGGGAUCUUGAAAACCAGGAGGCUGCUCCAUGUAAACUAUCUCAUUCAAUGUACCAUGUAAGAAUGCAUUUUUGACAUCUAGUUGAUGGAUUGGCCAGUGUUUCAUCAUGGCUACAGAUAGAACUAUACGAAUUGUAGCAUGUUUGAUGACUGGACUAAAGGUUUCUGUAAAGUCAAUGCCUUCUUCCCGAUGAAACCCUUUAACAACUAGUCGAGCCUUAAGUCUAUCAAGGCUACCAUCAACUGCAAGCUUUGUUUUAAAUACCCACUUACAGCCAAUGACAUUCAUUUGACCAGUUCAAGGGAUUAAUUCCCAAGUUUUAUUCUGAUAAAGUGCAUUCAUCUCUUAUGUCAUUGCUUUAUACCAGCCUUUAUGUGCUAAGGCUGACUUGAUUGUUUUUGGUUCAGUAGGUACUUCAUAUAUAGCAAGACAUGCAUAUCGAGGAUUGGUCUUGAAAAUGCCAGACUUAGACCUAGUCUGCAUAGGGUGAGUAGGUAAUGUACCUUGUGAAUUUGUCUGAUUAUUUGAAGUGUGUUGUUCCAUAUCUGGUCCAUCUGUUGUCUCAGUUAUGGGAACAGGUAUUUCAACUCGUUGUGGAUUAUUCUGAGUGGUGGUGGAGAUUUGAUCCAUAAUGAAUUCAGCUGGAGAAACAGAAACUGCUUGUUCUGUGCAUUCAGGUGAGACCAUUCCAUUUGUUUGCUCAGCUGUGGAUUCUUGUUCCCAACCUGUAUACUGAGAAGUUGAAUGUUUUAUGUGAUCUGUAGUGGAGGAAGCUAGGAACUGCUCUUCUUCUGUCCACAACUUAUACAAGUGUGUGUAGGAGGGGUAAAUUGUUGCUAAUUUCUGAGAGAAAGGGAAGAAAUUCUCAUCAAAUACUACAUGUCGACUAAUGUAGACAUGACCAGUAGUAGGGACAAGACAUCAAUAUCCCUUAUAGUGAUCACUGUAUCCUAGAAAGACACAGGUUAGAGAUCGUGGAUCAAGCUUGUGCUGUGCAUAUGGUCGAAGACAGGGAUAGCAAGCACAGCCAAAGGUUUUGAGAUGAUAAUAUCUUGGCUUAUGCUGAUAUAAUUUGCUGAAGGGAGACUGCAUCUGUAAUUUUUGAGUAGGAAGGAUGUUAACAAUGUAGUUGGCUGUUACAAAUGCAUCUACCCAAAACUUUAAUGGAAUUUUUGCAUGGUAUAGCAUAGCCAAACCAAGUUCAACUAUAUGUCGAUGUUUCCUUUCAGGUAUUCCAUUCUGCUCAGGUGUAUAUGGACAGGAGAUAUGUUGUUGAAUGCCACAGUUCUGUAAGUGAGUUCUGAAUUUUUGGCUAAUAAACUCUCCUCCACCAUCACAUUGGAAAGUCUUGAUUUUACAGCUACGCUGAUUUUCUACUAACUUUUGAAACAUGAGAAAAAUACUAUAGAAAUCUAACUUCAGCUUUAAUGGAUAUAUCCAACUGAACCGAGAGAAAUUGUCAACAAAAAUGACAUAGUACAUGAAACUCUGAAAAGAUUUAACUGGAGAAGGCCCCCAGAUAUCACAGUGAAUUUGUUCUAAAGGUUUUGUAGCUGUAGAAUUUGAUAAUGGAAAAGGUAGAGCAGUACUCUUAGCUAUUUGGCAACUUCUACAUACAGACUGUGGUUCUUUGUUGUACUUAAUCAGAUUUUGAUUCCUCAAAUGCUUCAAGAUAUUCUGAUUUGUGUGAGCCAGUCGUUAAUGCGAGAUACUUUCUACAACAAUUCUUUGUCUUUGAGUGAAGUAGACUUCUGCAGCAUGAGGGUCUACUCUGUACAACCCUCUAACCUUCCUUCCUAGCCUCAUGGUUGUGUUGGUGGUGCUGUCCUUGAUAUACACACCAGUUUUGUUAAAGAUAAAGGAACAGGGGUAAUCAUCAGUUAACUUUGACACUGAUAGAAGAUUUUUCUUAAUCUCAGGAACAAUCAGCACAUCAUGUAGAGGCAAGGCAUCAAUUGCGGUAUUGAGUAUUGCAUUACCAAUGUAUUUGAUAGGUAAACACAGACCAUUGCCUAUCAUGACUGUAUCAGCAUUGUUAUUUUUAGAAAGACUAUGAAGUAUACCAGCAUUAGAGGUAAUAUGGGCUGUUGCUCCAGUGUCUGGAUACCAUUCUUGAUCAUUUGCCUCCUCAAUAUGUAGUGCUGCUAAUGCUGUUGGUAUCUCCUCAGCUUGUUAGGAGUUAUCAAAUCGAUACCAACAAUGUAAGGCAUCAUGACCAGGCCUCUUACAGAUUUGACACUCAAGUCGAGUGUGUUCUGCUGCUUUCUCCACCUGCACCUUUUUGUGAAGAGUUGAAUUUGAUGCAGGAUAUGACCUGGUAUCAGAAUACCUUUGUGCUAAUACAUUGUAUGGUCUAAAUCCUUGAACAGGACCCAAGCCAUAGGAGGUAUUGAGUUGUUUGAACUACUGAUAUUCUUGUUCAUAGUUUGAGUUAUUAUUUCUGUAACUCAUGUUUCUUCCAGGAUAACCAAAGUUCCUGUAUCUGGCAUUAUAUGUUCUUCCUCUUUCAUAAUUUCUUCCUCCAUGAUUAUUUGUUCUUGAUCCUCUAAGGAUAGUAUUCUGUUGUAUAUAUUCUCUGUCAGCCUCUUCUUUAUGUAUAGCUUCAGUUUUCCUCUGGCCAUAGUAAGCUAGGUUAGGACUGAACUGAUUUAAAGAGUAAUUCUGUAACCUGGCUUCGAAUCUUUCUAAGUGUGAGAUUACUUCAUCAUAUUUUGGUUGGGGCUUUAAGCAAUAGAUUGUAGUUUUAAAACUUUCAUACUCAGAUCCCAGGCCUUCCAGAACUCCAAAUAGUUUUGUGAUUUCAUCAACUGGUUUUCCUAUGGCAUUCAAUUGAUCACAUAUUGACUUGUACUCCCUGAGGUAUGCUGAUAAUGUUCGUUCACGUUUCUGGCAAGCCUGCAGUUUUCCUCUUAACUCGAACUCCUUAGCUACUGACUUUUGUGUAAACCGAUUUAGCAGAGUUUGCCAAACUUCAUAAGCAGCAUUUAAGCCAAUUAUCAAGCUGAGUAUAUUUUCCGAUACAGCACCACUAAUCCAAGAAGAUACAAGCUAAUCUGUUUUUAUCCAGUCAUUAUAAUCAGGAUUAGGAACCUCAGAAGUUUGACCUCCUUCUUCGACCUCCAAUGUCUUUGCAGGUGGUGGAAUUUCCCCAUUCACAAAACCAAACAGAUCUUGGCUCCUCAAGAAUCUAUAGAAUUGAGCUUGCCAUAGAAGGAAAUUAUCCUCAGCUAAUUUGAUGGUAACAAAAUUCGAGAUAUUAACAUGAAUAGGAAAUGGAUAUCUCAAACUUCUUGCUGCCAUUCUAUUCUUCCUAAUCUUUGAUCAACUCUAGUUGCAGACACGAAUUCUACUGGUUUGCAGUACGCUGCUACAAGUAUAUUGCUAAUGAAGAUUUAGAUGUGGAUGAAAAGUACCAACUCACAGAUCUUGUUGGCAGAUAUAGAUAUCUUUAGAGAUCAAUGAAGCUUCGAAUCUAACUUCGAUCUAAUGUAGAUUUAACUAUUUUGUGCAGCAUCAAGAUGAUUUCUUUAGGAUGCAGAAGCUCUAAUACCAUGAAGGAGUUUAUGCGCAAAGAAGAAAUAGGAAAUCUUGGGAUGAAAGAACAGUAGAGAGAUCUUGAGAUGGAAAACUUCUUUCUAUUCUUUUCUUUUCUUGUUUACAAUCACGAGAGUUAGCCUUUUUAUAUACGAUGGCUAUCUCUGGAAACUGUUUUACAGGUAUUGAACAGUUGAAGAAAUGAAAACUAACUAACUGAAGCAAAAAACUAACUUCCAGAACUGAAGUAUACCAGAUUAACUACCAAGACUUGCCAAGACUUGCAGCAUUAUACAGAGUGUUCGAAACAGGGUAUCCCAAUAUAGAGCUUCUAGCUCACUCUACAGAUUAUCACUCUAGCUCACUUUACAGAUUAUCACUCUUAUCUUUGUCUUCUUUUUCUUUCUUUGAUACUAACAGUAGCCCCUUUUUCUUCUCAUUCUUCUCAGCAGCAUUUAUAUUCUCUACUUCCUCUUCUUCAUAUGUUUUCUCUUCGUUGCUCUUGUAUAUCUUACUUCCCCUGUUCUUACCGAUAUCAGUAAUAGCAUCAGUAGAGCUUCUAUUCUUGCUGUUCUUAACAGGAACUUGAUUUGAAGUCAGUCGGAAUUCCUUCGGGAGACGAGAGCAGGGGAUGCAAGUUGCUGGUAGCAUCAAGAUUUAAAGAUGUCUUGGAGCAAAAGAUGCAUGCGGAUAAAACAUUUCGUCUUGAAGGUUUAAACAACGACGAAGCUUUUAGGCUAUUUGAAAAGAUAGUUGGCGACAACCUCAAAGACGAGGAAUUGAAACCAAUAGCAGCUCAAGUGGUCGAGAAGCUCGCAGGUUUGCCUCUUUUGAUUAUCUCCAUCGCAAGCACUUUGAAAUAUAGCCGUGUGUCUGCAUGGAAAGACGCAUUGAUAAAAAUAGAGGACUCAAAUAUAGAAACCAUAGUAAAGCUGAGUUAUGACCAUCUGAAGAGUGAGGACGCCAAGUCCUUAUUCUUGCUCUAUGGUCUUAUUGGUGGGACCAUUGAAGUCGAACUUCUGCUGGGACUAGGCAUGGGGUUGGGCUUGUUUGAGGGAUUCAAUAACACGGUAGAAGAUUCAAGAAAUAGAUUGAAUACUAUGCUCGAUAGCCUCCGUUCUGUUUGUUUGUUGCAAGAUGAUGGUGAUGACAUGGAAACUGUGACCAUACAUGAUCUUUAUAGUGAGGUGGUCGUCUCAACUCCAUUUAGAAGUCAGAAUUCCUUAAUGAUGAACAACUAUUAUGUUUCGUGGCCAAAAGAAAAGCUUGAGAAAUGUUGGGCAAUAUGCCUUGUUAAUGAUUACGGUGAUAGCCUUGCUGAAAAAAUGCGGUGUGCGUUUCCCGACUUGAAGAUAUUCAUGUUGUCUCAGAUAGGGUUGUUCGAGGCACCUAUACACCCACAUGAUGUGAGAGAUUGCUGUGGACUAGAUUUCACAAGCAUGGAGCAGCUCCAAGUCCUAUAUCUUCGCUUCAUACAUAUCACCAGUUUACGUUCCUCGAUUGGCACCCUCAGGAACCUCCACUCAUUAUACUUAGACUAUUGCAUUGUGGACAAUGUGGCAAUUCUUGGCAAGCUCAAAACAUUGCAGAUUCUCAGCUUGGCAGGAUCUCAAAUUUUUAAGCUGCCUAAAGAAAUUGGGGAACUUAGGAAUCUGAGAUCGUUGAAUCUAGAUGAUUGUGACUUGCUUAAGAUAAUCGAGCCUGGUGCCCUGAAAGGCUUAGUCAACUUGGAAGAGUUAUAUAUGAGGGGAAGCUUUAGUCGAUGGAUAGUCGAUGAUGAAAUACCAGCGGAAUCGUAUAAUGGUAGGCUUGCUGAGUUGAAGAGCUUGAGAAAGCUGGCCUCUUUAGAAAUAUCAAUUCAUGAUCCCAUCAUACUCUUAAAAGAUGAUGACCUGCCAUUUGGGAACCUAAGUAGAUUUUGGAUCGACAUAGGAAAUGCUUACGGAAGGGGAUUUCAUGGUUUGAGAACCAUGAAACUCCAAUUGGAAGAAUGCAAUGGUAUUCUCUCAAAAGAAUGGGUUCAGAAAACUUUGCAAAAAACUCAAUACUUAUAUUUGGAUGGAUUGGGAGAGUUCAAGGAGAAUGCUCACGAGUUGUGCAUUCGAGGAUUUACGCAACUGAUGCAUCUCGACAUUCAGAACAGCCCCUCAAUCAAGUACAUCGUCAGUUCAUUAAAUGACCUUCUCACUGCAUUUAUGGAUUUAGAGUCUUUG